This 246133-nucleotide long non-coding RNA is filed under the name Citrus maxima (pomelo). Its description in RNAcentral is "long non-coding RNA (CMAX_LNC004025)". Lineage: Eukaryota; Viridiplantae; Streptophyta; Magnoliopsida; Sapindales; Rutaceae. The record is from RNAcentral.
GGAGCAGAGAUUUUUCUAUCAAAGCGUGUCCAGGAAAUGGUCCUCAAUGGUGAAGAACCGCCAGCACCAUAUAUUUGUAGAGAUGGUGAUUCAAUUCAAGAGGUUUCUGCUCCAUUAUCUCCGGUUCCGAUCAUUGAUCUCAGUCUGCUCUCAUCUUCAACACCAUACGCCAAGCAAGAAGAAGAACUGCAGAAAUUAAGAUCAUUGACCUCAGUCUCAUCUUUAACACCAUACUCCGGUUCCGAUCAUUGAUCAUUGACCUCAGUCACUCCUUCAUGACCACAUAAUAAGGGGUGGCUAUUUAUUUAAAAUAUGAAGUGGAAAAUUGAAUUAAUUUAUUUGAAAUAGAAAUGGUCACAUGAAAAAUUUGAAUUAAUUUCUUGAAACAGGAUCCUACAAAUGAAGUGUUUUAAUUUCGUAAUUUAAUAUUAUUAUUGUUAUUUUGUUUUUAAAUAUUAAAAAAAGAAAAAAAGAAAAAAAGAAAAAAUUGGGUUGUCUUUAGUUUCUAGCGGACAUCAGAUUCAUCAUAAUAAGCGUACCCUUGUCCAUGUAUAAAUUGCAUUUGCCUCUGAAUUCUUCAAUAAUUGAAAAAGAUGGGUGCUCGUUGGACAAUCUUAUUUAUGAUACAAUUUAGGAAUAAGAACUUAAUGACGCAACCAUCACCAGCAGCCUCUUUUUUGGAGGUACUCGGAUGGCCAUUAUUGCCAUUUAAAAGAUAACAUAAAUUUUGUAGAUUGCCAGCUAUGGCGGAGCUUUUAAAUUUAAUUUUUUUUUUUUUUUAGAGAAGAAGAAAAAUAGCCAUUCAAAAGAUAACAUAAAUUUUCUAGAUAGCUAGUUAUGUUUGAGUUUUCAAAUUUUUUUGAGAAAAAAGAUACUUAUGUCUUUGAAAUUUAGAAAAACGAUCACACAAAUUCUUAAAUUUUUAAUAAGAUAAAUCAAGACCUCGUUUUAUUAUAAUAUCUUUUAAUUCUAUAACUAAAAAAAUUGACUAUAAUAUUUUAUAAUAAAAAAAUAACUGAAAUGACCCGCCUCGAAUCCCCGGACGAGUCUAUCUAAUAUCGCCAAUCGAAUUAAUAAUAAUCUAAUAUUUAGAAUUUUACCAAAAAUUCAGCAGAGUCUCCUAUAUAAUUAUAACAUUCCCAAACUUGCAAUUUAUAAAAUUUAACACUCCUAAAAAAUGAUACAAUAUUCAAUCAACCUCCACAACGAACUUCUUCAAUCAAAUACCAAUAUCCUUCAAACAUAUAAUGUCAAGAAUACAAUAAUUUAUCUUUAAUCACAAAUAAGUAAUAAAUUAUACAAUUCAAAAUAUCCCAACAAAACAUCUAUGAUUCCUAACAUCAUCACAUGACCAUAAUUCUAAAUUUAACUAUCGUUGUUGGGUCGACUGAUGUACCUACAUAUCUCUUGUGGAGGGGGGGUAUAUAAUAAAAAAAAGAUGAGUAUAAAAUUCAGUGAGCUCAAUUGAGUAUAGUAUGAAAAAAAUAAAUUUACUUAAAAUAAUAUAAUCUUUCCCAAAUCAAUAUCAUCAAAAUAUCAUAAGAACUUAAAUAAACUUAUUUAAUUUAAAUCAUGUUUUGAUAUAACAAUAAUACAUAAUACGGCAUGAAAUCAAGGAAAACAUGAUACUUAUAAUAGCAAACACCAAAUACCGAAUCUAUCACCAAACAAGUACCCAGGAAAAUAUCUCAUCAUAUCCAGACCUCGACGGAUCUGCAAUCAGGGAACCAUCAUGGCCCGAAGCUACACGGAUAGACAAGGAAGUACUAUCUCAUAUCUCAUCAUAUCUGUGCAUGCAUAAUCUAGUCCCCAAAGGACAAGGCGCCCAAGAACACGGUCCAAAGCUUCUGUGUGUACUCAGAGGGGCCCCAAAGACCUAUAUUUCAUCCGUAUCAUCAUAUAUCAUAUGUAUCAUCUGUAUAUCAAUAUAUAUAUCUCUGUAAUCAUCAUACACAUAUGCCUUUAAAAGGCAAAAACACCCAAACACACGGCCCAAAACCUCUAUGUGUAUUCAAGCGGGCCCCAAAGUCCUCUCAUCUCAUAUGUAUCAAUGUAUCUUCUUUUUUUUUUUUGAGAGAAAGUAAUACUUUCAUUCCAUCAACUAUGUGAAUAAGUACAAAAAUUGGGCUGGAAUAUCAUCCACCCAAUAGACAAAAUCAUUUAGUUCUAGUGCUAGCUUUGCAAGCGAGUGAGCUACACUAUUACAAAUUCGUGGAGUAUAUUGCACUUUUACAUGCUUUAACCUUUUGAUCCGAUCCUGAACCUCUGCUACAACCCAGAACAUCUCAGUUCUUGUGCUUUUUUUACAAGACAUUAAGCUCACGACCUCUUGCGAAUCAGAUUCCAUAAUCACUGGAAUGCAACCUGCAUGCUCUGCUAUCUCCAACCCGAACUGAGUUGCUUUAGCUUCUGCAUAAUCCACUUUAUCCAAAAAGAUUGUGGUCUUCAUAGCUGCUGCUACAACCUUGCCCUCUGGAUUCCUUAUGACUACUCCCAAUCCAGUUCUUUGCUGAUCAGUCUUCACUGCUGCAUCCACGUUAGCUUUGAACCAGCCUGCUGGUGGAGGUUUCCACUUCUUUUGGACAGCAUCUUCAUGAUUUGAGCCUUCUUGCAUCAGUGGCAUUUGGAUUCUUCUGUAAGCUUGCACAACUGCUUCUGCUGCUGCAACUGAUGACUAGGAAUCUUCUCUUUUAUUUUUGAAAAUGAGGAGAUUCCUUGAGUGCCAUAUACUCCAGCACAAUGCAGCCAUCAGCUCCAUUUCAGCCUUGUUUUUUCUCCCUGUCAUAAAUCGAAAUAAACUGCAUACAUCCUUGCUUUUACACAGCCUAAUCUCUUUUUAAAAACAAGUCAACUGCCAUAUUUUUUUAGAAGCUUUACACACAAAAAGAGUAUGAAAGAUGGACUCUCCCAUUCUAUAACACCUUUGGCACCGAGGGAAUGGUACCACCUUCCUCUUCCAUAAAUUCUCCGCAGUUGGCAACAAGUUAUUAGAUGCUCUCCACAUGAAAAUUUUUACUUUUUCUGGAAUUUGAAGGUACCAGAUAGUGUUCCAAAAAUUCUGCUUCUCCUCUGAACAGCUAGCCAUGGCUGGGGUUUUCAUCUUUAACGCCAAUUGAUAGCCACUCUUCACCGAGUACUCCCCCUUCUUGUCAUAGUGCCAUACGACUUGAUCUGGAUUUGGUUGCCUUGGGAGAGGUAUUCUUGUAAUCUGCUCUGCAUCGACUCUCAAAAAAUUCUGUUGAAUCAGCUCUUCAUUCCAUUCAUGCUUUUCAUUAAUGAGCUCCGAAACAGCUAUCUCUAAGUGCAAUUUGGGGGGCGAUAUCAGCUUGAAAGUGUUAGGUCUUGGAAGCCAUGUACUCUGAUACACCUUCACUUGUUCACCAUUUCCAAUCCUCCACCUCAAUCCCUUCUCAGUCACAUCUCUUCCCCAAAGAAUGCUCAUCCAUAUGAAAGAUGGUUGAGAACUAGCUUUUGCCUCCAUAAAACUUGAGUGUUUAAAAUAUCUAGCUUUCAUUAUUCUCGCAACCAAAGAAUUCGGCUCUUGAAUAAUCCUCCAACCUUGUUUUGCAACAAGAGCUUGGUUGAAGCUAGACAAAUCUCGAAUACCCAUUCCCCCUCUACUCUUAGCUUGACACAUUUUCUCCCAUCUUCGCCAAUGAAUUGGCCUGUGGUCUUUGCUGUUCCCCCACAAAAAACGGGCUAUGGCUUUUUGCAUUUCUUCACAGAGACCUAAGGGGAGCUUAAACACACUCAUAGCAUAUGCCGGCACUGCUUGGGCCACGGCUUUUAUCAAAAUUUCCUUUCCACCACACGAGAACAACUUUGCCUGCCAGCUGGAAAUUUUACUGAGAAUUCUAAGCUUGAUAUCAUUGAAGAAAGUGGUCUUGUUUCUACCAAUCAUUGAGGGCAACCCAAGGUAUUUCUCAUGCCUAGAGACCACUGGCAGCUGGAAAGUGUCCUUUAUUACCGAGAUCAGCUCAUGCUUUGUGUUUUGACUAAAAAACAUGGAUGACUUUUCGAAAUUAAAGAUUUGGCCUGAAGCAUUAGUAUAACAGUCAAACACUCAUUUCAAUCUCCAACAAGCUUCUUUUGUGGCUCUUACGAAGAUCAAGCAGUCAUCCACAAAUAAGAGAUGGGUGAUAGAUAGCUCCUUGCCAAACUUGAUUCCAUGAAUGUGCUUGUUUAUUUCGGCUUGGCUUAGGAGAUUGGAAAAAACUUCUGCACAAAGAAUGAAUAAAUAUGGAGACAAAGGGCAUCCUUGCCUUAGCCCUCUUUGCGGCUUAAUCAACCCUUUAGCUACCCCAUUUAUCAACACCGAGAAGGAUGGUGUAGUUAUACAUCUCAUAAUCAGCCCUACAAAUUUUGAGGAAAAUCCCAUUUUUUCUAAAGUACACUGUAAGAACUUCCAUUCCACCCUAUCAUAGGCUUUGCUUACAUCUAGUUUCAAAGCUACAGUCCCAUGCUUCUUUCCUUUGCUAAGCCUUAUAUUGUGAAGGCAUUCAUAACCUAUGAUUAUGUUGUUAGUUAUGAGCCUAUUAGGAACAAAGGCGCUUUGAGUUGGGGAGAUAACAUGAUUCAAAAUCAGCUUCAACCUAUUUGCCACAGUUUUCACAAUAAUUUUGUAAAUAACAUUACAGAGGCUAAUAGGUCUAUAAUCCCCCACUUUCCUAGGCUUGUCAAUCUUCGGAAUUAAAGCAAUAAACGUAUGAUUCAAGGGGGUGAUAUUACCUUCAUCAUUAAGGACAUGCAGGCAGACAGCUAUGACUCCUUGGUUUACAGACUUCCAGUGCUUUUGAAAGAAGGCUGCUGGAAGACCGUCCGGGCCCGGAGCUUUUGUCGGGUGCAUUUGACUUAGAGCUUCUGUGAUCUCUGCUUCUGUGUAGGGCUGAUCGAGGUGUGCAUUCAUCUCACUUGAAAUUUUACAAGGCAUGCCUUUAAGUGCUGACUCCAGUUGAUGCAUCGUUGGGUUAUUAGAGGUGAACAUGUUGUCGAAAUAAUCAUAAAGGGUCCUCUUAAUUUCAUCAGCUUCUUCUGUCCAUUUGUUCCUUUCGUCAACGAUUCCUCUGAUCUUGUUUUUCCUCUUUCUUGCAGUAGCCUUGGAGUGGAAAUACUUUGUAUUUUUGUCUCCUUCCCGUAACCACACAGCCCUUGAUCUUUGUUUCCAGUAGAUUUCUUCAUCAAUGAGUAAAUCGUCUAUUUGUUUCUUAAUUGCCUUUAGUUCAACUCCAGUGCAAUAAUAUUUACUGCUCUCCCUGUAAAUCUUCAGCUCUUUUUCAGCUUCUCCAAUUUUUCCUCUCUGCCCCGAAAUUCCUCCUUGCUCCACAAUUUUAACUCGGCCAGUGAAUCUUUUGCUGUCUUUUUAAAUUGUGAAAUCGGAUCUUCGCAAUUCCAGCUUCUCUUUGCUUUCCACUCAUCAAAAACAAUCUCUUGACAUUUCUCAUAAGGGCUCCACAUAUCUUCGUAAUGGACCCUUGAGAAAGUUCUUUUACUGUACUGCUUCCUUCUGCCUCUUUCUUCCACAAUCAUCAGAACUGGACUGUGAUCUGACGUCCAUGUCUCAAGAUGUUAUGCAGCUAUUUCAUGAAACAUGCUUCCCCAAGUUUUGCAGCACAGAAACCUAUCUAACCUUUCUUCAACCAAGUUAGGGCCAAACCUCCUAUUAGACCAUGUAAACGGAUAGCCGUUGUAGCCUAAAUCUUUUAGAUCGCAUCCAUGGAUAGCUUCGUGGAAUUCAUUUAUAUUAGCCACACAUCUAUCCUUUCUUCCAGUCUUCUCAUCCAGCUUUAAAAUCUCGUUAAAAUCUCCAAAGCAAAGCCAUGGUAACGAGAGUAACCCACCUAAUCUUCGCAGUAAAGUCCAUGUAUGGCGUUUCUGAUCUGUUUCAGGAUGCCUGUAAAUCCCCGAGCACCUCCACAAGCUACCAUUUUCAGAGUGAACUACUGCAUCUAUAUGGUGCUGGCUAAAAGAUUUUAUAUCCACCACUACCUCCGAUUUCCAUAACAAAGCUAACCCACCACUCCUACCUCUACUACUCACAGCAAAACAAUUAUCAAAAUUGAGCUUCUUACCUUUAUCCUGCAUUUGCCCGGAUCUCAUUUUAGUUUCGCACAAAAACAUAAUCUCAGGCCUAUUCAUUUGGAGAAUCUUUUGGGUUUCACGGAACGCUCGGUCAUUCCCCAGUCCCCGAACGUUCCAGCUAAUGACUCUCAUUGCUGUCGGCGGGGCUGGCAACCAGCCUCUGCCGUUACUUUUUCCAUCUUUGUUGCUGCUGUCAUCUCCACAUCUCCAUACUGAAUCAUUUCCCUCCCAUUUGUUCUUGUUUCUGUUGAGGAGCAGAGAGUAAUAUUUUUUUUGCUGCACAUUCUCCUCCGUUUUUCAGCUGAAGUUCCUUCACAAUUGUCUUCCUUUGACCUCUUUAAUCUCUUUGACCCGUUGUCUGUAUCCAUUUUUCUUUCUACUGUCCGAGCCUGGAGCUUCCACUUCCGUUUCUUUGUCUUUGAACGUGUUGUAUUCGGCUCGUCACAUUCCCCAUAUUUUGCUUCAAGUUGGGUUUGUGUUGUGUUUUUUUCUAAUUGGGCCUAUUUAUCAUUUGGGUUAUGCACAAUUUUGUUUUAUUCCUUCCCAUUUUUUUGUUGUCCAGUACCUCUUUCAUCUUCCCUCUCAUUUGUGCACGUUUUUCCCGCCUCACCUCCACUUGUUUGAAAUACUAUGUCAACCCCCACUUGGUUGUAUCAGCUUUUGGCCGUAUUUUUUUGACUUUUUUGGGUUUCCCGCUGCUCCCAUCUUUGGCCCACCCGUAUUCUCCUCCUCUUGACUCCGGGUUAACCCGCCUUCGUUUUCUGGAUCACUGUUACUAUCUCUUGCUUGAUGCCGCUGUAAAUCUGUGCCGGCCUCGCCUCUUGUUUGUAUUUGCCCCUCGUUGCUCUGUUUAUUGGCCUCAUUCUUCCACCUUUCUCUCCCUCUGUUCAUUCUCAACUUUUCUGCCAUUGUAAUCGCUCUCAACCAUGGCCCAUACGCCAUUUCUUUUCUAGCUUGGUUUUUAUAUUGAACACAUUCUUUGUAUUGAUGUCCAAUACAGCCACAGACAAAACAAAAAUCUGGCAGCCUUUCGUAUAAAACUGGCAUGGGGAUGACUUUCUUUUUGGCUUGUUUUUGUCCACCUUCUCAUGUUGUUUCUGUGUCACCCAUGUUCUCAGCUUCUUCUUCCACCUCUUCCAAGUCCUCAGUUUCUGCAGCAUCCUCAUCUCUUAAUUCUACCACUUUUAUUAGAGGUUUAGUCACAUCCACCGAAAUUUUGAUUCUAAUAAACUUGCCAAAGCAUUCUCCAGCAGCAUUAGUCCCCACUUCCUCCACCUUUCCGAUUUCUUCACCAAUCUCCUUGAUAGUUUCUUCAUUCAUGCACAUAAUAAGGACAUUAUAUAGUUGGACCCAGAAGGAUACAUGGGUAAAAGAUUGUUUGGUUACUUCACCGAUACCACUUGGUUCAACAAGAGCUAUAAGAGCUCUAUCAAAAUGCCACGGCCCCCCAGCUAAGAUGUUCCUCUUAUCAGCCUCCGUUCCAAAUCUGAAAAUGAAGAUAUUGUCUCCCAUUUCUUCGAUUUGAACUUCUCUUAUGGUUCUCCACACUUGUUGCAGAGCAGCUUUCAGUCCCACAAUUUUUACUUCUCUGUUCACCAUGACUUUUCCAACUAAGCAUCCAUCUACAAUCUUCUUCCCUGCCACCUUCAUUUUGUUUUUCAGGGACAUACUUCCUCUCCUUUCUCCACUCAAAGAUAUUUCCUGACAUUUUCGAAUCAGUUCUUCCGUAUCCAUUCUUAACAGACUGCUAGAUUACGAAUAGAACCGAAGCUGAAUCCAAGCCAAUGAACAGUUUGGAGGAAAGAAAAAACAGAUGAACGAAAAUGAAAAACACCCAACCUGUGUGGGCGAUGAAAUUAGCCUCCAAAGGCUCACUUUUCAACUCUCAUUCUUUUUCUCAGAGAGAAAAAGAAAAGGACUAAUAGCCAUGUAGUUAGUAUUGCUUUCUUUGCAUAUGUAUCAAUGUAUCUAGAGGGAAAGGGUAUUGUCUAAUGAUUUUAAAAACAACAUCUUAUACACAUAUACAUAAACAUAAAAUGACACUUAAAUCUCAUUUCUUUUUCAUGCAACAUACUUUAAAUCACUUUAUUCUCUUUAAAACCAUUACCAUGCAUUUACUCAAAAAUGAUAAUAAAAUCAUUAAUCAAACUCAUUUUUUAUAAUAAUAAAUAUCAGCAUGUAGACAAAAAUCCAUUUUCUAGAAAGUUAUUAAAUUCGAGUAUUAAAUACUUAUUUAUCAAACAUGUUGUACUGUAUCGUAAAAUCAUAAUAUAUUAUGAAAAUAUGUUUUGUAUAUUCCACUCACAGUGACGAUGUUCGAGCUCGGUAUCGUCAACGUCUGUGGGUUGAUUCUCGUUCAUGGAUCCUCCUAAUAUAAGGAAAUAACAUAAUCAUUCUCCGUAAAUAUGAAAUACAACUAAUUUUAUGCAAUAAAUCUCGAAACGAAUAUCUAUCUGUAAUAAACUAUUCCCGUAUGCAUAAAAUUACCAAAAUACCCCCUGCAUGCUAAAAUCACCAAAAUGCUCCCGAUAUCAAUAUUUACCAAAUUAUCCUCAUAAUCUUAAAUUACCAAGCUGACGUCAAUUCAGAUCACAAUGUUAGAAAUUACGAAAUUACCCUUAGAGUAUAAAAUUACCAAAAUGCCCUUAAUUACAUAAAUUACUGAAUUACCCCUGAAAUCUCAAAUUACCUAACUGCCCUAGUCCAAAAUUACUAAAGUAUCCACCAAUUUUGAAAAUCACAAAAUUAUCCCCCACAGUUUUGUGAACUUACCGAACUACUCCCGCCGGGUAACGGUGACUGGACUUCGGUCAACGGUGACGAGAAGCUCAGAUAUGAUAGUUAUGAUCUCAGUGAGUCCAAUGGCGCCGACGAUGACCACCCACGCUCGGCGACGGCGGUAGAUUGAGCUUCUCUAGCUGCCGGCUUUCCGGUGGUCGAUCGGUGGAAUUCCAGCCGUUUUAGGCAGCGAGUUUGGUUGGAAAAUGAUGAGGGUAAGCUGAGGAACAAGAUCCAAGCCGUGGCACGGCCUAAUUCCGGCGAAAUCAAUAGCGACGAAAACGAGUUGAGCUGCGGGUUUUUCAAGCUUGAUUGCCGGCAUUCUACCCAUUUUCCGAUGAGGUGGUCGGAAUUGGUGGCUGGAGUUGGGUCGGGUUGCGCGAGUUCGGGUCGAGUCAGGUCAAAUUCGGUCAGCUUCUCUCUUUCUCUCUCUCCCUCUCAUUUUCUCAAUUUAUACAACCAGCUCCCUUUUUUUUUCAAAGCUUAAUACAAAUUAAGCUAAUACCGAACCCAUAUUGAAAAUAAAAUCUGACUACCCGACCUUUUAAUCGCGCUCAAUUUGUCUUGAUUUAUUGUCGUGACAAAUUUAAAAUAAUCCAAACACAAUAUAUAUUAAUAAACAUGUAACAUUUAACAACCAUCCCCCAUAAUAUCCCAAAAAAAUUGAGUUGCAUCAACUUCACCGUAAAAAUUCGUAACAAGUUUGCUAAAUUUAAAAUUAAUGCCGAAGGAGAAAAAUUAAAUGAUAAAUUAAUUAGGAAAUUUAAAGUGCAUAUAUUACAAUAACAUUAAAAUAAAUGAAAUAAUAUAUACAUUUAAAAAGUAUUUUAAUAUUUAAAAAUUAUUUUAAUAUGGGAAAAUGACAAACACACCCCCAACGUUUAGGCAAAGGGACAAAAACUCCCCCUAACGUUUCAAAAAAGACAUUUACACCCCAAUUUAUUAUAAUUUUACCAUUAUACCCUUCUAGCAUAUAAAAAGAAUUAUUAGAUUAUCCAAUUUGUCUAUAUUGUUAAUAAAAUUAUAAAUAGACAAGUUGGAUAUUAUAAAAAAAAAAUUAUAAAUAUACCCUCAUUGCCCAAUUCCUCUAUUUAAAUUUUUAUCAAUAACCAAUUUUUAAAAAAAAAUCUAUACACCUAAAAAAAUUGUAAAUAAAUUAUAAUUUUAAAAAUAAAAUUGGUUAUUAAUAACCUUUGUAUAUUUAACAAUUCUCCACAUGUCAAUCAUUUAAACUUGUAUAUUUAUAACUAAUUUUCUAUGUUAUUUAUUAUGGUAUUAACAACCAAUUUUAUUUUUAAAAUUAUAAUUUAUUUACAAUUUUUUUUAAAUUUUGAAAAUUGGUUAUUGAUAAAAAAACAAUUAAAUAGAAGAAUGAGGCAAUGAUGGUAUAUUUAUAAUUUUAUUAACAAUAUAUAGACAAAUUAGAUAACUAAUAAUUUUUUUUAUAUGCUAGAAGGGUAUAGUGGUAAAAUUAUAAUAAAUUGGGGUGUAAAUAUUUUUUUUGAAACGUUGGGGGUGUGUUUGUCCUUUUCCCUUUUAAUAUUUACAAUCUAUUAGAUAUAUUUUAUUAUAUUAAAGCAAAUUUUUAAUAAUAAGUAGAAACAUAAUAUUGAACAUUAUGUACAAUUUUAACAUUAUUAAUAAAGAGAUUUUUGUUAAUUUUAAAAUCUAUUUAACUCAAAUAUUUAUUUAAAAUCUUUGUAAUAAAUUCAAAUAUAUUAUUAAAAUAAAUAAUACAAUAAUUUUAAAUUUAAUACUAUUUUAAAUGUCAAAAAUAAUUUAAUAAUACUACUCUACUAGAUAUAUUUUAUUAUUUUAUAUUAUUUUUGUAUUAAUUAAAAAUUUUAAAGUCAAAUUUUUAGUUACUAUAUUCAAAGCGUAUUAUGAUUAAAAAAGGAUCCUGGAGUCUAUCUAAUUAUUUUUUCAAAAUCUUAGGAGUGUAAGUGUCGAUUUUUCUUUUUUUUUUUUAUAUAAUUCUUUUCGUGCAAAAAUUAUAUUCACGUUUUUUUUAACUUCUCAUUAAUGCAUUUUCAUUGCCAGGGUUUCUGCGUUUUCAAUAAAAAAUCUAGUGAAGAAACUGGAAAAUGUUGGAGGAAACGCUAAUGCAUAAUACGUACAACCUAAUAAACAAGUUGUUGGAGCGUACGGCUAUAGCAAUUUGUUUAUGGUCAUCUGUGCUUCUGUAUACUAUUAGUAAAUCUAUUUUGCAAUGAACCCAAAUAAUCAAAUUGUCCCGUGGCACUUACGGUCCAUGGAUCUAAUAAUUUUUGCUUCUUUUUAUUUAUUUAUUUAUUGCAUAUCAUAACCUGUCAGUCUCAUAAUAUUGUCCAACAAGAUUGCCUUUUUGAAAAAUUUCACAUAAAUCGGACACGGAUGAUUAUGUUAUCCUUUAAUUUUUCUAACGAAUAUAAUUUUCACUGUCAUUUUGUGUUUUGGAUAGGUGGAAUGACAGUGACCUGACUGAAAAAUAUGUUAUCUGGACGACGAACGACCAAGUCAAGGUCUUUUAAGUGUACAGUCCAACUCCUUUUAAAUAGCAAUUGAAUUCUGCACUUUAAGCAAUAAGUUACUCGGCCAAAUUUGCAGAAAUAUUUCAAAGUUUAAUUCUUCACUUGGAUUUUUCAUUGCUGAUCAUGUAAGUUAGUUGUUAUUAUUAUUAUUAUUUUUUCACCAAGGUAACUCUUGUGCUUACACUUUUCGCGGAGCUAGUUCUAUUUUCUUAAUGUUCUAAUUUUCAAUGAAUGUAUUUGGACAAAGCCACGAACUUGUCUUUUAGAGGACUUAAAUUGUAUUAAUAUUGCUGAUAUAUUCCUUAUAAAUAAAAAAGAGCAAACAAAGUUCUUAUAAAAAACGCAAGGAUAGCAGACAGUGAUUUUAAUUUUUUUUUGUUGAUGUUAUCUCUAUUUUAAUAAUAGAUGAUUGAUUGAUUCAAUCUUCUUCUUGUCCAUAAUUAAAAUAACUACUUUCUACUUCCUAAACGAAUCUCUAAUCUGUCGAAAUGACUUUAUACACAUUUGUAGAAAUCAAUAUCUUGAUUAUUUGGUUGUCAAGUGUAUAUAAGUUAUACCGUCUGUUAGUUUUUUUUAAUUGGCAUGUUUGAUAUUUUUCAACCAAAAUUCCCCUUGAUUGGGAAAAUAAACCAUUUCCUGCUCAUGUUUUUUAAUCCUACUCCAAAAUUCUCAUCUUAUUUGGUGAAAAUUUUAUUUUUGGGAUUUAUACGUGCAACCUAAUCAAGAAGUUGUUGGAAUGUGCUUGUGUAUUAUUUUAAUAAAUCUAUUUUGCAAUAAACCCAAAUAGUCAAAUUCUUAAUUCUCCCGUGCUAUAUAUAUGGUCUGUGGAUAUAUUAAUGUUUGCUUCUUUUAAUUAAUUUAUUUAUCUUUUGCAUAUCAUAACCUCUCAGAUUACUGUCUAACAAGAUUGCCUUUAAGUUUGAAAUUUUUCACAUAAAUUGGACGCGGGUGAUUAUGGUGUCCUUUCAUUUUCUGACGAAUUAAUUUUCACUGUCAAUUUGUAGUUUGGCUAGCUGGAAUGACAGUGGCCUGACUGAAAAAUAUGUUAUCUGGACAAAGCCAUGAACUAGUCUUUUAAAGGACUUAAACUUGUAUUAAUAUUGCUGAUAAAUUCCCUAUAAAUCAAAAGAGCAAACAAAGUUCUUAUAAAAACUGCAAGGAUAGCAGACAGUGAUUUAUUUAUUUAUUUUUUGAUGUUAUCUCAAUUUUAAUAAUAGAUGAUUGAUUGAUUCAAUCUUCUUCUUGUCCAUAAUUAAGAUACCUACUUUCUACUUCCUAAAAAAAUCACUAAUCUGUCGAAAUAAGUUUAUACACAUUUGUAGAAAUCAAUAUCUUGGGAUUGUUGCUUGUUAAUUAUAUGUAAGUUAUACCAUUUGUAUGUUUUUUUUAAUCUGCUCGGCAUGUUUGAUAUUUUUCAACCGAAAUCCCCCUUGAUUGGGAAAAUGAACAAUUUCCUGCUCAUAUUUUGAAAUCCUACUCCAAAAUUCUCAUUUUAUUUGGUGAAAAUUUUCUUGAUGUUGAUAAACUUAUGUUAACUGUCAACUAAUGUUAAAUUAAGUCAAUUUGUUUUUCAACUAUCAGAUUUGGUAAUUUUCCCCUUUUUCCAGUGUAUGCAAAUCCACGACAACCACCCUACGCCUCCUUCCCUUAUUUUUCAAGGAAGUAUGUGAUUUUUUAAACUGGGUUUUGAUUGCUGGCAACUGUAAUAUGUUGGACUUCCGUAAUUGGCUUGUUUGUACUGUACAGAUAUAUAUGUAUUAAAAAAAAAAGGAAAAAAAAUGACAAAACCUUAACUUGCGUUUCGAUCAUAUCAGGUCUCAGGAUCCAGAAGCAGGUUCAAAAGAUAAACGAUAUUCUAAAGUGUAUGGUACUGGAACGACGUCGGCCGAUAAAGAACAACCUACAUGCUUAGGUUGCGUUAAAAAUCUUCUAGGUGUCAUACUUCUUUGUGUGGCGCUAUUAUGCUUUAUAAUAUUUGGUGGGACAAUAAUGCUAGUACUUUAUUACCUGUUGAUUACAAUGAUUGUGUUAUAUCAUGAAACCGGUAAAGCGAUAGCGAGAGCAAUACUCAGGAUUAAAACAAUCAAGGAUAAAGAAUAUAUUGAUGGUCUAAUGAAUGUGACUGCAAUGAUCCUUGAUGUGACUGCAAUCAUCCUUGAUCCUUUAUUCUUCUACAUUCUGGUGCUGGAUGAUGAAAAGAAAUGCAUUCACUGGGACAAAACCUUGGGGAUUACAGCUACCGUCAUCCGUUCCGUCCUCGAUUUCCUUAAGCUAGGCCAUUUUAUCUCUCACUCUAAGCUGCAUAUGGCAAAGGGGAACCAAAGAGAAAAAUUUAAGUAUUUGUGGGGGCAGUUAAAAAUUUUCAAGGUGUAAUUUACUUUCGCUAACUAGUUGUUUCUUCAACUUCCAUAAUUUAUAUAAAUAUAGUCUCCGUUAUCUUCUUUGCUCCCUACGAAGUAUUUGCUUUUUUUUUUUUUUUUGCCUUAAAAGGGAGAAGGAGAAGUACCUGAAGAUCCAAUGGGACGAAUGCGGAAGCUCUUCCUCAUUGACUGUUUGGCCAUCCUUCCCAUCCCCCAGGUAAAGGCACUAUCUAAUUUACAAUUACGUAAAUUCUGUUUAUUGACAUAUUAUGUAGUUCAAUCCUUCCCAUCCCCCAUGUGCAUAUCGUAAUAGUCUGCUUGAUUCCUGUCAUAUGUACAUCACAAAGUGGUUUUGAUUGUGAUAAAGAUAGAUCUUCAUACGAUUCAUGUCAAGGAUAAUGAUUUCAAUGUCAUUUUUCCCUUUACUUUGAUUAAAGUUGUAUUUAGACAUACAACCCUAAAUGUUUUGCAUGGAUAUUAGGGGUGGCAAUUUUCGCUAGUGAGUAGUGUUAAAUUUCAGCUAUGGGAAUUCGAUACUUUAUUAAUCUUGUUAAUAAUUUCAAACACCAACUCCACCUGUCUAUUAAUAAUUAUGUCACAUGCUUAAUAUGCUUUGAAAGUAUAUUUUUAAAUUUGACUUGUUUACAAGUUUUUAAGAUAUUUGUUUAAUUAAGAUAUUUAUAGUACUGCCUCUCAAAUUCAAAUCAAUUCUAGUCUUAAUAUAACUAGAUAAUUUUGAAAUAUAUACAAAUAGAAAGUAGUUCAAUUGUAUCCAAAAUCUAGUCGUACAACCAUUAUUGAUCAAAUAGUUAAUUAUGUCAUAAUUAAAUAGGCUCACGUGACAGUAACUUAAAACCUGAAGAAGUGAAGAGAACAAAAAAUAUUUGUGUUCCUUUUCACCAACGCGAACAAACUAUUAUUUUCAUGCCAUUGGAAUCAGUUUCGCAGGUCAUUUCAAAAUUUGUCAUCCCAGCUAUACCAUCAUUUUGCACAAAAAUAAAUAAUCAAUUUUGUUCAUAUUCAAUAUCCUUCAAAAUAUUUAUUUCCAUUAUUCCAUAUCAACUAAUAGGACAAACCGUCCAGGUUUUGGUGAUUUUUGGAAUAAGAGGCCCAGGAUUUUCGACGGCAAUGACCUUCUUUAUUUUACAAUAUUCGCUAAGGGUUAUUCGAACGUACUUUCUCUUCACACAUGCUACACGGGUUUCAGGGAUACUUGCCGAUGCUACAUGGGCCAUUUUUGCCUUCUAUCUUCUUCUUUAUCUGCAAAGCGGUCAUGUAAGUUCAAAGUAUCAUCAUUUUACCGAAAUAUUUUUUGGGAAAUUACAAUUUUUCCACCAUAUAGAUCGCCAAAUUAAAGGCCAAAAACAUUACAAAAUUUUGAAAUUUACAUUUUUAUUCAAGAAGUUUCCACAAACACCUAUUUAUAUUAAUUUUUUUGGAAUCAGAAAAGCAUGAACUACGAUAUUCAGUAUUUUGUAAUUUAGAAAAGCAUAUUCUAAUAAAACUAGAAUUUUAGCAACGCCCAGUUAUUACACAUAUAUACGCACAGUCAGUUAGCUUUUUUUUAUGUAAAUUUUAGAUAUUGGAAUUGUCGAUGUAUGAUUUUCCCUCUACUCUGCAAAUUAAUUUUUCUGCUAAGCUAUCUUUCAGAUGUUUGGAGCCUUAUGGUACUAUAAUGCCAUAGAAAAAGUGACUGAAUGCUGGAGGGAAGCCUGCAAAAAUCAUACCGGAUGCAGCGGUCAUAGUUAUUUUUCCUGUAAUAAAAGUUCCAGAGACUACAAUUUUCUAAAUGAUUUUUGCCGUAUAAGUACAGGAAGUACUACCAGCUAUAGUUUUGGAAUAUAUAAUGAUGCUCUUCAGUCUGGUAUUGUGGGGGAGACAGAUUUUCCUAAGAAAUUGAUACGUUGUCUACGAUGGGGCCUGCAAAAUCUCAGGUUUGCUGUUUUUUAUAUGGCUUGGAUAAUGAUUAUUGUGCAUGUGAUCAGGUCCGUUACAGGUUCUCUUAGUCCGGUGCAGGUUUAUUUUGUAGUUCUUUUCGCAUCCAUGUAUUUUUUUUUUCCCCAAUUCUCUUUUAUUCUUUUCUUUGUAGCUUUAUGCAUAUUGUAAGGGCUAAAUUUUAUUAAAACCCACUAAUUAGCCAAUGCAGACCAAGACAUUUUAUUGAAAGGGGCUACAUCUAAUAAUACCAACAAUAUACAUAACAUAAGGGAUUAAUUAAGUUUAAAUGAUAAAAUUAAGUAAUUUCAUAAUUUUUAUUAAAUUAAGAUGACAUGUGAAAGUAAAUGAGGGAUAUUUUUAUUAUUUUUGAAAGGUUUAACAAGGAGAUUAAAAAUACUGUUUAAUUUUUUUAUAAAUUCAGAAUAAUUGAGGGGUAUGUUUUUAGGGGUUUAUUUCAAACGAACUCUUUUAUUCAGCUCAAAUAUUAAAAAAAUCAUUGGGGGUUUAACUAAUAUUUUCUGCUAAGGUCUCGAAUGAAAUUUCAGAGGGGUUAUAUGAAACAUUUCUUUUCUAUCGGCUGGUCAUUAGGUAAGUUCAAUCUUGUUUAUUCUCAUAAAAAGAGUACGAAUGUUUGGGCCACGCACAUUAUUUAAAUAUGUAAUUAUGGGCUUUAGUUAGCUUACAUUAUUAUGUAAGUUUUAUAAUUUUUUUAUCUAAUGGUUGUGGGAAUAAUGUGAUUUUAUUACUUCAUAUUUUCAUAACUAUUGAAUUUUCAUCAAAUGACUAUGAAAAAAUUAUACAAUUUACGUAAUAAUGUAAGGUAACAAGCUCCCGCAAGUAUGUAAUACUUAUGAAAUGUAUUGAACUUUUUGCAGUGCAUUUGGUCAGAACCUCGAAUCAAGUAACGAUGUCGGGGAAAAUAUCUUUGCAAUUUGCAUGACCAACUACGGCGUAGUUCUGUUUGUCUUUUUAAUUGGAAGGAUGCAGGUAACAUACAUUUUCUGUUUCUUCUCGAUUUCUCAAUUAACUCUCUCCUCGAGCUCUUAAUUACCUUUGAUCCUUUUAAAUCUUGGAACACGAUAUACAUAAGUUUUAAUUAGAUUUGAAAACACACAAGUUAAUUAUUUAGGUCAAAUUAAUUAAUGGCUAGAUGUACAGACUGAAAUUGCAAGGUCACAGAAGAUAAACCAGAAGUGGCAGGUGAUCAGGCAGUCGAAACACUAUGCGGAUAUCUCUCGUGAUCAAAAUGUCCGAGGGCAGUUCAAGAAAGCCAAGCGUGAAAAAUUGGCAAACAAACAUGUUGAUGUUCGCAUAGAUAGUUUUAUAAGCGAUCUCUCCCUCGACGCUGAAAAACAAGUAAAACGCCAUAUGGGCCGAAAACUGCUCAGAAAAGUGAGUUUCUAUUUCUCUGGAUAAUAAUAAUCCUUAGCUACGUACCUGCCUCUUAUUAAUUAGUUAUUCAUCAGAAGAUGUCGAAGGGGGAAUUUUGUUAGAAUUUUUUUGUGUUGACGUCUUAUAGCAACAUCUAGAAUGAUUCUUCAUUGUAUGUCCUUGAUUGUUAGAAAAUUAAUGGCAAAUGAAUUAGUAAAUAUGAACCAUAUAGGAGCAACAAUACAUAUAAUGACACAAAAUUUUUGAAUGCUGUCAAGAGGGCACCGAAUACGAAAGCAUUUUUAUCUUAUUAUCAUUUUCUUCUUAGUAAACGAUAAUUAAGGAAAAGAGUAAUGACAAAGAGUACUGAUCUGGUCCAAGAUUUUGAAUCUUAUUAAAGUUUGAGAAAAUUAUUAAGUUAUAAGGUCUAAUAGUAUAACACCAUUACACUCUUAAACAUAAGUUUUCACAAGUACGCAGUAGAUGGUGAGAUAAUGUGUAAUUAAUAGUGUAAUUGAGUAAUGAUGCUUCUUGAUGAGCCAUCAUCAAAUGGGUGAUUUUGACAAAAGUUAUAGAAUUUAUGUAUUUCAAUAUUCUAUAACUUUAUAAUCGUUGUAUAUAUUUGUAUUGACUCUGAUUCUCCUUUAUCAAGGUAGAAGAAUUACUUAAUGUAUUUCAAUAUUCUAUAACUUUAUAAUCGUUGUAUAUAUUUGUACUGACUCUGAUUCUCAUAUAUCAAGGUAGAAGAAUUUCAAAAUUGGGAUGAGUUCUAUUUGGACUAUCUGUUUGGUUGUCUGAAGCCAGUCGUCUUUAGUGAAAGGACUGUAAUUAUUCAGGAGGGAGAUCCAAUUAAUGUGAUGACCUUUGUGUUGCAAGGCAAGACUUGGGCCUACUCCAACAGCUUGCCGAUCACUAGACAGAGACAUCAAGAAGAUUGUGAUGUUCGCCGAAAAGAACUCAUAGACUGGGCUAAGAAUGAAAACUCGUACCAGCAGCUCCCUAUCUCAGACAGAACCAUUCGAGCACUUACCGACGUUGAAGCCUUUACUCUUAAGGCUGAUGACGUGAAAUGUGCAUUACUUUUCCGUCUUGUUUCCAAAGAGGCAGCAACUCUCAUACAAUCAUUCUGGCGUUUCAGGAAGCACAAACAUGCAACGCCAAGAACAUGCAUGGUCGGCUGUUUCAGGACACAGGACAAAGUUGUACUGCAUUAGAUUAACUAUUUGGGAUUGGACUUGAAGUAUUUAUUACACUAAUAUAUCUGUUAUUUAUGUUUGGUGUUUCUGUUUAGGUAUCAGAAAUAAACUACUUCUGUUGAGUGACAUAGUAGACUAAGGGUGUUCAUAAUCCAAUUCGAUCCGCUUAAUCCGUCCGAUCCGCUCAAUUCGAUCCGUAUAAAUCCAAUCCGUGGAUUGGAUAUGGAUUGAAAAUUUAAAAAUCUGCAGUCGAUGGAUUGGAUAUGGAUUUACUUCUGUAAAUCCGCAGAAAUCCGUGAAUCCGUAAAAAAAAAAAAAAAAAAAAAAAAAAAAAAAAAUAUAUAUAUAUAUAUAUAUAUAUAUAUAUAUAUAAUUAAAAAAUUAUUAUAAAUUUAAUUAAAAAAAUUAUAAAUGUGACAUUACAUAGUUACAUAAGCACUAUAACAUAUUUUAGCCAUUACCCAAUAAUAAUAAAAAAUAAAAAAUAAUUAAAUAAUCAAAUAUACAAAUAUAACUUGUAAAAAUUGUAAAACAAAAUAAAAGCAAAGUCACACGCACUAGCAAAAGCAAAGUCACACGCACUACCAAAGCAAAGUAACAUAACGCCAAAUCACCAACAAUUUGCAAAGUCACCCAAAAGCAAAGUAACAUGAUGCCAAGUCACCAACAAUCUGCAAACCCUAAGCUUUCCCGCCGUCACACACACUAGCAACACUCAAUACUGAUUGGAUACACUCUCGACACGGAUUUGAAGGACAUCGGCCGCGCGAUUCCAGCGAGAGCAAGCCAUCUUCUUUCCCAAGUCCAUCGAGCCACUUCACAUUCAUUGGUUCCAGCUGAACAAUUUCACUAUCACAACCUUCAAGAUCGCCACCCGUAGGGCUUCUCCUGGUUCCCAUCGUGGACGGCUCCGUAAUCACCACUUUUCGACAGGCGCAACAGCCCUGGUGAAGGAUCAGACUGUAUUUGGUUUCCGAAACUUCGCCAUUUCAAUUAAUUGUGACUUUAUUUGAACAAUUAAUUAAUUUCGGUGUUAUGUUAACAUAUUAUUGUAACUUUAUUUGAACAAUUAAGCUUAGUGUGUUAUAUUUUGAAACUUUGAACGUAUUAUUGUAGCUUUGUUUGAAUAAUUAAUCUCGAUGUGUUAUAUUUUGAAACUUUAAAUGUAUUAUUUUAGCUUUAUUUAAAUAAUUAAUUUAUUUAAAUUUUAUUCAAUUUUAAAUUUAAUUGGUAGCAAAAUUAUUUUUAUUUUAGAUUUUUUUUAUUUCAUUAGUUGGAGAGAACUAAAAAUUUUUAAUUCAAAAACUAAUGCGUAAAAUGGUGGAUUGGAUAUAGAUUAAGUCAAAUCCGUAUCCGAUCCGCAGACGUAUGGAUUGGAUAUGGAUUGAGUCAAAUCCACAUCCAAUCUGUAGAUGUAUGGAUUGGAUUUGGAUUGAAUUUUAUCAAUCCAUGAAUUAGAUUGGAUUGAAAAAUUAUAAUCCGCAAAAUCAUGAAUCAGAUAUGGAUUGAUGUCCAAUCCGUAAAAUCCGAUCCGCGAACACUCCUAUAGUAGACUAUAAUUAUCUGGUACAUGGUUUUGGAUGAAAAUAGUGUAAGGGAAAAUAUCCACCGUCCACCCAUUUUUUACACCUUUUUUAAAAAUACACAAUUCCUUCAUUUUUUGGCUGGAAUCCACCUAAAGUUACAUUUUGUUUCAUUUUUCCACUUCCGUUUAAAAUCCGUUAACAAAACUAACGGAAACUUAAAAAAAUGACCAUUUUACCCCCAAAAUGAAAAUUACAAUUUCACUAUAAAAAUGCCAAAAAAAAAACCUGCAUAUGAUGGUUGUGGAAUUAAUUUCUUUAUUGACCAAUGGGAAAAAUAAUUAGAUUUAAUCUGAUUAUUUUUUGUAAUUUUUAAGGCGAAAUUAUAAUUUUCGUUUUGGGGGUAAAAUGGUCAUUUUUUUAAGUUUCCGUUAGUUUUGUUAACGGAUUUUAAACGGAAGUGGAAAAGUGAAACAAAAUGUAACUUUAGGUGGAUUCCAGCCACAAAAUGAAAGAAUUGUGUAUUUUUGAAAAAUGUGUAAAAAACGGGUGGACGGUGGAUAUUUUCCCAUAGUGUAAAUAGCAAUAGAACAACCCAUAGAUCACAGUCUAGGGAAUGAACAAAUGCACAAUUCCAGUCAAGUGAAUAAUCACAGGAUAUUUUCAUCAACUUUUAAUAAAUAUAAAAAUGAAAACUACGCAGAGAAUAUUCUUAAACACAAGUACUAUGACUGUGAUUAUCAAUAUUAAGCAAUCAACCUCGUACAAUCAUCAACUUGUGAUAAACUAUUCAUGCCAGUAACAUGACUAUCUUAUUAAUUUCAGUUCACUGCAAAGUGAAAAAAAAUUAAUCACAUCCUCUUCGACUAAAAUUGAAGUUAAUUCUUGGCUCCCUUCAACAAAUUUUCUUUUCUAGUACUCUACUAUUCACGUUCAUCUCAUAAAAGAUAUGUAGAGAUUGUCAAGUUAUGUAAUCAACUUGAGCAACAUCUUCCCAAGAUUACUGGAUUAGAUUUACAAGAUGAAUUAAAGAUGAUCUGAACUUACAAUGAUUUUAAACAACUCAAUAUCACAACGAACCAACAGUAAGCAAUUAAAGAAACUAAAAGAAACCCAAGAAUUAACUCAGACACAGCAAGUUACGUGGUUCAGUCAAUUCAUCAUUGACUUACAUCCACGGAGGAACAAAUUGACCAGCUUUAUUGAUUGAACCAAGUCUCUUUUACAACCAGAUUUACAGAGCCCUAAUCAAGGAACAAGAACACUAUGUUUACACAAGCUCUCUCUCUCCUGAAUCCUCUGAAAUCCUCUCGGUUUGUUACACCAGAAUUAGCUUCAGCUUCUGUGUUUAUAACAACCCAGAAGCAGCCCAAGCUGAGCACGUGAGCAGCAGAUGUCUUUAACGGCUUUUAACAGCCUUCUUACGUCAUUAAAAACUCACGCGCAUUGCUCGUCAUUAUUAUAACCCAAAGCGCUAGAGUCUUAUGUCGUUUCUCAAAGAGGUAUUAAGAUAUCCUGAAACGUAGAUUGCUGUGCCGUUUUCCUUUUGACAUCAAAUGCCAAAACGCAGAGCUUCCUGUCAUCUCCUUAAAUCUCUUUUUGAUUUGUUUCAUUCUGGUCCAACAUAACUCCACCUUGAAGCAAAUCAACCCUGAUCUAAUUUUCUCCUCGUCCCUCUGUAUAAUUAGAGGCUAUCAACACCAGCCAUGUUCAAGCAAGCUUUGAACUUGGCUGUAGGAACAACUUUAGUAAGUAUGUCUGCUGGGUUAUCAUCUGUGUGAACCUUUACCAUCUUGAUUACUCCUUUUGACACUUCAUUUAUGAUAAAGUGUAGUUUGACAUCAAUAUGUUUGGUUCUUUUAUGAUGAGCUGGGUUUUUGCUUAGGUAGAUGGCACUUGAGCUAUCACAGUGGACUUCAACUGUUUUCUGACUCAUCCCCAACUCUUCGAUCAUCCCUUUGAGCCAUAAAGCUUCUUUGACAGCUUCUAUGGCUGCUGUGUAUUCAGCUUCUGUUGUUGAUAGAGCAACAACAUGUUGGAGACUUGCCUUCCAGCUGAUGAUGCAUCCAUUGAGCAUAAACAAGUACCUUGUUAAUGAUCUUUUUCUGUCAUUGUCUCCAGCAAAGUCUGAGUCUACAUAACCCCAUAGGCCACUAUUUCUCCCUUCUGAUCUUCCAUACAGCAGUCCAAGUUUCUCAGUACCAUUCAGAUACCUUAGUAUCCACUUAACUGCUUGCCAAUGCUCAUUCCCAGGUGUUGCCAUAUACCUACUAACAAUGCUUAUAGCAUAAGAAAUAUCAGGUCUUGUUAAGACCAUGACAUACAUCAUACACCCUAUAACAUUAGCAUAUGGAAACUUUGCCAUUUCAUGUCUCUCUUCAUCUAUCUUAGCACAUUGCAGAUUGGAGAGCUUGAAAUGGGAGGCUAGUGGUGUCAAUACUGACUUACAGGCUGACAUCCCAAAUGUCUUAAUUAUCUUCUUCGCAUAGCCUCAUUGUGACAGAAACAUUGUGCCUUCCUUCUUGUUCCUCCUUAUAUCUAUGCCUAAGAUCUUCCUAGCACGUCCUAAAUCCUUCAUAUCAAAUUCUGAACUCAGUAGCUCUUUCAACGCUUCAAUCUCAUCCCUUACCUUACAAGCAAUUAACAUAUCAUCUACAUACAUCAACAAGUAUAUGUAGUGAUGUGUCCUAAGUAUCUUGUAGUAGACACAACAAUCGAAACUGCAUCUUUUGAAUCCAUUUGUUGUAAUGAACUCAUCAAACCUGAGGUACCAUUACCUUGGGGACUGUUUUAAACCAUACAAUGAUUUCUUUAGCAAACACACAUGUUCUGGUCUCUCUAGAUCUACAUACCCCUCUGGCUGAACUAUUAGAAUUUCUUCUUGUAAUAUUCCAUGAAGGAAUGCUAUUUUGACAUCGAGUUGAUCAAGCUCCAUGUCAUAAACUGUAGUCAUAGCUAGCAAUACUCUGAUUGAAGUAUGUCUAACUACUGGUGAAAAAACUUCUUUAAAUCAACCCCUUCCUUUUGAGUGUAGCCCUUAGCCACUAACCUAGCUUUGAAUCUCCUAAGUUCUGAAGCUGUCAGGCCAUCCUUAAUUCUAUAGAUCCAUUUACAACCAAUGAGUUUUCUUUUUUCAGGUUUUGUUACUUGCUCCCAGGUGUUGUUUUUAUAGAGGGAUGAUAUUUCUUCAUCCAUUGCCUGUUGCCAAUCAGUUUUGUAUGAGCUUUGCAUUGCUUCUUUAUAGCUCAUUGGUUCUUCUUCAUCAACCUCUUGUGAGGUGGCCAGUGCAUAUGCUAUAAGAUCUGCAUAGCCAAACCUCUUUGGGGGUCUUAUUACUCUUCUCUUUCUGUCUCUAGCUAGAUGAUAAUCUUCUAUAUGGGAGGGUUUUGGGUGUUCUGAGCUUGUAUCCCUAUCACCAGCAACUUCUUUAUCUGAAUCUACAGCUUCACCAGAGGUUUUCUUUGCUGGAUGUUUCACCUCAAACUGUAUAACAUCAUCAGUUUUAUUUUGAGGUUUAGCAUUUUCAACAGGUUUUUCCUCACUUAGCACCAUCUGCUCAUUAAACACACAUCUCUGCUGACUAUACAUUUUGGAGGGGCCAAGUUUGUGUACCAAAUCUUAUAGCCUUUUACCCCUUCUGGAUAACCUAUAAACAGCCCCUUUAGAGCUCUAGGUGCUAGCUUUCCUUGGUUUGUAUGUGCAUUGGCAGUGCAACCAAACACUUUCAGCUUGCUGUAAUCUUCUAGUUUACCACACCACUUCUCAUGUGGUGUUUUGAAGUCUAAGACUGGGGAAGGGCUCAAAUUUACUAGCAUGCAAGCUGUCAGUAGUGUUUUUGCCCAUAGCCCUUUAGGUAAAUAUGAUUAUAUCAUCAUGCAUCUUACCUUCUCCAUCAAAGUUCUGUUCAUUCUUUCAGCCAAGCCAUUCUGUUGUGGUGUUAGCCUCACUGUUUUGUGUCUAGCAAUGCCUUCUUUUGAGCAGUAUUCAUCAAACAUAUGAUUACAAUAUUCUAGUCCAUUGUCAGUUCUAAGAAACCUUCAGCUUCUUCCCUGUUUGAUUUUCAACAAGUGCUUUCCAUUCUUUAAACCUCUCAAACACCUAAUCUUUGGUUCUAAGUACAUACACCCAAACCUUUCUAGAGUAGUCAUCUAUUAUAGACAUAAAGAACCUAUUGCCUCCUAAAAAUGGAACCUGUGAAGGUCCCCACAGAUCUGUAUGCACAUAGUCCAGGAUACUUUUGGUUUUAUGGACAUAUUUCUUAAAGCUAGCUCGUAUGGAUUUCCCUAGAACACAAUCCUCACAGAAAUCUAGUUCUUCAAUCUUGUCACCCCCCAAAACCCCCUGCUUUUCUAAUUCUUUAAGACCCUUUAGGCUUAUGUGUCCCAAUCUUAAAUGCCAAAGCCUGGUAUUAUCAGCAUUGGUCUUGACAGACACAUUGGAUUCACUAGUCACUACUUCCCCAUCCAGGACAUAAACCCCAUUUCUCCUUGUGCCUUUCAUAAUCAAUGUUGAGCCAUUUAGGAUUCUUAAGUCACCACACUCUAAUUUUAUACUACACCCAAUUUGGUCAAGCAUCCCUAGAGAGAUUAAAUUCCUUUUAAGGUCUGGUACAUGCCUGACCUGUCUUAUUAGCCUCACAAUCCCAUCAUGUAGUUUUAUAUGUAUGUUUCCUAUCCCAAUGACCUUACACAUUGUAUUGUUUCCCAUCAUUACCCUUCCCCCAUCAUAUUCAUGGUAAUCUGAAAAGUAACUCUUUACAGGACUCAUAUGAAAAGUACAGCCAGAAUCAAGGAUCCACUUACCUAUCUGCACUUCAUCAGUUGCCACACACACUCCAGCUGAUUCAUAUCCCUCAUCUUCAACUAUUGCUGCAUCUCCAAUCUUUUGUUUAUUUUUAGGGCAAUCUUUCUUGAAGUGUCAUUCCUUGUGACACUGAAAACACUUCAAGUUCUUGUUUUUGUUCUUCCCCUUUCUUUGCUUCUUUUUCUUUCCAUCAGUUCUUUCAUUUCUUCCUUUCGCAGUUAAUCCCACUCCACUCUCUGUGUUAACUUGCUUUUCUUGUAGACCUCUGGUAUUCAAUGCAGCCUUAACCUCAUCUAGAGACAAGGUUUGUCUACCAUACAUUAAAGCAUCCACAAAAUUGGAGUAUGACUGUGGUAAUGAACUUAUCAGAAGUAGAGCUUUUCCUUCAUCAUUCAGGCCCUCAUCAAUGGUCUCCAAGGUGUCACAAACUUUGUUGAACUCAUCGAUAUGUUCAUCAAGAGAGGAUCUCGCAGCCAUCUUUAAUGAAAACAUCAUCUUCUUGAUAUAGAGCCUAUUUGCUAGUGACUUUGUCAUGUACAGAUUCUCAAGUUUAGCCCAUAGCUCUGCCACUGUUCUCUCCUUUGCCACUUCUCUAAUAACUGAGGCACUCAAACUCAGAAUUAUCGUGCUUCUUGCUUUCUUGUCGAUCUCAGCAGCCAGUUCUAGAGAUUUUGAUGAAGAUACCUCAUUCCCUUCUUUCUUGGUUGUUGGUUCUAUGGCUUCACCUAGGCCUUGAGUAAUUAACAAUGCCUCCAUUUUCACUUUCCACAUAUUGAAGUCGUUCUUCCCAUUAAACUUUUCAAGAUCAACUUUAGGAGCAGCCAUACUUGUAUCUGAUCAAGAAACCGAGCUCUGAUACCAAUUGUAGAGAUUGUCAAGUUAUGUAAUCAACUUGAGCAACCUCUUCCCAAGAUUACUGGAUUAGAUUUACAAGAUGAAUUAAAGAUGAUCUUAAUUUACAAUGAUUUUAAACAACUCAAUAUCACAACGAACCAACAGUAAGCAAUCAAAGAAACUAAAAGAAACCCAAGAAUUAACCCAGACACAGCAAGUUACGUGGUUCAGUCAAUUCAUCAUUGACUUACAUCCCCGGAGGAACAAAUUGACCAGCUUUAUUGAUUGAACCAAGUCUCUUUUACAAACAGAUUUACAGAGCCCUAAUCAAGGAACAAUAACACUUUGUUUACACAAGCUCUCUCUCUCCUGAAUCCUAUGAAAUCCUCUCGGUUUGUUACACCAGAAUCAGCUUCAGCUUCUGUGUUUAUAACAACCCAGAAGCAGCCCAAGCCGAGCACAUGAGCAGCAGAUGUCUUUAACAGCUUUUAACAGCCUUCUUACGUCAUUAAAAACUCACGCACAUUGCUCGUGAUUAUUAUAACCCAAAACGGUAGAGUCUUAGGUCGUUUCUCAAAGAGGUAUUAAGAUAUCCUGAAACGCAGAUUGCUGUGCCUUUUUCCUUUUGACAUCAAAUGCCAAAACGCAGAGCUUCCUGUCGUCUCCUUAAAUCUCUUUUUGAUUUGUUUCAUUCUGGUCCAACAAGAUCAAUUUAUUAGAAGACGAUAUUCCUCCAUCAAAUUGAAAGAGAAAUUGAAAAUAUCAAAAAGGGAACAGUAAGACGAUACUAUAUAUAUUAUCAUGAUAUUUUUGGUUUUUGUUUUGGAAAUGGAACAUCAUGAAACCGAGUAGAGGUGCACAAAAAUGGUGAAGAUAUAUUUCAGCUUCAUCGAUUGUCUCGAAUAAAAACAUCAAUGAUGUGUUAAACAAUUAACUCAAAAAUAGAUUGCUUACCUUAAAGGUGUGCCCAAAUUAUAAAUUUCAGUUUCGACUAUUGACCUUGGUUCGUAACGCGAUAAACUAAUCCGUGGCAUUUCACAUACCCAACAAUCUUGUAAGAAUUGGUUGAACUCUCAGAUCCCAUUCCACAACAUGCAAAACUCCCUGAUAUUGCCAAUGGCGGUGAUAUGAUUCAUUUAAAGGGUUCCCCUUGUUGCCACUUACCUUUAAAGAACAAUAAACUAUUGCCAAUGUUCUCGACACGGUUCCAUCACUCUGAAAAACGAACGCAUGUGAGCAAAACAAAGGCAGUCAAUUAUGUCACUCCAGUAUUCAGAGACAGAUCGCCGACUCAUAAGUGAUUUAGUGGGCAAUCCAAGAAAGAUGUCAUAGAUGAUAUAAUCAGAAAUUUCUUCCUCCAUCAGUUUUAUACAAUUUUUAACAUCCCUUUGAGAUUCUGGUCAAUUAAGAACUUAAUCAGUUCCUGCAUGUCAAAGUUGUUUGAGUGUCAUAAAACCUGUAGCGAAUCUACAUUUUCUGGGAAUAAUUUAAUAUAAAACUUAGCAGAAAGCUAAUACAAAUAUGCAGUUUUUAUUCGAACAAAAUUUAUGUGAACCAAGAAACAGAGCAUAACAGGGUAGCUGCAACUAAUAACACACAAAUUAACUCGUAAAAGUGACCUAACAAGCGUCAGAAUCAAUGGAUUAAAGCACUAAUCAGAGAUUGUGAACAAAACGUUUGUUUUAUAAUCAUGGAAAUUUGAGAUUACAUCAGCUAUAUGAUCCAUGAAAGAUAAGAAGCUUAAAGUGAGUUUAUGUAGCAUUGAUAGGCCUGUAUGGUGUCGCCAGCGCAGUGGCGUCGUCGGCGUGAGUGCGAGUGAAUUUUGGGAGACCUCCGGCUCCGGUUCCGUUGACUUUGCAUUAAAUUUGGUAAUAAUUUUUUUUUAAAAUUUAAAGUGUUAAAAUAUUCUAUUUAGCAGAAAAUAGAAACAAAUUGCGAAUGAGAUUAGAAUCCAAAUUUCAUUGCUAUCAUUUGAUAUAGAGGCAUUUCAAGUAAACUUUGGUCGUUUUUCAUUACCCAUGAGAGUGAGAACAGAGAACUCGAGUUAUCAUAUUGAAAAAUGGUAAUGAGACAGAAUUUAAAUCCUUACAAACCAAUAAUUAAUUAAUCGGUGUUAGUUUAUCGUGUUUGCGGCUAUAUUUUAUUGGAAACCUUAAAAAAGAAAUGGAAUCUUUCAGUUCAUAAUGUAUUAUUAUAUUUAUUCCACUCUUGUUUAUGACAAUUUGCAUCUGAGCCAGCUGGAAUGCUAUAGACUGAAAAAAUUAACAAUGUUUUCUGAGGAUGACUGACCAAGUCAAAGUCUUUGAGGCGCACAAUUAAUCUAACCGGGGCGAGCAGAAAUUUCUGUAUUUAUAAAAUUUUGAUUCACUAGUUUCAAGUGAAAGAAAUAUUAAAAUAUAUAUCAUUCGCAUUUAUGAUGGAGCCUCUAACGAUUAUUAAAUCAUUUUAAGCAUUUAUGUAUGACUAUUACAUUUAAUUAAUUGUAUUGCAUAAUUUGCAUAGGCUCCUCCACUUUGAGGCAGUUACUUGGGUUCAAAUUUGCAGUUGCAGAGCACCAAAGUUUGCUUUUUCGAUCUACUUGGAUUUUUCUUUGUUGAUCAUGUAAGUUAUACAUACAGCACUGCAAAAUGCCUCUACAAUAUUGCCAGUUUUCGUAUAACAUGUCCUUAGGAGGACUCUUGUGUACAUAAAUAUGUUGUUCGGUUAAUGUCGGUCUCGUUUAAUUGUAAUUCAUUGUAGAUCCAAAAUUGUAAACUAUUGUUUCUUUAGCCUGAACUUGUGAACCAACUGAUUUGAUCAUCAGGUCUCAAGACUUGGAAGCAGAGGAAGGUCUUAAAAGAAGGCUUCUGCACGGAGAUGGUAGGCCCAGUGAUGGAACAAAAAACUUAUCAGUUGUGUCCGUAACCGGAAGAUCCGGAACGCAAGCAGUAAAGACAAGUUUUCUUCAGCUGGAAAAGAUGAGAAAUUAUGCAGCAAAUUACAGAAUCGAUUUACCAUGGUAUGUGAUUUCAAUAUUAUGGGAUCCUUUGUACUUCUACACUCUGGUGAUCAAUGAUGAAAAGCAGUGCAUUGAAAUGGACUUUUCUUUGGCUUCCUUGGUGAUUGAACUCCGCUUCUACUUUGAUUUGGCCAAGUUGAUCCACAGUUCGUUUGUGAUUUGUGUUGAAUAUUUUGAAAAUAGAAAGAUAAGCGUGUGGCUGAUGUUCGCAUGGCUCAUUGACUUUGUGUCCAGUAUAAUAUUUACCCAGGUGCGUAAUGGAUCUGAAUUUAAUUUAUUUAGUUGUCUAAUAUUUCAAUAUCAUUUAUAUGAUUACUAAUACUUCAAAUUCAUAAAACAACAUCCAGAUGGUGGUGGGAAUAACGGACAUUCUGUACUCGAGGAAUUUCUUUCUGUUUCAAUAUUUGCUGAAGAUUAUUCGAACCUACCACCUGCUUACAGCAGCAACAGGGGUUUCAGGGAUAUUUGGUGAAUCUACAUGGGCCAUUGUUGCGUUCAAUGUUCUUCUUUACAUGCACGGCAGUUACGUAAGUCAAAAGUACUAUCAUUUAUGUAAGUUAAUUUAUAAUAAAACCCUUCUCAGGCAAAAAGAAAAAUUAUAAUAGAACCACAUUCAUGCAUCCUGCUUUCUUCCUUCCUAAUUUUGAUAAAUGAAUUCUUUUAGUCCUUAAGAUUCGAGUUAAUUAUUCAGUUACUACUGUCGCAUAUAUUGUCAGACAGAAGAAAUGACAAAGACAUUUUUGUGUAAUUCUUAAAAAUAUGGAGAUUAACUGAAUAAUUAACCCAAGCCCUCGUGAAUGAAGGGAAAUUGACACUCGAAGCUUUUCUACUUUCUCAACCGCGCAUGUUUCUAAUCGAGUGGUCCUUUAGGUAUUUGGUGCCUUGUGGUACUUUUUUGCCAUAAACAAAGCGACCGCAUGCUGGAUGGAUACCUGCAUGAAGAAUACUGGUUGCUGGGGCGUCUUAAACAUUGAUGCCUAUUGUGAGGGCCGUUCAGGAGACUAUAAGUUUCUAAACGAUGUUUGCUCUGUAAAGACGGGAAACUCAACAAACAAUUUUUAUGGCUUAUAUGGUGAUGCUUUUCAGUUAGGAAUUGUGGGGUUGACUGAUGUUCCAAUGAAAAUCUUGCUUUGUUUACUAUGGGGACUGCAAAAUCUCAGGUUUGUGCCUUGCAUUGUCGUUACUGUGUGAUGUGAGGUCAGCCGUUAAUAACUUCGAAAAUUGUGAGUUCAUUGAAUUGCUUUUUGCAGUGCUUUUGGUCAGAGCCUCCAACCAAGUAACGAUUUCUGGGAAAUUAUCUUCGCAAUUUGCAUGACCAACUAUGGCAUCGUUCUGUUUGUCUUCUUAAUUGGAAAGAUGCAGGUUCACAUAUAUAAAUUCUAUAUCGUAAUUGUUAUGACAUAUGAUGAUAUAAUAAAUUAUCAUGCGUUAAUUAAUGACCGGCAUCUUACCAUCUCGCUGUUACAUAAAGAAAUAUUUUAGGGCUGUGAGAAUGCCAUGUCAAUUAGAAUUAAUACAAACUUUGCAUCCCAAUUCCUUAUAAAAUUAGCGUUACUCAUAAUUUUCUGUUUACGUCUAUAGAUUUGAAGAUUGAUGCACAAUUCAAUUAUUGACUCUGUUUCAUUUGAAAUAUCUGAUACAUAAAUAUAUAUGCAGUCUGACACAGAAAGAUCACAAAAGAUCAAACAGAUGUGGGAGGAGAUAAAGCAAUGGCAGCACUUUAAGGAUAUAUCUAAUAAAGUUCAAGAUCAAAUAAGGAAAGACAAGCGCAACAACUGGGAAGAAACCAAAGGAGUUGACAUAGAUAAUUUGGUGAAUAAUCUCCCUAAGGACACUGGAAAAAAAAUAAAACGCGAUCUCGGCCGAAAGCUGCUCAAGAAUGUGAGUUCUCAUCAUCCCUCUUUAUAAUUAUAAUAAUUGAUCACUUUUCUAUCCUGCCCGCUCUGAAGUUCAAAUGUCUCGAUGUUUCAAUCAUUUUCAUUCUUAACCUGAUCGGGCGAGCCAAAUUAAUCCUUCGUUACAUUAAAAUUACAGAUUCGUCUUAUUUUCCCUCUUUGAUUGGUACUCCUUCUGAAUCCAAGCAUCGAACCUAAGUCAUACCUCAUUGAAGUUCAUGGGCUUAACUAACACAUGGUCAAAAGCUAGCUAGCUCGUAGUUAGGUUGAGAUUUGCCUCAAGGUUAAAUACUUUAUUCAUGAUUUACUCUUAGCUGACAUGCAAUGUUUUACAUACGCAGAGAGAUAGAGAUGGUCAUUCUCAAAUGCACGCCCUCAUUUUUUUUAAUACGAAUACUCUGUUAACAGAAUUAAUUUCCAAUAAAUUGUAAACCCAUAGCAUUAAAAAUUGACUUUAUUAAACCGCAUAGUUUAGAUAUGUGUCCGCAAGAAAAAAAAAAAGAGGGCACCCGCACUUAAGAAUGAUUAAUAUAUAAUAUGGACGCCCUCAUUUUUUUAAUCAGAAUAUACUUUUAAACUGUGCAGUUUAGGAGAGUUAAAGACUAACUCUCUUAAACCUCAUGAUUUAAAAGCGUUUUUGUAUGAAAAAAAUGAGCGCGCUCGCACCAAAAAAGAACUCUCGGGUGUGUGUGUGUGUAUAACUUUUUAUAAAUGUAUUUUUAAAGUCACAUGACGAGGUGGGCUUUCAUUCUUAUAACUAAUCUUUGUUAUCUCGAUUUACCCAUGUAAUGGUUGGAUAUAUUUAUACUGUAAUUCUCAUUCUUGGAUAUGUGUAAAUAUAUAUGAAGGUAAAAGAGUUUCAAAAUUGGAGCGAAACAUCAUUAGAGGAACUAUGUGAUUGUUUGAAGCCAGUGUUCUUUAUUGAACGUACUCGAAUAAUUCGAGUAGGAGAUCCAAUUGAUGAGAUGCUCUUCGUGUUGAAUGGCAAGCUUUGGACUUACUCAUAUGACUUCAUGAAUGUAACAACAACUGCCUCUAUGUUGAUCCAUCGUCGUAGCCGGGAGAAUCUUCUAGAAGAUGGUGAUUUUUGCGGACAAGAACUUAUAGCUUGGUCUCAAAAUGAAAGCUCAUCACCCCACCUCCCUAUCUCAACCAGAACCAUUCAGGCACUUACUAACGUUGAAGCUUUUACUCUUAUGGCCGACGACUUGAAACGUGUAUCAUUACUUCGACAUUUUGAUCGGGCAGCUCUUUUGUUACAAUCACGCUGGCGUUUCAAAAGGCUGUUGCGUGCUAGAAGGAAUCCAGAGAAACGAUCACGCCUGGAAUCACUAAUGUAUAAAUUUAUAUAGAGAAACAUAUAUACGUUUGUUGCAGCAUUAUAAUUAGUCCCGAUUAUGUAAAAGCAAGUACAGAAAGCCAUUUAAAUAUGGGAAACCAACGUGCUGUUGCUCAUACUACACUAGGGGUGGCAAAACGAAUUGGCAAAUCGAAUUCGUGUAGAAUCCUAAAUGAAUCAAAUCAAAAUUCGAUGGAUUCAAAUUCGAUUUGUUUAUUAAACGAAUCGUAAUCUCAUGAUUUGGACUCAAUUCGUUUAGUAAACGAAUAUUCAUUUACAAUUUAUUUACUAUAUAAAGUUAAAUUAAAUAAUAAAUAAUGAAAGUUUUUAAUAAAGAAUCCAAUGGAUUAAUUUAAAUUUAUUUAAAAUCUAAUCACAAAAUCGAUUCAUUACAACUAGAUCCAAGCAAAACACAAAUACAAUUCAAAAACAAGAAGCUGAAGAAACUCAAAGGCAUGAGGACGGACGAAGCUAACAGUCCAAUCAGUGGUGGGUGUGGCUAUUCGAGACCUUGUCACUACCGUAACCAAGAGAAGUGAAGCUUGCCGAAAAAUUUUAAGUGAGAGCACUGAUCUAAUUUUUGGGAGUGUUUGGUUUGGCUUUCGUUUGGGGGAAUGAAGAAAAGGGUCACCAAAUUCAAGUGAAACAAUGGAGGAAGGACAAUGAAGAGUGGAGCUAGGCUCAAUUGAUGAGUGAUGAUGCCCUUGCUUUCAUUUUCUUUUUUGGUUUGUUUUCAUUUCAUAAUUUCAAAACUAACCUUAUACCUUGAAAUGUUAAAACAGAUUUUUUUUUUAAUUUUAAUGAUAUAUAAGUUUUUUAUUAAAAUCUAUUAUACUAUUUGGUUACAACCUAUUUAAUAAAUGAAUUAUAAACGAAUAAAUGAAUUGUUGGCCUCAAACUCAUAUUCGAUUCGUUUAUUUAACAAAUCAAAUUGAAUUCACCCAUUAAUCAAAUGAAUCAAUUUUUUCAACUCAGACCAAUUUAAUUCAACUCAAAUGAAUCAAUUUUUAGAGUGGCUUGCCUACAACGUUUCUUUCUACAUUUUUUCCUACACCCAUUUUGUGCCCGAUCUAGCUGAAGUACUUCUGAUGAUGUGAAGGAUCCUGCACUUGAAGGAAGUCAAUCGGCCAAUUUUGCAGAAACCCUAAUUUUGAUUCUUCUACUUGGUUUCUAACAUUAUCGAUCAUGUAAGUAACUGAUCUAGGUAUUGGUACAUAAUAUUCGUCGAUUAAUUUUGCCCUUGUCAUUCCUUGAACAUUUUGAUAAACAUUUUGGUUAGUCUUUGUUUUAGCAGUUGGUUAAUGUCUUGUUUCUGUCUCCAAAAUGGCUUUUAGAAUGGUACUUCAGGUGUUUCUAACUUUACAGUGGAUGUAUUUGGGCAAAGCUACGAAUUGAUCUUAAAGGACACACACGCACACAUACAUCUUUAUUUUUGAACAUCCAAAAAAGUUCAAAUGAGUGGAAAGCAAGUGUGAUGAUCAAGAAGAAAUUAUUAUUACUUUUGAUGUUUUGUUAGUCUUCAAAACAGAUGAUAGGAUGAUUCAAUCUUUCUAAAGAAAAUGCAAAUGAUGAAACUUAUGUAUAUUUUUCAUUUUGGAUUCUUCUUAAUUACCCAUUGUUGAUCAUGUAAGUAAAUGUUGUUGUUUCCAACAUUGAUCAUGGAAUUUUGCCAACUUGACACUUUUUAAACAGUUUUUCUUUGCCUGGAUAACUUGAAGAAGGGUUAAAUGCUCUUUAUAUCUCUGCAAUUGAUACCGCUCCUUUUCGUUUUCUUAGAUACGCUUAGAUUUACAUUGGAAAUCCUUUUACCCCACUGGAUAAGAAGUUUUAUAAUUCAGCGAAAUUUCAUUGUGAUUUAUUUUAAAACCUUGUUUUGUUAAAGUUAAUUUGCAAGGGAGUCGUAAUUUUUUUUUUUUGAGUUUUUAAAUAUUGUUAAUUAUACUCAUCUUGAAAAAAUUAAAAUUUUUAAUACGAAUGUAAAAUGUCCAACUUUUUAUUUUUUUCAAAUUAAAUUUUCGUAAAUUUGUAUAUUUAUCAAAAAUAAAUUCUAACAAAUAAAAAAGUAAUUUAAAUUAUUUUUCUACUUAAUAACAGUUAUAUUCCUAGCAAAAAAUUAUUUUCUAUUAGGGAUCAAAUAUUUUCCUUUACGGAAAAUGAGUUUUACAUGAUUAAUAAUUAGAGUGAUAUAUAAAAACUAAUUCGUGAGCACAACAAACAUUUUCCAGUAUUUAAACAAUGAUUUUUUUAAAAUAAUAAUGAAAAAUCAUUCAUUCAUUUGAAUUAAGUCUAAAUCAGAGGCAAUGAAGUCUAAAAUAUUGAGAGGCAAUGAUGUUGACGUAUUUUACAAAGAUGCCAAGAGUAUUUGUCUGUUGAGCUACUACAAUGUUGUCAUAAAAUUUACGCAUUGCUAAAAAAUUCUAAUUACUCAUAACGUGUCUUGAUCAGGUCUAGGAACCCGCAAUUAGAGCAAGGCACAGCAGCACAAGCUCUCGGAGAAGAUAGUGAACCACCACGUAAAUGGCCAUUGUUCUUCUUGGUUGGCCAAAUUUUAUACUGGUUACUCUAUGUGACAUACAAAAUUUUAUACUGGUUGCUUUAUUUGACUGCCAUAAGUUUAUUCGGGUGUUUUGCUGGGAUGUUUGAAAGCAUAGGGUUGAUUGUGGCGGUAGUGAUAUUGGAUAUUUUGAGGCCGAUGAUAAAGUUGGCUAUCAAAAAAAAGAUUUUUCUUCUACUGUCUGUUAUUGCAAUUAUAUUGGAUCCUUUGUUCUUCUACAUUCCGGUCAUAAAUGAUGAAAAGAAGUGCAUUGAAAUGGACAAGAUUUUGGGAACUACAGCCAUUUCUCUUCGUUCGGUAAUCGAUUUAUUUAAGAUAAUUCAUUUUAUCUUUGAGCUGCUCACUAAAUUACCCGUAAAAGGAAGGAUGCGUGUGUGGUUGGUCUUUCUCAUUGACAUUUUGGCCAUUCUUCCCCUCCCUCAGGUAUGACAAACUAAAUAUCCGGAUACUUAAGCUAGCACAUUUGUUAUUUUAUGAACUAUGACAGCAAAUAUAUAAUGCUGUGCAAAUGAUAUUCGGUGCUAUGUCCAUUCAGGAGGAGAGAGUCUUUCAUGAUCCUAGAGCAUUUCUAAUUAUAUAUUCACCUACUUCCUACCACGUGUAUAAAUAUUAUUACAAUUGGUUGAAGCAUACACGUGCCAAAGAAUGAAUGAAAAAGAAGCAGUUCUACUACAGCACCCAAGACUUUUCCCCAUUAUUUAUAGCCACUUUCAAGGUUUAAAUUCUUUUUUAGUUCCGAAUGGUUUGGCCAAUUACCUAUUUAGUCCCCUUUUUUGGGGAAAUUAAUUAAAAUUAUCUAUUGUUACUCUUAUAGCUAUUAGAUCUAAUCUUUUAAGAGUAAAUUAAUAUUUUUAUCUGAUGUAAUUAAAAUUUAAACAAAUAUGACAUGUCACAGGUGAAAAGUAAAGAAUAAUUGAGUAGAAUUUAAUUGAUACAUACAUACAAUAAGUACAUUUUGGAUAAUUUUCUAAAAUACCAGGAUAAACUUUAGAGGCUAUAGUAGAAUUUACCUCAGUUUCAAGCUAUACAUUGUACAAAGGGUUCAUAGUCCGGAUUUUGAAAACGUGCAGUCAUAUACAGAGGGGAAUUCUCAUACUAUGCAUUGUAUGAGGUAUUUAAUUAUCUACAUAUAGUACUGACUACCACUCAAUUGUCCAGGUGCUUUUGAACUUACAAAAAGUAAGAGGCACGGAAUUUCUAUACGCAAUGAGCUUCUCCCUUGUAUGUUAGAAAAUUGGUGGGUGAAGCAGACACGCAGCUAAAGUAAAAUUGAUAGAAAAAUAAAGAACAAGCACAAAAGAAAAUACCAGAAAUUACGUGGUUCGGCUUUUAGCCUACGUCCACGGGCGAAGACAGAAAGAAAUAUUAUACUAGUGAAAAGGAGUUACAAGUAUUGUAGUAUUUUAGUUCACUACCCAAAACCCCAAUACACCCAAACUCUCAAAUCACUAAGCACACAAAAUUCUUUGCUCUUGCAAGAAUCACUUCUCACAACUCUCAAUUCUCUCUACAAAAUUGGAUGCAAAUGAAUUAGGGAGUUCUCCCUUUUAUAGCCAAAAAUGGUAAUUAAAAUAAUAUAUACAUAUUUCAAAUGUUGUUGCCAACUUCUUCUUUUUCUCCAUUUGGACGGCACCAUUUUCUUUGGCCGGCUGCACCAUUUUCUUUGGCCGGCUUGUCAAAGCCAACUUGAAUUUGCCUUGUGGCCACCGACUUUGACAUUUCUCCCACUUGGAGAUUUGAUUGAGAAGCAAUCAAUCUCCACAUCAUCCUUUCUGCUUCGCCAUAAUCAUGUUGCCUACGUUUCUGCUAGGCCACAAGAGGAUCUACUCCAGACAAACUUAUCAAUAUUUAUCGGCUUGGUCAAAACAUCUGCUAGGUUCUCUUUGGUAUGGAUUUUCUGCAAAUCCACACUUCCAUCUUCCACUACUUCACGAACGAAGUGAUACUGAACUCCUAUGUGCUUUGUCCUGGAAUGAAAGGCUGGAUUCCUUGCAAUGUGCAAGGCACUCUGACUGUCACAAAACACAAGAAUUUUCUGUUGUUUGUGCCCGAGCUCCUCCAAUAACCUUUGUAUCCAAAUAGCUUCCUUGCAAGCUUGUGUAGCUGCCAUGUAUUCUGCUUCUGUUGUAGAUAAAGCCACAACGGUCUGCAGUUUCGAAACCCAGCUUACAGCUGCUCCCGCAAGUGUAAACACAUAACCAGUAGUGGAUUUUCUUUUAUCAAGGUCUCCUGCAAAAUCUGAAUCCACAUAGCCCCUGACAGUAAACUCUGAUCCUCCAUAACAUAAUGCAACAUCAGAGGUUCCUCUGAUGUAUCUCAGAAUCCUCUUCACAGCUAUCCAAUGCUCUCCACCAGGAUUCGCCAUGUAUCGACUGACUGCUCCCACUGCUUGUGCAAUGUCCGGUCUAGUACAUAUCAUAGCGAACAUCAAACUUCCCACUGCUGAUGCAUACGGUACUCGAGACAUCUCCUUCCUCUCUGCUUCAUUACUAGGACACAUACUUGAGGAUAAUUUGAAAUUAACAGGAAGUGGGGUAGAAAUUGACUUACAAUCUUGCAUGUUGAAGCGUCGCAAGAUUUUCUUCAAGUAAUUCUUCUGCGAAAGCCAAAUCUUCCUGUUAUUUCUGUCUCGGUGAAUUUGCAUCCCUAGAAUCUUGUUUGCUGGUCCCAAGUCCUUCAUUUCAAACUCCCUGGCCAACUGUGCCUUCAAUUUUUGGAUUCGAUCUUUGUUGGGACCUGUUACCAACAUGUCGUCCACAUACAACAACAAAAUAAUGAAAUCAUUAUCUUCAAACCUCUUGUAAUAUGCACAAUGGUCUGAACUCAGUCUGUUGUAUCCAAGGCUCAUGAUGAAGGAAUCAAAUCUCUUAUACCAACACCUCGGCGCCUGUUUGAGACCGUAUAGAGAUUUGUUCAACCUGCAAACCAAGUUCUCCUUUCCUGUUUCUGCAAAACCUUCUGGUUGGAGCAUAUAUAUUUCUUCUUCAAGUUCUCCAUGAAGAAAUGCAGUUUUCACAUCUAACUGCUCAAGAUGUAGGUCAAAUGUAGCACACAUCGCCAAGACUAUUCUGACUGUUGUGAGUCGAACCACUGGAGAAAAUAUCUCGUUGAAGUCAAUACCUUCUUUCUGAGCAUAUCCUUUCACCACCAGUCUUGCACGAUACCGCUCCACUUGGUCAUUGCCAUCACGUUUGAUCUUGUAGACCCAUUUGUUUCCAAUGGCUUUUCUUCCACGUGGUAGUGGUACAAGUUCCCAUGUCUUGUUCUUGUGUAGAGUUUCAAUUUCUUCCUGCAUUGCUGUCAUCCACAAAGCAACAUCUGAGCUGUUUAAAGCUUCAUGGAAAGUUGAAGGCUCUCCAUCUUCUGUUAGAAGACAGUAUGCAACGUUGAUCUCUGUGACAUACUCCGAGUGCCACGCCGGCGGUCGUCUCUCACGAGUUGACCGACGAACUUCUGGAGCCUCAGACUCGACUGGUUCUUGUUCUUCGUGCUCUGGUGCUGCUUCCGAAGAAUCUGAAUCUUCUGGAUUAUUUUCUACAUAUACCGGCACAAUCUCUGACUUUUCUUUUACAUUGCCAUCAUCUCCAUCUUUCAUUUGCAGUUGAUCUUUUACAAAAAUAACAUCUCUGCUGAUGACGAUCUUGUGGGCAGUGGGGUCCCACAGACGAUACCCCUUUACUCCAUCAGCAUACCCUAAGAAGAUACAUCUUCUAGAUUUUGGAUCCAGCUUUGUUCUUUCUUGGGCAUUGUACAUCACGUACACAGGACAUCCAAAUGCAUGUAGGUAGGAAUAAUCAGCUGGCUUUCCAGUCCACAUCUCCAUCGCCGUCUUCAACCCAAUUGCUGUAGAUGGCGACCGAUUUACUAUAUAACAGGCAGUUUUGGCUGCUUCUGCCCAAAAUGAAUUGGGUAGACCAGCAGUCUUCAACAUAGCUCUUAUUCUUUCUGUAAGAGUUCUGUUCAUCCGCUCCGCCACUCCAUUUUGUUGAGGAGUGUAUGCCACCGUGAACUGCCUCUGAAUACCUUCUUGCUUACAGAAAGUAAGAAACUCGCCGUCUGUAUACUCUCCACCAUUAUCCGUCCUUAAGCACUUGAUCUUUUUACUAGAUUCAAGUUCCAACCGCGCUUUGUAUUCUUUAAACACAGGAAAUACAUCUGACUUUUUCUUAAUUGGAUACACCCAACAUCUUCUGGAAUAAUCAUCAAUGAAAGUCACCAUGUACUUUGCACCUCCCAUAGAUAUAUCCGGUGAUUCCCAAACAUCAGAAUGAAUCAAGUCUAGAAUGCAUUUACUUCUAGCAAUAGAUCUACUGAAUUUUAAUCUAUGCUGCUUACUUGUAACACAAUGCUCGCAAAAUGGUAAACUUACCGAUUUGAGCCCCGGAAGCAAUUUUCGCUCAGAGAGAAUCUUCAAGCCUUGUUCUGACAUGUGGCCAAGUUUGAAAUGCCACAUCAUCGUUGAUUCUUCUCCAUUUGAUGCGACACACGCAUCAGCCUCCUGUAGUGUUUCUCCUUUAAGCAUGAAUAAAUUAGCACCGAUCUUUUCUGCCUUCAUCAAUACAAGCGCACCUUUAACGAUCUUCAUUAUUCCAUUUUCCACAUGAGUUUUGAACCCAUGACUAUCCAUUUGUCCCAAAGACAAUAGAUUUUUCUUCAGGCCAUUGACAUGUCGUACCUCCCCAAUUGUGCGAAUUGUACCAUCAAACAUUUUUAUUUUGAUAGUACCAAUACCAGCGAUCUCCAAGGCAUGAUCAUCUCCCAUAUAUACAGAUCCUCCUGAGAUAGGUUCAUAUGUGUGGAACCAUUCUCUCUUAGAGGUCAUGUGCCAGGUAGCUCCUGAGUCUAUAAGCCAGACAUCAGAUAGUCGUUUUCUGCCUUCUGAAACAGUUGUUGCCUCGCUGUAGAGAAUUUCACCAUCAUCUGAGGUACUUGCUACACAACCCUGAGCAUUUGAUGACUCAGGUUCUUUGCCCUCUUUUCUCUUCUGGUUACUCCAACACUCUUUCUUGACGUGCCCUUUCUUACCACAGUUGUAGCAUUUAACAUUCUUCUUACUUCUGGAUUUUGAUCUACCAUGACUUUGACUCCCAUUGGGGCCACGUUCUGUUGAUCUCCCUCUCGUCACCGAUAGCGCCUCCGCUUGCUGCGAACUUGCUUGUCUGUUUUCUUUAUUUUUCCGCCUGCUCUCCUCAUUUAAUACGGAAGCUGCAACAUCGUCGAAAACUAGACUCUCCACUGGAUUGUUGUUCGUCAGGUUGAUGAUGAGUUGAUCAUACGAAUCUGGUAGACUUUGAAGUAGAAGCUCUGCACGUUCAUUUUCCUCUAUAUUAUGACCCAACGUUGUGAGUUGUGAAAAUAGAGUCUUCAAUGUGUUGAUGUGGUCGGUCACCAUUGUAGAUUCCGCCAUUCGAAGAGUAUAGAGUUUUCUCUUCAAGAAGAUUUUGUUGUGUAGUGACUUGGCCUCAUACAAUUUUGUGAGAGUAUCCCAUAUUUCCUUCGCCGUAUUUUUCUCUGCCACACUAGAUAAUACUCCGUCUGCAAGUGCCAAGUGUAGAUCAGAAAUGGCAUUGCCGUCUACCUCGUUCCACUUGUCAUCAGUUAUCUCCAUGGGCCUUUCUCCAAUUGCUGCCAAGCAAUUAUUUUUCCUCAAUACAGCUUUCAUCUUCAUUUUCCACAACGAAAAAUUAUUUCCGUUAAAUUUCUCAAUUUCAUACUUUGCCGCCAUUUUGUUGAUAAAUACUGCACACAAGCUAGUAUACCACCUUGAAUAGUUGUGAGUAUGUGUGAGAAUGCACACCAGGAAAGUUCCCAGGAAAGACUGGAGGGGUCACAAUGGUCCCACUUAAAACCCAGACUCCUUAAGCUCUUAUCACCUUUGUGACAGAACUUUCCUAGACAUGUACAGAACCACACAGUUGCUUUACUCACACCACUAUUCCCUGCUUUGCACCGCAAAAUUCUUGGAUUGCUUCCACCGUUUCACAUGAAUAGUACCGUAUACGUGAAUAGUACCGUAUACCGUAUACGUGAAUAAUACCGUAUACCGUAUACAUGAAUAGUACCGUAUACCGUAUACGUGAAUAGUGCCGUAUGCCGUAUACGUGAAUAGUGCCGUACGCCGUAUACGUGAAUAGUGUCGUAUGCCGUAUACGUGAAUACAUGAACAAUUCCUGACUCCAAAAAUACAACCAAUAGCUCUGAUACCACUGUUAGGUAAUUGGUGGGUGAAGCAGACACGCAGCUAAAGUAAAAUUGAUAGAAAAAUAAAGAACAAGCACAAAAGAAAAUACCAGAAAUUACGUGGUUCGGCUUUUAGCUUACGUCCACGGGCGAAGACAGAAAGAAAUAUUAUACUAGUGAAAAGGAGUUACAAGUAUUGUAGUAUUUUAGUUCACUACCCAAAACCCCAAUACACCCAAACUCUCAAAUCACUAAGCACACAAAAUUCUUUGCUCUUGCAAGAAUCACUUCUCACAACUCUCAAUUCUCUCUACAAAAUUGGAUGCAAAUGAAUUAGGGAGUUCUCCCUUUUAUAGCCAAAAAAUGGUAAUUAAAAUAAUAUAUACAUAUUUCAAAUGUUGUUGCCAACUUCUUCUUUUUCUCCAUUUGGACGGCACCAUUUUCUUUGGCCGGCUGCACCAUUUUCUUUGGCCGGCUUGUCAAAGCCAACUUGAAUUUGCCUUGUGGCCACCGACUUUGACAUUGUACAAUAUUUGUUGAGGGUUAUUCGAACCUACUACUUGUUUACAGAAGCAACAGGUGUUACAGGAAUACUUGCCGAAGCUACAUGGGCCAUUGUUGGGUUCAACAUUCUUCUUUAUAUGCAAGGCGGUCACGUAAGUUAUAAAAGACCAUUCAUUCAAUUUAAUUCCUAAGAUAUGCACGAGCCGAAUGAACAUAUCUUUAUGCAUACUUUAUAUUGUUGGCACUGGGACAUACAGUUAUUUCUGAAUCAUGCACCCUUUUCAGGUAUUUGGAGCCUUAUGGUACUUCUAUGCCAUCGGAAAAUUGACAGGAUGCUGGAAGAAAGCGUGCCAAAAUAAUAUUGGAUGUCAUCAUAGUUCGUUUUAUUGUGAAGACAUGAUCAGUACAAGAGAUUACACGUUUCUAAAUGAUUUUUGCAGUAUAAAGUCAGGAAAUACAUCAGAUUACAAUUUUGGAUUAUAUAAUGAUGCUCUUGAGUCUGGUAUUGUGGAGGUGACGAAUUUUCCAAAGAAAUUGUUACAUUGUUUACAAUGGGGCUUGCAAAAUCUCAGGUUUGAGCAUAAUCCAAACUUUCUCUUUGUGAUGUUAUGGUUGAAAAGAAUGAAACAAUAUUGGUUCAAAAAAAAUAAAAUACUUUGGUCACUCUUAGACACUAUUUUACCACUUAGGUCCCUGGUAAAAUUUUAAUAUCUUAUUUCAUACUAGAAUUGGAAUAAAAGUAUAGAAAAAAACACAUUGUUGAAAGUUAAACGUCACAUUUUAACAAAUAGAUUAAAUAACUUUAAUUUGCAUUGAUCUAAAAUAAUCAUGUUUAUUCUGGUAUUGUUUUCAAGGAGCAAAGUAUUACAUAUUCCCCUUUCGAGAAAACUGCCGAUUCUUUUGCAUAGGAGAGUGACUUUAAUCUUUUGUGUAUAUCAUUUCAAAUAAAGCGUAUAGAUUGAACCCUUUGCAGUGCUUUUGGUCAGAACCUCCAAACAAGCACCGAUAUCUGGGAAAACGUUUUUGCAAUUUGCAUGACCAACUUUGGUGUGGUACUGUUUGUCUUUUUAAUUGGGAAGAUGCAGGUUCGUAUACAUUUUCUAUUUCUUAUAUCUGAAUUUACCUCAAUUCCAAGUGUUAUAAUUAAUAUUGAAGUACAUUUGAAAUUAAUGGAUUGUAACUGCAGUCGGACACAGCAAGAUCACAUAAGAUAAAAAAGAAGUGGAAGGAGAUAAAGCAGUGGCCGAAUUUUGGGGAAAUUUCUUCUGAUCUAAAAGAGCAGGUGAGGACAUACAAGCGAGAGAAAUGGGAAGAAACCAAGCGUGUUGAUGUUGAUAAUUUGGUGAAUGAUCUUCCCCACGAACUUGGCAUCAAAAUAAAGCGCAAACUUUGCAUUAAACUAAUCAAGAAUGUGAGUUCCUAUUACUUCUUUAUCCAGUAAUAAGUCACUUGUGGUUUCUUUAUCUAUUGAAAAAAAAAAAGGAAAAGAAAAAAUGCUAGGCAACAGUUACGAGUUCAUUGCCACAAAAUUGCCACUCCUUGUUUAUUACAAGAAAUUGAAACAACAUUUGUUAUAUUCCGUUACCCUUACUAAUCGUUUGGAUGCAUCUAAUGUAAUUCUCAUUUUUUUGGUCCGUACCUAUCUAUGUACACAGGUAAAAGAGUUCGAAAAUUGGAAUAAAAAAUCAUUGGAGUUUCUGUGUGAAUUUCUGAAGCCAGUCUUCUUUAUUGAGCGUACACGCAUUAUUCGGGAGGGAGACCCAAUUGAAGAGAUGCUAUUUGUGCUGAAAGGCAAUCUCUGGACUUACACUUCCGGGAAUGUAGCAACAACUAGCAGCAAUAGUAGUCGUUAUGGAAAGAAUCGUUUGAAAGGUGGUGACUUUUUUGGAGAAGAACUUAUUGGUUGGGCUGAGAGUGAGCACUCUUCCAAUUUGCCUAGCUCAACCAGAACUAUUCAAGCGCUUAGUGAGGUUGAAGCCUUUGUUCUUAUGGCAGAUGACUUGAAACAUGUAUUCUUACUUAGACAUUGUGACCGGGCAGCUCUUUUGUUACAAUCACGCUGGCGUUUCAGAAAGCUUUUGCGUGAUAGGAGGGCUAAGCAAAAAUCAAUCUUGAGAAGAAUGCGGAAUUGCGCAGCAGUACUACAGACUAUAGAAUAACAAUUUGAGACUGGAUUUGAAAUUAUUAUUUGUAUGAAUACUACCAAAAUGAAAAUAGGUGGUAAAAGCUGAAAAAUUAAGGGGAAAAUUGUCGAUCUCCCUUGUUCGAUUAUGCAGUCAACAAGAUCAGAAACAGUAAUCGCCAAGUUCGAUUUGGAAAUCUUAUCCAACCAAUGGUACCUUUUUCUUUUUUCUUUUUUUCCCUGAAUCAAGGACUUCACGCUUCGUUGAUGGGGAUACCAUUCCUAAAAUUAAAAGAUAUUGACCAUUACUAUCUCAAACAACAAUUAAUUAUACAUUGCCAGCACGCAAAAAUGAGCGACAAACUUCUUCAUUAACUAAUCUAUUUGAACAACUGCAUUUCUAAGCAUAUAUAUGAUCAUUUCAGAUGAAAAUAGUUUAAAGUGGUUAUAGAAGAACCGGUAGAUCACAGUUGAGAGAGUGAAGCAGAUCAUCAGGGGGCAAUCUUAAGUGUGUCACGCGGGUAGAGUGAUGUUUUGCGAAUGUUGUUGAGAUCGCAGAAAAGCAUCACCACACUCUUCAAUCCCACUUCACAUCCACUAUGUCUCGAAAGGAAUCCAAUGAUAACAUAAAGCUAACAGUUUUUAGAGGACCACACUGUUUUUCUAUUUGCGUACAAAUGGACAGUGGUUUCAGAAUAACCUUAGCAUUGUCAAGUUUAACCAGAGAGCAUGGAAACCAAAGCCAGAUCAAAAUUCAAAACCACUAUGGAGGAUGUGCAUGGAUUAAUGUAAAAUACUAUAUUCAAUUUGAACGAUAAACACAGUACAAAUAAAAAUUAUUAGAUUCCAUCUUCUAUUCUAUAAUUUUUAAUUCUUGCACUUCUUUUUCUGGGAAUCAGAUUUUUCUGAUACAGAACGUGAACCAACAAAAGCCAAAUUUUAUGAUAUUUGAUAAAAGCAACUUCCAAAAUAUACCAUAACCAUACCCAAUUAUUUUUUGUAUAAUAAUAUUUAAGCUUUUAUAGACACAGAUCGAGCUGUUAUGCUCUCAGCAUAAUAGGCUUGCGGCACUUGAUCAAACGAGAAAAAUCAGGGUAACAAUACCUGAAAUAUUCAAAGAUAUUUUCUUUACAUCAAUGCCACCUGCCUGUGCACGCUCCACCAAGAACCCUGGCAUAUCAAUACGUUGAGCACCCGAAAUUAUCUCUUCACCUAAAGAGGAGGAACAGAUGCUCAAAAAUCCGGUCAAAUGAACAAUCACAUGAUAUUUUCAUCCAACAAGUAUGAAGGGUUGCAAUGAAAAGAAAAAUGAAAACCCGACAGAAAAUUCUUCAAGACAAGGAUUUUGAAUGUGGUUAUCAUUAUAAUUAAGCAGUCAACCUAAUACAACCUUCAACCAGAGGUGAAUUCAUUUACGCCAGUCACAUGACCACUCCUAUCAACACCACUGCAAAAAAAGCACAUCCCCUUCAUUAAUAAAUGAAGUUUUGUUCCUGCUUUACUUCACCAUUCAUUUUCAUUCUCAUAAAAGAGCAAUUUAUUGGAAUGCAACAUACCUCGAUUAAACUGAAAGAGGAUUAAGAUAAUUUAAAAAAUGAAAACUGCGAGACAAUGCGAGUAGUAUCAUGAUAAACUUAACUCCAGACGGACAUCCAUUUUUUAAUCGUAAUUAAUGAAACAAAUGUAGAUCGAGAUUUCCCCAAAACACCACCACAAAUACAAGUAUAUGUGCAUCCAAAAUGAAGAAGAAAUGUUUCAGCUUCAUACAUUACCUCGAAUAAAGACAUCAAAUUAGUGUCUGUAAAGAGCAUUGUCAGGAGGGGGCGCCAAACAGCCCAAGGAUAACGAUGGAGUAUAUAAAAUUCGGCGCCAUACCUACAAUAGGAAGCAACAAUCAGGCACGUAUUGAUGAUAUACAUAGAAAUUUAGGCUUAAAAAUGAGAAAACACUUGUCAUGAGCUAAGAGCAAUGAGGCUCUUAAUUGUUUCAAAAUUUGAAACUAAUAAUAGAUGUAUGUUAUACAAACAAAUUCAUACUUCAAUACUUGUAACAAAAAUCAAGUCAGUAAAUAUGGAACCUACUUAUCUCCGUUCCAUAGGUUUGGUUGUCUUUUUUUUUUUUAAUUAAUGUUCAGAAUCGAUUAAAAAGUUUUUUAAUUCGAGUUCUUGCUAAUUUCAUUUUUUGAUUCCAUUGUGAAAUUCAAUUUUCUUAUUUAAUUUUAUUCCGAUCCUAUCUACCCAUUCGAAUUUUGGUUGCUUAAUUGUUCAGGAUGUUGGAGUUGAGAAUGAUCCUCUUGAAGACUUGAAUACUGAGGCAGAGAGGAAGUUGAUCCAACUAUUUUCCUACGAUUCUUGGGAACAGUAGAUACUACUUUUAAAGUAUUCAACCUACUAAAUGAUUCCUCCACACUACUGUUACCCUUAAAAAUCAUCUAAUUAUUUAUUCAUACACUAAUCUAAAUAAUGGCGUGAUAAAUCAGAAACCUUUCUUCAUGAAACAUGAACUGAGGGGAUGAAAGAAAUUAAGUUACCUUGAGCAUUUGAAUCCCUUUUCCGAAUGUAAGACAAAGAGUCUUUGCCUUGUACUGCAACAUUUAGAAAAUGCCACAAUCAGGUUCAAGAAUAGAGAAAAGUUGAGGUGAUAUAUAAUUUUCCAUAUUCCAAAUAUAUCUAAACUAUACAAGCACUUCAAAAAUUAUUAUGAUAACAGAAUUUUAAGAACAAUUCAAAAUAAAUAAUGACCUUCAGAGGUUCAAACGUACACUGAUUCGCCACAUAUUCAACUUCCUUGUUGCACCUCUCAUUCAAAUCAUCAAAAAUUGUGACAAAUAAGCGGUCCACAAUAUCCAUCACCUGUAUUCAGGUGUCAUUGAAAAAUCAACCAAUAAACCCCUCCAGCUAUACCUCCGAAUAAUGCUUCUUAAUCUCCAUUUCAACAUCAAGACCGGUAAAUUAACUCACACAAAUGCCUAUGAGUGUACGAGUCCUCUGGUCUAAAAACAGAACCGGUCUCAAAAACCCGCCCAAAAUCACCGCAUAUCGAUAUUUGCUUGUGACCUUCACUUGAACCAGCUAUCAGUUUUGGCAUGUGGAUCUCAACAAAAUCCUCAGAAAACAAGAAUUGUCUGAAUAUCUGUACAUUGAUGCAAUCAUUAAGGACCAACUCAAGGCCUUACUCAUAUUCCAAUCCAAGCUGGUUAAUGGGUUAAGGUUACUUAAACAUUUUAUAUUUUUGUCUAUUCUAAGAUAAUGUUGAAUAUUAUAUAUAUAAGAAAUUUUUUGUCUAUUCUUAUACAAAUUCUUGGCGGGAAUUUAACAAACUUCAAGCCUAAUAACACUUUGCAUAACAACAUGACAGCUUGGCAGUUGACUAAGCACUCUGCUUACAUGGCAAUAUGACUCAGCAGUUUACAUAGCAAUUUGGCUCAACAUAUAUACUCUUAACAGAACCAAAUAAAUAUUAACACGCGUCUCGGCGCAUACCUUGCAUAUCAUCACAUUUAUAUAUGUACGAUGAUAUCACCGCCACCUAAAUUUCUCAUUUAUUAUAUUUGAUUAUUUUCUUUUUUAUUUCAUUGAUUUUCUCGUAUAAAAGUAGAUUUACUACGAUUUACCAUUUUGUUGUUGUGCAAUGGUCACCCUUUUUGUUUGAGCUGCCUAUUGAUGUGUUGCUUUUAGAAAAACUCUCAGAAUAGCUUUACAUUAUACUUUUCUAAUUUGCAAUGAAUGCAUCCAGGAGUAUAGGAAAGAAAGAAAUAAAGGGGGAAAAAAAAAAGGAAAGAAAGAAAUACUCCCCGUGUAUCACCUAAACUAGUUUUAAAACUUCUUGAAUUGGACAAGAAUAAGUUGGCUGACAAACUUUCCUAACUUCUCACAACUUUUAUUAUUGUUACCUUAUAUUUUCAUAAUCGUUAGAUUUUUAUACUUGAAUUGGUACCAAUCUCUCUUUUAUCAAAUUUAAACAGAGAUAAUUGAUUGAAUGAUUCAGUCUCCGUCGUCCAAAAGAAUUUUUCUUAUCUACAACGUUCUUAUUUGCUCAAACAGAUGGAAUCCAGAAAACUCAUCCAUUUGAUUCUCUUCAAUUGAAAACUCAUCACUUCCUGCAUGUAAGAGCAAUUUGAGUGCCAUAAAGCCUGUAGUGAAUCUACGUAUUUAGGGAAUAAUUUAAAUAGAAAAGUUAACAUGAAGCUCAUACCCUAAUAAAAAGCUACUCUUAAAAUAACAUGAAUCAAGAAACAGAGCAAAACAGAGUAGCUACUAAGAAGAACACCCAAAUUAACUCCUAAAAUUGACCAAACAUAACAAGCAUCAAAUCAAAGCAUUAAAGCACUAAUCAGAGACUUUACACUAAAUUGUUUGUUUUUAAAUAAUGGGAUUUCAAGAUUAUACUUAAAAAGACCUCUUUUUUUUUCUUUUUUUUUUUGGGAAGAGAAAAAUCAUCUGCAUGGUUGAAGGAUCAGAAGCUCAUGGAUGGAACCAAUUUGCUUCAUUAAACCCAAAACGGUGUUUCCCGAAGUCGUUUCACCAUGCAAUACCAUCCAGUACGCAUCAAACGGCCGCAACUCAUGUCGUUUAGCUUAAGUGUCUUAAGCCCAAAAGGCGACACUCGAUGUCGUUUUGCUUAUUUCUGAUUUGCUUCACCCGUCACACAACAUGCAGUGUAGAUGCUGUUUUAACUUUUGAAUUUUAUAUGAUUUUAUUUUGUCUUCUUAAAAGAUAUCUUUUAGAACUGAAGGGCACUUUCGAUGUUUCUUAUUUAUUUUACAGUGACCUCUUCUGGCUCUUUCUGCUGAGGGAGGGUACAAACAAUGAAUCAUCAUCAGAUUAAUCAAAAUAUAACCCCACUCAUAAAAUAAAAAUUAUAAAACGUCUCUUCAGAUGAUUUGAGUCACACACAUCAACAAUCAGAAAUCGUUAACUAAGUAUACAAUUUCUUUUUGGACUCGUUUUUUCCCCAUUGUUGAUCAUGUAAGUUACUGCUAUAUAUGUUGUUUUGAUGAGUAAUUAAUGAUCAUGGAAUUUACUUAAUUUGCCAACUUAAAUCAAUCAUUAGUCUUAAACUUUUCCGUAACAAAACCCUGAAUUUAUAUUUUGAUCAGGAAUCAGGAUUCGCAAUUAGAGGAAGGUGCAGCAGGGCAAGUUCCUGGAGAACGAAUUAGCAGUGUUUAUGGAACUUUCUCCCUAAUAUUGGCUACAUUUUACUAUUUUUAGCAAUCGUCCUUAUAAGUGCAUUGAAAUAGACAAAAUUUUGGGAAACAAUGCAGCUUUUUUUCGUUCUGUGUUUGAUUUGCUCAAGAUACUUAAUUCAUUUUACCUUUGAGUUGCGUAAUUAUCAAUUUCGUUUUGAAGGAAGGAAAAGUUUGUGGCGCUGGCUGCUCUUCUACAUUGACAUUUUGGCCGCUGAUCUUCCCCUCCCUCAGGUAAGUCACAUCACGUAUUAUUAAUUUUAUCUUAAACCUUUAAAGUUUAUCGAACUGAAUGUGGUUAUUUAAUUACUUAGAUUUUCUCACAUUUGAUUAUUCCAGGUGCUGGUGAUCUCUCAAAGAAUGAGAGGCACAGAGUUUUUGUAUGCAAUGAUAUUCUCACUUCUGUAAUAUUUGCUAAGGGUUAUUCGAGCAUACAGCGUGUUUUCGGAGGCAAAAUUGGGCUCAGAAAUACUCGCUGAAGCUACAUGGGCCAUUAUUGGCUUCAAUAUUCUUCUGUACAAGAAAGGAGGUCAUGUGAGUUGAUAAAGCACCAUUCAUGUAAGUCCAUUUAUAUUGACUUAUAUGCACAAGCCUUUAAUACAAACAGCAUUAUUGUAAUACAAAUUUGUUUAGAAAUCCAUGGCCUAUAAUACACCAUUUAUGUCCUAGACUUACUUGUCAACCUUGCAAAAUUCUUGUGCUUGGCAACUGGUUUUGUUGAUGUCGUAAUCCGGAUGAGUUGGUUAGUGACUCGAUCUUAGAUCCCUACAUCAGCAUUAAAUUUGUUUGGUGGGAAGCUGCUGGUUGAUCUCCAAGAAGAUCUUCCGACUAUGAGCAGAACAUUCAUGAGUUGUUGAUCAGUGAGCACCGAGAGCAAAUAAUUGAUGAGCAAACGACCAAUGAGCAGAUGAUCCAUGAGUAGAUAAUCCGCGAGCCUGCGAGCACAAAGAACAGUCAGGGGGGGGGGCGGAAGAUUUCUAGCGUAAACCCUCCGACACUCAAGUCAGCGAUUUGGGUCUACUUGGAAAAACUCAUACCACAAUUCACAUGGUUUAAUUAUGAUUGUUUUAAACAAAAAGCUUUUAAGUAAAUUUAAAAGAAAAUAAUUGAAAAUAAUUAAUCUUAAAGAAAUCAUAAGCAAAAGAGAAAUUUCCUAGUGGUAGAGAGAGAAAAAGAUUCAAUGGAUUCAGUCACCCAAAGGGAUAGAGGAAAAGAAUCCCCCAUUUCCCCCAUUUUCCCAGGAUUUUUAUAGGAAAUUAUAGCAGUUUUUUCUACAGAGGAUGUAAGUGAGGAAUUUAUGAAACUUUUUGAUAAAAAGAAUUAUCUAGGAUAAGCAAUUGAGUAGAAUUCUUUUACAGUGCAUUUUUGCAAUUCACAUAACCAACGUAGGGGUGGUGCUGUUUGUGUUUUUAAUCGGCAAGAUGCAGUUUGACACAGCAAGAUCACAGAAGAUAAGACAGAAGUGGAAGGAGAUGAAGCAAUGGCCAAAUUUUGAGUAUAUUUCUUCUGAUGUGCGGGGGGCAGUUAAGGAAAUACAAGCUAUACAAAUGGCAAGAAACCAAACGUGUUCGUGUUGAUAAUUUGGUGAAUGAUCUUCCUGACGAACUUGGCAACAAAAUAAAAUGUCUGCAUUAAACUGCUCAAGAAUGUGACGUUGAACUAUUCAAUCACUCAGUGACGUUGAAGCCUUUACUCUUAUGGCUGAUGACUUUAAACAUGUAUUAUCUACCAUUCACACAUUUCGAUCCGACCGCUCUUUUGUUACAAUCAUACCGGCGUUUUGGGAAGCUUUUACUUGAUAGAAGGAAGGCUAAACAAAGAUAAUAAACAAAGUGUGAUACAACUCUGCAACUCAGAGUUUAUAUCACAUAGCUACACUUUUUGGAGUAAGUGCUGACUCCCGCAAAAAGAAUUGAAAUUAAUGGAGAAACAGAGAUUGCAGGAGAAGAUGGAGAGAGAAGAAGAAAUAUUUUCCAUUUCCUUGCUUUCUAUGACGUGUUCCCCUCUACAUAUAUCUUUUACCCCUCAACAUUACACGUGUAACUAACCAACAAAUGAAUGAUUCAAAGAAAAAACAGUCACAACAAAAUAACAAAAUCACAGCUGCCAUCUUUUCCACUCUCUUUGUGCCUUCUCGAAUAUUCCUUAGGUAAUGUAAUCUUUGAGGUAUGUUGGUGCCCUGCGCAUACGAACUGGACCUUUUGUGUGCUCCUCAACCAGCUGGGCUUCUUUCUCUGUUUCCCAUGCUGACUUGUCAUUAAUCUCGGGCAAGGUUGUAUCAUUCCCCAUCCCUUGAAAAUUUACCUUGUCCUCAAGGUGAAGCUCGGGAUAUAGCUUGUAAAACUCAUCAUAAGCCUCUCCCAGGACAUACUCAUCAUUAGUACCCAUCAACAACAAGAAUUUGCUGCGGCAGCGAUGGUUUGCACUAUAUUUCUGAUCACAAUUAUAACAUAACCCUUUUUCUCUUUUAUCCCGUAACUCAGCUGGAGUAAGUCGACGGAUUGGUAAAUUUAGGGUUGGUAAUAAUGGAGGUUGAGAUGGUGGUUUUGGUGUAGUAAUAACAGGGGCAGCAAGAGUAUUGGUAUUUUGAAAAGUGGAAGAGUUUGAUAAAACAGGGGAAAAAUUUUGUGGAGCUUGCGGUGUAGUAGGAGACCACUUUGACCAAGAACGACUGGUUGUUUUAGCUUAAUCAGAUCUAGCCUCAUAAGCUCUAGCAAGAGCAAAGGCUUCCAUGAGCGAAGUAGGUCGAGUAAACAACAACUCAUGACGGGUAUCAGGUUUUAAACCCGUGAUAAAGAAACUAAUUAACAAAGGCUCAGAUAUACCAGUAAUUUUGUUCAUUAAGUCUUCAAAAGCAGACUGAAAUUCGGCAACUGUGGUGGUCUGUGUUAACUUUGAAAGAUUCCCUUGAUGGUCUUCAUACAUGGAAGCUCCAAAGCGGCUCUUAAGACUGACCAAAAAACUUCACCAUGUGGUUAAGAGAUUGUUAGCUUUCAUCCAUUGAUACAAAGCAGCAGCUCUCCCUUCCAUGUGAAACGAUGCAAUGCAAAGACACAAAUUAUCUGGGGUCCCAUGGAGGUCAAAAAACUCGUUGAUGCGAAAAUCCCACCCGGUCGGAUUAGAGCCGUCAAACUUGGGAAUGUCCAUUUUCAUGGAACGUAAAAGCGGGGAAAAAUCUGUGCCCCCAGCAGAACCCUUUGUAAACGCUGACAUCAACUCCGAUGGUCGUGAAGGGCCACUCAAAACGCCGACAGACCCACGGAUUUGAGAUUGUAAUUCCUCAAAACGGGAAUCUACAGUGGACAUGUAUUGUUGUAAGGUCUGAUGCACAGAGAGUGUUUGCUUCUCAAGGAGCUCCUUCAUGGCGGAAAGAACUCCAGAAUCAAUCGUCUUUGUUGUCUCGGUCAUGGUGGAUUUUUUUUUUUUUGAAGAAGAAGAAGAAGGAGAAGAAGGCAAUGAAAGCACCAAUUGAUACAACUCUGCAACUCAGAGUUUAUAUCACAUAGCUACACUUUUUGGAGUAAGUGCUGACUCCCGCAAAAAGAAUUGAAAUUAAUGGAGAAACAGAGAUUGCAGGAGAAGACGGAGAGAGAAGAAGAAAUAUUUUCCAUUUCCUUGCUUUCUAUGACGUGUUCCCCUCUACAUAUAUCUUUUACCCCUCAACAUUACACGUGUAACUAACCAACAAAUGAAUGAUUCAAAGAAAAAACAGUCACAACAAAAUAACAAAAUCACAGCUGCCAUCUUUUCCACUCUCUUUGUGCCUUCUCGAAUAUUCCUUAGGUAAUGUAAUCUUUGAGGUAUGUUGGUGCCCUGCGCAUACGAACUGGACCUUUUGUGUGCUCCUCAACCAGCUGGGCUUCUUUCUCUGUUUCCCAUGUUGACUUGUCAUUAAUCUCGGGCAAGGUUGUAUCAAAGUGGGACAUGUAACAACGACACAAUACAAGAAAAUUUAACGGUACUUGUGACUAAAUCAUUGAUGACAAACUGUUUAUUCUUUAUAUUUACAUGUGAAACCGCAGAAAAGGGCCAAAUUUGUAGUUUGAAAUUUUACAUUUGAUUUUGUCGUCAAUUGAUGAGCUCAUAGCGACAUUAAUUUAUUGAAUGAUAAAAUAAUAAUUUUGUAUUCAGUAAACCUAUGAAAUAUGACUUAAAUUGAAAUUUUGAGAUCUUAAUACAUUGGAGUUGCAUUGAGUUGGGAGACGAACUUUGACUCUAAAUGUGAUAGCCCUUAAUGUGUCAUUUAUUUAUUAAAUUUGUUAAUGGUAUGAUAUUAUCUCAUUAGGACAGAAAUAUUAAAUUGCAAUGAGUCUAGUCAAUUGAGAAAACAAUUUUUGCGCGAGUAUUCUCAAUUUCCAAUAUAAAAAUUGCAAGACAAAAUUAAAAAGGAGAAUGAUACUUUAUACCUGUUUAGAAGCCAUUGGUUAUUUGGUCAUAUUCAAAACCUGUUUUAACCACGUAAGUCCAUGAUAAAAGUUACGAGACAAAAUUAAAAAGGGGAAUGAUACUUUAUACCUGUUUAGAAGCCAUUGGAUAUUUUGGUCAUAUUCAAAACCUGUUUUAACCACGUACGUAAGUCCAUGAUAAAAGUUUAAAAUACCUUUUGUGGAAAGGAUAAGUAUGAUAUUUUUAAUACAUAAAUUAAUAAAUAGAUCUAUUUAGUAAAUAUAUAUAUUUUUGAUACACUGAUAUAUUAUAAUUUUAAUAUUUAUAAUUAGAAAUUUGUUUGGAUUUAUCCUGAAUAAUUCUAUUACACCACAACUCGAAUAUCAAUCCUCACUAAACUGAAAGAAGAUUUGCCCUCACUAUUAAUUUAUACUCGGAACAAUUGUAUAUAAACAAAGGUUCACUUCCAGUUUCAUCUAAAGUGGAUUAAGCACAACAAACCAAUACAAUCCUCACUAUCUUUACGUUUUUGAAAUUAAAUACAAAUAUUCCAAUUGUUACUGUGAAAAUGUGAUAUUUUCAGCACUACAGCUACCACUUUAUUGCUUAUCGGAUCCGCAAGGAACUGAUGUGGUCCAAUCGUGUUCCGAUCGUAUUGGUUGCCGUCAUAAUCUGAUCACAUUUAGAUAACUUUUCAGUUUUGUCCAGGAGAAAGGCUGUCAAUUAUGUCUCCCUAAGAAAGACGUCACAUAGAUGAUGUAAUCGGAUUUUAUCAUGCGUUUGUUCCUCUCCAAUCGAGAACUUGUCACAUCCUGCCUGUACAAGGUUUUUUUUUUUUUGAUAAGCUGUAAAAUGUAUUUGAGUGUUUGUGAAUCUACAAUUAUUUUUUGGCUACUUAGGGGAAUCCUUUUUUUUUAAGGGUUUAUUGGAACCGCUUAACCACAUAAUUAGAGUUAUAAUAAUUUUUUAUUAUUUAUUAUAUGUGGUUUUUAUUAUUUAUUAUAUGUGGUUGAAAUUUAUGCUUCACCAUAAAUUAAUUUUUAUAUAGUUAUUGUCUUAUUUUUAAGGGAGUAAUAUAAAUAGAAACUAAUGGAAAGCUACAGUUACUAUUUGAACAAAAUUAACAUGAAUAACAAAAAAGGGGCAGCUGCAACUAAUAUCAUUAAAUCAAAGGAUUGAAGUACUAACUAGAGAUUUUAAACAAAACUGUUUGGUUUAAAAUUAUGGGAAUUUGAGAUUACACUUACAGUUUUCAUUUUUAUUUUAUUUUUAUUUUUUUGAAGAGAAGAAAGAAAAAAGAUCAGCUAUAUGAUUAAUGAAAGAGCACAUGGUUAUGCCUGGAAGGAGGGAGGUGGGGGGUGAAGAGUAAUUGGAGUCAGUUAUGUCAGGGCCGACUUAAUUAUAUUUGGGGUUUUAAACAAAUAAUUUUAAUUAGUUCUUCUUAAAAUUUAGGAUAAAAAAUAUAUAUAUAUUAGUUAUAUAUUAUUUAUUGAAUAUCAUUUCUUUAAACACUCUAAAAUGUAAAAUUAUUAAAUAAAAUUUUAUUCUACUAUUGCUAAUUCAUGGAAUUUUAAUUCAAUUAUAACAUUUUCAAUUAUUGUUUUUUAACUCAAAUCACAUCUUUUUUACUACUCCUUUUCUAGAUUAAAUUAAAUUUUAUAUUCUUCUAUUUUCUAAAGUUUUUUGAUAUAAUUUUAUUUCAAAAUAUAUAAAACAAGCACACAAAAAUAUAGUAGAUGAAUAAAAUAAUAUAUUAAAAAGAAAUAAGAAUAAAUAAAUAACACAACUAAUUAAAAGAAUGAUAAAAGGAUAAAAAUCGAAAAUUUGAGAUGAAAUUAUAAAUUAACUUUAUCUUUAUAUUAAUUGUUUGAUAAAUUGAGUAAUGACCAAUAACCAUAGAGAAUAGAGAAAACUAUUAGAUUUUUUCUUUUUUAAUUGAGUGGAAAGUAGAGGAAGCAAGAUUUUUUUCCCUCUCUCUUUCUUUCGCUCAAAUACCAAGAACAUAUCUUGUCUUGAUUGUUGGAGGAAAAUUUUAAUAGAUAAGUGAUAAAAUGUGGGGCUUUUAUAGAGGUUUAAAAUGAAUAUAAAACUUUUUAAGUAUAACAUAUUAAUUCUAACAUUGAAAUAGAGAAUUUGUAGGAUUGAAACUAUUAACUUAUCAGUUUUGUAGGAAUUAAAACUACUAAGUACUACAUUAAAUAAACUUUAUAAGAAUUUGAUAUUUUAUUUAGAAAAAGAUAAUUAUAAAAUAAUAAUAAAUUAAAUGAAUAAUAAUGACUUUUAAAUUCAUUUUUUCCUUUUACAUACAAAAUAAUCAUCUUAUUGGGCCUUCAUGUAAAGUGGGGCCCUAGGCAAUCACCUAAAUUACCUAGAGGUCGAGCCACUAUUGAGUUAUGUAACGAACUGCCGAAGCAUUGAUCGGCGUGUAUUGUAUCAAACUGCUAACAGGUAUGAAACAGUCUUAGAGUGCAAAUAAGAGAAUAGAAAUGGUCAUAAUACAGGAACAUUUGUUGGUUCAAAGGAGCAACAAUUAGGAAUGGCUAUUUAUUUAAAAUAUGAAGUGGAAAAUUGAAUUAAUUUAUUUGAAAUAGAAAUGGUCACAUGAUGAAGAAAAUUGUAAAACUGAAUAAAUGCUGCUGUUUGGCAGCUGAGAAAAUGCAGAGGAAAAUUCUUUAUUUCAGCAAUGAAUUGAUAUUUUGUACAUACAAACAAUCACGAAACGUGCAGCUAUUUAUACAUGCUACACUUGCUAACUAAUUGCUUACUAACUAAUUAUUAAUCACAAGCUCACUCAGCUAAUCAAAUAACAGAAUACAGAGUAUGCAUUGUGAUGUUAGUUAGGCUGGUAACUGCUGCUGACGUGGCACAAAUGACAGCUGGUAACUUGAUACGCUGACUCUUCUUCCUCACUUCUGCACAAUGAGCUAUCUUCACAGCCCCCCUCAAACUCAAAGGACAUGAAAAGACAUUGAGUUUGUCCCUUAAAUAAUUGAACUGAGGGGAAGAUAAAGGCUUGGUUAAGAUAUCUGCAAUCUGAUCUUCACUUGGCACAUAACAGAUUUUGAGAUCACCAGAUAACACUUUGUCUCGAAUAAAAUGAACAUCAAUCUCAAUGUGUUUGGUUCUUGAAUGGAACACAGGAUUCUUUGCUAGCUCUGUUGCACUUAUAUUAUCACACCAUAUUGUUGGUCUCUCUACACAGUAUACUUCCAUUUCCAGAAACAAUGACUUUAACCAAGCUAUCUCUGAAGCAGCUGAAGCAAGUGCUCUAUAUUCACUCUUAGCUGAAGACUUAGUGACUAUUGUUUGCUUCUUUGAAGACCAUGAAAUCAGAUUAUUUCCAAGAUACACACAGUAGGCUCCAAUCGACUUCCUAUCAUCCAAGUCACUUCCCCAAUCUGCAUCAGUGAAUGCAGUGAUUUUCAAAUCACCAUCCUUUACAAACUUUAAACCAUAAUCCUGUGUCUCCUUUAGGUAUUUAAGAACCCUUUUGCAAGCCAUAAGAUGUUGCAUAGUUGGUGCAGAAACAUAUUGGCUUAACUUGUGAACAAAAUAAGCAAUUUCUGGUCUUGUCAAUAUCAGAUACUGGAGACCACCUACAAUGCUUCUAUAAUGAGUUGCAUCUUCAACAUAGUAACCCAAUUCUCCUUUAACUACCUUCUGCAACUUUGAGUCUUUGCCACUGCACAUUGGUGUUGUCACUCCUUUGCACUCAAGCAUGUCUACUUUAGCAAGCAAAUCUCUGAUAUACUUCUUUUGAGACAAAUAAAUGCAAUCCUGACCAUACAACACUUCUAUACCAAGGAAAUAGGACAAUCUUCCUAAAUCUUUCAAUGCAAAAACAGUAUUAAACUGUUGAAUGAAGCUGUCCAAUUCUUCAUUGUUAGGUCCAGUAACUAAUAUGUCAUCAACAUAUAUCAAUACCAUAAUGAGUGACACUUUAGUUUUUCUUAAGAAUAAGGAAGAAUCAGAUUUUGAAUUUCUGAAACCCCAUUGAAGAAGACAUCCCCUGAGCUUUUCAAACCAGGCUCUAGGAGCUUGCUUAAGACCAUAUAAAGCUUUGUGUAAUCUGCAAACAUAGUGAUGGGUGUCGAAGCCAACAAAAAUAAAUUCCUACUCUAAAUAAAUUGUGUAUAGUGAUUGAGCAGGGUCGUGUCCACAGAGAUCGGUAAUUAUUUAAAUCCUUUUGAAACGUAAAACGUAAAAUGGGGGAAUUGUAGACAAUAAUAAAAAUCAAAUUAAAUAACAAGAAUGCAAAUUAAAGUUGUAAUUCAAAUUGGAGAAAGCUCUGGUUGAAGGAAUUAACUAAGCUUGAUUCGACUACUGAUCAUUGAUUCAAAUAUAGAUUAUUAUUACUCAUGAAUAGACCGGUUAUAGCUAUUGAGACCCUCUAAUAGCCAAUCUCUCCUUAACUAGUCGAUAACCAAGGUACGACCGUUGGAUAUUUCCCUAAUCAAUAGACAACCCUAGAUACAAUCAUAGGAUUUAAUCAAUUGACAGCCUGAAAAAUCAGAGAGACCCAAAUCCUAAUUAACACAUAUGAUGAUUCAUUUAAAUUAGAUUGUUUAUUCUCACAACACAACUCUCUGCUAUGUUAUUUGUCACAAACAUCAAAUUCUUCAUACGAUGAAUCCUUUAAUUGACAAUAGAUUAAGUUGAUAAUUAAAUAGUGGCCAAUUACCUAAUUAACAAACAUAAUCAUGAAAAUAAUUCAGAGAAUAAACAAAUACCCAAAAAGUAAUAAAACAAUUAAAGCACAAGAAAGAUCUCACAGUAGUGAUGAAUCAAAGCUUCAUUAACCUUCAACCAGAAAAAUGGGUUUAGUUCCUCAUAGAGAGAAGAGAAAAAUUAGAUCUAGGGUUUCUUUUUCUCCAAUCCAAAUCCCCCUUUUUCACAAUAAAUUCUUCCCUUAAAUACUCUCUCUCUCUUCUCUUUUAGAAUUCUAUUUAAAAUAAAAUACUAAUAUCUGAAAUAUUAAAUUCGUAAUUACAAAAAUAACCAAAAAUACAAAACACGUUAAACUAAAAACUGCAGGUCCGCAGUUGACAGCACGCGCCCACGCCUUAUCAACAAAGUUCUUCUGACGCUCAUAAUUUCUCCAAGAGAACAAUCCUCCUUAAACAUCAUCUUUUAGCUCAAUUUUAUCACCAAUCAAUAGAAUUGCACCUACAAAAGUAAAACAUAAGUAAAACAUUAUUAUUAAAUGCAAAACAUCGAUAUUAAGGGAAGUAAAUAAUGCAAAACUAGUGCAUAAAUUGCACUCUAACAAAUUCCCCCACACCAAGAUGAUGCUUGUCCUCAAGCAUAUAACUCAAGAUUAAUCCCAAAUCUCCACUCAAUUCUCAUCUCAACUCAUCCAAAAAUAAUUUUAAGCAAGCAUACCUCAAGAAAUUAAGUCGAUCAACAUUCGAGAGACAAGGACUUUUAAAGCAUAGAAUCUCAUAAGAUAGAAUAAGAACAUUUAACCACCAAGAAGAUCCAUUCAAAAUUCAAGUGCAACAAGAUUUAAUAGCCCUCUCAAUGACUUCACUCCAUGCACUCAAAGUGUUUAGGGUAUCAUCUAUGCACUCAAAUCAAAUCAAAGAAUGCUAUUACCAUAAGCUUGCUCAUAUAUCACAUCUCAAUCCACAAAACAUGAAUAAAAUGCAAAAAUCUAAGGGUCUUAAAAGGGUUGUAAUGGGGUUAAAUAGGUUAAAUGAAAAAGAAAGGUCUAUGAAAGAAAAAGAGAUCAAAAUGAGAAGAAUGAACUCAUUGAAUGAACUUAUGAUAUCAAAAUGCUUAUUUCUACUCAAGUCACCACGAAUGUAAACAUUUUUUUUUUCUUCUUUUUCUCUUUUUUUUUGAUUUUUUUUUUGAUUUUUUUUUCGAUUUUUCUUUUUCUUUUUUUUUCUUUUUCCUUUUUUUUUUUUUUGAAUCAAACAAAAGAAAUGAACCUUGCACAAUUUAAUUCAAGCAUAAUGCUUGUUGAUCUAAUUGAGAAACUUUAAUACAAGGUAGAAAAAGCAACAAAAUAUAUACAAAAUAUAUCCACACAAUGAGUCCAAAAAUCUCCUUAAAUUGAGGCUCAAAAAGAAGAAAAAUGGUUAAGUAGACAGAGAGAAUUAGAUGGGUAAUGGUUAAGGCUCAAACAAAGAUAGUAAAUCAAGGUCUUCGGGUAGAGAAAAAAAAAGAAAAUGCGAGAAUAGAAAAAUGGUAAAUGGUUUGCCCUUAUCAUUUUAAUGCAAAAAUUCCCGUAAUGUGGCUUCAACAUGCAUAACAAAGCAAGUUCUAGAAUAAACAAACUAAGAUUGAUAUUCACAUAAUAAAAAUAAUUAGAGCAAAGUGGUUGCUCAUAGGCUCAAAUCCUCACAAAGUUGGUAAAUUUGCCAUCAAAUCAUGUACACUCUUCAAAUGAAUCAACCAUCAAUAGUGGUGUAGAAUGGGAAGAAGGUAUGAGUGAAGGAAAGGUAAAAAUGAUAAGAAGUGAGAAAGAUGUAUGUAGUAAUAUGAAAAGUGAAAGAUAAAAUGUGAGUGAUGAAAGAGUAUGAUAGAAUAAAAAUAGAUGUAAAUAAUUUGAGAUAGAUGGGAAAAAAGUAGUGAGAAAGAAAAGAAAAGAAAAAUAAUAAUAUAUGAAGCAUACUAACUCCAAAAUCAUUUAAGGAUGAGUAGAAUGAAAAUAGAUGAGUAUAGUGAAAAUAAUACUUCCAGACAUCAAUAAUGCAAAAAUCCCUCCCCCACACCAAGAACUUACAUUGUCCCCAAUGUAAGAUAAUUAAAGCUCACAUAAAAAUUAAAGCGUAAGGAUAAAAGAUUAAGGGCAAAAAGAAACUUCCCUGAAUUGUGAGCUUUGAUCCACAUAACGUCUAUGGGCUUGGCGGAAAUGGUGGGGUAAAACCCACACUCUCGAAGUAUGCGGCCAAAUUCUGCUCCAUUUUGUUCAACUUGUGCUCCAUUUUCUCUAACUGAAUGCUCAAAGGUGGUGCGGAUGUAGAAGGAAUAGUUGGCGGGGCAACAGUGUCGUCGUCAAACUCGUCAUCAGAGGUAGCACCACUCCUAGCAUAAAGCUUCUUCGGAAGUUGAGUGGGUCCUGGUUCAGUAAACUGAAAUCUCCCCUCCUUGAAUUCGACCACACAUGUUCUUUCAAACACAAACAUAUCCAAAAAUUCAUUUUUGCAAGCAGGAUGCAAAUCAUUAUUGUCAGGAUCAAGCACACAUAGGUUUAUAGCUAACAGAGUAAUGUAUGGACCAAGAAAUAAAGUCUUAUACCGUUUAAGCACACUUUGAAAUUGAUCCGCUAACCAAAAACCUAAAUUAGGCCUCACAUCAUUUAACAUGCACCAGAUAAAAUAAAAUUCAGUUUUAGAGAAAAUUCCUGAGUGAUCUUUCUUGCCUAAAAAAUUAUAUGCUAAGAAUCGAUGCACACAUUUCAAAACAGGAUCACGUAAGAAAGAACUCUUUGGUUUACUCGGGUCAUAGGCAUUGUGAUCAACAGAUAAAUUACGCCAAAGACCAUAAGGCUCAAAAUUUUCGCUAAAGUCACAAGUUGUUCCUAAAUAUUCAUCACUAGUAGAAUAAUAAUCAUCAAUGAAUCCUAAAGCUAGGUUAAAAUGCGUGAUAGAGUGUGAAAAAUUUCGUCCCAUUAACCUAAACUUAAUGACAUCCGGGGUAUGCAAAGUAAAAUCAUUCGGCAUAGUGAAUUGAAAAGUAGCAUAAAACUCCCUAAUCAACUCAACAUAACCCAAGCAAUCAACAUCAACAAACUUACGCAACCCAAUCUUAUCUAUCAAAGAAUCAAAAUUAUCUUUAACAUUUAAUUUUUCAAGAGUCGGGUAAUGAAUAUACUUAGCUGGAAGUAUUUUGCGCGUGGAAAUAUCUUUGUACCUCUCUUUCUCUUGUUGAGUCGCGAAUGCGAGGCACCCUCCGAGAUUGGAUUCCGCAAGUGGCAAAACACUCAUGCCUUUUCCAUGCUUCGAUCUUUGUCUCACGGCUUGGCGUGAAUCUGAAAUUAUGUUCCAUGGAACCGUAGUGGGAGCGGCAAUCUUAGAUUUCUUUGCGACGGGUGUCUUUUUCGACGACUUGGAAGUAGAUGCUUUCCUAUUCGGCAUUGUUACAAUAAUUGCACUCACGGAUUUCGAUUUACCCGGCUGGAAUACAGGGCGUAGGCUGGUUGUGUUGCGCUUGCUGCUCGGCUGGAGCUUGUUGCGCGAGUUGGGGCUGGUUGUGCGCGCUGCUGAGGCUUGCUUUGCGGGUGCUGGUUCGUUGCUGUGUUGCGCGCGCGGGGCUGUUGCGCGCGAGAGCCAGUUCGCGUUGCGGGUCUGCGUUGCGGAUCUGUUGCGCUGCGCGCGCGGGACUGAUGUGCUGCGCUGAGGCUGAUUCGCGCUGCUGCUAGUUGCGGUGCGCGAUGCUGUGCGCGGCGGCUGGGGCUGAUUCGCGCUGCGCGCGCAACUGGGGCUUAUGUUGCGCGCUGCGCUGCUGGUUCUGGGCGUACUCGUCUGCUGCUGCUGGUUGCGCGGUGAAGGCUGGAGCUGAUGCUGCUGUAAAACGAUAAUCAACAGUAAUUUUUGAAUUAGGGAUUUGUGAACAGUGAUUUUCGAUUUUUGGUUUUUUUUUAUAUAUAUAAAUAAAUAUAUAAAAGAAAGAAAGGAACGAAAAUAAAUAAAUAAAUGAUGAUUUUCGAUUUUUGGUUUUUUUUUUUUUUUUUUUUUUUUUUUUUUAGUGAUGAAUCACUUUGAGACACUAAAAAUUUCAAAAGUACUUUUCUAAUAAGUACGUGGGCAUGCCUUAUCAAAAAUUUUCUUCUGACCAAAAUAAACAAACAAAUUAAAUUUCAGAAGUAUUUUUCUAAUAAGUACGUGGGCACGCCUUAAAACUUUGAGACAUUAAAAAUCACAGAAGUACUUAUUAGUUAAGACGUGGGCACGCCUUAUCAAAAAUUUUCUUCUGACCAAAAUAAGCAAACUCAUUUUUUUAAAUUUUUUUUUCUUUUUUAAAGAAGAUAAAACAAAAACCAAAAUAAACAAAUCAUUUGGGUUGCCUCCCAAAAAGCGCCUUUGUUUUAUGUCUUUGGCUAGACACAUUUAUGCAUCAAUCUCCAUAAUUGGGACUCUCGAGAGCCACAUCCUCCACAAUAUUCACCGAAAAACCUUCAUAAAAAGGUUUUAAGCGAUGACCAUUAACCUUAAAAACUUUGUCAGAGGUCGGACUCCGAAUCUCAACUGCACCAUGAGGAAAAAUAUUAGUAACAAUAAAAGGUCCAACCCAACAAGAACGUAAUUUAUUCGGAAAAAGUUUAAGCUUAGAAUGAAAAAGAAGAACUUUUUGACCAACAGAGAACUCCUUUCUCAAAAUCAUUGUAUCAUGAAAUGUCUUCGUCUUUUCCUUGUAAAAAACUUCCUGCACUAUAGGGUUAAUAACAUCCACAGAAAAUACCGAAUGUUCCUCACUAGGAUAUUUCAUGGCAUCAUUCAUAUUGAAUUCUAUAACCUCUCCAUCAAACUCCAUAGUGAGAGUCCCUUUAUGUACAUCCAUUUUAGUCCUAGCAGUCUUAAGAAAAGGUCUUCCUAGCAAAAUUGGGACAGAAUUAGAGGAGUUAUCAUCUUCCAUAUCAAGUACAUAAAAAUCAGCAGGAAAAACCAACUCAUUAACUUGUACUAAGACAUCUUCUAAUACCCCAUCAGGAUAUGCAUUAGACCUAUCAGCUAGUUGAAUUAUCACGCCAGUUUCUUUUAAUGGACCAACAUUCAAAGAUGAAUAAAUGGAACGAGGCAUGACAUUAAUAGAAGCUCCUAGAUCUAACAAAGCCUUUUCAAUUCUAACACUACCAAUUUUACAAGGGAUAGUAAACAUACCUGGAUCCUUGCACUUAGGAGGUAGUUUCUUUUGGAGAACUGCUGAAACAUUCUCCCCCAUGUGAACUUUUCCAUCUCCUGUUAAUUUUCUCUUGGAGGUGCACAGUUCCUUAAGGACUUUAGCAUAUCGAGGUAUUUGUUUUAUAGCAUCUAAUAAAUGAAUAUUUACCUCAACCUUGCGAAAUGUCUCAAGGAUGUCUUUCUCUUGUUCCUCCUUCUUGGAUUUUGCAAACCGGCUUGGAAAAGGAGGAGGUAUCACAAUAGGUAGGGGUUUAGCUCUGGUGGGUUCCGCAUCAUGAGAUUGAGGCAUCAAUUCAUUCUUCUCAAGUUCAUCUUCUACAUGCUUUGUCACUUUCUUACUAGGCUCUUGCAACUCCGUCCCACUUCUAAGGAUGACAGCACUAACGUUUUCCUUUGGAUUCACCUCAGAUUGUGAAGGCAAUCUCCCUAAUACUUGAGACUCCAGACGGCUCACUGUAGUCGCCAAUUGACUCAUUUGGUUCUCCAAGUUCUGAAUGCUUGCUGUAGUUGCCUGUUGAAAUUGUUGAGUGUUAGUUGCAAGUGAUUUAACAAUUUCUUCAAGAGAUAUACCUGACUUGGAGUUUGACUGUGGAGGUGCUGGUUGUCUUGGUGGAUACUGUUGUGGGAAUCCUGACGGCCUAACUCCAUAGCUGAAGUUAGGAUGAUCCUUCCAUCCCGGAUUGUAUGUUUGUGCAUAAGGAUCAUACCUCCUCUGAGGCAUGCUUGGAAAUCCUCCAACUGCAUUGGCUUGUUCAAUGGGUUCUUCUUGAAGUGUAGGACACAUAUCAGUUGAAUGACCCAUAUUGUAACAAAUGCCACAAGUCUUCACCUGUUGCACAUUGCCUACAACAAACUUUUCCACAAGAGAAGUAAGUUUAUCUAAACGUUGUUCAACAGAAGAAAUAUUUACCUCAUUCACCUUCCUUGAAGUAGGAUCUUGCCUGCUGCCAAAUUGUUGUGCGUUGGCAGCCAUAUUUGAUAUCAACUCCCUUGCUUGAGUAGGGGUCUUGUUCACUAACACGCCUCCACUAGCAGCAUCUAUCAUACUCCUAUCCAUCAAUGACAAUCCUUCGUAAAAAUACUGAAUAAGAAGUUGAUCAGAAAUCUGAUGCUGAGGACAGCUAGCACACAAUUGUUUGAAUCGCUCCCAAUACUCAUACAAAGUCUCCCCAGGAAGUUGUCUGAUCCCACAAAUGUCUUUUCGGAUGUUGGCAGCUCUUGAAGCAGGAAAGUAUUUCUCGAGGAACUGCUUCUUCAAACCAUUCCACGUUGUAAUCGAUCCAGGAGGCAAGUAAUACAACCAGUCUUUAGCUAGCCCAUCUACAGAGAACGGAAAAGCACGCAGCUUAAUCUGCUCUUCAGUCACGCCUUGUGGUCUCAUACUUGAACACACAACAUGAAACUCCUUAAGAUGUUUAUGAGGAUCUUCACCUGCAAAACCAUGAAACUUGGGUAAUAAAUGAAUAAGACCAGACUUUAAUUCAAAAUUUACCUCCAAGUCUGCAUAUUGAAUGCAGAGUGGUUGUUGAUUCAAGUCAGGUUCAGCUAACUCUCUAAGAGUUCUUUCUACAAGUGCAGCUCUAUCCAUCACUUGUUCUUCUGAAUCGCUAGAUGAUUCAACUAAAUCAGGCACCGUAUCUGUUUCAGAAAGCAAAGGCGACGAGGAUCGUUGCUUAGCUCGCUUUGUCUGCUGUCUCAGCUGGCGAGCUGUCUUCUCAAUUUCAGGAUCAAUCGAAAGUGUACCUGUACGAGAAGAACGAACCAUACACCAAGUAAAACGUAAAAAGGAUUAAAUAAAUGACACCAAUCCCCGGCAACGGCGCCAAAAUUUGAUGGGUGUCGAAGCCAACAAAAAUAAAUUCCUACUCUAAAUAAAUUGUGCAUAGUGAUUGAGCAGGGUCGUGUCCACAAAGAUCGGUAAUUAUUUAAAUCCUUUUGAAACGUAAAAUGGGGGAAUUGUUGACAAUAAUAAAAAUCAAAUUAAAUAACAAGAAUGCAAAUUAAAGUUGUAAUUCAAAUUGGAGAAAGCUCUGGUUGAAGGAAUUAACUAAGCUUGAUUCGACUACUGAUCAUUGAUUCAAAUAUAGAUUAUUAUUACUCAUGAAUAGACCGGUUAUAGCUAUUGAGACCCUCUAAUAGCCAAUCUCUCCUUAACUAGUCGAUAACCAAGGUACGACCGUUGGAUAUUUCCCUAAUCAAUAGACAACCCUAGAUACAAUCAUAGGAUUUAAUCAAUUGACAGCCUGAAAAAUCAGAGAGACCCAAAUCCUAAUUAACACAUAUGAUGAUUCAUUUAAAUUAGAUUGUUUAUUCUCACAACACAACUCUCUGCUAUGUUAUUUGUCACAAACAUCAAAUUCUUCAUACGAUGAAUCCUUUAAUUGACAAUAGAUUAAGUUGAUAAUUAAAUAGUGGCCAAUUACCUAAUUAACAAACAUAAUCAUGAAAAUAAUUCAGAGAAUAAACAAAUACCCAAAAAGUAAUAAAACAAUUAAAGCACAAGAAAGAUCUCACAGUAGUGAUGAAUCAAAGCUUCAUUAACCUUCAACCAGAAAAAUGGGUUUAGUUCCUCAUAGAGAGAAGAGAAAAAUUAGAUCUAGGGUUUCUUUUUCUCCAAUCCAAAUCCCCCUUUUUCACAAUAAAUUCUUCCCUUAAAUACUCUCUCUCUCUUCUCUUUUAGAAUUCUAUUUAAAAUAAAAUACUAAUAUCUGAAAUAUUAAAUUCGUAAUUACAAAAAUAACCAAAAAUACAAAACACGUUAAACUAAAAACUGCAGGUCCGCAGUUGACAGCACGCGCCCACGCCUUAUCAACAAAGUUCUUCUGACGCUCAUAAUUUCUCCAAGAGAACAAUCCUCCUUAAACAUCAUCUUUUAGCUCAAUUUUAUCACCAAUCAAUAGAAUUGCACCUACAAAAGUAAAACAUAAGUAAAACAUUAUUAUUAAAUGCAAAACAUCGAUAUUAAGGUAAGUAAAUAAUGCAAAACUAGUGCAUAAAUUGCACUCUAACACAUAGUUAGAUUUACUCUUAUCAACAAAGCCUUCAGGUUGCUGCAUAAACACUUCCUCUGAUAACUCACCAUUCAAGAAUGCAUUGUUGACAUCCACCUGUCUAACUAUCCACUGAUUCAUCACUGCAAGACUAAGAACUACUCUCACUGUUGCUGGCUUUAUCACUGGGCUAAAGGUAUCAAAGUAAUUCACACAUUCAAUCUGUUGAAACCCUUUUGCCACCAAUCGAGCCUUAUACUUAGCUACACUGCCAUCAGUGUUAUACUUUAUUCUAUACACCCACUUAUUCCCAACAACUUUCUAAUUUUCUGUUCUUGGUACUAGAGACCAAGUUCUGUUUUCAAUUAGUGCAUCAUACUCAUUUUUCAUAGCUGUAAACCAAUUUGUGUCUUGCAAAGCUUCACCAACUGAAUCUGGCUCUUUGUGAACGUACACUGCAGUAUACAUUUUUGGCUUAAAAAUACCUGCUUUUCCUCUUGUGGUCAUGGGGUGAUUGUUUUGAACAUGUUGAAUAUUGUUUGAGGUUAUUUGGGACUGAGAUGGUAAUGGAAUUUGAGUAGGAUCUGUAGUGUUUGGUGAGUCUAGAUCAUGAACAGGUUCAAGAGUAGGAUUGAGAUUUGGUGUUUGACAUUGUGUAGCUUCAUUUGCUUGUUGAUGAUCUGCUGAUGAGAACAGUUCUGUGCUGCUGGAACAUGCUGGAGAGUAGGAUUCAAAACUGCUGUUAUAAGGAUUUGACACAACAGGAAGAUUGGAUAAAUGGAAAACUUGAUGAGGGGACAAAGCAGAGCUGGAUAUUGAUUGUGUUUUGUUCUCAGAAUUGAAAGCAGGAUCUGAAGAAAAAGGAAAUGCAUUUUCAUCAAAUAUGACAUGCCUUGCUAUGUAUACACGACCAGAAUGAUGAAGGCAUUUAUAUUCUUUGUGAGCAGAGCUAUAACCAAUGAAUAUGCAUUUACUUGUGUGAAAAUCAAAUUUAUGCUUAUUGUAAUCUCUCAAAUAUGGAUAGCAAGCACAACCAAAACAUUUCAGCAUCUUAUAAUCAGCUUUAUGUUUGAAAAGUUUUUCAUAUGGUGUCAACAUUUUAAGAGCUGAAGUUGGUAACCUAUUGAUAUGAUAAACUGAAGCAUGGAAAGAAUCCCACCAAAAAUGCAAAGGAAGUUUGGCUUGAGCUAACAAUGUAAGACCCAAUUCUACCACUUGUCUAUGUUUUCUCUCAACUAAGCCAUUCUGAUGAUGAGUAUGAGGACAAGAGUGCCUAAAUAAAAUGCCACACUGAUUUAAAAAUUCAGUGAAUGAUCUGUAUUCUCCCCCCCAGUCAGAUUGCAGUAUCUUAAUGGUUGUUUGGAAUUGGUUUUCAACUUGUAACUUGUAUAGCUUAAAAACCUCUAAAGCUUCUGAUUUCAAUUUCAAUGGGUAGAUCCAAGUAUAUCUAGUGAAAUCAUCAACAAAACUAAUAUAAUAUCUAAAACCUUCUCUUGAAAUAACUGGUGAGGGACCCCAAAGAUCAGUGUGUAUGAGCUCAAGAGCUGAUUUGGUUUUGAUUUCUGUAAUUGGGAAAUGCAACUUGUGUAUCUUACCCAACUGACAUGCUUCACAGAAAUGUUGUGUUGCUUGCUUAACCAUAUUCAGAGAAAACUUAUUAGCAUGAUGGAGUUUAAGUAAAUGCAAUAAGCUUUGAGAAUUUGGGUGGCCAAAUCUUCUGUGUAGAAGAGCUAUUUUAUUAGGCUUAUCAGAACAUACAUCAAAACCAUUCUGUAAACAAUUGUUUGAAUUAUUUAUGUACUUUACAGAUGGCAUAUGAGAAGCAAGAUGACAGAAUGAUAACAUUGACAGAGGUUUAUUAGCUUGACUAUGAGACAUAGGAGAAUUCUUGGUAGAAGACAUAGGUUUGACUAGCAGUUUAUACAACCCUUUCUCAGCAAUGCCCUGCAUUAGAACUUGUCCCUUCAGCAAAUCCUUCACAACACAAAAUGAUCCAAGAAAUUCAACAGAAAUGUUAUUGUCAGUGGUAAGUUUUGAAAUGCUUAUUAAGUUCUUGGUGAUAGAGGGAACAAGCAAGAUAUCUUUAAGUGCAAUAUGUAAAUCUGCAGGUUGAGAUUUUGAAUUCUUGAAUGAAAAAUAAGAGUCACCAAUAUGAGUUAUUGACAAACCUUCACCAUUGCCAAUAAUGAGCUUCUCAUUACCUCUAAACUCAUCUCUGAUAUUCAGAUUUCCCAUGCUGUUUGUCAGAUGAUGAGUGGCACUACUGUCCAGGUACCAACCUUCAUCUGCAGGUCCUUCACAAUAUGCAGCAGAAGCAGUUCCAACCCAAGGCAUACCAGAAUUAUCAGAUGCACAAGGAUAUCCAGACUGUGACAUGUGUAAUCCAUUAUUGUUGACAGGCCAUGGAUCAUCAUUUAUUGGAUAGUAAAGUAUGUAUGCAGGUUCAUAGUUAGCUAUGUAGGCAAACUUUGAACCUUUUCCUCUCUGAAAUUGUCUUGGUGACUGAGGUAUGUAAUUUUCUUCAAAUCUAUGCCAGCAUUCAACAGUUGUAUGUCCUACUUUGAAGCAAAUCUGACAUGUAUUCAUAGAAUCAUCACUGUUGGAUACUUGUGACUCAAAAGGGGGUAAAUUUCCAGUACCAUUGAAACCAGUACUGCCAAAAGAGCCUCUUCCAGAAGAACCAAAUCUAUUGCUUCCCAUCAUCAUUUGAUUUCUUCCUUGAUUACCAAAAUGACCAGUUCCAGCAGGAAAACCCCUUGGAUGAGAAUUCAAAAACAUUCCUCUACUAUUAAACAUACAAUUUCUACCACCUGAGUGACCAUUAUAAUUACCCUGGACACCUCCUGUAUAUCCUCCUCUCCUAGUAUGACCUCUUAUUUGAGCAUAGUAUGCAUUCAUCAUACUAUUAUUAUUCCAGUUAGACAUAUUAGCAUAGUUUGCAUUAAUCAUGUGCUUUUCACUUUGAUUUUGUUCAAGCCUAGCCUCAUGAGUAAGUAAUAGGGCAUAAGCAUCAUCAUAAUCCAAUUUUCUUGUUGUGAUAAAGGUAGCUAAAUCCAAAUAGCCAGCUCCUAGACCAUUGAGGAUUUGCUGCAACAUAUCUCUAUCUGAUACAGGACUACCAGCACAUGCUAAUUUGUCUGUAAUUUGUUUCAUUUUUAAGCAAUAUUCUUCAAUACUUAGUGAAUCUUUUCUUAAGACACUCAUCUCAUACUUAAGUUGAAGAACUCUAGCCUCAGAUUGUACACCAAACCUUUUCUCUAGUGUUUUCCAUAUAUCGAAUGAAGUAGUGCAUGAGUGAACUAAACUGAAAAUACCUUCAGUUAUUGAGCUAAGAAGCCAGCUGAGUAAUGUUUGAUCUUGAGAUCUCCAGAUUGUGUAUUCAGGAUUCUCGAUAUGUUGAGAAGAGCUAGCAACUGAAGAUGCUAUGAAUUGGUUUGGUGCAAUCUUUUCUCCAUUAAUGUAUCCUUCAAGUCGAUUUCCUCUAAUGGAGGCCAGGACUUGAUUUUUCUAGAGCAUGUAAUUAGAUCUAUCCAAUUUGAUUGGUGUGAUGAAAGAAAAAGUUGUCUGAUUCGUAGCUACUGUAUUUUGAUUGUUUGUAAUAGCCAUGAUUGGCUCUGAUACCAUGAAGAAAAUUGUAAAACUGAAUAAAUGCUGCUGUUUGGCAGCUGAGAAAAUGCAGAGGAAAAUUCUUUAUUUCAGCAAUGAAUUGAUAUUUUGUACAUACAAACAAUCACGAAACGUGCAGCUAUUUAUACAUGCUACACUUGCUAACUAAUUGCUUACUAACUAAUUAUUAAUAACAAGCUCACUCAGCUAAUCAAAUAACAGAAUACAGAGUAUGCAUUGUGAUGUUAGUUAGGCUGGUAACUGCUGCUGACGUGGACCUUCUGACGUGGCACAAAUGACAGCUGGUAACUUGAUACGCUGACUCUUCUUCCUCACUUCUGCACAAUGAGCUAUCUUCACACAUGAAAAUUUUGAAUUAAUUUCUUGAAAUAGGAUCCUACAAAUGAAGUGUUUUAAUUUCGUAAUUUAUUAUUAUUAUUGUUAUUUUGUUUUUAAAUAUUAAAAAAAUUGAGUUUAUAAUACCUUAAGCAAAUCCCACAUUGACAAAGUACGAGAGAGAUGCUGAGUUUAUAAGGAGUAAUCUACACCUUAAGACGUAUUUUGGGGUGUAUGGGCGCCCUAGAACAAACUCAUGCGGGCCUUGUUAAGAGCCAAAGCGUAUGUAACAUCCUAGACAAAUCCCUCAUCGGCAAAUCACGAGAGAAAUAUUGGGUUUAUAAGAGGUGAUCCACACCUUAAGACGCGUUUUAGGAUAUAUAAGUGCCUUAAAAAUAAAUAUGUGCGGACCUUCUUAAGGACUAAAACGGAUAAUAUAUUAUCACACCUUAAGACGCAUUUUAAGAUAUAUAAGUGCCCCAAAAAUAAAUAUGUGCGGACCUUAUUAAGGACUAAAACGGAUAAUAUAUUAUCAAAUCUAAGUUAGAUCAUGACGGAAUUCGUUUUAGUUUCUAACGGACAUCCGAUUCAUCGUAAUACAAGUGCCCUUGUCCAUGUAUUAAUUGCAUUUGCCUAUGAAUUCUUCAAUAAUUGAAAAAGAUGGGUGCUUGUGGGACACUCUCCAUUUAUGAUUACAAUUUAGGAAUAAGAACUUAAUGACGCAACCAUCACUGACAGCCUCUUUUUUGGAGGUACUCGGAUGGCUAUUAUUGCCAUUUAAAAGAUAACAUAAAUUUUGUAGAUUGCCAGCUAUGGCCGAGCUUUUUUUUUUUUUGAAGAAAAAUAGCCAUUUAAAAGAUAACAUAAAUUUUGUAGAUAGCUAGUUAUGUUCGAGUUUUCAAUUAUUUUUGAAAAAAAAAUACUUAUGUCUUUUAGAUUUAGAAAAAUGAUCACAUAAAUUCUCAAAAUUUUAAUAAGAUAAAUCCAGACCUUUUUUAUUAUAAUAUUUUUUAAUUCUAUAACUAAAACAAAUUGAUUAUAAUAUUUUAUAAUAAAAAAAUAUAAGUGUAAUGACCCGCUCCGAAUCCUUAGGACGAGUUUAUCUAAUCUCACCAACCGAAUUAAUAAUAAUCUAAUAUCUAAAUUAUUUGGCAGUCUCCUAUAUAAUUAUGAUAUUCUCAAACCCGUAAUUUUUAAAAUUUAACACUCCCCAAAAAUGAUACAAUAUUCAAUCAACCUCCACAAUUAACUUUUUCAAUCAAAUACCAGUAUCCUUUAAAUAUAUAAUAUUAAGAAUACAAUAAUUUAUCUUUAAUUAUAAAUAAAUAAUAAAUUAUACAAUUCAAAAUAUCCCAACAAAACAUCUAUGAUUCCUAAUAUUAUACCAUAAUUCUAAAUUUAACUAUUGUUUCUGUGUCGAUUGAUGUAUCUCCAAAUCUAAUGUGGGGGAGGGGGUAAUAUAAAAAAAAAAAAGGAAUGAGUAUAAAACUCACUCAAUUAAAAACUCUAUAACAUAAUACUGUUUUUAGUUUUAAUAAUAUACAAAUUCAAUUAAAAACUAAAAUAAAGCAUUUAAAAGGGAAAAAAAGAACGUUUUUGAAAUUAAAUACAAAUAUUCCAAUUGUUACUGUGAAAAUGUGAUAUUUUCAGCACUAGAGCCACCACUUUAUUGCUUAUCGGAUACGAAAGGAACUGAUGUGGUCCAAUUGUGUUCCGAUCGGAUUGGUUGCCGUCAUAAUCUGAUCACAUUUAGAUAACUUUUCAGUUUUGUCCAGGAGAAAGGCUGUCCAUUAUGUCUCCCUAAGAAAGACGUCACAUAGAUGAUGUAAUCAGAUUUUAUCAUGCGUUUGUUCCUCUUCAAUCGAGAACUUGUCACAUCCUGCCUGUAAUUUUUUUUUUUUUAAUAAGCUGUAAUAUGUAUUUGAGUGUCUGUGAAUCUAAAAUUUUUUUUAGGUUAGUGUUACGUUACGUUUAACUUAACGGGAUACUUUUUUUUAAAGACUUGUUAAAAUUAAUCACAUAAUUAAAGUUAUAAUAAUUUUUUUUAUCUAUUGUAUACGGUUGAGAUUUGUGCUCCCGUAAAUCAACUUCUAUGUAGUUAUUGUCUUAUUUUUAAGGGAAUAAUAUAAAUAGAAACUAAUACAAAGCUACAGUUACUAUUUGAACAAAAUUAACAUGAAUUAAAAAAAAGGGCAGCUGCAACUAAUAUCAUUAAAUCAAAGGAUUGAAGUACUAACUAGAGAUUUUAAACAAAACUGUUUGGCUUAAAAUUAUGGGAAUUUGAGAUUACACUUACAGUUUUCAUUUUUAUUCUAUUUUUAUUUUUUUGAAGAGAAGAAAGAAAAAAGAUCAGCUAUAUGAUUAAUGAAAGAGCACAUGGUUAUGCAUGGAAGGCGGGAGGUGGGGGGGGGGGGGGGUGAUGAGUAAUUGGAGUGAGUUAUGUAACGGACCACCGGAGCAUUGAUCGGCGUGUAUUGUAUUAAACUGCGAACGGGUAUGAAACAAUCUUAGAGUGCAAAUAAGAGAAUAGAAAUUGUCAUAGUACAUGAACAUUUGUUGGUUCGAAGGAGCAACAAUUAGGAAUGGCUAUUUAUUUAAAAUAUGAAGUGGAAAAUUGAAUUAAUUUAUUUGAAAUAGAAAUUGUCACAAGAAAAUUUUGAAUUAAUUUCUUGAAAUAGGAUUCUACAAAUGAAGUGUUUUAAUUUUGUAAUUUAUUAUUAUUAUUGUUAUUUUGUUUUUAAAUAUUAAAAAAUAUUGAUUUUGUAACACCUUAGCCAAAUCCCACAUCGACAAAGUACGAGAGAAAUUCUGAGUUUAUAAGGAGUGAUCUACACCUUAAAACGUAUUUUGGAGUGUAUGGUCGUCCCGGAAACAAACUCAUGCGGGCUUUAUUAAGAGCCAAAGCGGGCAAUAUCUUGUAAGGUCUAGGUUGAAUUAUGACAUUAUGGUAUCAGAGUGGCUCUGCGUGUCCUCAUGAGUGAUGGUGGGGCAAACUUCAACGAGGACGCUGAGUCCCUAGGGAGAGUGUAUGUAACACCCUAGGCAAAUUCCUUAUCGACAAAACACGAGAGAGAUACUUGGUUUAUAAGAGAUGAUCCACACCUUAAAAUACGUUUUAUGGUGAAUGGGCGCCCCAUAAAUAAAUUUAUGCGGGUCUUAUUAAGGAUUAAAGCGGACAAUAUCCUAUUAAGUUUAGGUUAGAUCAUGACAGAAUUCCUUUUAGUUUCGAGCGGACAUCCGAUUCAUCAUAAUAAUCGUACCCUUGUCCAUGAAUUAUAAAUAGUCUAUAAUAAAAAAGAAGUGAGUAUAGUAGUUUUUGAAAAAAAUAAAUUUACUUAAAAUAAUCUAAUUUUUCCCAUAUUAAUUUCAUCAAAAUAUCAUAAGGACUUCUAGUAACUUUUCAGUUUUGUCCAGGAGAAAGGCUGUCAAUUAUGUCUCCGUAAGAAAGACGUCACAUAGAUGAUGUAAUCAGAUUUUAUAAUGCGUUUGUUCCCCUUCAAACGUCACAUAGAUGAUGUAAUCAGAUUUUAUAAGCCUCUUGUUCCUCUUCAAUCGAGUACUUGUCACAUCCUGAGUGUUUGUGAAUCUACAUUAUUUUUUAAAGAUCUGUUUAUGUUAGAAUCGCUCUAAGAUAGAAUACUCCUUCGUAAUUACAUUAUUAAAAAAUAUAGAUUAAUUUCAGAUUUAAAACAAAUGAAGCCUUUGUUUUUAUUUGCAAGACUUUUAUAAUACAUUAAUAUGUAACGCUUCAAAUUUCACGGCGGAUUAGAUACAAAUUUUUUAUCCUUAUACUAAACAUGUGUAGAGUAGUAAGAAACAAGUUAAAAAAUAAUAAAAACACACACUUUGAUGUUGUUAUUUUUAUCUUAAAGUAUUAAAAUUUAUAUUUCUUUUAAUCUUUUAACUUGUCUUUUACGAUAUUAAAAUAAGAAAAUCCUUACUAAAAGUAAAAGGGGACUUGCAUGUCAUGUGCACAGUGUACAAUAUGUUUCAAAUGUUACUUGAUAGAAAUUACUGAAAGCAUUGUAUCAUUGGAAAACUCUUGCUGCAUGCUACUAAUUUGACAGUUUAUCAAAUAUUUUUUUGCUGCUCGCUACUUAUGAAUCACGUUUAGUCCCCUUUGAAUUGUGUGCAUCCACCAUCUGUUAAAUUUAUCUUUGAAUUUUCUCGCUUCCAUAAGGGACACAAAUAAGAAACAGACAAGGACGUUCAAAUCCCCGAGUUGUAAAAUUUACAAGAUGCAUCGGGUAGAAAAAUCUUGUAGAAACCUCAGCUGAUGAACUCUGUAAAGAAUAUCCUCAUUCAUUCAGCUAACCCGUUGAACCAAAAUGCAAAAUCAUCCUCAAUAAGUACAAGAAACAAAAACUUUACAAGAAUAACUUAUGAAACUUGAUAAAUUUCUGCGGAGACUACAACGUCAUUUCAAUUUGUGAGGUAAUUAUUUGAUGCCAUGAUGCUGACUGAAUCUCAUUAAAUUAAUGAAAAUAAUACAACAAAUGGUACGAUAACUCCAAAUCAGCUAUCACAUUAUGUUUUUUUUUUUUAUAAGUAUCACAUUAUGUAUUUGAUUCAAAUAAGAGAACAAAAUUUGCAUUAUUGAUAGAUAUUAUAUUGUUUCUUGAAACUAUCCCUUGACAAAUCGCCCAUUAAUGCAGUCAUUGCUGACAAAACAACUUUGUGAAAAAGUUCACCAAGAUAGCAAGCUGAUAGAGAAAUCUGACAAUGCAAUGCAUGCCAUCCUCACACUUCAAUUUCAUCGAAAAUGGAUAAGCCAUUUUGUUCAACUUUCACCUCCGGAAGUUGAAAAGGACAUGAAUGCAAUUAUGCAAGUCCUUAUCAAAGAUGCAAUGAAUGACGCCUAAACUCCUAUAGAGUAGAGUUAAGCUAUUAAUCACUGCACCGAUACAUCAAAAAUUAAGUAUAUGGAUCAAAGACAUCUUCAUUCAAGAGUCGAGAAAUUUCAAAGCAAAGGGACCAAAGAUGGUGGUGCCAUUUUGUUCAACUUUCACCUCCGGAAGUUGAAAAGGACAUGAAUGCAAUUAUGCAAGUCCGUAUCAAAGAUGCAAUGAAUAACGCCUAAACUCCUAUAGAGUAGAGUUAAGCUACUCAUGUCUAAUUUUAGAGGUUUGAUAUGGAUAUGGAUUUUUGUUUAUAUUGAUAUUGAUACGCAUAGAUAUUCGGGAAAAAAAAUUCUACUUAACACUAUAACGAAUAGGAUACUUCUUUUAUUAGAGCGUUGUCAUGCUGACGAUAUGCAAGAUAUCAUAAAUAAAGGGGAUCGUAGGGAACGAAAUGAAAUAAGUUUAAAGAAUUUGAAAGAAACUGAUUAUUCUCUUAUUCAACAACUCGGUGUGCAAUUACAUUUUACACGAGGUCCAUGUAAUUAUAUUUGUCAUUAAGAAUGAGCGUUUGCCAAAAGAAGAGACACAUGUCAUGACAAUGAGUGAUUGACAAGUGACAAAAUUGAUAGACACCGGCCGAAUAUGUCAUAACACAAACUUCUGAAAUUGCUACAGGAAAUGAAAUAUAAUGAUGCACGAUGCCCAUCCAAGUUGUUUACUUGUAUUGUCCAACUGUAAAUGAGUACAGACAUGCUACCAUCAAUCGUUGUUAUUAGACUAGUCACCCACCACCUCGCAAAUCGCAGAUAGCAUUAGCAAGUCCUCAGUAAUUCUUACUGCCUGAAACAACAUGGCUGGAGCAGAGAUUUUUCUAUCAAAGCGUGUCCAGGACAUGGUCCUCAAUGGUGAAGAACCGCCAGCACCAAAUAUUUGUAGAGAUGGUGAUUCAAUUCAAGAGGUUUCUGCUCAUUAUCUCCGGUUCCGAUCAUUGACCUCAGUCUGCUCUCAUCUUCAACACCAUACGCCAAGCAAGAAGAAGAACUGCAGAAAUUAAGAUCAUUGACCUCAAUCUCAUCUUUAACACCAUACUCCGGUUCCGAUCAUUGAUCAUUGACCUCAGUCACUCCUUCAUGACCACAUAAUAAGGAGUGGCUAUUUAUUUAAAAUAUGAAGUGGAAAAUUGAAUUAAUUUAUUUGAAAUAGAAAUGGUCACAUGAAAAAUUUGAAUUAAUUUCUUGAAACAGGAUCCUACAAAUGAAGUGUUUUAAUUUCGUAAUUUAUUAUUAUUAUUGUUAUUUUGUUUGUAAAUAUUAAAAGAAAAAAAGAAAAAAUUGGGUUGUCUUUAGUUUCUAGCGGACAUCAGAUUCAUCAUAAUAAGCGUACCCUUGUCCAUGUAUAAAUUGCAUUUGCCUCUGAAUUCUUCAAUAAUUGAAAAAGAUGGGUGCUCGUGGGACACUCUCAUUUAAAAGAUAACAUAAAUUUUGUAGAUUGCCAGCUAUGGCCGAGCUUUUAAAUUUUAAAUUUUUUUUUUUAGAGAAGAAGAAAAAUAGCCAUUCAAAAGAUAACAUAAAUUUUCUAGAUAGCUAGUUAUGUUUGAGUUUUCAAUUUUUUUUUAGAAAAAAGAUACUUAUGUCUUUGAAAUUUAGAAAAACAAUCACACAAAUUCUCAAAUUUUUAAUAAGAUAAAUCAAGACCUCGUUUUAUUAUAAUAUCUUUUAAUUCUAUAACUAAAAAAAUUGACUAUAAUAUUUUAUAAUAAAAAAAUAACUGAAAUGACCCGCCCCGAAUCCCCGGACGAGUCUAUCUAAUAUCGCCAAUCGAAUUAAUAAUAAUCUAAUAUUUAGAAUUUUACCAAAAAUUCGGCGAGUCUCCUAUAUAAUUAUAACAUUCCCAAACCUGCAAUUUAUAAAAUUUAACACUCCUAAAAAAUGAUACAAUAUUCAAUCAACCUCCACAACCAACUUCUUCAAUCAAAUACCAAUAUCCUUCAAACAUAUAAUGUCAAGAAUACAAUAAUUUAUCUUUAAUCACAAAUAAGUAAUAAAUUAUACAAUUCAAAAUAUCCCAACAAAACAUCUAUGAUUCCUAACAUCAUCACAUGACCAUAAUUCUAAAUUUAACUAUUGUUGUUGGGUCGACUAAUGUACCUACAUAUCUCUUGUGGAGGGGGGGUAUAUAAUAAAAAAAAGAUGAGUAUAAAAUUCAGUGAGCUGAGUUGAGUAUAGUAUGAAAAAAAUAAAUUACUUAAAAUAAUAUAAUCUUUCCCAAAUCAAUAUCAUCAAAAUAUCAUAAGAACUUAAAUAAACUUAUUUAAUUUAAAUCAUGUUUUGAUAUAACAAUAAUACAUAAUACGGCAUGAAAUCAAGGAAAACAUGAUACUUAUAAUAGCAAACACCAAAUACCGAAUCUAUCACCAAACAAGUACCCAGGAAAAUAUCUCAUCAUAUCCAGACCUCGACGGAUCUGCAAUCAGGGAACCAUCAUGGCCCGAAGCUACACGGAUAGACAAGGAAGUACUAUCUCAUAUCUCAUCAUAUUUGUGCAUGCAUAAUCUAGUCCCCAAAGGACAAGGCGCCCAAGAACACGGUCCAAAGCUUCUGUGUGUACUCAAAGGGGCCCCAAAGACCUAUAUUUCAUCCGUAUCAUCAUAUAUCAUAUGUAUCAUCUGUAUCUCAAUAUAUGUAUCUCUGUAAUCAUCAUACACAUAUGCCCUUAAAAGGCAAAAACACCCAAACACACGGCCCAAAACCUUUAUAUGUGUUCAAGCGGGCCCCAAAGGCCUCUCAUCUCAUAUGUAUCACUGUAUCUAGAGGGAAAGGGUAUUGUCUAAUGAUUUUAAAAACAACAUCUUAUACACAUAUAAAUAAACAUAAAAUGACACUUAAAUCUCAUUUCUUUUUCAUGUAACAUACUUUAAAUCUACUUUAUUCUCUUUAAAACCAUUACCAUGCAUUUACUCAAAAAUGAUAAUAAAAUCAUUAAUCAAACUCAUUUUUUAUAAUAAUAAAUAUCAGCAUGUAGACAAAAAUCCAUUUUCUAGAAAGUUAUUAAAUUCGAGUAUUAAAUACUUAUUUAUCAAACAUGUUGUACUGUAUCGUAAAAUCAUAAUAUAUUAUGAAAAUAUGUUUUGUAUAUUCCACUCACAGUGACGAUGUUCGAGCUCGGUAUCGUCAACGUCUGUGGGUUGAUUCUCAUUCAUGGAUCCUCCUAAUAUAAGGAAAUAACAUAAUCCCUCCUAAUAUAAGGAAAUAACAUAAUCAUUCUCCAUAAAUAUGAAAUACAACUAAUUUUAUGCAAUAAAUCUCGAAACGAAUAUAUAUCCGUAAUAAACUAUUCCCGUAUGCAUCAAAUUACCAAAAUACCCCCUGCAUGCUAAAAUUACCAAAAUCCUCCCGAUAUCAAUAUUUACCAAAUUAUCCUCAUAAUCCUAAAUUACCAAGCUGACGUCAAUUCAGAUCACAAUGUUAGAAAUUACGAAAUUACCCUUAGAGUAUAAAAUUACCAAAAUGCCCUUAAUAACAUAAAUGACUGAAUUACCCUCGAAAUCUCAAAUUACCUAACUGCCCUAGUCCAAAAUUACUAAAAUAUCCACCAAUUUUACUCUUUUGAAUAACUAGAGAGUUUCCAUUAUCAGCAUAUGUAACUUCUCCAUCUUCAACAUCCUUUUCGACACUAGGAUUCUCAUGAUCUUCCGCAUUCUCGUCAUCGCUUUCCUCUUCAACAAGGGCAACCACCCUACGAUUAGGACACUCAGAAGCAAUGUGCCCAUAACCAAGCCAUUUAAAACAUUGACGAGAACUAGCAUUCGAACCACUUGCUCGCUGUUUAGAUCCUUCCCCGAUAUCAUUCCUAGUAAUUUUCUUUGCAGUCGAAUUUGAACCAGAAUUAUGCUUAGAAACGGAGUCACUCCCUCGAUUGACAUCACAAACUGUGAACCAAAUACCCCCACCACGAGCAUCCUUUUGUUGCUUUUCCACCUUAAGAGCAAGCCUGCAUACAUCACUAUAAGUCCAAUAUGGUUGGAGCUGGACCACAUUACCAAUCUCAGGUUUUAAACCACCCAGAUAGCGUGCGAUCGUAUGCUCUUCCGCCUCUACCAAAUCACACUUCAUCAUUAGGUUGUCGAACUCUGCUGUAUAGUCUUCCACUGACAAUUCCUUUUGCUUGAAGUUGUGGAACUUAAGGUAGAUAUCUUGCCUGUAGUUAUCGGGCAAAAACUUUCUCUUAAGCUCUUUUUUCAUUUUCUCCCAAGUAACAAUUUUCCUCCGUCCCUCUCGUUCCCUUUGCCUCUUAAGAUUUUCCCACCAUAAAGAAGCAUACUUUUUAAGUUUAAUGGCAAUGAGUUUCACUUUGCGAUCUUCAGGCACAUCUCUGUAUUCAAAAAUGCGUUCAACAGUAUCAAGCCAAUCAACAAACUCUUCUGGUUGCAUUCUUCCUUCAAAUUCAGGAAUUUCGACCUUGAAGUCGAAAGGCUGAUAAAAAUCGCGACGCCUAUGAAUUCGAGAACGAGAAGAGAAUUCACUAUUGGAGCUUUGUUCUUGAUGGAAGGGAUUAUAAUCUACCCCGUCAUUGAUUGAGCCUUCUUCUUCCGAACUACCAUUAGGAGCAGCUUCUCGAGUUCCUUCAAGGUGUUGUAAUCGUUGCUGAAGCUAUUCUACUUGUCUUCUAAGAUCAUCCCUUUCUAUAUCACCCAAGUCCCUCUCACGAACAGGAGGCUCUUCAACUCUUGCAUUACGCCGACGUCGUUGGGCCAUAAAUUUUCAGAACCCAAUGCUCUGAUACCAAAUUUGACACCGGACACAAUAGAUGAGAAAACACAAUGUCACACACCCAAGAAAUCACAAGCUCACCACCACAGCAAACAACAAAAGGAUACAGAAAAAUUCACCACCUAAAGUUGUUAAGCUAAGGAUACAGGGCUUGAAAAUACUCACCACUCAAUGGAAUCCACCAAAGAGAUACAGAGUUUGAUAAUAACUCAAAGUUCAUCUAAUUCCCAAAAUUAAUCUCCGUCCUUUGGUUACAACUACAUAAGCUUAAAUAGCUUUCUUGGAACAAUCCUCCAAGCAUAGAUUUACUACAAAGAAACCCUUCAAAUAAAUUGACUUUAAAGACCAACAUUAAAGCUAGACAUUAAUAAAACAUUGGUAUGCUUAAAACAUAACAAAGAACAUUAAAAAAAAAAAAUCCAAGUCCCGAAAUAUUCUUCUUGACUCAAAACUGAACAGUCUUCACUUAACUGAUCAUAACUUACUGUAUAAAACUCCAAAUUUAGAUUAGUAAAAUUCAUUGGAAAGCUAACAGAAAUAUCUUUCCAAUGAUGUAUGGCUCGAAAAUUAAUUCGAUCUCAUGCAGUACAGUUUAAUUCCCAAAGAUGCCCCUUCUGCACAGAAAUUCUGCUUACUUGAUUAAUGUAAGAACUUGAGCUGCACUUGGUAUAACUUGAUUACCAAAUAUUUCAAACACUCCUGUGUUAUAUAAUGAUGCUCUUGAGUCUGGUAUUGUGGAGGUGACGAAUUUUCCAAAGAAAUUGUUACAUUGUUUACAAUGGGGCUUGCAAAAUCUCAGGUUUGAGCAUAAUCCAAACUUUCUCUUUGUGAUGUUAUGGUUGAAAAGAAAAAAGAAUGAAACAAUAUUGGUUGAAAAAAAUAAAAUACUUUGGUCACUCUUAGACACUAUUUUACCACUAAGGUCCCUGGUAAAAUUUUAAUAUCUUAUUUCAUACUAGUAUUGGUAUAAAAGUAUAGAAAAAAACACAUUGUUGAAAGUUAAACGUCACAUUUUAACAAAUAGAUUAAAUAACUUUAAUUUGCAUUGAUCUAAAAUAAUCAUGUUUUAUGUGAAAAUGUACAUGGAAUAUUUAUUCUGGUAUUGUUUUCAGGGAGCAAAGUAUUACAUAUUCCCCUUUCGAGAAAACUGCCGAUUCUUUCGCAUAGGAGAGUGACUUUAUUCUUUUGUGUAUAUCAUUUCAAAUAAUGCAUAUAGAUUGAACCCUUUGCAGUGCUUUUGGUCAGAACCUCCAAACAAGCACCGAUAUCUGGGAAAACGUUUUUGCAAUUUGCAUGACGAACCUUGGUGUGGUGCUGUUUGUCUUUUUAAUUGGGAAGAUGCAGGUUCGUAUACAUUUUCUAUUUCUUAUAUCUGAAUUAACCUCAAUUCCAAAUGUUAUAAUUAAUAUUGAAGUACAUUUGAAAUUAAUGGAUUGUAACUGCAGUCGGACACAGCAAGAUCACAUAAGAUAAAAAAGAAGUGGAAGGAGAUAAAGCAGUGGCCGAAUUUUGGGGAAAUUUUUUCUGAUGUAAAAGAGCAGAUGAGGACAUACAAGCGAGAGAAAUGGGAAGAAACCAAGCGUGUUGAUGUUGAUAAUUUGGUGAAUGAUCUUCCCCACGAACUUGGCAUCAAAAUAAAGCGCAGACUCUGCAUUAAACUAAUCAAGAAUGUGAGUUCCUAUUACUACUUGUUUAUCCAGUAAUAAGUCACUUCUUUUUGUUAAACAAAAAAAAAAAAGGUUAGGCAAAGUACAAAGAGAACUGCUGAAAUUACCACUCAGCCAAAGCUCUAGGAGCAACAAUUACAACGAGUUCAUUGCCACAAAAUUGCCACUCCUUGUUUAUUACAAGAAAUUGAAACAACAUUUGUUAUAUUCCGGUACCCUUAUUAAUCGUUUGAAUGCAUCUAGUGUAAUUCUCAUUUUUUGGUCUGUACCUAUCUAUGUAUACAGGUAAAAGAGUUCGAAAAUUGGAGCGAAAAAUCAAUGGGGUAUCUGUGUGAAUUUCUGAAGCCAGUCCUUUUUAUUGAGCGUACACGCAUUAUUCGGGAGGGAGACCCAAUUGAUGAGAUGCUAUUUGUGCUGAAAGGCAAUCUCUGGACUUACACUUCCAGGAAUGUAGCAACAACUAGCAGCAAUAGUAGUCGUUGUAGAGAGAAUCGUUUGAAAGAUGGUGACUUUUUUGGAGAAGAACUUAUUGCUUGGGCUCAGAAUGAGCACCCUUCCAAUUUGCCUAUCUCAGCCAGAACUAUUCAAGCGCUUAGCGAGGUUGAAGCCUUUGUUCUUAUGGCAGAUGACUUGAAACAUGUAUUAUCACUCAGACAUUGUGACCGGGCAGCUCUUUUGUUACAAUCACGCUGGCGUUUCAGAAAGCUUUUGCGUGAUAGGAGGGCUAAGCAAAAAUCAAUCUUGAGAAAAGUGCGGAAUUGGGCAGUAGAACUACUGACUGUAGAAUAACAAUUUGAGACUGGAUUUGAAAUUAUUAUUUGUAUGAAUACUACAAAAAUGAAAAUAGGUGGUAAAAGCUGAAAAAUUAAGGGGAAAAUUGUCAAUCUCCCCGGUUUGAUUAUGCAGUCAACAAGAUCAGAGACAUUAAUCGCCAAGUUCGAUUUGGAAAUUUUAUCCAACCAAUGGUACCUUUUUUUUUUUUUUCCCUGAAUCAAGGACUUCACGCUUCGUUGAUGAGGAUACCAUUCCUAAAAUUAAAAGAUAUUGAUCACUACUAUCUCAAACAACAAUUAAUUAUACAUUGGCAGCACGCAAAAAUGAGCGACAAACUUCUUCAUUAACUAAUCUAUAUGAACAACUGCAUUUCUAAGCAUAUAUAUGAUCAUUGCAGAUGAAAAUAGUUUAAAGUGGCGAUAGAAGAACCGAUAGAUCACAGUUGAGAGAGUGAAGCAGAUCAUCAGGGGGCAAUCCUAAGUGUGUCACGUGGGUAGAGUGAUGUUUUGCGAAUGUUGUUGAGAUCGCAGAAAAUCAUCACCACACUCUCCAAUCCCACUUCAAAUCCACUAUGUCUCGAAAGGAAUCCAAUGAUAACAUAAUGCUAACAGUUUUUAGAGGACCAAACUAUUUUUCUAUUUGCGUACAAAUGGACAGCGGUUUCAGAAUAACCUUAGGAUUGCCAAGUUUAACCAGAGAGCAUGGAAAAACCUAAGCCAGAUCAAAAUUCAAUACCACUAUGGAGGAUGUGCAUGGAUUAAUGUUAAAUACUAUAUUCAAUUUGAACGAUAAACACAGUAAAAAUAAAAAUUAUUAGAUUCCAUCUUCUAUCCUAUAAUUUUUAAUUCUUGUACUUCUUUUUCUGGGAAUCAGAUUUUUCUUAUACAGAACGUGAACCAACAAAAGACAAAUUUUGUGGUAUUUGAUAAAAGCAACUUCCAAAAUAUACCAUAACCACACCCAAUUAUUUUUUGUAUAAUAUCUAAGCUUUUAUAGACAUAGAUCGAGCCGUUAUGCUCUCAGCAUAAUAGGCUUGCGGCACUUGAUCAAAUGAGAAAAAUCCGGGUAACAAUACCUGAAAGAUUCAAAGAUAUUUUCUUUACAUCAAUGCCACCUGCCUGUGCACGCUCCACCAAGAACCCUGGCAUAUCAAUACGUUGAGCACCUGAAAUUAUCUCUUCACCUAAAGAGGAGGAACAGAUGCUCAAAAAUCCGGUCAAAUGAACAAUCACAUGAUAUUUUCAUCCAACAAGUAUGAAGGGUUGCAAUGAAAAGAAAAAUGAAACCCGACAGAAAAUUCUUCAACACAAGGAUUUUAAAUGUGGUUAUCAUUAUUAUUAAGCAGUCAACCUAAUACAACCUUCAACCAGAGGUGAAUUCAUUUAUGCCAGUCACAUGACCACUCCUAUCAACACCACUGAAAAAAAAGCGCAUCCUCUUUAUUUAUAAAUGAAGUUUUGUUCCUGCUUUAUUUCACCAUUCAUUUUCAUCUCAUACAAGACCAAUUUAUUGGAAUACAACAUACCUCGAUUAAACUGAAAGAGGAUUAAGAAAAUUUAAAAAAUGAAAACUUCGAGACAAUACGAGUAGUAUCAUGAUAAACUUAACUCUAGAUGGACAGCCAUUUUUUAAUCGUAAGUAAUGAAACAAAUGUAGAUCGAGAUUUCCGGAAAACAACACCACAAAUACAAGUAUAUGUGCAUCCAAAAUGAAGAAGAAAUGUUUCAGCCUCACACAUUACCUCGAAUAAAGACAUCAAAUUAGUUUCUGUGAAGAGCAUUGUCAGAAGGGGGCGCCUAACAGCCCAAGGAUAACGAUGGAGUAUAUAAAAUUCGGCAUUGAUGAUAUACAUAGAAAUUUAAGCUUAAAAAUGAGAAAACACUUAUCAUGAGCUAAGAGCAAUGAGGCUCUUAAUUUUUUCAAAAUUUGAAACUAAUAAUAGAUGUAUGUUAUACAAACAAAUUCAGACUUCAAUAUUUGUAAGAAAAAUCAAGUCAGUAAAUAUGCAACCUACUUAUCUCUGUUCCAUAGGUUGGUUGUCUUUUUUUUUUUUUUUUUAAUGUUCAGAAUCGAUUAAAAAUUAUUUUAAUUCGAGUUCUUUCUAAUUUGAUUUUUUGAUUCCAUUGUGAAAUUCAAUUUUCUUAUUUAAUUUUAUUCCGAUCCUAUCUACCCAUUCGAAUUUUGGUUGCUUAAUUGUUCAGAAUGUUGGAGUUGAGAUUGAUCCUCUUGAAGACUUUAAUACUGAGGCAGAGAGGAAGUUGAUCCAACUAUUUUCCUACGAUUCUUGGGAACAGGAGAUACUACUUUUAAAGCAUCCAAUCUACUAAAUGAUUCCAGGCUUCCAGCACGCUAGUGUUAUCCUUAAAAAUCAUCUAAUUAUUUAUUCAUACACUAAUCUAAAUAAUGGCGUGAUAAAUCAGAAACCUUUCUUCAUGAAACAUGAACUGAGGGGAUGAAAGAAAUUAAGUUAUCUUGAGCAUUUGAAUCCCUUUUUCAAAUCUAAGACGAAGAGUCAACAUUUAGAAAAUGACACAAUCAGGUUCAAGAAUAGAGAAAAGCUGAGGUGAUAUAUAAUUUUCCAUAUUCCAAAUAUAUCUAAACUAUACAAGCACUUCAAAAAUGAUAAUGAUAACAGAAUUUUAAGAACAAAUCAAAAUAAAUAAUGACCUUCAGAGGUUCAAACGGACACUGACUCGCCACAGCUUCAACUUCCUUUUUGCACCUCUCAUUCAAACCAUCAAAAAUUGUGACAAAUAAGGGGUCCACAAUAUCCAUCACCUGUAUUCAGGUGUCAUUGAAAAAUCAACCAAUAAAACCCUCCGGCUAUACCACCAAAUAAUGCUUCUUAAUCUCCAUUUCAACAUCAAGACCGGUAAAUUAACGCACACAAAUGCCUAUGAGUGUACGAGUCCUCUGGUCUAAAAACAGAACCGGUCUCAAAAACCCGCCCAAAAUCACCUCAUACCGACAUUUGCUUGUGACCUUCACUUGAGCCAGCUAUCAGUUUUGGCAUGUGGAUCUCAACAAAAUCCUCAGAAAACAAGAAUUGUCUGAAUAUCUUUACAUUGAUGCAAUCAUUUAAGGACCAGAAUCAUCAGCUCAGAAAUACAAGACAAAGUUAUACAUCUUCAAACCAAACGCAAUGAAAACUAAGUUUAACUUCUCCAGCAUGCAAUUAGAUUCAAGGAAACUCCAGGUUACCUUUGCCAUCUCACUACAAAUAAAAAUUCUAAUUAUUAGAUUAACCAGGAUGCUGAAUGCAGUGUGUUAGGUGUUCGAGAAAAUGCCAAGGUACACCAUCAGCUAGAAUCGAAGCAUCCAGCAGGGCAAUGACAUGUCACAAAGUCAGAGAUGUUGCUGAGUCAUUGUGAUGAUUCAGCAGGUCUCUGAAGAACAAUCUAGAUAGUUAAGUGCCAAGGAUGAGGCAUGGCAUAAGACAAAUAUCCGCUGACACAGUGCAAGGACAUUCGAUACAACCAGUAGAUUCAAGUGAUAUCAGCCGUUAGAUCAUUAGCGACAGCUGUAACUGUACCGAGAAAAGCUUGUAAAGCACGCAUGCAAUUUUCGUUUAUUGUGACAUCAAAUCAAUAACAAGUAUGCGGUGCCAAGUUUCAAAUUUAUUGUUAAUUCUAUAUCAAUAGCUUUAGUUCUUAUUUAUUUUCUCUCUAAUAAAUGGGUACCACAAAGGCACAAACCUUCGGAGGAGAAGCUGAAUGAAUGAUAAUAUAAGCAUCCAUAACCAAGGAAGUAAAAAUUUACAUUCCUAACUUGACUCUCAAUACUGAAAAUAUGAUAUCUGUACGAGUAUUUUAUUCUCAGUUCUGAGUAUAUAAUUAAGGAUUACUUCCGAAUCCGGACAAAAAUGGAAAAGGAUUAUGCAUUUGUUGAAAGAAGCUGCUUUGCAGGAAACAUCUGCUCACGGAUCCCUGAAUUCCCAUUAUUUUUCAAUUUGUUUCCAUUUAAUUUUCAAUCUCGACUAAGUCUAAAGACUUUGGAUGACUAUGAUUGCACCAAGUCAAAGUCUUUGUGGCGUAAAGUCAACCAUUAAGAGAAAGUCUCUGGGGUGCUGCCGCAACAUAAAAAUUUAGAACCCCAACUCAAGGCCUUACUCAUAUUCCAAUCCAAGCUGGUUAAUGGGUUAAGGUUACUUAAACAUUUUAUAUUUUUGUCUAUUCUUAGAUAAUGUUGAAUAUUAUAUAUAUACGAAAAUUUGUGUCUAUUCUUAGACAAAUUCUUGGCGGGAAUUUAACAAACUUCAAGUCUAAUAACACUUUGCAUAACAGCAUGACAGCUUGGCAGUUGACUAAGCACUCUGCUUACAUGGCAAUCUGACUCAGCAGUUUACAUAGCAAUUUGGCUCAACAUAUAUACUCUUAACAGAACCAAAUAAAUAUUAACACGCGUCUCGGCGCAUACCUUGCAUAUCAUCACAUUUAUAUAUGUACGAUGAUAUCACCGCCACCUAAAUUUCUCAUUUAUUAUAUUUGAUUAUUUUCUUUUUUAUUUCAUUGAUUUUCUCGUAUAAAAGUAGAUUUACUACGAUUUACCAUUUUGUUGUUGUGCAAUGGUCACCCUUUUUGUUUGAGCUGCCUAUUGAUGUAUUGCUUUUAGAAAAACUCUCAGAAUAGCUUUACAUUAUACUUUUCUAAUUUGCAAUGAAUGCAUCCAGGAGUAUAGGAAAGAAAGAAAUAAAGGGGGGAAAAAAAAAGGAAAGAAAGAAAUACUCCCCGUGUAUCACCUAAACUAGUUUUAAAACUUCUUGAAUUGGACAAGAAUAAGUUGGCUGACAAGCUUUCCUAACUUCUCACAACUUUUAUUAUUGUUACCUUAUAUUUUCAUAAUCGUUAGAUUUUUAUACUUGAAUUGGUACCAAUCUCUCUUUUAUCAAAUUUAAACAGAGAUAAUUGAUUGAAUGACUCAGUCACCUUCGUCCAAAGGAAUUUUUCUUAUCUACAACGUUCUUAUUUGCUCAAACAGAUGGAAUCCAGAAAACUCAUUCAUUUGAUUCUCUUCAAUUGAAAACUCAUCACUUCCUGCAUGUAAGAGCAAUUUGAGUGCCAUAAAGCCUGUAGUGAAUCUACGUAUUUAGGGAAUAAUUUAAAUAGAAAAGUUAACAUGAAGCUCAUACCCUAAUAAAAAGCUACUCUUAAAAUAACAUGAAUCAAGAAACAGAGCAAAACAGAGUAGCUACUAAGAAGAACACCCAAAUUAACUCCUAAAAUUGACCAAACAUAACAAGCAUCAAAUCAAAGCAUUAAAGCACUAAUCAGAGACUUUACACUAAAUUGUUUGUUUUAAAAUAAUGGGAUUUCAAGAUUAUACUUAAAAAGACCUCUUUUUUUUUCUUUUUUUUUUGGGAAGAGAAAAAUCAUCUGCAUGGUUGAAGGAUCAGAAGCUCAUGGAUGGAACCAAUUUGCUUCAUUAAACCCAAAACGGUGUUUCCCGAAGUCGUUUCACCAUGCAAUACCAUCCAGUACGCAUCAAACGGCCGCAACUCAUGUCGUUUAGCUUAAGUGUCUUAAGCCCAAAAGGCGACACUCGAUGUCGUUUUGCUUAUUUCUGAUUUGCUUCACCCGUCACACAACAUGCAGUGUAGAUGAUGUUUUAACUUUUGAAUUUUAUAUGAUUUUAUUUUGUCUUCUUAAAAGAUAUCUUUUAGAACUGAAGGGCACUUUCGAUGUUUCUUAUUUAUUUUACAGUGACCUCUUCUGGCUCUUUCUGCUGAGGGAGGGUACAAACAAUGAAUCAUCAUCAGAUUAAUCAAAAUAUAACCCCACUCAUAAAAUAAAAAUUAUAAAACGUCUCUUCAGAUGAUUUGAGUCACACACAUCAACAAUCAGAAAUCGUUAACUAAGUAUACAAUUUCUUUUUGGACUCGUUUUUUCCCCAUUGUUGAUCAUGUAAGUUACUGCUAUAUAUGUUGUUUUGAUGAGUAAUUAAUGAUCAUGGAAUUUACUUAAUUUGUCAACUUAAAUCAAUCAUUUAAACUUUUCCGUAACAAAACCCUGAAUUUAUAUUUUGAUCAGGAAUCAGGAUUCGCAAUUACAGGAAGGUGCAGCAGGGCAAGUUCCUGGAGAACGAAUUAGCAGUGUUUAUGGAACUUUCUCCCUAAUAUUGGCUACAUUUUACUAUUUUUAGCAAUCGUCCUUAUAAGUGCAUUGAAAUGGACAAAAUUUUGGGAAACAAUGCAGUUUUUUUUCGUUCUGUGUUUGAUUUGCUCAAGAUACUUAAUUCAUUUUACCUUUGAGUUGCGUAAUUAUCAAUUUCGUUUUGAAGGAAGGAAAAGUUUGCGGCGCUAGCUGCUCUUCUACAUUGACAUUUUGGCCGCUGAUCUUCCCCUCCCUCAGGUAAGUCACAUCACGUAUUAUUAAUUUUAUCUUAAACCUUUAUAGUUUAUCGAACUGAAUGUGGUUAUUUAAUUACUUUGAUUUUCUCACACUUGAUUAUUCCAGGUGCUGGUGAUCUCUCAAAGAAUGAGAGGCACAGAGUUUUUGUAUGCAAUGAUAUUCUCACUUCUUCUUUUUUUUUAUAUUAAUCACGAGGUAUCCUGGGGAGGGCCCCAACUGUGGGAGGCACCUUUAAGCCCGUACCACAACCCAGACUAGAAGUCCCCGCUCGAACCGGGAGGCACAGGUUCUCCCAACAAAGGCGACUUCCCUGCGACUCGAACUGGGGAGCAAACCCAGUCAAGACACUUAAGGGGACUCCAUUACUAGUGGAGCCAACACUUUGUUGGUAUGAUAUUCUCACUUCUUAAUAUUUGCUAAGGGUUAUUCGAGCAUACAGCGUGUUUUCGGAGGCAACAUUGGGCUCAGAAAUACUCGCUGAAGCUACAUGGGCCAUUAUUGGCUUCAAUAUUCUUCUGUACAAGAAAGGAGGUCAUGUAAGUUGAUAAAGCACCAUUCAUGUAAGUCCAUUUAUAUUGACUUAUAUGCACAAGCCUAUAAUACAAACAGCAUUAUUGUAAUACAAAUUUGUUUAGAAAUCCAUGGCCUAUAAUACACCAUUUAUGUCCUAGACUUACUUGUCAACCUUGCAAAAUUUUUGUGCUUGGCAACUGGUUUUGUUGAUGUCGUAAUCUGGAUGAGUUGGUUAGUGACUCGAUCUUAGAUCCCUACAUCAGCAUUAAAUUUGUUUGGUGGGAAGCUGCUAGUUGAUCUCCAAGAAGAUCCUCCGACUAUGAGCAGAACAUUCAUGAGUUGUUGAUCAGUGAGCACCGAGAGCAAAUAAUUGAUGAGCAGACGACCAAUGAGCAGAUGAUCCAUGAGUAGAUAAUCCGCGAGCCUGCGAGCACAAAGAACAGUCAGGGGGGGCGGAAGAUUUCCAACGUAAACCCUCCGACACUCAAGUCAGCGAUUUGGGUCUACUUGGAAAAACUCAUACCACAAUUCACAUGGUUUAACUAUGAUUGUUUUAAACAAAAAGCUUUUAAGUAAAUUUAAAAGAAAAUAAUUGAAAAUAAUUAAUCUUAAAGAAAUCAUAAGCAAAAGAGAAAUUUCCUAAUGGUAGAGAGAGAAAAAGAUUCAAUGGAUUCAAUCACCCAAAGGGAUAGAGGAAAAGAAUCCCCCAUUUUCCCAGGAUUUUUAUAGGAAAUUAUAGCAGUUUUUUCUACAGAGGAUGUAAGUGAGGAAUUUAUGAAACUUUUUGAUAAAAAGAAUUAUCUAGGAUAAGCAAUUGAGCAGAAUUCUUUUACAGUGCAUUUUUGCAAUUCACAUAACCAACGUAGGGGUGGUGCUGUUUGUGUUUUUAAUCGGCAAUAUGCAGUUUGACACAGCAAGAUCACAGAAGAUAAGACAGAAGUGGAAGGAGAUGAAGCAAUGGCCAAAUUUUGAGUAUAUUUCUUCUGAUGUGCGGGGGGCAGUUAAGGAAAUACAAGCUAUACAAAUGGCAAGAAACCAAACGUGUUCGUGUUGAUAAUUUGGUGAAUGAUCUUCCUGACGAACUUGGCAACAAAAUAAAAUGUCUGCAUUAAACUGCUCAAGAAUGUGACGUUGAACUAUUCAAUCACUCAGUGACGUUGAAGCCUUUACUCUUAUGGCUGAUGACUUUAAACAUGUAUUAUCUACCAUUCACACAUUUCGAUCCGGCCGCUCUUUUGUUACAAUCAUACCGGCGUUUUGGGAAGCUUUUACUUGAUAGAAGGAAGGCUAAACAAAGAAAAUAAACAAAGUGGGACAUGUAACAACGACACAAUACAAGAAAAUUUAACGGUACUUGUGACUAAAUCAUUGAUGACAAACUGUUUAUUCUUUAUAUUUACAUGUGAAACCGCAGAAAAGGGCCAAAAUUGUAGUUUGAAAUUUUACAUUUGAUUUUGUCGUCAAUUGAUGAGCUCAUAGCGACAUUAAUUUAUUGAAUGAUAAAAUAAUAAUUUUAUAUUCAGUAAACAUAUGAAAUAUGACUUAAAUUGAAAAUUUGAGAUCUUAAUACAUUGGAGUUACAUUGAGUUGGGAGACGAACUUUGACUCUGAAUGAGACAGCACUUAAUGUGUCAUUUAUUUAUUAAAUUUGUUAAUGGUAUGAUAUUAUCUCAUUACGACAGAAAUAUUAAAUUGCAAUGAGUCUAGUCAAUUGGGAAAACAAUUUGUGCGCGAGUAUUCUCAAUUUCCAAUAUAAAAAUUACAAGACAAAAUUAAAAAGGAGAAUGAUACUUUAUAUCUGUUUAGAAGCCAUUAGUUAUUUGGUCAUAUUCAAAAUUUGUUUUAACCACAUAAGUCCAUGAUAAGGGUUUGCCUACCUUACGUUUAACGUAAGGUGCAUCUCUUCCCAUUGCUGUAGAGAAGACUGUACCUUACGUUAAACAUAAGGUAGCAGCUCCCCAUAAUAAAAGUUAUAAGACAAAAUUAAAAAGGAGAAUGAUACUUUAUACUUGUUUAGAAGCCAUUGGAUGUUUUGGUCAUAUUCAAAACCUGUUUUAACCACGUAAGUUCAUGACAAAAGUUACAAGACAAAAUUAAAAAGGAGAAUGAUACUUUAUACCUGUUUAGAAGCCAUUGGAUAUUUUGGUCAUAUUCAAAACAUGUUUUAACCGCGUACGUAAGUCCAUGAUAAAAGUUUAAAAUACCUUUUGUGGAAAGGAUAAGUAUGAUAUUUUUAAUAAAUAAAUAAAUAAAUAGAUCUAUUAAGUAAAUAUAUAUUUUUUUGAUACAUUGAUAUAUUACAAUUUUGAUAUUUAUAAUUAGAAAUCCAUCGGAACUUAUCUUGAAUAAUCUUAUUACAGCACAACUCGAAUAUCAAUCCUCACUAAAUUAGAGAAAUAUUUACCUUCACUAUUAAUUUAUACUCGGAGGCAAGUCCUAGCGCUGACCCUGCGCUGGGACUUGAAUCCAUGCCCUCAAGGUUGUUGAGGGCAUAGGCGUGCCAAUGGAUUACAGGCCCAUUGGCUAGAUUUAUUUAAUAAAUAGAUUAGGUGGAUAAUUUAGUGAGUUCAAAUAAUUUCGAUUAAUGUAUACCCGAAGAGUGAAGCUAUUGGCACCCUUCAUUAUAAAACUCCACUUUAAAUAAAAUUACAUUUAAGGACAAAUAAGAUUUAAACACACUUAAAAAUUUUCGCAACAAAUUACUUUCAUAAUCAAAUUUUUUUUUUGCAUUCAUAAUCAAUUCAUUUUUUCUUUUUAUUUUUUACUUGUCACUUCUCUCUAAUUAAAAUAAAUUACAAAAAUUUAGAAUAAUUUAUUUUUCUUUUCUUAUUUCUUAAUAAUAGAGAAUUUUUAUACCUAAUACUUUCAAAUUAUAAUUUAAAAUGUGUCAUAUCUAUAACAUAAUACUGUUAUGAGUUUUAAUAAUAUACAAAUUCAAUUAAAAACUAAAAUAAUGCAUUUAAAAGGGAAAAAAAGGACGUUUUUGAAAUUAAAUACAAAUAUUCCAAUUGUUACUGUGAAAAUGUGAUAUUUUCAGCACUAGAGCUACCACUUUAUUGCUUAUCGGAUCCGAAAGGAACUGAUGUGGUCCAAUCGUGUUCGGAUCGGAUUGGUUGCCGUCAUAAUCUGAUCACAUUUAGGUAACUUUUCAGUUUUGUCGAGGAGAAAGGCUGUCAAUUAUGUCUACCUAAGAAAGACGUCACAUAGAUGAUGUAAUCAGAUUUUAUCAUGCGUUUGUUCCUCUUCAAUCGAGAACUUGUCACAUCCUGCCUGUAAAAGUUUUUUUUUUUUUUUGAUAAGCUGUAAAAUGUGUUUCAGUGUUUGUGAAUCUACAAUUAUUUUUUAAGGGCUUAUUGGAACCGCUGAACCACAAGUUACAAUAAUUUUUUAUUAUUUAUUGUGUGUGGUUGAAAUUUAUAUUUCACCGUAAAUUAAUUUUUAUAUAGUUAUUGUCUUAUUUUUAAGGGAGUAAUAUAAAUAGAAACUAAUGCAAAGCUACAUUUACUAUUUGAACAAAAUUAACAUGAAUUAAAAAAAAGGGGCAGCUGCAACUAAUAUCAUUAAAUCAAAGGAUUGAAUUACUAACUAGAGAUUUUAAACAAAACUGUUUGGUUUAAAAUUAUGGGAAUUUGAGAUUACACUUACAGUUUUCAUUUUUAUUUUAUUUUUAUUUUUUUGAAGAGAAGAAAGAAAAAAGAUCAGCUAUAUGAUUAAUGAAAGAGCACAUGGUUAUGCCUGGAAGAAGGGAGGUGGGGGGUGAAGAGUAAUUGGAGUCAGUUAUGUCAGGGCCGACUCAAUUAUAUUUAGGGUUUUAAGCAAAUAGUUUUAAUUAGUUCUUCUUGAAAUUUAGGAUAAAAAAUAUAUAUAUUAGUUAUAUAUUAUUUAUUGAAUAUCAUUUCUUUAAACACUCUAAAAUGUAAAAUUAUUAAAUAAAAUUAUAUUCUACUAUUGCUAAUUCAUGGAAUUUUAAUUCAAUUAUAACAUUUUCACUUAUUGUUUUUUAACUCAAAUCACAUCUUUUUUACUACUCCUUUUCUAGAUUAAACUAAUUUUUCUAUUCUUCUAUUUUCUAAAGUUUUUUGAUAUAAUUUUAUUUCAAAAUAGAUAAAACAAGCACAAAAAAAAAAAUAGUAGAUGAAUAAAAUAAUAUAUUAAAAAGAAAUAAGAAUAAAUAAAUAACACAACUAAUUAAAAGAAUGAUAAAAGGAUAAAAUCAGGAAUUUGAGAUGAAAUCAUAAAUUAACUUUAUCUUUAUAUUAAUUGUUUGAGAAAUUGAGUAAUGACCAAUAACCAUAGAGAAUAGAGAAAACUAUUAGAUUUUUUUUUUCUUGAGUGGAAAGUAGAGGAAGCAAGAUUUUUUUCCCUCUCUCUUUCUUUCUCUCAAAUACCAAGAACAUAUCUUGUCUUGAUUGUUGGAAGAAAAAUUUAAUGGAUAAGUGAUAAAAUGUGGGGCUUUUAUAGAGGUUUAAAAUGAAUAUAACACUUUUUAAUUAUAACAUAUUAAUUCUAACAAUAAAAUAGAGAAUUUGUAGGAUUGAAACUAUUAAUUUAUCGGUUUUGUAGGAAUUAAAACUAUUAAGUACUAUAUUAAAUAAACUUUAUAAGAAUUUGAUAUUUUAUUUAGAAAAAGAUCAUUAUAAAAUAAUAAUAAAUUAAAUGAAUAAGAAUGACUUUUAAAUUCAUUUUUCCCUUUUACAUACAAAAUAAUCAUCUCAUGAGGUCUUCAUGUAAAGUGGGGCCCUAAGCAACCACCUAAAUUGCCUAGAGGUCGAGCCACUAUUGAGUUAUGUAACGAACCGCCGGAGCAUUGAUCGGCGUGUAUUAUAUCAAACUGCUAACAUGUAUGAAACAGUCUUAGAGUGCAAAUAAGAGAAUAGAAAUGGUCAUAAUACAGGAACAUUUGUUGGUUCGAAGGAGCAACAAUUAGGAAUGGCUAUUUAUUUAAAAUAUGAAGUGGAAAAUUGAAUUAACUUAUUUGAAAUAGAAAUGGUCACAUGAAAAUUUUGAAUUAAUUUAUUGAAAUAGGAUCCUACAAAUGAAGUGUUUUAAUUUCGUAAUUUAUUAUUAUUAUUGUUAUUUUGUUUUUAAAUAUUAAAAAAAUUAAGUUUAUAAUACUCUAAGCAAAUUCCACAUUGACAAAGUACGAGAGAGAUGUUGAGUUUAUAAGGAGUGAUUUACACCUUAAGACGUAUUUUGGAGUGUAUGGGCGCCCCGGAAACAAACUCAUGCGGGCCUUGUUAAGAGCCAAAGCGAAUGUAACACCCUAGGCAAAUCCCUCAUCGGUAAAGUAUGAGAGAAAUACUGAAUUUAUAAGGGGUGAUUCACACCUUAAGAAGCAUUUUAGGAUAUAUGAGUAUCCCAAAAAUAAAUCUAUGCGGGCCUUAUUAAGGAUUAAAACGGACAAUAUAUUAUCAAAUCUAAGUUAGAUCACGACGGAAUUCGUUUUAGUUUCUAGCGGACAUCCGAUUCAUCGUAAUAAACGUGCCCUUGUCCAUAUAUAAAUUGCAUUUGCCUAUGAAUUCUUCAAUAAUUGAAAAAGAUGGGUGCUUGUGGGACACUCAUUUAUGAUACAAUUUAGGAAUAAGAACUUAGUGACGCAACCAUUACUAACAGCCUCUUUUUUGGAGGUACUCGGAUGGCUAUUAUUGCCAUUUAAAAGAUAACAUAAAUUUUGUAGAUUGCCAGCUAUGGCCGAGCUUUUUUUUUUUUUUUUUGAGAAAAGAAGAAAAAUAGCCAUUUGAAAGAUAACAUAAAUUUUGUAGAUAGCUAGUUAUGUUUGAGUUUUCAAUUUUUUUUGAGAAAAAAAGAUACUUAUGUCUUUGAGAUUUAGAAAAAUGAUCACAUAAAUUCUCAAAUUUUUAAUAAGAUAAAUCCAGACCUCUUUUUAUUAUAAUAUUUUUUAAUUCUAUAACUAAAAAAAAAUUGACUAUAAUAUUUUAUAAUAAAAAAAUAUAAGUGUAAUGAUCCGCCCCGAAUCUCUAGGACGAGUUUAUAUAAUCUCGCCAACCGAAUUAAUAAUAAUCUAAUAUCUAGAAUUCUACCAAAAAUUUGGCAGUCUCCUAUAUAAUUAUGAUAUUCUCAAACCUGCAAUUUUUUAAAUUUAACACUCCUAAAAAAUGAUAAAAUAUUCAAUCAACCUCCACAACUAACUUUCUCAUUCAAAUACCAGUAUCCUUUAAAUAUAUAAUGUCAAGAAUAUAAUAAUUUAUCUUUAAUCACAAAUAAGUAAUAAAUUAUACAAUUCAAAAUAUCCCAACAAAACAUCUAUGAUUCCUAACAUCAUCACGUGGCCAUAAUUCUAAAUUUAAUUAUAGUUGCUGGAUCGAUUGAUGUACCUCCAAAUCUAAUGUGGGAGAGGGGGGAAUAUAAAAAAAAAGGAAUGAGUAUAAAACUCACUCAAUUAAAAACUCUAUAACAUAAUACUAUUUUUAGUUUUAAUAAUAUACAAAUUCAAUUAAAAACUAAAAUAAUGCAUUUAAAAGGGGAAAAAAGGACGUUUUUGAAAUUAAAUAUAAAUAUUCCAAUUGUUACUGUGAAAAUGUGAUAUUUUCAGCACGAGGGCUGCCACUUUAUUGCUUAUCCGAUCGGAAAGGAGCUAAUGUGGUCCAACCGUGUUCGGGUCGGAUUGGUUGCCGUCGUAAUCCGAUCAGAUUUAGGUAACUUUUCAGUUUUGUCGAGGAGAAAGGCUGUCAAUUAUGUCUCCCUAAGAAAGACGUCACAUGGAUGAUGUAAUCAGAUUUUAUCAUGCGUUUGUUCCUCUUCAAUCGAGAACUUGUCACAUCCUGCCUGUAAAGUUUUUUUUUUUUUUUUUUUUGAUAAGCUGUAAUAUGUAUUUGACUGUUUGUGAAUCUACAAUUUUUUUUAAGGACUUGUUAGAACCGUUGAAUCACAUAAUUAAAGUUAUAAUAAUUUUUUUAUUAUUUAUUGUAUACGGUUGAGAUUUGUGCUCCCGUAAAUCAACUUCUAUGUAGUUAUUGUCUUAUUUUUAAGGGAAUAAUAUAAAUAGAAGGGUAAUGUUAAGUUACAUGCAUGUACCUUACAUCCCUCUCACAUGAAUAGUGUAUGAAUACUAUUCAUGUGAGAGGGAUGUAAGGUACAUGCAUGUAACUUAGAGGGAUCCUAAAUAGAAACUAAUACAAAGCUACAGUUACUAUUUGAACAAAAUUAACAUGAAUUAAAAAAAAGGGCAGCUGCAACUAAUAUCAUUAAAUCAAAGGAUUGAAGUACUAACUAGAGAUUUUAAACAAAACUGUUUGGCUUAAAAUUAUGGGAAUUUGAGAUUACACUUACAGUUUUCAUUUUUAUUUUUUUUGAAGAGAAGAAAGAAAAAAGAUCAGCUAUAUGAUUAAUGAAAGAGCACAUGGUUAUGCAUGGAAGGCGGGAGGUGGGGGGGGGGGGGGGGGUGAUGAGUAAUUGGAGUGAGUUAUGUAACGGACCACCGGAGCAUUGAUCGGCGUGUAUUGUAUUAAACUGCGAACGGGUAUGAAACAAUCUUAGAGUGCAAAUAAGAGAAUAGAAAUGGUCAUAGUACAGGAACAUUUGUUGGUUCGAAGGAGCAACAAUUAGGAAUGGCUAUUUAUUUAAAAUAUGAAGUGGAAAAUUGAAUUAAUUUAUUUGAAAUAGAAAUUGUCACAAGAAAAUUUUGAAUUAAUUUCUUGAAAUAGGAUCCUACAAAUGAAGUGUUUUAAUUUUGUAAUUUAUUAUUAUUAUUGUUAUUUUGUUUUUAAAUAUUUAAAAAAAUUGAGUUUGUAACACCUUAGCCAAAUCCCACAUCGACAAAGUACGAAAGAAAUUCUGAGUUUAUAAGGAGUGAUUUACACCUUAAGACGCAUUUUGGAGUGUAUGGGCGUCCCAGAAACAAACUCAUGCGGGCUUUAUUAAGAGCCAAAGCGGACAAUAUCUUGUAAGGUCUAAGUUGAGUUAUGACAUUAUGGUAUCAGAGCGGCUCCGCGUGUCCUCAUGAGUGAUGGUGGGGCAAACUUCAACGAGGACGCUAAGUCCCUAGGGAGAGUGUAUGUAACACCCUAGGCAAAUUCCUUAUCGACAAAACACGAGAAAGAUACUGGGUUUAUAAGAGAUGAUCCACACCUUAAAAUGUGUUUUAUGGUGAAUGGGCGCCUCAUAAAUAAAUUUAUACGGGUCUUAUUAAGGAUUAAAGCAAACAAUAUCCUAUUAAGUUUAGGUUAGAUCAUGACAGAAUUCCUUUUAGUUUCUAGCGGACAUCCGAUUCAUCAUAAUAAUCGUACCCUUGUCUAUGAAUUAUAAAUAGUCUAUAAUAAAAAAAAAGUGAGUAUAGUAGUUUUUGAAAAAAAUAAAUUUACUUAAAAUAAUCUAAUUUUUCCCAUAUUAAUUUCAUCAAAAUAUCAUAAGGACUUCUAGUAACUUUUCAGUUUUGUCCAGGAGAAAGGCUGUCAAUUAUGUCUCCGUAAGAAAGACGUCACAUAGAUGAUGUAAUCAGAUUUUAUAAUGCGUUUGUUCCCCUUCAAACGUCACAUAGAUGAUGUAAUCAGAUUUAUCAGGCGUUUGUUCCACUUCAAUCGAGUACUUGUCACAUCCUGAGUGUCUGUGAAUCUACAUUAUUUUUUAAAGAUCCGUUUAUGUUGCAAUCGCUCUAAGAUAGAAUACUCCUUCAUAACUACAUAAUUAAAAAAUAUAGAUUAAUUUCAGAUUUAAAACAAAUGAAGUCUUUGUUUUUAUUUGCAAGACUUUUAUAACACAUUAAUAUGUAACGCUUCAAAUUUCACCGGCGGAUUGGAUACAAAUUUUUUAUCCUUAUACUAAACAUGUGUAGAGUAGUAAGAAACAAGUUAAAAAAUAAUAAAAACACACACUUUGAUGUUGUUAUUUUUAUCUUAAAGUAUUAAAAUUUAUAUUUCUUUUAAUCUUUUAACUUGUCUUUUACGAUAUUAAAAUAAGAAAAUCCUUUGAAAAUAAGAAAAUCCUUACUAAAAGUAAAAGGGGACUUGCAUGUCAUGUGCACAGUGUACAAUAUGUUUCAAAUGUUACUUGAUAGAAAUUACUGAAAGCAUUGUAUCAUUGGAAAACUCUUGCUGCAUGCUACUAAUUUGACAGUUUAUCAAAUAUUUUUUUGCUGCUCGCUACUUAUGAAUCACGUUUAGUCCCCUUUGAAUUGUGUGCAUCCACCAUCUGUUAAAUUUAUCUUUGAAUUUUCUCGCUUCCAUAAGGGACACAAAUAAGAAACAGACAAGGACGUUCAAAUCCCCGAGUUGUAAAAUUUACAAGAUGCAUCGGGUAGAAAAAUCUUGUAGAAACCUCAGCUGAUGAACUCUGUAAAGAAUAUCCUCAUUCAUUCAGCUAACCCGUUGAACCAAAAUGCAAAAUCAUCCUCAAUAAGUACAAGAAACAAAAACUUUACAAGAAUAACUUAUGAAACUUGAUCAAUUUCUGCGGAGACUACAACGUCAUUUCAAUUUGUGAGGUAAUUGCCAUGAUGCUGACUGAAUCUCAUUAAAUUAAUGAAAAUAAUACAACAAAUGGUACGAUAACUCCAAAUCAGCUAUCACAUUAUUAUUUUUAUUUUUAUAAGUAUCACAUUAUGUAUUUGAUUCAAAUAAGAGAACAAAAUUUGCAUUAUUGAUAGAUAUUAUAUUGUUUCUUGAAACUGUCUCUUGACAAAUCGCCCAUUAAUGCAGUCAUUGCUGACAAAACAACUUCGUGAAAAAGUUCACCAAGAUAGCAAGCUGAUAGAGAAAUCAGACAAUGCAAAGCAUGUCAUCCUCACACUUCAAUUUCAGCGAAAAUGGAUAAGCCAUUUUGUUCAACUUUCACCUCCGGAAGUUGAAAAGGACCGGAAGUUGAAAAGGACAUGAAUGCAAUUAUGCAAGUUCUUAUCAAAGAUGCAAUGAAUGACGCCUAAAAUAGGGAUAGCAAUGGCGAGGGGAGGGGAGGGGACGCACUUAUUUAUGAUGUUCUUUAUAUAUCUGUCUCCUCCUCGUCCCUAUUAGAAUGGUUUGAGGGGAUUUUUGUUUCCUCCCUGAAUAAUAAGAGGGGAUUCCUAAGGGAUCUCCGAUCCCUGAAUAACUGAUACAUUUUUUAUUUCUGAACUUAAUUUAAUAAUAUUAAAAUAAAAUUUUAAACAAAGGUAAUGUUUGAUAAUAUAUCUUAGAUUAACAUUAAUUCAAUACAAAAAUUACACUACAAAAUACAAAUAAUUAGAAUAAUUAUCUUCCUCAACCUUUAUAAUCCUAUAACAAAAAGAAAUUACUCUUAUAUUAAUAAUGAAAUAAAUGAAAUGGGUAUAGAUAUUGAAAUUAAUAUCUAUAUCUAUAUCUAUAUAUAUAUAUAAAGCUAGGACUUGAGGAGGUGAUGUGGCAUCACCAUUUUGCUUCUUUGUAUAUUCUCUAUUAUCUAAUAAAUAGAGAUUUUUUUUUAGAUUUGACUUUUCAUCUCCUUAUAAUUAAUUUGAUUGUAUUUAACACAUUUAAUAAAUAGUAACUUUAUUAAUAUAUAUCAUUCAUCAUCUUUUUAUAUUUUCUUUUAUCUAAAAUAUCUAAAAUAUUGGUGGAUAUUCUUUGUACUUUUUUUUCUCUUUCUAUUUAAAUUCAACAAUAUGUAAUCAUUAAUAAUAAUUAAUUAUAAGUCUUUUGAAACAUUUAUUUAUUUUAUUAUGCUGGCAAUUAAACUUUAGUAGAUUAAAAUACAUGAAUUAAUUAACAUAGGAAGAGAGGUUCUUUCAUUUUCCCUCAACAAUGCCACUAAGGCCUAAUUUUAAUGCCAUAAUCCCAUAUUUAAUUAUGCAACCUUUUGUUGAGUGUCUUUUGGCUUCUUCAAAAUUUAUUAUACUAUCAAUUAAACUUUAGUGCCUUAAAAUACAUCACCUAAUCUAUCUCUCUCUCUCUCUCUCUCUCUCUCUCUCUCUCUCUCUCUAUAUAUAUAUAUAUAUAUAUAUAUAUAUAUAUAUAUAUAUAUAAAGUUGGGACUACAAGAGGUGAUGUGACAUCACCAUUUCUCAUCAUUUCAUAUUCUCUAUUAUCUAAUAAAUUGGUUGAAAUUAAAAAAUAAUUACAUUACAAAAUAUUAAAAUAGAAAAUAAUUAUUAGAUUAUAAAUGAUUACAUGUCUUUUCCUCUUUCUAUUUAAAUUCAACAAUAUGUAACCAUUAAUAAUAAUUAAUUAUAAGUCUUGAAACAUUCAUUUAUUUUAUUAUGCCAACAAUUAAAUUUUAGUGGAUUAAAAUACAUCAAUUAAUUAAUAUAGGAAGGAAGGUUCCUUCAUCUUCCCUCAACAAUGCCAUUAGAGCCUAAUUUUAAUGUCAUAAUCCCAUAUUUAAUUAUUCAAUCUUUUAACAAUGCCAUUAGAGCCUAAUUUUAAUGUCAUAAUCCCAUAUUUAAUUAUUCAAUCUUUUGUUUAGUGCCUUUUGGCUUCUUCAAACUCCAUAAACAUUAAAUAUUUAAGAUUUGUGGUAUCAUUAUUUCUCAUCUUUUUUUAUUCUCUAUCAUCUAAUAUAUUGGUUGAGAUUAAAAAAUAAUUACAUUACAAAAUAUUAAAAAUCUAUAUCUAUCUAUAUAUAUAUAUAUAUAUAUAUAUAUAUAUAUAUAUAUAUAUAAAGUUGGGACUAGAGGAGGUGAUGUGGCAUCACUAUUUCUCAUCUUCUUGUAUUCUCUAUUAUCUAAUAAAUUGGUUGAUAUUAAAAAAAUAAUUACAUUACAAAAUAUUAAAAAUAAAAAAUAAUUAUUAGAUUAUAAAAGAUUACAUGUCUCUUCCUCUUUCUAUUUAAAUUCAAUAAUAUUUAACCAUUAAUAAUAAUUAAUUAUACAUCUUGAAACAUUUAUUUAUUUUAUUAUGCCAACAAUUAAACUUUAGUGGCUUAAAUAUAUCAAUUAAUUAAUAUAGGAAGGAAUGUUCCUUCAUCUUCCCCCAACAAUGCCAUUAGGGUCUAAUUUUAAUGCUAUAAUCUCAUAUUUAAUUAUGCAACCUUUUGUUUAGUGCCUUUUGGCUUCUUCAAACUCUAUAAAUAUUAAGUAGUUAAGAUUUGUGGCAUUAUUAUUUCUCAUCUUUUUAUAUUCUCUAUUAUCUAAUAUAUUGGUUGAGAUUAAAAAAUAAUUACAUUACAAAAUAUUAAAAAUAGAAAAUAAUUAAUAGAUUACAAAAGAUUACAUGUCCCUUCCUCUUUCUAUUUAAAUUCAACAAUAUGUAACCAUUAAUAAUAAAUUAAUUAUAAGUUUUGAAACAUUCAUUUAUUUUGUUAAGCCAACAACUAAACUUUAGUGGUUUCAAAUACAUCAACUAAUUAAUAUAGGAAGGAAGGUUCAUUCAUCUUCCCUAACCAAUGCCACUAGGACCUAAUUUUAAUGUCAUAAUCCCAUAUUUAAUUAUGCAACCUUUUAUUUAGUGUCUUUUGCCUUCUUCAAACUCUAUAAAUAUUAAGCAUUUAAGAUUUAUUAUGUUUGGGGUUUUUUUUUAUUUAACCAACAUCCUCUUUAGAAAUGUUCUUGUCUUUUUAUUUUUUGACUUAUUUAAAUUUUUAAUAUUGUGUGCUUCAUGGAGUACUCUUUUCUUUAUGAGUUAAACAAUGAUAAAGAUAAUUGGAUGAUAAGGGUUAGGUUUUUUAAGAUGUGAGAGUCUGUUAAUACCAAGAAAAAUAGAGAGUUGAUUAGUAUGAACAUAAUUUUUAUUGAUGAAAAGGUUGUGUACAUUUAACUAUACACAUUAAUAUAUAUUUUUAAUGUUAACAAAAAAAUAAUUAACUUUCAUAAAUAACAUUAGUUUUAUAAGGCUGCGUCAUCUUAAAAAAAAUAAUUAAUAUUUUUUAUCAGUUUCAUCAAGUGCAAAGUAAUAAAAAAAGAUAAUACUAAAUUAUUUUUUUAAAGCCGCACGAAGUGCGGUUCUAUUUCCUAGUAUAUAUAUAAAGCUAGGACUUGAGGAGGUGAUGUGGCAUCACCAUUUUGCUUCUUUGUAUAUUCUCUAUUAUCUAAUAAAUAGAGAUGUUUUUUUUAGAUUUGCUUUUUGAUCUUCUCAUAAUUCAUUUGAUUGUAUUUAACUCAUUUAAUAAAUAGUAACUUUAUUAAUAUAUAUCAUUCCUCAUCUUUUUAUAUUUUCUAUUAUAUAAAAUAUCUAAAAUAUUGGUGGAUAUUCUUUGUACUUUUUUUUCUCUUUCUAUUUAAAUUCAACAAUAUGUAAUCAUUAAUAAUAAUUAAUUAUAAGUCUUUUGAAACAUUUAUUUAUUUUAUUAUGCUAGCAAUUAAACUUUAGUGGCAUAAAAUACAUGAAUUAAUCUAUCUAUCUAUCUAUACAUAUAUAUAAAGUUGGGACUACAAGAGGUGAUGUGGCAUCACCAUUUCUCAUAAUUUCAUAUUGUCUAUUAUUUAAUAAAUUGGUUGAAAUUAAAAAAUAAUUACAUUACAAAAUAUUAAAAUAGAAAAUAAUUAUUAGAUUAUAAAUUAUUACAUGUCUUUUCCUCUUUCUAUUUAAAUUCAACAAUAUGUAACCAUUAAUAAUAAUUAAUUAUAAGUCUUGAAACAUUCAUUUAUUUUAUUAUGCCAACAAUUAAAUUUUAGUGGCUUAAAUAUAUCAAUUAAUUAAUAUAGGAAGGAAGGUUCCUUCAUCUUCCCUCAACAAUGCCAUUAGAGCCUAAUUUUAAUGUCAUAAUCUCAUAUUUAAUUAUUUAAUCUUUUGUUUAGUGCCUUUUGACUUUUUAAAACUCUAUAAAUAUUAAGUAGUUAAGAUUUGUGGCAUCAUUAUUUCUCAUCUUUUUUUAUUCUCUAUUAUCUAAUAUAUUUGUUGAGAUUAAAAAAUAAUUACAUUACAAAAUAUUAAAAAUAGAAAAUAAUUAAUAGAUUACAAAAGAUUACAUGUCUCUUCCUCUUUCUAUUUAAAUUCAACAAUAUGUAACCAUUAAUAUAAAUUAAUUAAAAGUUUUGAAACAUUCAUUUAUUUUAUUAAGCCAACAACUAAAUUUUAGUAGUUUAAAAUACAUCAACUAAUUAAUAUAGGAAGGAAUGUUCCUUCAUCUUCCCUCACCAAUGCCAUUAGGACCUAAUUUUAAUGUCAUAAUCCUAUAUUUAAUUAUGCAACUUUUUAUUUAGUGUCUUUUGGCUUCUUCAAACUCUGUAAAUAUUAAGCAUUUAAGAUUUGUUAUGUUUAAGUUUUUUUUUUAUUAUUUAACGAACAUCCUCUUUAAAAAUGUUAUUGUGUUUUUAUUUUUUGACUUAUUUAAAUUUUUAGUAUUAUGUGCUUCAUUGAGUACUCUUUUCUUCAUGAGUUAAACAAUGAUAAAGAUAGUUGGAUGAUAAAGGUUAGGCUUUGUAAGAUGUGGGAGUCUGUUAAUAUCAAGAAAAAUAGAGAGUUGAUUAGUAUGAACAUGAUUGUUAUUGAUGAAAAGGUUGUGUACACUUAACUAUACACAUUAAUAUAUUUUUUUAAUGUUAACAAAAAAAUAAUAAACUUUCAUAAAUAACAUUAGUUUUCUAAGGCUGCGUCAUCUUAAAAAAAAAAUUCAUAUUUUUUAUCAGUUUCAUCGAAUGCAAAGUAAUAAAAAAAGAUAAUAUUAAAUUCUUUUUUUAAAACCGCACGAAGUGCGGUUCUAUUUCCUAGUAUAUAUAUAAAGCUAGGACUUGAGGAGGUGAUGUGGCAUCACCAUUUUGCUUCUUUGUAUAUUCUCUAUUAUCUAAUAAAUAGAGUUUUUUUUUUAGAUUUGUUUUUUCAUCUUCUCAUAAUUAAUUUGAUUGUAUUUAACUCAUUUAAUAAAUAGUAACUUUAUUAAUAUAUAUCAUUCCUCAUCUUUUUAUAUUUUCUAUUAUAUAAAAUAUCUAAAAUAUUGGUGGAUAUUCUUUGUACUUUUUUUUCUCUUUCUAUUUAAAUUCAAAAAUAUGUAAUCAUUAAUAAUAAUUAAUUAUAAGUCUUUUGAAACAUUUAUUUAUUUUAUUAUGCUAGCAAUUAAACUUUAGUGGCAUAAAAUACAUGAAUUAAUCUAUCUAUCUAUCUAUACAUAUAUAUAAAGUUGGGACUACAAGAGGUGAUGUGGCAUCACCAUUUCUCAUAAUUUCAUAUUGUCUAUUAUUUAAUAAAUUGGUUGAAAUUAAAAAAUAAUUACAUUACAAAAUAUUAAAAUAGAAAAUAAUUAUUAAAUUAUAAACGAUUACAUGUCUUUUCCUCUUUCUAUUUAAAUUCAACAAUAUGUAACCAUUAAUAAUAAUUAAUUAUAAAUCUUGAAACAUUCAUUUAUUUUAUUAUGCCAACAAUUAAAUUUUAGUAGCUUAAAAUACAUCAAUUAAUUAAUAUAGGAAGGAAGGUUCCUUCAUCUUCCCUCAACAAUGCCAUUAGAGCCUAAUUUUAAUGUCAUAAUCUCAUAUUUAAUUAUUCAAUCUUUUGUUUAGUGCCUUUUGGUUUCUUCAAACUUCAUAAACAUUAAAUAUUUAAGAUUUGUGGCAUUAUUAUUCCUCAUCUUUUUUUAUUCUCUAUUAUCUAAUAUAUUGGUUGUGAUUAAAAAAUAAUUACAUUACAAAAUAUUAAAAAUCUAUAUCUAUCUAUAUAUAUAUAAAGUUGGGACUAGAGAAAGUAAUUUGACAUCACUAUUUCUCAUCUUCUUGUAUUCUCUAUUAUCUAAUAAAUUGGUUGAUAUUAAAAAAAUAAUUACAUUACAAAAUAUUAAAAAUAAAAAAUAAUUAUUAGAUUAUAAAAGAAUACAUGUCUCUUCAUCUUUCUAUUUAAAUUCAAUAAUAUGUAACCAUUAAUAAUAAUUCAUUAUAAAUCUUGAAACAUUUAUUUAUUUUAUUAUGCCAACAAUUAAAUUUUAGUGGAUUAAGUAUAUCAAUUAAUUAAUAUAGGAAUGAAUGUUCCUUCAUCUUCCCUCAACAAUGCCAUUAGGGUCUAAUUUUAAUGUUAUAAUCUCAUUUUUAAUUAUGCAACCUUUUGUUUAGUACAUUUUAACUUCUUCAAACUCUAUAAAUAUUAAGUAGUUAAGAUUUGUGGCAUUAUUAUUUCUCAUCUUUUAUAUUUUCUAUUAUCUAAUAUAUUGGUUGAGAUUAAAAAAUAAUUACAUUACAAAAUAUUAAAAAUAUAAAAUAAUUACUAGAUUACAAAAGAUUACAUGUAUCUUCCUCUUUCUAUUUAAAUUCAACAAUAUAUAACCAUUAAUAAUAAAUUAAUUAUAAGUUUUGAAACAUUCAUUUAUUUUAUUAAGCCAACAACUAAACUUUAGUGGUUUAAAAUACAUUAACUAAUUAAUAUAGGAAGGAAUGUUCCUUCAUCUUCCCUCACCAAUACCCUAUGACCUAAUUUUAAUGUCAUAAUCUCAUAUUUAAUUAUGCAACCUUUUAUUUAGUAUCUUUUGGCUUUUUCAAGCUCUAUAAAUAUUAAGCAUUUAAGAUUUGUUAUGUUUGAGUUUUUUUUAUUAUUUAACCAACAUCCUCUUUAGAAAUGUUCUUGUGUUUUUAUUUUUUGACUUAUUUAAAUUUUUAGUAUUGUAUGCUUCAUGGAGUACCAUUUUCUUUAUGAGUUAAACAAUGAUAAAGAUAGUUGGAUGAUAAAAGGUUAGGCUUUGUAAGAUGUGGGAGUAUGUUAAUACCAAGAAAAAUGGAGAGUUGAUUAGUGUGAAUAUAAUUUUUAUUGAUGAAAAGGUUGUGUAAACUUAACUAUACACAUUAAUAUAUAUUUUUAAUGUUAACAAAAAAUAAUUAACUUUCAUAAAUAACAUUAGUUUUAUAAGACUGCGUCAUCUUUAAAAAAAAAUUCAUAUUUUUUAUCAAUUUCAUCAAUUACAAAGUAAUAAAAAAAUAAUACUAAUUUUUUUUUAAAGCCGCACAAAGUGCGGUUCUAUUUCCUAGUUUUUAAUAAAAGAAUUUACUCUUGUAUCUCAUACUCAUUCUAUUCUUCCUCGAGGAAUGUUGGAAAUUGAGAGAUAGCAUCAGGUUUCAAAUCUAAAACAAUAAAAAUAAUAUAAGCAAUAUAACUCAUAAUCUAAAAUAAUUUUGGGUCAAGACCAUUGAAAUAAGGUAUGAUCAAAUAAUAAUUUAGGACUACAACUACUUAACCAGGCUUGAAAUUUUUAUAGUAGAUGCGUAUAAAUAUUUUGAUAUUUGUUAUUUAUACUAAUAUUUAAUAUUUUAUAAUUUAAAUUUUAUAAUUCAUUUAUUAAUAAUUCUAAAAAAUAAAAUCAAAAUAAAAAAAUUAAUAUGAGGAAAUGGGGAAAUGGGUAGGGGAUGGGGAUUCCAUCUCAUCUUCGUCCCUUCCCCGAAUAAGAAAUUUGAUAUAAAAUUAUUCUCAUAUCCUCCCCGAAUAGAAAAAAAUCUCCAAGGGUCCCCGUCCCCGUGAGGAGUUUUGCCAUCCCUAGCCUAGACUCCUAUAGAGUAGAGUUAAGCUAUUAAUCACUGCACCGAUACAUCAAAAAUUAAGUAUAUGGAUCAAAGACAUCUUCAUUCAAGAGUCGAGAAAUUUCAAAGCAAAGGGGCCAAAGAUGGUGGUGCCAUUUUGUUCAACUUUCACCUCCGGAAGUUGAAAAGGACAUGAAUGCAAUUAUGCAAGUCCGUAUCAAAGAUGCAAUGAAUGACGCCUAAACUCCUAUAGAGUAGAGUUAAGCUAUUAAUCACUGCACCGAUACAUCAAAAAUUAAGUAUAUGGAUCAAAGACAUCUUCAUUCAAGAAUCUCGAAAUUUCAAAGCAAUGCUUGUCAUUUACAUAUCAAGCAAAGGGACCAAAGAUGGUGGUGCUCUAAUAUUUUGUCUAGUCAGAUUUCAGAUUUACCUUGUUCAUGUCUUUUUCUUUGGUGCAGAAGUUGACCGUGGCCUAUUUCAACAUCAUUCAUCAUCCUCUCAAUCUCCUCCUUUUUCACUGGCAGAACCAAAAAUAUCUUGCACCUCAGUGAAAUAUCAUUGGAGACAAAAAAGUUUCUCCAGCUUAUUCAACAACCAAAACCAGCCAAAUAUCAUCUCCAACCACAAAGCAAUGAGCCAAGUAAUUAAAUUUCCUUGAUGCAGGCUGAGGAAAGCCAAUAAGCAAUCAAAGGAGAUGGAAGAAUAGCACUAUUAAUUCAAGACCAACAAAGUUUGCAGCAAAACUGAUAGUAUUUAUGAUCUUGCAAAAGUCAAUCUUGUCUGGUUAUCAACACUGCAAUUAUAGCUUUUGUGCACCUCAGUUAGCCUUAAAUUGUGAAAGUUUCAGCCAAACCAACAAUUUCUAACCUACUUCUCAUGGUUAUACAAGCUAACUAGCAUCUGCUUCACUGCAUUAUGCUUAAAAAACAAUCAUACUAAAUGUCACAAUUCUGGUAUAUAAAAGUUCAGCCGUCUACACCAUUCAAGUUGAGCAUUUGACUGCAUCUCUAUGGGUACUAUUAAGGGAUGGCAAUAAUCAGUUAUGAUACGAAUAAUUGACAUCCAUAAUCCGAUAUAUCCGUCCACACCCAUGUCUAAUUUUAGAGGUUUGAUAUGGAUAUGGAUUUUUGUUUAUAUGGAUAUUGAUAUGCAUAGAUAUUCGGGAAAAAAAAUUCUACUUAACACUAUAACGAAUAGGAUACUUCUUUUAUUAGAGCUUUGUCAUGCUGAUGAUGUGCAAGAUAUCAUAAAUAAAGGGGAUCGUAGGGAACGAAAUGAAAUAAGUUUAAAGAAUUUGAAAGAAACUCUGAUUAUUCUCUUAUUCAACAACCCGGUGUGAAAUUACAUUUUACACGAGGUCCAUGUAAUUAUAUUUGUCAUUAAGAAUGAGCAUUUGCCAAAAGAAGAGACACAUGUCAUGACAAUGAGUGAUUGACAAGUGACAAAAUUGAUAGACACCCGCCGAAUAUGUCAUAACACAAACUUCUAAAAUUGCUACAGGAAAUGAAAUAUAACGAUGCACGAUGCCCAUCCAAGUUGUUUACUUGUAUUGUCCAACUGUAAAUGAGUACAGACAUGGUACCAUCAAUCGUUGUUAUUAAACUAGUCAUUGACCUCAGUCACUCCUUCAUAACCACAUAAUAAGGAGUGGCUAUUUAUUUAAAAUAUGAAGUGAAAAAUUGAAUUAAUUUAUUUGAAAUAGAAAUGGUCACAAGAAAAUUUUAAAUUAAUUUCUUGAAACAGGAUCCUACAAAUGAAGUGUUUUAAUUUCGUAAUUUAUUAUUAUUAUUGUUAUUUUGUUUUUAAAUAUUAAAAAGAAAAAAAGAAAAAAAUUGGUUUGUCUUUAGUUUCUAGCGGACAUCAGAUUCAUCAUAAUAAGCGUACCCUUGUCCAUGUAUAAAUUGCAUUUGCCUCUGAAUUCUUCAAUAAUUGAAAAAGAUGGGUGCUCGUGGGACACUCUCAUUUAUGAUACAAUUUAGGAAUAAGAACUUAAUGACGCAACCAUCACCAACAGCCUCUUUUUUUGGAGGUACUCGGAUGGCUAUUAUUGCCAUUUAAAAGAUAGCAUAAAUUUUGUAGAUUGCCAGCUAUGGCCGAGCUUUUAAAUUUUUUUAUUUUUUUUAGAGAAGAAGAAAAAUAGCCAUUUAAAAGAUAACAUAAAUUUUCUAGAUUGGCAGUUAUGUUUGAGUUUUCAAAUUUUUUUCAGAAAAAAAGAUACUUAUGCCUUUGAGAUUUAGAAAAACAAUCACACAAAUUCUCAAAUUUUUAAUAAGAUUAAUCAAGACCUCUUUUUAUUAUAAUAUCUUUUAAUUUUAUAACUAAAAAAUUUGGCUAUAGUAUUUUAUAAUAAAAAAUAACUAAAAUGACCCACCUCGAAUCUCCAGGACAAAUCUAUCUAAUCUCACCAACCGAAUUAAUAAUAAUCUAAUAUCUAAAAUUCUACCAAAAAUUCGGCAAAAUCUCUUAUAUAAUUAUGACAUUCCCAAACUUGCAAUUUAUAAAAUUUAACACUCCUAAAAAAUGAUACAAUAUUCAAUCAACCUCCACAACCAACUUGUUCAAUCAAAUACCAAUAUCCUUCAAACAUAUAAUGUCAAGAAUAUAAUAAUUUAUCUUUAAUCACAAAUAAGUAAUAAAUUAUACAAUUCAAAAUAUCCUAACAAAAUAUCUAUGAUUCCUAACAUCAUCACAUGACCAUAAUUUUAAAUUUAACUAUCGUUGUUGGGUCGACUGAUGUACCUGCAUAUCUUUUGGGAGGGGGGGGGGAGGGAAUAUAAUAAAAAAAUGUGAGUAUAAAAUUCAGUGAGCUCAGUUGAGUAUAUUAUGAAAAAAAAAAUUUACUUAAAAUAAUCUAAUCUUUCCCAAAUCAAUUUCAUCAAAAUAUCAUAAGAACUUAAAUAAACUUAUUUAAUUUAAAUCAUGUUUUAAUAUAACAAUAAUACAUAAUACGGCAUGAAAUCAAGGAAAACAUGAUACUUAUAAUAGCAAACACCAAAUACCGAAUCUAUCACCAAACAAGUACUCGGGGGAAUAAUCUCAUCAUAUCCGGACCUCGACGGAUCGGCAAUCAGAGAACCAUCAUGGCCCGAAGCUAUACGAAUAGACGGGGAAGUACUAUCUCAUAUCUCAUCAUAUAUGUGCAUGCAUAAUCUAGUAUCCAAAGGACAAGGCGCCCAAGAAUGCGGUCCAAAGCUUGUGUGUGUACUCAGAGGGGCCCCAAAGACCUAUAUUUCAUCUGUAUCAUCAUAUCUCAUCUGUAUUUCAAUAUCUAUAUCUCUGUAAUCAUCAUACUACAUGCAUAUGCCCCUAAAAGGCAAAAAUGCCCAAACACAAGACCCAAAGCCUCUAUUUGUGUUCAAACGGGCCCUAAAAGCUUCUCAUCUCAUCUGUAUCACUGUAUUUAGAUGGAAAGAGUAUUGUUUAAUGAGUUUAAAAACAACAUCUUAUACAUAUAUACAUAAACAUAAAAUGACACUUAAAUCUCAUUUCCUUUUCAUGUAACAUACUUUAAAUCUACUUUAUUCUCUUUAAAACCAUUACCGUGCAUUUACUGAAAAAUGAUAAUAAAAUCAUUAAUCAAACUCAUUUUUUGUAAUAAUAAAUAUCAACAUAUAGAUAAAAAUCCAUUUUUUAGAAAGUUAUUAAAUUCGACUGUUAAAUACUUAUUUAUCAAACAUGUUGUACUGUAUCAUAAAAUCAUAAUAUAUUAUGAAAAUCGAUUUUGUAUAUUCCACUCAUAGUGACUAUGUUCGAGCUCGAAAUCGUCAAUGUCUGUGGGUUGAUUCUUGUUCAUGGAUCCUCCUAAUAUAAUGAAAUAACAUAAUCAUUCUCUUAAAUAUGAAAUACAACUAAUUUUACGUAAUAAAUUUCGAAACGAAUAUCUAUCAAUAAUAAACUAUUCCCGUAUGCAUAAAAUUACCAAAAUACCCCAUGCAUGCCAAAAUUACCAAAAUGCCCCUUAUAUCAAUAUUUACCAAAUUAUCCUCAUAAUCCUAAAUUACCAAGCUGACGUCAAUUCAGAUCACAAAAAUAACCACAAUGUUAGAAAUUAUGAAAUUACCCUUAGAGAAUGUCCUUAACAACGUAAAUUACUAAAUUACCCCCGUAAUCUCAAAUUACCUAACUGCCCUAGUCCAAAAUUACUAAACUAUCCACCAAUUUUGGAAAUCACAAAAUUAUCCCCCACCGUUUUGUGAAAUUACCGAACUACUCCUGGCAGUUAAUGGUGACCGGACUUCGGUCGACGGCGACGAGAAGAUCAGAUCUGAUAGUUCUUAUCUCAGUGAGUCCAAUGGUGCCGGCGGUGACCAGCCACGCGCGCCGACGGUGGUAGAUCGAGCUUCCCUAGUCGCGAGCUUUUCGGUGGUCGAUCGGUGGAAUUCCAACCGUUUCAGGCAGCGAGUUUGGUUGGAAAAUGAUGAGGGUGAGCUGAGGAACAAGAUCCAAGCAGUGGCGCGGCCUAAUUCCGGCGAAAUCAAUGGCGACGAAAACGAGUUGAGAUGUGGGUUUUUCAAGCUUGAUCGCCGGCAUUCUACCCAUUUUCCGAUGAGGUGACCGGAAUCGGUGGCUGGAGUUGGGUCGGGUUGCGCGAUUUCGGGUCGGGUCAGGUCAAACUCGGUCAGCUUCUCUCUUUCUCUCUCUCCCUCUCCCUUUCUCAAUUUAUACAACCAAUUCUCUUUUUUUUUUUUCAAAGCUUAAUACAAAUUAAGCUAAUACUGAACCCAUAUUGAAAAAAAAAUCCGACUACCCAACCUUUUAAUCACGCUCAAUUUGUCUUGAUUUAUUGUCGCGACAAAUUUAAAAUAAUCCAAACACAAUAUAUAUUAAUAAAUAUGUAACAUUUAACAACCAUCCCCCAUAAUAUCGGGAAAAAAUUGAGUUGCAUCAACUUCACUGUAAAAAUUCGUAACGAGUCUACUAAAUUUAAAAUUAAUGCCAAAGGAGAAAAAUAAAAUGAUACACUUAAUUAGCAAAUUUAAAGCGCAUAUAUUACAAUAACAUUAAAAUAAAUGAAAUAAUAUAUACAUUUAAAUAUUUUAAUAUUUACAAUCUAUUAGAUAUAUUUUAUUAUAUUAAAGCAAAUUUUUAAUAAUAAAUAGAAACAUAAUAUUGAAUAUUUUGUACAAUUUUAACAUUAUUAAUGAAGAGAUUUUGUUAACUUUAAAAUCUAUUUAACUCAAAUAUUUAUUUAAAAUCUUUGUAAUAAAUCCAAAUAUAUUAUUAAAUUUAAUAAUUUUAAAUGUAAAAAUAUUUUAAUAUUACUACUCUAUAGAUAUAUUUUAUUCUUUUAUAUUAUUUUUGUAUUAAAUAAAAAUUUUAAAGUUAAUUUUUUAGUUACUAUAUUCAAAGUGUAUUAUGAUUAAAAAAGGAUCCUAAAGUCUAUAUAAUCAUUUUUUAAAAUUUUAGGAGUGUAAGUGUUGAUUUUUCUUUUUUUUAAAUAAUUCUUUUCGUACAAAACUUAUAUUCACGUUCUUUUAACUUCUCAUUAAUGCAUUUUCAUUGCCAGGGUUUCUACGUUUUCAAUCAAAAAUCUAGUGAAGAAACUGGAAAAUGUUGGAGGAAACGCUAAUGCAUUAUACGUACAACCUAAUAAACAAGUUGUUGGAGUGUACGGCUAGAGCAAUUUGUUUAUGGUCAUCUGUGCUUGUGUAUACUAUUAGUAAAUCUAUUUUGCAAUGAACCCAAAUAAUCAAAUUGUCCCGUGGUACUUACGGUCCAUGGAUCUAAUAAUUUUUGCUUCUUUUUAUUUAUUUAUUUAUUGCAUAUCAUAACCUGUCAGUCUCAUAAUAUUGUCCAACAAGAUUGCCUUUUUGAAAAAUUUCACAUAAAUCGGACACGGGUGAUUAUGUUAUCCUUUAAUUUUUCUAACGAAUAUAAUUUUCACUGUCAUUUUGUGUUUUGGAUAGGUGGAAUGACAGUGACCUGACUGAAAAAUAUGUUAUCUGGACGACGAACGACCAAGUCAAGGUCUUUUAAGUGUACAGUCCAACUCCUUUUAAAUAGCAAUUGAAUUCUGCACUUUAAGCAAUAAGUUACUCGGCCAAAUUUGCAGAAAUAUUUCAAAGUUUAAUUCUUCACUUGGAUUUUUCAUUGCUGAUCAUGUAAGUUAGUUGUUAUUAUUAUUAUUAUUUUUUCACCAAGGUAACUCUUGUGCUUACACUUUUCGCGGAGCUAGUUCUAUUUUCUUAAUGUUCUAAUUUUCAAUGAAUGUAUUUGGACAAAGCCACGAACUUGUCUUUUAGAGGACUUAAAUUGUAUUAAUAUUGCUGAUAUAUUCCUUAUAAAUAAAAAAGAGCAAACAAAGUUCUUAUAAAAAACGCAAGGAUAGCAGACAGUGAUUUUAAUUUUUUUUUGUUGAUGUUAUCUCUAUUUUAAUAAUAGAUGAUUGAUUGAUUCAAUCUUCUUCUUGUCCAUAAUUAAAAUAACUACUUUCUACUUCCUAAAGGAAUCUCUAAUCUGUCGAAAUGACUUUAUACACAUUUGUAGAAAUCAAUAUCUUGAUUAUUUGGUUGUCAAGUGUAUAUAAGUUAUACCGUCUGUUAGUUUUUUUAAUUGGCAUGUUUGAUAUUUUUCAACCAAAAUUCCCCUUGAUUGGGAAAAUAAACCAUUUCCUGCUCAUGUUUUUUAAUCCUACUCCAAAAUUCUCAUCUUAUUUGGUGAAAAUUUUAUUUUUGGGAUUUAUACGUGCAACCUAAUCAAGAAGUUGUUGGAAUGUGCUUGUGUAUUAUUUUAAUAAAUCUAUUUUGCAAUAAACCCAAAUAGUCAAAUUCUUAAUUCUCCCGUGCUAUAUAUAUGGUCUGUGGAUAUAUUAAUGUUUGCUUCUUUUAAUUAAUUUAUUUAUCUUUUGCAUAUCAUAACCUCUCAGAUUACUGUCUAACAAGAUUGCCUUUAAGUUUGAAAAUUUUCACAUAAAUUGGACGCGGGUGAUUAUGGUGUCCUUUCAUUUUCUGACGAAUUAAUUUUCACUGUCAAUUUGUAGUUUGGCUAGCUGGAAUGACAGUGGCCUGACUGAAAAAUAUGUUAUCUGGACAAAGCCAUGAACUAGUCUUUUAAAGGACUUAAACUUGUAUUAAUAUUGCUGAUAAAUUCCCUAUAAAUCAAAAGAGCAAACAAAGUUCUUAUAAAAACUGCAAGGAUAGCAGACAGUGAUUUAUUUAUUUAUUUUUUGAUGUUAUCUCAAUUUUAAUAAUCGAUGAUUGAUUGAUUCAAUCUUCUUCUUGUCCAUAAUUAAGAUACCUACUUUCUACUUCCUAAAAAAUCACUAAUCUGUCGAAAUAAGUUUAUACACAUUUGUAGAAAUCAAUAUCUUGGGAUUGUUGCUUGUUAAUUAUAUGUAAGUUAUACCAUUUCUAUGUUUUUUUUAAUCUGCUCGGCAUGUUUGAUAUUUUUCAACCGAAAUCCCCCUUGAUUGGGAAAAUGAACAAUUUCCUGCUCAUAUUUUGAAAUCCUACUCCAAAAUUCUCAUUUUAUUUGGUGAAAAUUUUCUUGAUGUUGAUAAACUUAUGUUAACUGUCAACUAAUGUUAAAUUAAGUCAAUUUGUUUUUCAACUAUCAGAUUUGGUAAUUUCCCCCUUUUUCCAGUGUAUGCAAAUCCACGACAACCACCCUACGCCUCCUUCCCUUAUUUUUCAAGGAAGUAUGUGAUUUUUUAAACUGGGUUUUGAUUGCUGGCAACUGUAAUAUGUUGGACUUCCGUAAUUGGCUUGUUUGUACUGUACAGAUAUAUAUGUAUUAAAAAAAAAAGGAAAAAAAAUGACAAAACCUUAACUUGCGUUUCGAUCAUAUCAGGUCUCAGGAUCCAGAAGCAGGUUCAAAAGAUAAACGAUAUUCUAAAGUGUAUGGUACUGGAACGACGUCGGCCGAUAAAGAACAACCUACAUGCUUAGGUUGCGUUAAAAAUCUUCUAGGUGUCAUACUUCUUUGUGUGGCGCUAUUAUGCUUUAUAAUAUUUGGUGGGACAAUAAUGCUAGUACUUUAUUACCUGUUGAUUACAAUGAUUGUGUUAUAUCAUGAAACCGGUAAAGCGAUAGCGAGAGCAAUACUCAGGAUUAAAACAAUCAAGGAUAAAGAAUAUAUUGAUGGUCUAAUGAAUGUGACUGCAAUGAUCCUUGAUGUGACUGCAAUCAUCCUUGAUCCUUUAUUCUUCUACAUUCUGGUGCUGGAUGAUGAAAAGAAAUGCAUUCACUGGGACAAAACCUUGGGGAUUACAGCUACCGUCAUCCGUUCCGUCCUCGAUUUCCUUAAGCUAGGCCAUUUUAUCUCUCACUCUAAGCUGCAUAUGGCAAAGGGGAACCAAAGAGAAAAAUUUAAGUAUUUGUGGGGGCAGUUAAAAAAUUUCAAGGUGUAAUUUACUUUCGCUAACUAGUUGUUUCUUCAACUUCCAUAAUUUAUAUAAAUAUAGUCUCCGUUAUCUUCUUUGCUCCCUACGAAGUAUUUGCUUUUUUUUUUUUUUUUGCCUUAAAAGGGAGAAGGAGAAGUACCUGAAGAUCCAAUGGGACGAAUGCGGAAGCUCUUCCUCAUUGACUGUUUGGCCAUCCUUCCCAUCCCCCAGGUAAAGGCACUAUCUAAUUUACAAUUACGUAAAUUCUGUUUAUUGACAUAUUAUGUAGUUCAAUCCUUCCCAUCCCCCAUGUGCAUAUCGUAAUAGUCUGCUUGAUUCCUGUCAUAUGUACAUCACAAAGUGGUUUUGAUUGUGAUAAAGAUAGAUCUUCAUACGAUUCAUGUCAAGGAUAAUGAUUUCAAUGUCAUUUUUCCCUUUACUUUGAUUAAAGUUGUAUUUAGACAUACAACCCUAAAUGUUUUGCAUGGAUAUUAGGGGUGGCAAUUUUCGCUAGUGAGUAGUGUUAAAUUUCAGCUAUAGGAAUUCGAUACUUUAUUAAUCUUGUUAAUAAUUUCAAACACCAACUCCACCUGUCUAUUAAUAAUUAUGUCACAUGCUUAAUAUGCUUUGAAAGUAUAUUUUUAAAUUUGACUUGUUUACAAGUUUUUAAUAUAUUUGUUUAAUUAAGAUAUUUAUAGUACUGCCUCUCAAAUUCAAAUCAAUUCUAGUCUUAAUAUAACUAGAUAAUUUUGAAAUAUAUACAAAUAGAAAGUAGUUCAAUUGUAUCCAAAAUCUAGUCGUACAACCAUUAUUAAUCAAAUAGUUAAUUAUGUCAUAAUUACAUAGGCUCACGUGACAGUAACUUAAAACCUGAAGAAGUGAAGAGAACAAAAAAUAUUUGUGUUCCUUUUCACCAACGCGAACAAACUAUUAUUUUCAUGCCAUUGGAAUCAGUUUCGCAGGUCAUUUCAAAAUUUGUCACCCCAGCUAUACCAUCAUUUUGCACAAAAAUAAAUAAUCAAUUUUGUUCAUAUUCAAUAUCCUUCAAAAUAUUUAUUUCCAUUAUUCCAUAUCAACUAAUAGGACAAACCGUCCAGGUUUUGGUGAUUUUUGGAAUAAGAGGCCCAGGAUUUUCGACGGCAAUGACCUUCUUUAUUUUACAAUAUUCGCUAAGGGUUAUUCGAACGUACUUUCUCUUCACACAUGCUACACGGGUUUCAGGGAUACUUGCCGAUGCUACAUGGGCCAUUUUUGCCUUCUAUCUUCUUCUUUAUCUGCAAAGCGGUCAUGUAAGUUCAAAGUAUCAUCAUUUUACCGAAAUAUUUUUUGGGAAAUUACAAUUUUUCCACCAUAUAGAUCGCCAAAUUAAAGGCCAAAAACAUUACAAAAUUUUGAAAUUUACAUUUUUAUUCAAGAAGUUUCCACAAACACCAUUUUUAUAUUAAUUUUUUUGGAAUCAGAAAAGCAUGAACUACGAUAUUCAGUAUUUUGUAAUUUAGAAAAGCAUAUUCUAAUAAAACUAGAAUUUUAGCAACGCCCAGUUAUUACACAUAUAUACGCACAGUCAGUUAGCUUUUUUUUAUGUAAAUUUUAGAUAUUGGAAUUGUCGAUGUAUGAUUUUCCCUCUACUCUGCAAAUUAAUUUUUCUGCUAAGCUAUCUUUCAGAUGUUUGGAGCCAUAUGGUACUAUAAUGCCAUAGAAAAAGUGACUGAAUGCUGGAGGGAAGCCUGCAAAAAUCAUACCGGAUGCAGCGGUCAUAGUUAUUUUUCCUGUAAUAAAAGUUCCAGAGACUACAAUUUUCUAAAUGAUUUUUGCCGUAUAAGUACAGGAAGUACUACCAGCUAUAGUUUUGGAAUAUAUAAUGAUGCUCUUCAGUCUGGUAUUGUGGGGGAGACAGAUUUUCCUAAGAAAUUGAUACGUUGUCUACGAUGGGGCCUGCAAAAUCUCAGGUUUGCUGUUUUUUAUAUGGCUUGGAUAAUGAUUAUUGUGCAUGUGAUCAGGUCCGUUACAGGUUCUCUUAGUCCGGUGCAGGUUUAUUUUGUAGUUCUUUUCGCAUCCAUGUAUUUUUUUUUUCCCCAAUUCUCUUUUAUUCUUUUCUUUGUAGCUUUAUGCAUAUUGUAAGGGCUAAAUUUUAUUAAAACCCACUAAUUAGCCAAUGCAGACCAAGACAUUUUAUUGAAAGGGGCUACAUCUAAUAAUACCAACAAUAUACAUAACAUAAGGGAUUAAUUAAGUUUAAAUGAUAAAAUUAAGCAAUUUCAUAAUUUUUAUUAAAUUAAGAUGACAUGUGAAAGUAAAUGAGGGAUAUUUUUAUUAUUUUUGAAAGGUUUAACAAGGAAAAAAUACUGUUUAAUUUUUUUAUAAAUUCAGAAUAAUUGAGGGGUAUGUUUUUAGGGGUUUAUUUCAAACGAACUCUUUUAUUCAGCUCAAAUAUUAAAAAAAUCAUUGGGGGUUUAACUAAUAUUUCCUGCUAAGGUCUCGAAUGAAAUUUCAGAGGGGUUAUAUGAAACAUUUCUUUUCUAUCGGCUGGUCAUUAGGUAAGUUCAAUCUUGUUUAUUCUCAUAAAAAGAGUACGAAUGUUUGGGCCACGCACAUUAUUUAAAUAUGCAAUUAUGGGCUUUAGUUACCUUACAUUAUUAUGUAAGUUUUAUAAUUUUUUUAUCUAAUGGUUGUGGGAAUAAUGUGAUUUUAUUACUUCAUAUUUUCAUAACUAUUGAAUUUUCAUCAAAUGACUAUGAAAAAAUUAUACAAUUUACGUAAUAAUGUAAGGUAACAAGCUCCCGCAAGUAUGUAAUACUUAUGAACUGUAUUGAACUUUUUGCAGUGCAUUUGGUCAGAACCUCGAAUCAAGUAACGAUGUCGGGGAAAAUAUCUUUGCAAUUUGCAUGACCAACUACGGCGUAGUUCUGUUUGUCUUUUUAAUUGGAAGGAUGCAGGUAACAUACAUUUUCUGUUUCUUCUCGAUUUCUCAAUUAACUCUCUCCUCGAGCUCUUAAUUACCUUUGAUCCUUUUAAAUCUUGGAACACGAUAUACAUAAGUUUUAAUUAGAUUUGAAAACACACAAGUUAAUUAUUUAGGUCAAAUUAAUUAAUGGCUAGAUGUACAGACUGAAAUUGCAAGGUCACAGAAGAUAAACCAGAAGUGGCAGGUGAUCAGGCAGUCGAAACACUAUGCGGAUAUCUCUCGUGAUCAAAAUGUCCGAGGGCAGUUCAAGAAAGCCAAGCGUGAAAAAUUGGCAAACAAACAUGUUGAUGUUCGCAUAGAUAGUUUUAUAAGCGAUCUCUCCCUCGACGCUGAAAAACAAGUAAAACGCCAUAUGGGCCGAAAACUGCUCAGAAAAGUGAGUUUCUAUUUCUCUGGAUAAUAAUAAUCCUUAGCUACGUACCUGCCUCUUAUUAAUUAGUUAUUCAUCAGAAGAUGUCGAAGGGGGAAUUUUGUUAGAAUUUUUUUGUGUUGACGUCUUAUAGCAACAUCUAGAAUGAUUCUUCAUUGUAUGUCCUUGAUUGUUAGAAAAUUAAUGGCAAAUGAAUUAGUAAAUAUGAACCAUAUAGGAGCAACAAUACAUAUAAUGACACAAAAUUUUUGAAUGCUGUCAAGAGGGCACCGAAUACGAAAGCAUUUUUAUCUUAUUAUCAUUUUCUUCUUAGUAAACGAUAAUUAAGGAAAAGAGUAAUGACAAAGAGUACUGAUCUGGUCCAAGAUUUUGAAUCUUAUUAAAGUUUGAGAAAAUUAUUAAGUUAUAAGGUCUAAUAGUAUAACACCAUUACACUCUUAAACAUAAGUUUUCACAAGUACGCAGUAGAUGGUGAGAUAAUGUGUAAUUAAUAGUGUAAUUGAGUAAUGAUGCUUCUUGAUGAGCCAUCAUCAAAUGGGUGAUUUUGACAAAAGUUAUAGAAUUUAUGUAUUUCAAUAUUCUAUAACUUUAUAAUCGUUGUAUAUAUUUGUAUUGACUCUGAUUCUCCUUUAUCAAGGUAGAAGAAUUACUUAAUGUAUUUCAAUAUUCUAUAACUUUAUAAUCGUUGUAUAUAUUUGUACUGACUCUGAUUCUCAUAUAUCAAGGUAGAAGAAUUUCAAAAUUGGGAUGAGUUCUAUUUGGACUAUCUGUUUGGUUGUCUGAAGCCAGUCGUCUUUAGUGAAAGGACUGUAAUUAUUCAGGAGGGAGAUCCAAUUAAUGUGAUGACCUUUGUGUUGCAAGGCAAGACUUGGGCCUACUCCAACAGCUUGCCGAUCACUAGACAGAGACAUCAAGAAGAUUGUGAUGUUCGCCGAAAAGAACUCAUAGACUGGGCUAAGAAUGAAAACUCGUACCAGCAGCUCCCUAUCUCAGACAGAACCAUUCGAGCACUUACCGACGUUGAAGCCUUUACUCUUAAGGCUGAUGACGUGAAAUGUGCAUUACUUUUCCGUCUUGUUUCCAAAGAGGCAGCAACUCUCAUACAAUCAUUCUGGCGUUUCAGGAAGCACAAACAUGCAACGCCAAGAACAUGCAUGGUCGGCUGUUUCAGGACACAGGACAAAGUUGUACUGCAUUAGAUUAACUAUUUGGGAUUGGACUUGAAGUAUUUAUUACACUAAUAUAUCUGUUAUUUAUGUUUGGUGUUUCUGUUUAGGUAUCGGAAAUAAACUACUUCUGUUGAGUGACAUAGUAGAUUAGGGGUGUUCAGAAUCCAAUUCGAUCCGCUUAAUCCGUCCGAUCCGUUUAAUUCGAUCCGUAUAAAUCCAAUCCGUGGAUUGGAUAUAGAUUGAAAAUUUAAAAAUCUGCAGUCGAUGGAUUGGAUAUGGAUUUACUUCUGUAAAUCCGCAGAAAUCCGUGAAUCCGUAAAAAAAAAAAAAAAAAAAAAAAAUAUAUAUAUAUAUAUAUAUAUAUAUAAUUAAAAAAUUAUUAUAAAUUUAAUUAAAAAAAUUAUAAAUGUGACAUUACAUAGUUACAUAAGCACUAUAACAUAUUUUAGCCAUUACCCAAUAAUAAUAUAAAAUAAAAAAUAAUUAAAUAAUCAAAUAUACAAAUAUAACUUGUAAAAAUUGUAAAACAAAAUAAAAGCAAAGUCACACGCACUAGCAAAAGCAAAGUCACAUGCACUAGCAAAGUAAAGUAACAUAACGCCAAGUCACCAACAAUUUGCAAAGUCACCCAAAAGCAAAGUAACAUGAUGCCAAGUCACCAACAAUCUGCAAACCCUAAGCUUUCCCGCCGUCACACACACUAGCAACACUCAAUACUGAUUGGAUACACUCUCGACACGGAUUUGAAGGACAUCGGCCGCGCGAUUCCAGCGAGAGCAAGCCAUCUUCUUUCCCAAGUCCAUCGAGCCACUUCACAUUCAUUGGUUCCAGCUGAACAAUUUCACUAUCACAACCUUCAAGAUCGCCACCCGUACGGCUUCUCCUGGUUCCCAUCGUGGACGGCUCCGUAAUCACCACUUUUCGACAGGCGCAACAGCCCUAGUGAAGGAUCAUACUGUAUUUGGUUUCCGAAACUUCGCCAUUUCAAUUAAUUGUGGCUUUAUUUGAACAAUUAAUUUCGGUGUUAUGUUAACGUAUUAUUGUAACUUUAUUUGAACAAUUAAGCUUAGUGUGUUAUAUUUUGAAACUUUGAACGUAUUAUUGUAGCUUUUUUUGAAUAAUUAGUCUUGAUGUGUUAUAUUUUGAAACUUUAAAUGUAUUAUUUUAGCUUUAUUUAAAUAAUUAAUUUAUUUAAAUUUUAUUCAAUUUUAAAUUUAAUUGGUAGCAAAAUUAUUUUUAUUUUAGAUUUUUUUUAUUUCAUUAGUUGGAGAGAACUAAAAAUUUUUAAUUCAAAAACUAAUGCGUAAAAUGGUGGAUUGGAUAUAGAUUAAGUCAAAUCCGUAUCCGAUCCGCAGACGUAUGGAUUGGAUAUGGAUUGAGUCAAAUCCACAUCCAAUCUGUAGAUGUAUGGAUUGGAUUUGGAUUGAAUUUUAUCAAUCCAUGAAUUAGAUUGGAUUGAAAAAUUAUAAUCUGCAAAAUCAUGGAUCAGAUAUGGAUUGAUGUCCAAUCCGUAAAAUCCGAUCCGCGAACACUCCUAUAGUAGACUAUAAUUAUCUGGUACAUGGUUUUGGAUGAAAAUAGUGUAAAUAGCAAUAGAACAACCCAUAGAUCACAGUCUAGGGAAUGAACAAAUGCACAAUUCCAGUCAAGUGAAUAAUCACAGGAUAUUUUCAUCAACUUUUAAUAAAUAUAAAAAUGAAAACUACGCAGAGAAUAUUCUUAAACACAAGUUCUAUGACUGUGAUUAUCAAUAUUAAGCAAUCAACCUCGUACAAUCAUCAACUUGUGAUAAACUAUUCAUGCCAGUAACAUGACUAUCUUAUUAAUUUCAGUUCACUGCAAAGUGAAAAAAAAUUAAUCACAUCCUCUUCGACUAAAAUUGAAGUUAAUUCUUGGCUCCCUUCAACAAAUUUUCUUUUCUAGUACUCUAUUAUUCACGUUCAUCUCAUAAAAGAUAUGUAGAGAUUGUCAAGUUAUGUAAUCAACUUGAGCAACAUCUUCCCAAGAUUACUGGAUUAGAUUUACAAGAUGAAUUAAAGAUGAUCUGAACUUACAAUGAUUUUAAACAACUCAAUAUCACAACGAACCAACAGUAAGCAAUUAAAGAAACUAAAAGAAACCCAAGAAUUAACUCAGACACAGCAAGUUACGUGGCUCAGUCAAUUCAUCAUUGACUUACAUCCACGGAGGAACAAAUUGACCAGCUUUAUUGAUUGAACCAAGUCUCUUUUACAACCAGAUUUAUAGAGCCCUAAUCAAGGAACAAGAACACUAUGUUUACACAAGCUCUCUCUCUCCUGAAUCCUCUGAAAUCCUCUCGGUUUGUUACACCAGAAUUAGCUUCAGCUUAUGUGUUUAUAACAACCCAGAAGCAGCCCAAGCUGAGCACGUGAGCAGCAUAUGUCUUUAACGGCUUUUAACAGCCUUCUUACGUCAUUAAAAACUCACGCGCAUUGCUCGUCAUUAUUAUAACCCAAAGCGCUAGAGUCUUAUGUCGUUUCUCAAAGAGGUAUUAAGAUAUCCUGAAACGCAGAUUGCUGUGCCGUUUUCCUUUUGACAUCAAAUGCCAAAACGCAGAGCUUCCUGUCGUCUCCUUAAAUCUCUUUUUGAUUUGUUUCAUUCUGGUCCAACAUAACUCCACCUUGAAGCAAAUCAACCCUGAUCUAAUUUUCUCCUCGUCCCUCUGUAUAAUUAGAGGCUAUCAACACCAGCCAUGUUCAAGCAAGCUUUGAACUUGGCUGUAAGAACAAUUUUAGUAAGUAUGUCUGCUGGGUUAUCAUCUGUGUGAACCUUUACUAUCUUGAUUACUCAUUUUGACACUUCAUUUAUGAUAAAGUGUAGUUUGACAUCAAUAUGUUUGGUUAUUUUAUGAUGAGCUGGGUUUUUGCUUAGGUAGAUGGCACUUGAGCUAUCACAAUGGACUUCAACUGUUUUCUGACUCAUCCCCAACUCUUCGAUCAUCCCUUUGAGCCAUAAAGCUUCUUUGAUAGCUUCUAUGGCUGCUGUGUAUUCAGCUUCUGUUGUUGAUAGAGCAACAACAUGUUGGAGACUUGCCUUCCAACUGAUGAUGCAUCCAUUGAGCAUAAACAAGUACCUUGUUAAUAAUCUUUUUCUGUCAUUGUCUCCAGCAAAGUCUGAGUCUACAUAACCCCAUAGGCCACUACUUCUCCCUUCUGAUCUUCCAUACAGCAGUCCAAGUUUCUCAGUACCAUUCAGAUACCUUAGUAUCCACUUAACUGCUUGCCAAUGCUCAUUCCCAGGUGUUGCCAUAUACCUACUAACAAUGCUUAUAGCAUAAGAAAUAUCAGGUCUUGUUAAGACCAUGGCAUACAUCAUACACCCUAUAACAUUAGCAUAUGGAAACUUUGCCAUUUCAUGUCUCUCUUCAUCUGUCUUAGCACAUUGCAGAUUGGAGAGCUUGAAAUGGGAGGCUAGUGGUGUCAAUACUGACUUACAGGCUGACAUCCCAAAUGUCUUAAUUAUCUUCUUCGCAUAGCCUCAUUGUGACAGAAACAUUGUGCCUACCUUCUUGUUCCUCAUUAUAUCUAUGCCUAAGAUCUUCCUAGCACGUCUUAAAUCCUUCAUAUCAAAUUCUGAACUCAGUAGCUCUUUCAACGCUUCAAUCUCAUCCCUUACCUUACAAGAAAUUAACAUAUCAUCUACAUACAUCAACAAGUAUAUGUAGUGAUGUGUCUUAAGUAUCUUGUAGUAGACACAACAAUCGAAACUGCAUCUUUUGAAUCCAUUUGUUGUAAUGAACUCAUCAAACCUGAGGUACCAUUACCUUGGGGACUGUUUUAAACCAUACAAUGAUUUCUUUAGCAAACACACAUGUUCUGGUCUCUCUGGAUCCACAUACCCCUCUGGCUGAACCAUUAGAAUUUCAUCUUGUAAUAUUCCAUGAAGGAAUGCUGUUUUGACAUCGAGUUGAUCAAGCUCCAUGUCAUAAACUAUAGUCAUAGCUAGCAAUACUCUGAUUGAAGUAUGUCUAACUACUGGUGAAAAAACUUCUUUAAAGUCAACCCCUUCCUUUUGAGUGUAGCCCUUAGCCACUAACCUAGCUUUGAAUCUCCUAAGUUCUGAAGCUGUCAGGCCAUCCUUAAUUCUAUAGAUCCAUUUACAACCAAUGAGUUUUCUUUUUUCAGGUUUUGUUACUUGCUCCCAGGUGUUGUUUUUAUAGAGGGAUGAUAUUUCUUCAUCCAUUGCCUGCUGCCAAUCAGUUUUGUAUGAGCUUUGCAUUGCUUCUUUAUAGCUCAUUGGUUCUUCUUCAUCAACCUCUUGUGAGGUGGCCAGUGCAUAUGCUAUAAGAUCUGCAUAGCCAAACCUCUUUGGGGGUCUUAUUACUCUUCUCUUUCUGUCUCUAGGUAGAUGAUAAUCUUCUAUAUGGGAGGGUUUUGGGUGUUCUGAGCUUGUAUCCCUAUCACCAGCAACUUCUUUAUCUGAAUCUACAGCUUCACCAAAGGUUUUCUUUGCUGGAUGCUUCACCUCAAACUGUAUAACAUCAUCAGUUUUAUUUUGAGGUUUAGCAUUUUCAACAGGGUUUUUCCUCACUUAGCACCAUCUGCUCAUUAAACACCACAUCUCUGCUGACUAUACAUUUUGGAGGGGCCAAGUCUGCGUACCAAAUCUUAUAGCCUUUUACCCCUUCUGGAUAACCUAUAAACAGCCCCUUUAGAGCUCUAGAUGCUAGCUUUCCUUGGUUUGUAUGUGCAUUGGCAGUGCAACCAAACACUUUCAGCUUGCUGUAAUCUUCUAGUUUACCACACCACUUCUCAUGUGGUGUUUUGAAGUCUAAGACUGGGGAAGGGCUCAAAUUUAAUAGCAUGCAAGCUGUCAGUAGUGUUUUUGCCCAUAGCCCUUUAGGUAAAUAUGAUUAUAUCAUCAUGCAUCUUACCUUCUCCAUCAAAGUUCUGUUCAUUCUUUCAGCCAAGCCAUUCUGUUGUGGUGUUAGUCUCACUGUUUUGUGUCUAGCAAUGCCUUCUUUUGAGCAGUAUUCAUCAAACAUAUGAUUACAAUAUUCUAGUCCAUUGUCAGUUCUAAGAAACCUUCAGCUUCUUCCCUGUUUGAUUUUCAACAAGUGCUUUCCAUUCUUUAAACCUCUCAAACACAUGAUCUUUGGUUCUAAGUACAUACACCCAAACCUUUCUAGAGUAGUCAUCUAUUAUAGACAUAAAGAACCUAUUGCCUUCUAAAGAUGGAACCUGUGAAGGUCCCCACAGAUCUGUAUGCACAUAGUCCAGGAUACUUUUGGUUUUAUGGACAGAUUUCUUAAAGCUAGCUCGUAUGGAUUUCCCUAGAACACAAUCCUCACAGAAAUCUAGUUCUUCAAUCUUGUCACCCCUCAAAACCCCCUGCUUUUCUAAUUCUUUAAGACCAUUUAGGCUUAUGUGUCCCAAUCUUAAAUGCCAAAGCCUGGUAUUAUCAGCAUUAGUCUUGACAGACACAUUGGAUUCACUAGUCAUUACUUCCCCAUCCAGGACAUAAACCCCAUUUCUCCUUGUGCCUUUCAUAAUCAAUGUUGAGCCAUUUAGGAUUCUUAAGUCACCACACUCUAAUUUUAUACUACACCCAAUUUGGUCAAGCAUCCCUAGAGAGAUUAAAUUCCUUUUAAGGUUUGGUACAUGCCUGACCUGUUUUAUUAGCCUCACAAUCCCAUCAUGUAGUUUUAGAUGUAUGUUUCCUAUCCCAAUGACCUUACACAUUGCAUUGUUUCCCAUCAUUACCCUUCCCCCAUCAUAUUCAUGGUAAUCUGAAAAGUAACUCUUUACAGGACUCAUAUGAAAAGUAUAGCCAGAAUCAAGGAUCCACUUACCUAUCUGCACUUCAUCAGUUGCCACACACACUCCAGCUGAUUCAUAUCCCUCAUCUUCAACUAUUGCUGCAUCUCCAAUCUUUUGUUUAUUUUUAGGGCAAUCUUUCUUGAAGUGUCAUUCCUUGUGACACUGAAAACACUUCAAGUUCUUGUUUUUGUUCUUCCCCUUUCCUUGCUUCUUUUUCUUUCCAUCAAUUCUUUCAUUUCUUCCUUUCACAGUUAAUCCCACUCCACUCUCUGUGUUAACUUGCUUUUCUUGUAGACCUCUGGUAUUCAAUGCAGCCUUAACCUCAUCUAGAGACAAGGUUUGUCUACCAUACAUUAAAGCAUCCACAAAAUUGGAGUAUGACUGUGGUAAUGAACUUAUCAGAAGUAGAGCUUUUCCUUCAUCAUUCAGGCCCUCAUCAAUGGUCUCCAAGGUGUCACAAACUUUGUUGAACUCAUCGAUAUGUUCAUCAAGAGAUGAUCUCGCAGCCAUCUUUAAUGAAAACAUCAUCUUCUUUAUAUAGAGCCUAUUUGCCAGUGACUUUGUCAUGUACAGAUUCUCAAGUUUAGCCCAUAGCUCUGCCACUGUUCUCUCCUUUGCCACUUCUCUAAUAACUGAGGCACUCAAACUCAGAAUUAUCGUGCUUCUUGCUUUCUUGUCGAUCUCAGCAGCCAGUUCUAGAGAUUUUGAUGAAGAUACCUCAUUCCCUUCUUUCUUGGUUGUUGGUUCUAUGGUUUCACCUAGGCCUUGAGUAAUUAACAAUGCCUCCAUUUUCACUUUCCACAUAUUGAAGUCGUUCUUCCCAUUAAACUUUUCAAGAUCAACUUUAGGAGCAGCCAUACUUGUAUCUGAUCAAGAAACCGAGCUCUGAUACCAAUUGUAGAGAUUGUCAAGUUAUGUAAUCAACUUGAGCAACCUCUUCCCAAGAUUACUGGAUUAGAUUUACAAGAUGAAUUAAAGAUGAUCUUAAUUUACAAUGAUUUUAAACAACUCAAUAUCACAACGAACCAACAGUAAGCAAUCAAAGAAACUAAAAGAAACCCAAGAAUUAACCCAGACACAGCAAGUUACGUGGUUCAGUCAAUUCAUCAUUGACUUACAUCCCCAGAGGAACAAAUUGACCAGCUUUAUUGAUUGAACCAAGUCUCUUUUACAACCAGAUUUACAGAGCCCGAAUCAAGGAACAAUAACACUCUGUUUACACAAGCUCUCUCUCUCCUGAAUCCUAUGAAAUCCUCUCGGUUUGUUACGCCAGAAUCAGCUUCAGCUUCUGUGUUUAUAACAACCCAGAAGCAGCCCAAGCCGAGCACAUGAGCAGCAGAUGUCUUUAACAGCUUUUAACAGCCUUCUUACGUCAUUAAAAACUCACGCACAUUGCUCGUGAUUAUUAUAACCCAAAACGGUAGAGUCUUAGGUCGUUUCUCAAAGAGGUAUUAAGAUAUCCUGAAACGCAGAUUGCUGUGCCUUUUUCCUUUUGACAUCAAAUGCCAAAACGCAGAGCUUCCUGUCGUCUCCUUAAAUCUCUUUUUGAUUUGUUUCAUUCUGGUCCAACAAGAUCAAUUUAUUAGAAGACGAUAUUCCUCCAUCAAAUUGAAAGAGAAAUUGAAAAUAUCAAAAAGGGAACAGUAAGACGAUACUAUAUAUAUUAUCAUGAUAUUUUUGGUUUUUGUUUUGGAAAUGGAACAUCAUGAAACCGAGUAGAGGUGCACAAAAAUGGUGAAGAUAUAUUUCAGCUUCAUCGAUUGUCUCGAAUAAAAACAUCAAUGAUGUGUUAAACAAUUAACUCAAAAAUAGAUUGCUUACCUUAAAGGUGUGCCCAAAUUAUAAAUUUCAGUUUCGACUAUUGACCUUGGUUCGUAACGCGAUAAACUAAUCCGUGGCAUUUCACAUACCCAACAAUCUUGUAAGAAUUGGUUGAACUCUCAGAUCCCAUUCCACAACAUGCAAAACUCCCUGAUAUUGCCAAUGGCGGUGAUAUGAUUCAUUUAAAGGGUUCCCCUUGUUGCCAAUUACCUUUAAAGAACAAUAAACUAUUGCCAAUGUUCUCGACACGGUUCCAUCACUCUGAAAAACUAACGCAUGUGAGCAAAACAAAGGCAGUCAAUUAUGUCACUCCAGUAUUCAGAGACAGAUCGCCGACUCAUAAGUGAUUUAGUGGGCAAUCCAAGAAAGAUGUCAUAGAUGAUAUAAUCAGAAAUUUCUUCCUCCAUCAGUUUUAUACAAUUUUUAACAUCCCUUUGAGAUUCUGGUCAAUUAAGAACUUAAUCAGUUCCUGCAUGUCAAAGUUGUUUGAGUGUCAUAAAACCUGUAGCGAAUCUACAUUUUCUGGGAAUAAUUUAAUAUAAAACUUAGCAGAAAGCUAAUACAAAUAUGCAGUUUUUAUUCGAACAAAAUUUAUGUGAACCAAGAAACAGAGCAUAACAGGGUAGCUGCAACUAAUAACACACAAAUUAACUCGUAAAAGUGACCUAACAAGCGUCAGAAUCAAUGGAUUAAAGCACUAAUCAGAGAUUGUGAACAAAACGUUUGUUUUAUAAUCAUGGAAAUUUGAGAUUACAUCAGCUAUAUGAUCCAUGAAAGAUAAGAAGCUUAAAGUGAGUUUAUGUAGCAUUGAUAGGCCUGUAUGGUGUCGCCAGCGCAGUGGCGUCGUCGGCGUGAGUGCGAGUGAAUUUUGGGAGACCUCCGGCUCCGGUUCCGUUGACUUUGCAUUAAAUUUGGUAAUAAUUUUUUUUUUAAAAUUUAAAGUGUUAAAAUAUUCUAUUUAGCAGAAAAUAGAAACAAAUUGCGAAUGAGAUUAGAAUCCAAAUUUCAUUGCUAUCAUUUGAUAUAGAGGCAUUUCAAGUAAACUUUGGUCGUUUUUCAUUACCCAUGAGAGUGAGAACAGAGAACUCGAGUUAUCAUAUUGAAAAAUGGUAAUGAGACAGAAUUUAAAUCCUUACAAACCAAUAAUUAAUUAAUCGGUGUUAGUUUAUCGUGUUUGCAGCUAUAUUUUAUUGGAAACCUUAAAAAAGAAAUGGAAUCUUUCAGUUCAUAAUGUAUUAUUAUAUUUAUCCCACUCUUGUUUAUGACAAUUUGCAUCUGAGCCAGCUGGAAUGCUAUAGACUGAAAAAAUUAACAAUGUUUUCUGAGGAUGACUGACCAAGUCAAAGUCUUUGAGGCGCACAAUUAAUCUAACCGGGGCGAGCAGAAAUUACUGUAUUUAUAAAAUUUUGAUUCACUAGUUUCAAGUGAAAGAAAUAUUAAAAUAUAUAUCAUUCGCAUUUAUGAUGGAGCCUCUAACGAUUAUUAAAUCAUUUUAAGCAUUUAUGUAUGACUAUUACAUUUAAUUAAUUGUAUUGCAUAAUUUGCAUAGGCUCCUCCACUUUGAGGCAGUUACUUGGGUUCAAAUUUGCAGUUGCAGAGCACCAAAGUUUGCUUUUUCGAUCUACUUGGAUUUUUCUUUGUUGAUCAUGUAAGUUAUACAUACAGCACUGCAAAAUGCCUCUACAAUAUUGCCAGUUUUCGUAUAACAUGUCCUUAGGAGGACUCUUGUGUACAUAAAUAUGUUGUUCGGUUAAUGUCGGUCUCGUUUAAUUGUAAUUCAUUGUAGAUCCAAAAUUGUAAACUAUUGUUUCUUUAGCCUGAACUUGUGAACCAACUGAUUUGAUCAUCAGGUCUCAAGACUUGGACGCAGAGGAAGGUCUUAAAAGAAGGCUUCUGCACGGAGAUGGUAGGCCCAGUGAUGGAACAAAAAACUCAUCAGUUGUGUCCGUAACCGGAAGAUCCGGAACGCAAGCAGUAAAGACAAGUUUUCUUCAGCUGGAAAAGAUGAGAAAUUAUGCAGCAAAUUACAGAAUCGAUUUACCAUGGUAUGUGAUUUCAAUAUUAUGGGAUCCUUUGUACUUCUACACUCUGGUGAUCAAUGAUGAAAAGCAGUGCAUUGAAAUGGACUUUUCUUUGGCUUCCUUGGUGAUUGAACUCCGCUUCUACUUUGAUUUGGCCAAGUUGAUCCACAGUUCGUUUGUGAUUUGUGUUGAAUAUUUUGAAAAUAGAAAGAUAAGCGUGUGGCUGAUGUUCGCAUGGCUCAUUGACUUUGUGUCCAGUAUAAUAUUUACCCAGGUGCGUAAUAGAUCUGAAUUUAAUUUAUUUAGUUGUCUAAUAUUUCAAUAUCAUUUAUAUGAUUACUAAUACUUCAAAUUCAUAAAACAACAUCCAGAUGGUGGUGGGAAUAACGGACAUUCUGUACUCGAGGAAUUUCUUUCUGUUUCAAUAUUUGCUGAAGAUUAUUCGAACCUACCACCUGCUUACAGCAGCAACAGGGGUUUCAGGGAUAUUUGGUGAAUCUACAUGGGCCAUUGUUGCGUUCAAUGUUCUUCUUUACAUGCACGGCAGUUACGUAAGUCAAAAGUACUAUCAUUUAUGUAAGUUAAUUUAUAAUAAAACCCUUCUCAGGCAAAAAGAAAAAUUAAAAUAGAACCACAUUCAUGCAUCCUGCUUUCUUCCUUCCUAAUUUUGAUAAAUGAAUUCUUUUAGUCCUUAAGAUUCGAGUUAAUUAUUCAGUUACUACUGUCGCAUAUAUUGUCAGACAGAAGUAAUGACAAAGACAUUUUUGUGUAAUUCUUAAAAAUAUGGAGAUUAACUGAAUAAUUAACCCAAGCCCUCGUGAAUGAAGGGAAAUUGACACUCGAAGCUUUUCUACUUUCUCAACCGCGCAUGUUUCUAAUCGAGUGGUCCUUUAGGUAUUUGGUGCCUUGUGGUACUUUUUUGCCAUAAACAAAGCGACCGCAUGCUGGAUGGAUACCUGCAUGAAGAAUACUGGUUGCUGGGGCGUCUUAAACAUUGAUGCCUAUUGUGAGGGCCGUUCAGGAGACUAUAAGUUUCUAAACGAUGUUUGCUCUGUAAAGACGGGAAACUCAACAAACAAUUUUUAUGGCUUAUAUGGUGAUGCUUUUCAGUUAGGAAUUGUGGGGUUGACCGAUGUUCCAAUGAAAAUCUUGCUUUGUUUACUAUGGGGACUGCAAAAUCUCAGGUUUGUGCCUUGCAUUGUCGUUACUGUGUGAUGUGAGGUCAGCCGUUAAUAACUUCGAAAAUUGUGAGUUCAUUGAAUUGCUUUUUGCAGUGCUUUUGGUCAGAGCCUCCAACCAAGUAACGAUUUCUGGGAAAUUAUCUUCGCAAUUUGCAUGACCAACUAUGGCAUCGUUCUGUUUGUCUUCUUAAUUGGAAAGAUGCAGGUUCACAUAUAUAAAUUCUAUAUCGUAAUUGUUAUGACAUAUGAUGAUAUAAUAAAUUAUCAUGCGUUAAUUAAUGACCGGCAUCUUACCAUCUCGCUGUUACAUAAAGAAAUAUUUUAGGGCUGUGAGAAUGCCAUGUCAAUUAGAAUUAAUACAAACUUUGCAUCCCAAUUCCUUAUAAAAUUAGCGUUACUCAUAAUUUUCUGUUUACGUCUAUAGAUUUGAAGAUUGAUGCACAAUUCAAUUAUUGACUCUGUUUCAUUUGAAAUAUCUGAUACAUAAAUAUAUAUGCAGUCUGACACAGAAAGAUCACAAAAGAUCAAACAGAUGUGGGAGGAGAUAAAGCAAUGGCAGCACUUUAAGGAUAUAUCUAAUAAAGUUCAAGAUCAAAUAAGGAAAGACAAGCGCAACAACUGGGAAGAAACCAAAGGAGUUGACAUAGAUAAUUUGGUGAAUAAUCUCCCUAAGGACACUGGAAAAAAAAUAAAACGCGAUCUCGGCCGAAAGCUGCUCAAGAAUGUGAGUUCUCAUCAUCCCUCUUUAUAAUUAUAAUAAUUGAUCACUUUUCUAUCCUGCCCGCUCUGAAGUUCAAAUGUCUCGAUGUUUCAAUCAUUUUCAUUCUUAACCUGAUCGGGCGAGCCAAAUUAAUCCUUCGUUACAUUAAAAUUACAGAUUCGUCUUAUUUUCCCUCUUUGAUUGGUACUCCUUCUGAAUCCAAGCAUCGAACCUAAGUCAUACCUCAUUGAAGUUCAUGGGCUUAACUAACACAUGGUCAAAAGCUAGCUAGUUCGUAGUUAGGUUGAGAUUUGCCUCAAGGUUAAAUACUUUAUUCAUGAUUUACUCUUAGCUGACAUGCAAUGUUUUACAUACGCAGAGAGAUAGAGAUAGUCAUUCUCAAAUGCACGCCCUCAUUUUUUUUAAUAUGAAUACUCUGUUAACAGAGUUAAUUUCCAAUAAAUUGUAAACCCAUAGCAUUAAAAAUUGACUUUAUUAAACUGCAUAGUUUAGAUAUGUGUCCGCAAGAAAAAAAAAAAAGAGGGCACCCGCACUUAAGAAUGAUUAAUAUAUAAUAUGGACGCCCUCAUUUUUUUAAUCAGAAUAUGCUCUUAAACUGUGCAGUUUAGGAGAGUUAAAGACUAACUCUCUUAAACCUCAUGAUUUAAAAGCGUUUUUGUAUGAAAAAAAUGAGCGCGCUCGCACCAAAAAAGAACUCUCGGGUGUGUGUGUGUGUAUAACUUUUUAUAAAUGUAUUUUUAAAGUCACAUGACGAGGUGGGCUUUCAUUCUUAUAACUAAUCUUUGUUAUCUCGAUUUACCCAUGUAAUGGUUGGAUAUAUUUAUACUCUAAUUCUCAUUCUUGGAUAUGUGUAAAUAUAUAUGAAGGUAAAAGAGUUUCAAAAUUGGAGCGAAACAUCAUUAGAGGAACUAUGUGAUUGUUUGAAGCCAGUGUUCUUUAUUGAACGUACUCGAAUAAUUCGAGUAGGAGAUCCAAUUGAUGAGAUGCUCUUCGUGUUGAAUGGCAAGCUUUGGACUUACUCAUAUGACUUCAUGAAUGUAACAACAACUGCCUCUAUGUUGAUCCAUCGUCGUAGCCGGGAAAAUCUUCUAGAAGAUGGUGAUUUUUGCGGACAAGAACUUAUAGCUUGGUCUCAAAAUGAAAGCUCAUCACCCCACCUCCCUAUCUCAACCAGAACCAUUCAGGCACUUACUAACGUUGAAGCUUUUACUCUUAUGGCCGACGACUUGAAACGUGUAUCAUUACUUCGACAUUUUGAUCGGGCAGCUCUUUUGUUACAAUCACGCUGGCGUUUCAAAAGGCUGUUGCGUGCUAGAAGGAAUCCAGAGAAACGAUCACGCCUGGAAUCACUAAUGUAUAAAUUUAUAUAGAGAAACAUAUAUACGUUUGUUGCAGCAUUAUAAUUAGUCCCGAUUAUGUAAAAGCAAGUACAGAAAGCCAUUUAAAUAUGGGAAACCAACGUGCUGUUGCUCAUACUACACUAGGGGUGGCAAAACGAAUUGGCAAAUCGAAUUCGUGUAGAAUCCUAAAUGAAUCAAAUCAAAAUUCGAUGGAUUCAAAUUCGAUUUGUUUAUUAAACGAAUCGUAAUCUCAUGAUUUGGACUCAAUUCGUUUAGUAAACGAAUAUUCAUUUACAAUUCAUUUACUAUACAAAGUUAAAUUAAAUAAUAAAUAAUGAAAGUUUUUAAUAAAGAAUCCAAUGGAUUAAUUUAAAUUUAUUUAAAAUCUAAUCACAAAAUCGAUUCAUUACAACUAGAUCCAAGCAAAACACAAAUACAAUUCAAAAACAAGAAGCUGAAGAAACUCAAAGGCAUGAGGACGGACGAAGCUAACAGUCCAAUCAGUGGUGGGUGUGGCUAUUCGAGACCUUGUCACUACCGUAACCAAGAGAAGUGAAGCUUGCCGAAAAAUUUUAAGUGAGAGCACUGAUCUAAUUUUUGGGAGUGUUUGGUUUGGCUUUCGUUUGGGGGAAUGAAGAAAAGGGUCACCAAAUUCAAGUGAAAGAGAACAAUGGAGGAAGGACAAUGAAGAGUGGAGCUAGGCUCAAUUAAUGAGUGAUGAUGCCCUUGCUUUCAUUUUCUUUUUUGGUUUGUUUUCAUUUCAUAAUUUCAAAACUAACCUUAUACCUUGAAAUGUUAAAACAGAUUUUUUUUUUUAAUUUUAAUGAUAUAUAAGUUUUUUAUUAAAAUCUAUUAUACUAUUUGGUUACAACCUAUUUAAUAAAUGAAUUAUAAACGAAUAAAUGAAUUGUUGGCGUCAAAUUCAUAUUCAAUUCGUUCAUUUAACAAAUCAAAUUGAAUUCACUCAUUAAUCAAAUGAAUCAAUUUUUUUAACUCAGACCAAUUUAAUUCAACUCGAAUUAAAUCAAAUUAACAAAUCCUGACCCGGCUUGUCACCCCUAAUAAUAUGCAAAGGUAAUAAUUGAGUAUUAUGUAAAUAGUCGAGGUUAAAUGGUAAAAGAUGAAAACUAUAGGGGGUAUGUGUCAAUAUCGUUUUUUAUUAAUUUAACAACCGAUGGUUGAAUGAUUCAACCUUCUUCAUCCAAAUGGAAUUUUUCUUAUGUAUAAUGUUCAUUUAUGCUGAGACAAAUAGGUUAUCUCUUUCCACGUUGUUUUUUUCACCCAUUUUGGGCCCGAUAUAGCUGAGUAAUUGUGAUGAUGUGAACGGUCUUACACUUGAAUGAAGUCACAAUGUGAGUCAUACACUUGUAAUUUUUUGAACAUUUGUAGUUAGCUAGCCUUUGAUUGUGCUGUUAUUAAAUUUCCAAUUUUCGUCUUUUAAACGAUGACUUUUAGAAUGGUACCACAAUAAACGUUCUGGUUAGCCUUUGUUUGAUCAGCUGUUGCUAAAUGCCUUGUUUUUAUCUUUUAAUUUAAUAACUUUUAAAAUGGUACUUUAGAUGUUAUGAUACCAUUUCGAAACAACAUCGUUGUUAGUCUUUGGUUGAGUUGUUAAAUAUCUUGUCUUUGUCUUUAAGACGAUAACUUUUAAGAUGGAAUUUUGAAUGAUAACUUAAAGCUUGGACGUUAUUUUGUCUAUUUUGGCCGGCCAUUACCCAUUAAAACAACACUUUAAAUGAUUAAAUUUAUUAUUUUACUUUUAAAACUCACAACACUCUCUAAACAUGGUUUACUAAAUAACCUAAUAAUUUUUUUUUUUGUUUAGCUGAUUAUUUUUGUAAACACGACAUAAGCAGAAUAUUUUGUGAGCACCAACAAUCUCCAAUAAAUAAACUUUUAGAGUGGCUUGCCUACAACGUUUCUUUCUACAUGUUUUUCUACACCCAUUUUGUGCCCGAUCUAGCUGAAGUACUUCUGAUGAUGUGAAGGAUCCUGCACUUGAAGGAAGUCAAUCGGCCAAUUUUGCAGAAACCCUAAUUUUGAUUCUUCUACUUGGUUUCUAACAUUAUCGAUCAUGUAAGUAACUGAUCUAGGUAUUGGUACAUAAUAUUCGUCGAUUAAUUUUGCCCUUGUAAUUCCUUGAACAUUUUUUUCUUCCUGGACAAAUCAAAAGCACAGACUGCAUGAUAAACAUUUUGGUUAGUCUUUGUUUUAGCAGUUGGUUAAUGUCUUGUUUCUGUCUCCAAAAUGGCUUUUAGAAUGGUACUUAAGAUGUUUCUAACUUUACAGUGGAUGUAUUUGGGCAAAGCUACGAAUUGAUCUUAAAGGACACACGCACACAUACAUCUUUAUUUUUGAACAUCCAAAAAGGUUCAAAUGAGUGGAAAGCAAGUGUGAUGAUCAAGAAGAAAUUAUUAUUACUUUUGAUGUUUUGUUAGUCUUCAAAACAGAUGAUAGGAUGAUUCAAUCUUUCUAAAGAAAAUGCAAAUGAUGAAACAUAUGUAUAUUUUUCAUUUUGGAUUCUUCUUAAUUACCCAUUGUUGAUCAUGUAAGUAAAUGUUGUUGUUUCCAACAUUGAUCAUGGAAUUUUGCCAACUUGACACUUUUUAAACAGUUUUUCUUUGCCUGGAUCACUUGAAGAAGGGUUAAAUGCUCUUUAUAUCUCUGCAAUUGAUACCGCUCCUUUUCGUUUUCUUAGAUACGCUUAGAUUUACAUUGGAAAUCCUUUUACCCCACUCGAUAGGAAGUUUUAUAAUUCAGCGAAAUUUCAUUGUGAUUUAUUUUAAAACCUUGUUUUGUUAAAGUUAAUUUGCAAGGGAGUCGUAAUUUUUUUUUGAGUUUUUAAAUAUUGUUAAUUAUACUCAUCUUGAAAAAAUUAAAAUUUUUAAUACGAAUGUAAAAUGUCCAACUUUUUAUUUUUUUAAAUUAAAUUUUCGUAAAUUUGUAUAUUUAUCAAAAAUAAAUUCUAACAAAUAAAAAAGUAAUUUAAAUUAAUUUUCUACUUAAUAACAGUUAUAUUCCUAGCAAAAAAUUAUUUUCUAUUAGGGAUCAAAUAUUUUCCUUUACGGAAAAUGAGUUUUACAUGAUUAAUAAUUAGAGUGAUAUAUAAAAACUAAUUCGUGAGCACAACAAACAUUUUCCAGUAUUUAAACAAUGAUUUUUUAAAAUAAUAGUGAAAAAUCAUUCAUUCAUUUGAAUUAAGUCUAAAUUAGAGGCAAUGAUGUUGACGUAUUUUACAAAGAUGCCAAGAGUAUUUGUCUGUUGAGCUACUACAAUGUUGUCAUAAAAUUUACGCAUUGCAAAAAAAUUCUAAUUACUCAUAACGUGUCUUGAUCAGGUCUCGGAACCCGCAAUUAGAGCAAGGCACAGCAGCACAAGCUCUCGGAGAAGAUAGUGAACCACCACGUAAAUGGCCAUUGUUCUUCUUGGUUGGCCAAAUUUUAUACUGGUUACUCUAUGUGACAUACAAAAUUUUAUACUUGUUGCUUUAUUUGACUGCCAUAAGUUUAUUCGGGUGUUUUGCUGGGAUGUUUGAAAGCAUAGGGUUGAUUGUGGCGGUAGUGAUAUUGGAUAUUUUCAGGCCGAUGAUAAAGUUGGCUAUCAAAAAAAAGAUUUUUCUUCUACUGUCUGUUAUUGCAAUUAUAUUGGAUCCUUUGUUCUUCUACAUUCCGGUCAUAAAUGAUGAAAAGAAGUGCAUUGAAAUGGACAAGAUUUUGGGAACUACAGCCAUUUCUCUUCGUUCGGUAAUCGAUUUAUUUAAGAUAAUUCAUUUUAUCUUUGAGCUGCUCACUAAAUUACCCGUAAAAGGAAGGAUGCGUGUGUGGUUGGUCUUUCUCAUUGACAUUUUGGCCAUUCUUCCCCUCCCUCAGGUAUGACAAACUAAAUAUCCGGAUACUUAAGCUAGCACAUUUGUUAUUUUAUGAACUAUGACAGCAAAUAUAUAAUGCUGUGCAAAUGAUAUUCGGUGCUAUGUCCAUUCAGGAGGAGAGAGUCUUUCAUGAUCCUAGAGCAUUUCUAAUUAUAUAUUCACCUACUUCCUAACACAUGUGUAUAAAUAUUAUUACAAUUGUUUGAAGCAUACACGUGCCAAAGAAUGAAUGAAAAAGAAGCAGUUCUACUAGAGCACCCAAGACUUUUCCCCAUUAUUUAUAGCCACUUUCAAGGUUUAAAUUCUUUUUUAGUUCCGAAUGGUUUGGCCAAUUACCUAUUUAGUCCCCUUUUUUGGGGAAAUUAAUUAAAAUUAUCUAUUGUUACUCUUAUAGCUAUUAGAUCUAAUCUUUUAAGAGUAAAUUAAUAUUUUUAUCUGAUGUAAUUAAAAUUUAAACAAAUAUGACAUGUCAUAGGUGAAAAGUAAAGAAUAAUUGAGUAGAAUUUAAUUGAUACAUACAUACAAUAAGUACAUUUUGGAUAAUUUUCUAAAAUACCAGGAUAAACUUUAGAGGCUAUAGUAGAAUUUACCUCAGUUUCAAGCUAUACAUUGUACAAAGGGUUCAUAGUCCGGAUUUUGAAAACGUGCAGUCAUAUACAGAGGGGAAUUCUCAUACUAUGCAUUGUAUGAGGUAUUUAAUUAUCUACAUAUAAUACUGACUACCACUCAAUUGUCCAGGUGCUUUUGAACUUACAAAAAGUAAGAGGCACGGAAUUUCUAUACGCAAUGAGCUUCUCCCUUGUACAAUAUUUGUUGAGGGUUAUUCGAACCUACUACUUGUUUACAGAAGCAACAGGUGUUACAGGAAUACUUGCCGAAGCUACAUGGGCCAUUGUUGGGUUCAACAUUCUUCUUUAUAUGCAAGGCGGUCACGUAAGUUAUAAAAGACCAUUCAUUCAAUUUAAUUCCUAAGAUAUGCACGAGCCGAAUGAAUAUAUCUUUAUGCAUACUUUAUAUUGUUGGCACUGGGACAUACAGUUAUUUCUGAAUCAUGCACCCUUUUCAGGUAUUUGGAGCCUUAUGGUACUUCUAUGCCAUCGGAAAAUUGACAGGAUGCUGGAAGAAAGCGUGCCAAAAUAAUACUGGAUGUCAUCAUAGUUCGUUUUAUUGUGAAGACAUGAUCAGUACAAGAGAUUACACGUUUCUAAAUGAUUUUUGCAGUAUAAAGUCAGGAAAUACAUCAGAUUACAAUUUUGGAUUAUAUAAUGAUGCUCUUGAGUCUGGUAUUGUGGAGGUGACGAAUUUUCCAAAGAAAUUGUUACAUUGUUUACAAUGGGGCUUGCAAAAUCUCAGGUUUGAGCAUAAUCCAAACUUUCUCUUUGUGAUGUUAUGGUUGAAAAGAAAAAAGAAUGAAACAAUAUUGGUUGAAAAAAAUAAAAUACUUUGGUCACUCUUAGACACUAUUUUACCACUUAGGUCCCUGGUAAAAUUUUAAUAUCUUAUUUCAUACUAGAAUUGGAAUAAAAGUAUAGAAAAAAACACAUUGUUGAAAGUUAAACGUCACAUUUUAACAAAUAGAUUAAAUAACUUUAAUUUGCAUUGAUCUAAAAUAAUCAUGUUUAUUCUGGUAUUGUUUUCAAGGAGCAAAGUAUUACAUAUUCCCCUUUCGAGAAAACUGCCGAUUCUUUUGCAUAGGAGAGUGACUUUAUUCUUUUGUGUAUAUCAUUUCAAAUAAAGCGUAUAGAUUGAACCCUUUGCAGUGCUUUUGGUCAGAACCUCCAAACAAGCACCGAUAUCUGGGAAAACGUUUUUGCAAUUUGCAUGACCAACUUUGGUGUGGUACUGUUUGUCUUUUUAAUUGGGAAGAUGCAGGUUCGUAUACAUUUUCUAUUUCUUAUAUCUGAAUUAACCUCAAUUCCAAGUGUUAUAAUUAAUAUUGAAGUACAUUUGAAAUUAAUGGAUUGUAACUGCAGUCGGACACAGCAAGAUCACAUAAGAUAAAAAAGAAGUGGAAGGAGAUAAAGCAGUGGCCGAAUUUUGGGGAAAUUUCUUCUGAUCUAAAAGAGCAGGUGAGGACAUACAAGCGAGAGAAAUGGGAAGAAACCAAGCGUGUUGAUGUUGAUAAUUUGGUGAAUGAUCUUCCCCACGAACUUGGCAUCAAAAUAAAGCGCAAACUUUGCAUUAAACUAAUCAAGAAUGUGAGUUCCUAUUACUUCUUUAUCCAGUAAUAAGUCACUUGUGGUUUCUUUAUCUAUUGAAAAAAAAAAAGGAAAAGAAAAAAUGCUAGGCAACAGUUACGAGUUCAUUGCCACAAAAUUGCCACUCCUUGUUUAUUACAAGAAAUUGAAACAACAUUUGUUAUAUUCCGUUACCCUUACUAAUCGUUUGGAUGCAUCUAAUGUAAUUCUCAUUUUUUGGUCCGUACCUAUCUAUGUACACAGGUAAAAGAGUUCGAAAAUUGGAAUAAAAAAUCAUUGGAGUUUCUGUGUGAAUUUCUGAAGCCAGUCUUCUUUAUUGAGCGUACACGCAUUAUUCGGGAGGGAGACCCAAUUGAAGAGAUGCUAUUUGUGCUGAAAGGCAAUCUCUGGACUUACACUUCCGGGAAUGUAGCAACAACUAGCAGCAAUAGUAGUCGUUAUGGAAAGAAUCGUUUGAAAGGUGGUGACUUUUUUGGAGAAGAACUUAUUGGUUGGGCUGAGAGUGAGCACUCUUCCAAUUUGCCUAGCUCAACCAGAACUAUUCAAGCGCUUAGUGAGGUUGAAGCCUUUGUUCUUAUGGCAGAUGACUUGAAACAUGUAUUCUUACUUAGACAUUGUGACCGGGCAGCUCUUUUGUUACAAUCACGCUGGCGUUUCAGAAAGCUUUUGCGUGAUAGGAGGGCUAAGCAAAAAUCAAUCUUGAGAAGAGUGCGGAAUUGGGCAGCAGUACUACAGACUAUAGAAUAACAAUUUGAGACUGGAUUUGAAAUUAUUAUUUGUAUGAAUACUACCAAAAUGAAAAUAGGUGGUAAAAUCUGAAAAAUUAAGGGGAAAAUUGUCGAUCUCCCUUGUUCGAUUAUGCAGUCAACAAGAUCAGAAACAGUAAUCGCCAAGUUCGAUUUGGAAAUCUUAUCCAACCAAUGGUACCUUUUUCUUUUUUCUUUUUUUCCCUGAAUCAAGGACUUCACGCUUCGUUGAUGGGGAUACCAUUCCUAAAAUUAAAAGAUAUUGACCAUUACUAUCUCAAACAACAAUUAAUUAUACAUUGCCAGCACGCAAAAAUGAGCGACAAACUUCUUCAUUAACUAAUCUAUUUGAACAACUGCAUUUCUAAGCAUAUAUAUGAUCAUUUCAGAUGAAAAUAGUUUAAAGUGGCGAUAGAAGAACCGGUAGAUCACAGUUGAGAGAGUGAAGCAGAUCAUCAGGGGGCAAUCUUAAGUGUGUCACGCGGGUAGAGUGAUGUUUUGCGAAUGUUGUUGAGAUCGCAGAAAAGCAUCACCACACUCUUCAAUCCCACUUCACAUCCACUAUGUCUCGAAAGGAAUCCAAUGAUAACAUAAAGCUAACAGUUUUUAGAGGACCACACUGUUUUUCUAUUUGCGUACAAAUGGACAGUGGUUUCAGAAUAACCUUAGCAUUGUCAAGUUUAACCAGAGAGCAUGGAAACCAAAGCCAGAUCAAAAGAGGAGGAAGAGAUGCUCAAAAAUCCGGUCAAAUGAACAAUCACAUGAUAUUUUCAUCCAACAAGUAUGAAUGUUUGCAAUGAAAAGAAAAAUGAAAACCCGACAGAAAAUUCUUCAACACAAGGAUUUUGAAUGUGGUUAUCAUUAUAAUUAAGCAGUCAACCUAAUACAACCUUCAACCAGAGGUGAAUUCAUUUAUGCCAGUCACAUGACCACUCCUAUCAACACCACUGCAAAAAAAGCGCAUCCUCUUUAUUAAUAAAUGAAGUUUUGUUCCUGCUUUACUUCACCAUUCAUUUUCAUCUCAUAAAAGAGCAAUUUAUUGGAAUACAACAUACCUCGAUUAAACUGAAAGAGGAUUAAGAUAAUUUAAAAAAUGAAAACUGCGAGACAAUACGAGUAGUAUCAUGAUAAACUUAACUCCAGAUGGACAGCCAUUUUUUAAUCGUAAUUAAUGAAACAAAUGUAGAUCGAGAUUUCCCCAGAACAACACCACAAAUACAAGUAUAUGUGCAUCCAAAAUGAAGAAGAAAUGUUUCAGCUUCAUACAUUACCUCGAAUAAAGACAUCAAAUUAGUUUCUGUAAAGAGCAUUGUCAGGAGGGGGCGCCUAACAGCCCAAGGAUAACGAUGGAGUAUAUAAAAUUCGGCGCCAUACCUACAAUAGGAAGCAACAAUCAGGCACGCAUUGAUGAUAUACAUAGAUAUUUAAGCUUAAAAAUGAGAAAACACUUAUCAUGAGCUAAGAGCAAUGAGGCUCUUAAUUGUUUCAAAAUUUGAAACUAAUAAUAGAUGUAUGUUAUACAGACAAAUUCAGACUUCAAUACUUGUAAGAAAAAUCAAGUCAGUAAAUAUGGAACCUACUUAUCUCCGUUCCAUAGGUUUGGUUGUCUUUUUUUUUUUUUAAUUAAUGUUCAGAAUCGAUUAAAAAGUUUUUUAAUUCGAGUUCUUGCUAAUUUCAUUUUUUGAUUCCAUUUUGAAAUUCAAUUUUCUUAUUUAAUUUUAUUCCGAUCCUAUCUACCCAUUCGAAUUUUGGUUGCUUAAUUGUUCAGGAUGUUGGAGUUGAGAAUGAUCCUCUUGAAGACUUGAAUACUGAGGCAGAGAGGAAGUUGAUCCAACUAUUUUCCUACGAUUCUUGGGAACAGUAGAUACUACUUUUAAAGUAUUCAACCUACUAAAUGAUUCCUCCACACUACUGUUACCCUUAAAAAUCAUCUAAUUAGUUAUUCAUACACUAAUCUAAAUAAUGGCGUGAUAAAUCAGAAACCUUUCUUCAUGAAACAUGAACUGAGGGGAUGAAAGAAAUUAAGUUACCUUGAGCAUUUGAAUCCCUUUUCCGAAUGUAAGACAAAGAGUCUUUGCCUUGUACUGCAACAUUUAGAAAAUGCCACAAUCAGGUUCAAGAAUAGAGAAAAGCUGAGGUGAUAUAUAAUUUUCCAUAUUCCAAAUAUAUCUAAACUAUACAAGCACUUCAAAAAUUAUUAUGAUAACAGAAUUUUAAGAACAAUUCAAAAUAAAUAAUGACCUUCAGAGGUUCAAACGGACACUGAUUCGCCACAUAUUCAACUUCCUUUUUGCACCUCUCAUUCAAAUCAUCAAAAAUUGUGACAAAUAAGCGGCCCACAAUAUCCAUCACCUGUGUUCAGGUGCUUACCUUAAUAGAACCAAAUAAAUAGUAACACGCGUCUCGGCGCAUACCUUUCAUAUAAUCACAUUUGUAUAUGUACGAUGAUAUCACCGCCACCUAAAUUUCUCAUUUAUUAUAUUUGAUUAUUUUCUUUUUAUUUCAUUGAUUUUCUCGUAUAAAAGUAGAUUUACUACGAUUUACCAUUGUGUUGUUGUGCAAUGGUCACCCUUUUUGUUCGGGCUGCCUAUUGAUUUAUUGCUUUUAGAAGAACUCUCAGAAUAGCUUUACAUUAUACUUUUCUAAUUUGCAAUGAAUGCGUCCAGGAGUAUAAAGCCAUGAACUGAUUUUUGAACAACUUAUAUCUUACUUGCUAAUGUCGAUGGAAUUCAUAAAUUCAUAAUACAUCCAAUAAAGGGGGAGAAAAAUAGGAAAGAAAGAAAUACUCCCUGUGUAUCAUCUAGACUAGUUUUAAAACUUCUUGAAUUGGACAAGAAUAAGUUGGCUGACAAGCUUUCCUAACUUCUCACAACUUUUAUUAUUGUUACCUUAUAUUUUCAUAGUCGUUAGAUUUUUAUACUUUGAAUUGGUACCAAUCUCUUUUUUAUCAAAUUUAAACAGAGAUAAUUGAUUGAAUGAUUCAGUCUCCUUCGUCGAAACAACGUUCUUAUUUGCUCAAACAGAUGGAAUCCAGAAAACUCAUCCAUUUGAUUCUCUUCAAUUGAAAACUCAUCACUUCCUGCAUGUAAGAGCAAUUUGAGUGCCAUAAAGCCUGUAGUGAAUCUACCUAUUUAGGGAAUAAUUUAAUUAGAAAAGUUAACAUGAAGCUCAUACGCCCUAAUUACAAAGCUACUCUUAAAAUAACAUGAAUCAAGAAACAGAGCAAAACAGAGUAGCUACUAAGAAGAACACCCAAAUUAACUCCUAAAAUUGACCAAACAUAACAAGCAUCAAAUCAAAGCAUUAAAGCACUAAUCAGAGACUUUACACUAAAUUGUUUGUUUUAAAAUAAUGGGAUUUCAAGAUUAUACUUAAAACUCAAGUAAAAUCAUCUGCAUGGUUGAAGGAUCAGAAGCUCAUGGAUGGAAUAAUAGAGAAAUUAAAGUAAACAAUGUAACUAACCGGUUCCUUGAAGAAGUUGGUUAUCGACGGAGGCCCAGUGACUUUGUCGGAGUGGUGGCAUCGCUGGCUUAGGCGUGAGUGAAGAGUGAAUAUUGGGAGAUCUCUGGCUUCGGUUCUUUGACCUUACGUUAUUUUAUUUAUUCAUUAUUUUUUUUUUCUAGUGUAUGCAGAUGCUCCGCUCACUUUAAACUCUAGUGGAUGCAGUGUGGCAACUGAAGUGAUCAGUUGCUGCCCAAGAUCACAAACCAAAUCUGCCAAGAUGCUUCCAAGAUCAAACUGAUUUGAAGCUUAAUUGAUAUGAAAUGCAAACGAUGAUGAUGAUGAAGAACAUAAAUCAAUUUAGAGAUGAAUAGAAUCAACGAAUCAAAAGAAAAACGGAGGAUAAAUCGAUUUGCGUGGUUCAGCUAAUUUUUGGUGUUUUUAAAUAAUUACCUCAGCGGGUGGAAAUUUCUGUUCAGCUUUUAUUGAUUGUUCAAGAUGUAUUACAGGGUUUUUACAAAGUACAAAGCAACGAACAAGAGUGCUUCAAUUCUCUCAGCAAUCUCUCCCUAUAAAGCUCACACAAUCCCCCCUUUUUGUUGCACCAGAGCGAGCGGUUUAACGGCUUUGUAACCAACCCAGAUGAAACCCAGAAAACCACGUGACAUGCAUGUGCGUUAACAAACUAUAACGAACAUAAGCAGCUUUCUUUAAGCACGUGAAGCGUCCGCGCUUCAUUAAACCCAAAACGGUGUUUCCCGAAGUCGUUUCACCAUGCAAUACCACCCAGUACGCAUCAAACGGCCGCAACUCAUGUCGUUUAGCUUAAGUGUCUUAAGCCCAAAAGGCGACACUCGAUGUCGUUUUGCUUAUUUCUGAUUUGCUUCACCUGUCACACAACAUGCAGUGUAGAUGCUGUUUUAACUUUUGAAUUUUAUAUGAUUUUAUUUUGUCUUCUUAAAAGAUAUCUUUUAGAACUGAAGGGCACUUUCGAUGUUUCUUAUUUAUUUUACAGUGACCUCUUCUGGCUCUUUCUGCUGAGGGAGGGUACAAACAAUGAAUCAUCAUCAGAUUAAUCAAAAUAUAACCCCACUCAUAACAUAAAAAUUAGAAAACGUCUCUUCAGAUGAUUUGAGUCACACACAUCAACAAUCAGAAAUCGUUAACUAAGUAUACAAUUUCUUUUUGGACUCGUAUUUUCCCCAUUGUUGAUCACGUAAGUUACUGCUGUAUAUGUUGUUUUGAUGAGUAAUUAAUGAUCAUGGAAUUUACUUAAUUUGCCAACUUAAAUCAAUCAUUAGUCUUAAACUUUUCCGUAACAAAACCCUGAAUUUAUAUUUUGAUUAGGAAUCAGGAUUUGCAAUUAGAGGAAGGUGCAGCAGGCCAAGUUCCUGGAGAACGAAUUAGCAGUGUUUAUGGAACUUUCUCUCUAAUAUUGGCUACAUUUUACUAUUUUUAGCACCAAUAAGAAUGAUAGGGACGAUUAUCGGGACAAUUAUAAAGAUUUUUCUUGUAUCGUGUGUGAUUGCAAUCAUAUUGGAUCCUUUGUUCUUCUACAUUCCGAUAAUGGAUGAUGAAAAUAAGUGCAUUGAAAUGGACAAAUUUUUAGGAAACAAUGCAGCUUUUUUUCGUUGUGUGUUUGAUUUGCUCAAGAUACUUAAUUCAUUUUACCUUUGAGUUGCGUAAUUAUCAAUUUCGUUUUAAAGAAAGGAAAAGUUUGUGGCGCUGGCUGCUCUUCUACAUUGACAUUUUGGCCGCUGAUCUUCCCCUCCCUCAGGUAAGUCACAUCACGUAUUAUUAAUUUUAUCUUAAACCUUAUAGUUUAUCGAACUGAAUGUGGUUAUUUAAUUACUUUGAUUUUCUCACAUUUGAUUGGUGAUCUCUCAAAGAAUGAGAGGCACAGAGUUUUUGUAUGCAAUGAUAUUCUCACUUCUGUAAUAUUUGCUAAGGGUUAUUCGAGCAUACAGAGUGUUUUCGGAAGCAACAUUGGGCUCAGAAAUACUCGCUGAAGCUACAUGGGCCAUUAUUGGCUUCAAUAUUCUUCUGUACAAGAAAGGAGGUCAUGUAAGUUGAUAAAGCACCAUUCAUGUAAGUCUAUUUAUAUUGACUUAUAUGCACAAGCCUAUAAUACAAACAGCAUCAUUGUAAUACAAAUUUGUUUAGAAAUUCAUGGCCUAUAAUACACCAUUUAUGUCCUAGACUUACUUGUCAACCUUGCAAAAUUUUUGUGCUUGGCAACUGGUUUUGUUGAUGCCGAAAUCCGGAUGAGUUGGUUAGUGACUCGAUCUCAGAUUCCUACAUCAACAUUAAAUUUAUUUGGUGGGAAGCUACUGGUUGAUCUCCAAGAAAAUCCUCCGACUAUGAGCAGAACAUUCAUGAGCUGUUGAUUAGUGAGCACCGAGAGCAGAUAAUUGAUGAGCAGACGACCAAUGAGCAGAUGAUCCAUGAGUAGAUAAUCCGCGAGCCUGCGAGCACAAAGAACAGUCAGGGGGCGCCGGAAGUUUUUCCGACAUAAACCCUCCGACACUCAAGUCAGCGAUUUGGGUCUACUUGGAAAAACUCAUACCACAAUUCACAUGGUUUAACUAUGAUUGUUUUAAACAAAAAGCUUUUAAGUAAAUUUAAAUGAAAAUAAUUGAAAAUAAUCAAUUUUAAAGAAAUCAUAAGCGAAAGAGAAAUUUCCCAGUGGUAGAGAGAGAAAAAGAUUCAAUGGAUUCAGUCACCCAAAGGGACAGAGGAAAAAGAAUCCCCCAUUUCCCCUAUUUUCCCAUGGUUUUUAUAGGAAAUUAUAGCGGUUUUUAUCCUCUUAUUUAGAAUUCUCAAGAAAAUUACUAAUUUUGAGCCCAUUAGAAUAUGGUUCCUAAUAUUUCGGAGAAAAUAAGUGAGAUUUGUUUUAACUGAGUCGUGUUUUCUAAUAACAUCCUGGUCGAGUGUUUUCUAAUAACAUCCUGGUCGAGGUGAUGUGGUCGAGAUGACCAAAUAACAUCCUGAUCGAAGUGUUGCUCAUUUUUUACUUAGAGGGGAGCACAAUAAUGUAUGAACAAACACCUUAUCUUGGUCACCUUAUUCUAUUCCCCAAACAGGUUUGUCGGUCCUCCAGGUAUUUGGAGCCUUAUGAUACCUUUUUGCCAUGGAAAAAGUUCGAGGAUGUCGGAAGGAAGCCCGCAUAAUUAAUCGAGCUGGAUGCAAACACAGUUCGUUUUACUGUGAAGACAGAGUUUAGGAGACGACAGAAAAUUCUAAAUGACUUGUGCGGCAUAAAUAAUUUUGGAUAAUUUAAUGAUGCUCUUGAGUCUGGCAUUGUGGAGGUGACUGAUUUUUCAAAGAAAUUGUUACAUUGUUUACAAUGGGGCCUGCAAAAUCUCAGGUUAAUUUGCUCAUACAAUAAUAUAUUUUCCUUGUGUGUGUUGCAUAAUAUGAUUAAUUCUUGCGUUGCAGGUUCUUCAUUUUGGAAAAUUGAGUUAAAGAAGUAAUGCUAACAGUACAUUAUAUCUCUUUCAGAUAUUUAAUAACACUUAGGGGCAAAAAUUUUAACUGAUAGUUGUGUUAACGGCACAAUCAAUUUGUUUGAAUGUCAAAGGUAGUCAAGGACUUGAGUGAUAGAAGUUUUUUCUACAGAGGAUGUAAGUGAGGAAUUUAUGAAACUUUUUGAUAAAAAGAAUUAUCUAGGAUAAGCAAUUGAGCAGAAUUCUUUUACAGUGCAUUUUUGCAAUUCACAUAACCAACGUAGGGGUGGUGCUGUUUGUGUUUUUAAUCGGCAAUAUGCAGUUUGACACAGCAAGAUCACAGAAGAUAAGACAGAAGUGGAAGGAGAUGAAGCAAUGGCCAAAUUUUGAGUAUAUUUCUUCUGAUGUGCGGGGGGCAGUUAAGGAAAUACAAGCUAUACAAAUGGCAAGAAACCAAACGUGUUCGUGUUGAUAAUUUGGUGAAUGAUCUUCCUGACGAACUUGGCAACAAAAUAAAAUGUCUGCAUUAAACUGCUCAAGAAUGUGACGUUGAACUAUUCAAUCACUCAGCGACAUUGAAGCCUUUUUACUCUUAUGGCUGAUGACUUUAAACAUGUAUUAUCUACCAUUCACAAAUUUCGAUCGGGCCGCUCUUUUGUUACAAUCAUACCGGCGUUUUGGGAAGCUUUUACGUUGAUAGAAGGAAGGCUAAACAAAAAUCAUGCCUGAAUUGUUGGACUUGGGCAACCAAAGGAAAUAAACAAAGUGGUACAUGUAACAACGCACAAUACAAGAAAAUUUAACAGUGCUUGUGACUAAAUCAUUGAUGACAAACUGUUUAUUCUUUAUAUUUACAUGUGAAACCGCAGAAAAGGGCCAAAAUUGUAGUUUGAAAUUUUACAUUUGAUUUUGUCGUCAAUUGAUGAGCUCAUAGCAACAUUAAUUUAUUGAAUGAUAAAACAAUAAUUUUAUAUUCAGUAAAUAUAUGAAAUAUGACUUAAAUUGAAAUUUUGAGAUCUUAAUACAUUGGAGCUACAUUGAGUUGGGAGACAAACUUUGACUCUGAAUGAGAUAGCACUUAAUGUGUCAUUUAUUUAUUAAAUUUGUUAAUGGUAUGAUAUUAUCUCAUUACGCAGAAAUAUUAAAUUGCAAUGAGUCUAGUCAAUUGGGAAAACAAUUUUUGCGCGAGUAUCUCAAUUUCCAAUAUAAAAAUUACAAGACAAAAUAAAAAAGGAGAAUGAUACUUUAUACCUGUUUAGAAGCCAUUGGUUAUUUGGUCAUAUUCAAAACCUGUUUUAACCACGUAAGUCCAUGAUAAAAGUUACAAGAGAAAAAGAAGAAUGAUACUUUAUAGUUUAUACCUGUUUAGAAGCCAUUGGAUAUUUUGAUCAUAUUUGAUAAAAGUUACGGGACAAAAUUAAAAAGAAGAAUGAUACUUUAUACUUGUUUAGAAGCCAUUGGAUAUUUUUAUCAUAUUUGAUAAAAGUUACGAGACAAAAUUAAAAAGAAGAAUGAUACUUUAUACCUGUUUAGAAGCCAUCGGAUAUAUUGGUCAUAUUCAAAACCUGUUUUAAUCACGUAAGUCCAUGAUAAAAGUUUAAAAUACCAUUUGUGGAAAGGAUAAGUAUGAUAUUUUUUAAUAAAUAAAUAAAUUUAUUUAGUAAAUAGAUUAGGUGAAUAAUUUAGCGAGUUCAAAUAAUUUCGAUUAAUUUAUACGUGAAGAGUGAAGCUAUUGGCAUCCUUCAUUAUUCUUAUAAAUCUCCACUUUAAAUAAAAUUACAUUGAAGGACAAAUAAGAAUUAAACACAUUUAAGAAUUUUCAUAAUAAAUUACUUUCAUAAUCAAUUCUUUUUUUUUUUUUGCAUUCAUAAUCAAUUCUUUUUUGCUUUUUCUUUUCUACUUGCCACUUCUCUCUAAUUAAAAUAAAUUACAAAAAUUUAUAAUAAUUUAUUUUUCUUUUCUUAUUUCUUAAUAAUUGAGAAUUUUUAUACCUAUUACUUUCAAAUUAUAAUUUAAAAUGUGUCAUAUCUAUAACAUAAUAAUGUUUUGAGUUUUAAUAAUAUACAAAUUCAAUUAAAAAAUAAAAUAAUGUAUUUAAAAGGGAAAAAAGGACGUUUUUGAAAUUAAAUACAAAUAUUCCAAUUGUUACUGUGAAAAUGUGAUAUUUUCAGCACUAGAGCUACCACUUUAUUGCAUAUCCGACCCGAAAGGAACUGAUGUGGUCCAACCGUGUUCGGAUCGGAUUGGUUGCCGUCAUAAUCUGAUCACAUUUAGGUAGCUUUUCAGUUUUGUCCAGGAGAAAGGCUGUCAAUUAUGUCUCCAUAAGAAAGACGUCACAUAGAUGAUGUAAUCAGAUUUUAUCAUGCGUUUGUUCCCCUUCAAACGUCACAUAGAUGAUGUAAUCAAAUUUUAUCAUGCGUUUGUUCCUCUUCAAUCGAGUACUCGUCACAUCCUGAGUGUUUGUGAAUCUACGUUAAGGGUAUGUUUAUGUUGGAACCGCUUUACGGUGGAGUAUUUUUUUGUAACCACAUAAUUAAAAAAUAUAGAUUAACCUCAGAUUUAAAAUAAAUGAAGUCUUUGUUUUUAUUUGUAAAACUUUUAUAACACAUUAAUAUGUAACUGGAACAUCCCAGUCCAAAAUUUAAGGACAAAUAUGUCCACAACUCAUAUAUGAUUUAAAUAACUCUUUUCUAAAAUUAUCUCAUAAAUAACCUUUAUUUAUAGUUUAGUAUCCAUUUUCUUAAUAAGGGUUAUAGGCACCUAUAAUUCCCAAUGAAAACCCAAUUUCCUUAAUUUAAUAUUAUGAAAAUUUGUGGCGUUACAGUAACGCUUCAAAUUUCACAGCAGAUUAGAUACAAUUUUUUUAUCCUUAUACUAGACAUGUGCAGAGUAGUAAGAAACAAGUUAAAAAAUAAUAAAAACACACACUUUGAUGUUGUUAUCUUUAUCUUAAAGUAUUAAAAUCUAUAUUUCUUUUAAUCUUUUAACUUGUCUUUUACGAUAUUAAAAUAAGAAAAUCCUUUGAAAAUAAGAAAAUCCUUACUAAAAGUAAAAGGGGACUUGUCAUGUGCACAGUGUACAAUAUGUUUCAAAUGUUACUUGAUAGAAAUUACUGAAAGCAUUGUAUCAUUGGAAAACUCUUGCUGCAUGCUCUACUAAUUUGACAGUUUAUCAAAUAUUUUUUUGCUGCUCGCUACUUAUGAAUCACGUUUAGUCCCCUUUGAAUUGUGUCCAUCCACCAUCUGUUAAAUUUAUCUUUGAAUUUUCUCCCUUCCAAAAGGGACACAAAUAAGAAACAGACAAGGACGUUCAAAUCCCCGAGUUGUAAAAUUUACAAGAUGCAUCGGGUAGAAAAAUCUUGUAGAAACCUCAGCUGAUGAACUCUGUAAAGAAUAUCCUCAUUCAUUCAGCUAACCCGUUGAACCAAAAUGCAAAAUCAUCCUCAAUAAGUACAAGAAACAAAAACUUUACAAGAAUAACUUAUGAAACUUGAUAAAUUUCUGCGGAGACUACAACGUCAUUUCAAUUUGUGAGGUAAUUAUUUGAUGCCAUGAUGCUGACUGAAUCUCAUUAAAUUAAUGAAAAUAAUACAACAAAUGAUACGAUAACUCCAAAUUAGCUAUCACAUUAUGUAUUUGAUUCAAAUAAGAGAACAAAAUUUGCAUUAUUGAUAGAUAUUAUAUUGUUUCUUGAAACUGUCUCUUGACAAAUCGCCCAUUAAUGUAGUCAUUGCUGACAAAACAACUUUGUGAAAAAGUUCAACUAGAUAGCAAGCUGAUAGAGAAAUCUGACAAUGCAAUGCAUGUCAUCCUCACACUUCAAUUUCAUCGAAAAUGGAUAAGCCAUUUUGUUCAACUUUCACCUCCGGAAGUUGAAAAGGACAUGAUUGCAAUUAUGCAAGUCCUUAUCAAAGAUGCAAUGAAUGACGCCUAAACUCCUAUAGAGUAGAGUUAAGCUAUUAAUCACUGCACCGAUACGUCAAAAAUUAAGUAUAUGGAUCAAAGACGUCUUCAUUCAAGAAUCUCAAAUUUCAAAGCAGUGCUUGUCAUUUACAUACCAAGCAAAGGGACCAAAGAUGGUGGUGCUCUAAUAUUUUGUCUAGUCAGAUUUACAUUAUUCAUGUCUUUUUCUUUGGUGCAGAAGUUGACCGCGGCCUAUUUCAACAUCAUUCGUCAUCCUCUCAAUCUCCUCCUUUUUCACUGGCAGAACCAAAAAUAUCUUGCACCUCAGUGAAAUAUCAUUGGAGACAAAAAAGUUUCUCCAGCUUAUUCAACAACCAAAACCAGCCAAAUAUCAUCUCCAGCCACAAAGCAAUGAGCCAAGUAAUUAAAUUUCCUUCAUGCAGGCUGAGGAAAGCCAAUAAGCAAUCAAAGGAGAUGGAAGAAUAGCACUAUUAAUUCAAGACCAACAAAGUUUGCAGCAAAACUGAUAGUAUUUAUGAUCUUGCAAAAGUCAAUCUUGUCUGGUUAUCAACACUGCAAUUAUAGCUUUUGUGCACCUCAGUUAGCCUUAAAUUGUGAAAGUUUCAGCCAAACCAACAAUUUCUAACCUACAUCUCAUGGUUAUACAAGCUAACUAGCAUCUGCUUCACUGCAUUAUGCUUCAAAAACAAUCAUACUAAAUGUCACAAUUCUGGUAUAUAAAAGUUCAGCCGCCUACACCAUUCAAGUUGAGCAUUUGACUGCAUCUCUAUGGGUACUAUUAAGGGAUGGCAAUAAUCAGUUAUGAUACGAAUAAUUGACAUCCAUAAUCCGAUAUAUCCGUCCGCACCCAUGUCUAAUUUUAGAGGUUUGAUAUGGAUAUGGAUUUUUGUUUAUAUGGAUAUUGAUAAGCAUAGAUAUUCGGGAAAAAAAAUUCUACUUAACACUAUAACGAAUAGGAUACUUCUUUUAUUAGAGCGUUGUCAUGCUGAUGAUGUGCAAGAUAUCAUAAAUAAAGGGGAUCGUAGGGAACGAAAUGAAAUAAGUUUAAAGAAUUUGAAAGAAACUGAUUAUUCUCUUAUUCAACAACUCGGUGUGCAAUUACAUUUUACACGAGGUCCAUGUAAUUAUAUUUGUCAUUAAGAAUGAGCAUUUGCCAAAAGAAGACACACAUGUCAUGACAAUGAGUGAUUGACAAGUGACAAAAUUGAUAGACACCCGCCGAAUAUGUCACAACACAAACUUCUAAAAUUGCUACAGGAAAUGAAAUAUAACGAUGCACGAUGCCCAUCCAAGUUGUUUACUUGUAUUGUCCAACUGUAAAUGAGUACAGACAUGGUACCAUCAAUCGUUGUUAUUAAACUAGUCAUUGACCUCAGUCACUCCUUCAUAACCACAUAAUAAGGAGUGGCUAUUUAUUUAAAAUAUGAAGUGGAAAAUUGAAUUAAUUUAUUUGAAAUAGAAAUGGUCACAAGAAAAUUUUGAAUUAAUUUCUUGAAACAGGAUCCUACAAAUGAAGUGUUUUAAUUUUGUAAUUUAUUAUUAUUAUUGUUAUUUUGUUUUUAAAUAUUAAAAAGAAAAAAAGAAAAAAUUGGUUUGUCUUUAGUUUCUAGCGGACAUCAGAUUCAUCAUAAUAAGCGUACCCUUGUCCAUGUAUAAAUUGCAUUUGCCUCUGUUGUGAUGUGAAGCAAAUCUGUUGGUGAAAACGUCAGCUGAUGCUGCGUUUUGGGAAGUCAAACUCGUGCUUCCUGGAACGACGUGAAUGAAGGUCGUUUUGGUUAAGUGAUGCACGAGAGUUUCACGUGCACGAAUAAGUUGUGUUCUAGGUUCGUUAGAAUCAGUUAACUCACAUGAUUGUCACGUGAUUUUCUGGGUUGGUUGCUGAUUCGUUAACGAGCUGUUAUAUACAGCUGAUUCUGGCAACAGAGAGCGAGGACGUGAGAGCUACUGUGAGUUGAGAAGAUUGAAAACCAAAGGCUUCUUGAGAGACUCUGUAACAAGCUUGAUAAACUCUCUGUAACUUCUUUGAACAAUCAAUAUAAUUGGGUUCUGUUUCUCCCGUGGAUGUAAGCUAGACUGAAACUAGCUGAACCACGUUAAUUCUUGUUCUUUUCUUUAAUUCUUUCAGUUCUAAUAAUCUAUGUGUAUUCUGCUGGAUUGAUUCUUGGUGCAUCUUGUUUGUUUGAUUGUGAUCUUGGGAAGUGUUUUGAGUUGAUUGGGAUAGUUAGUCACUCUUAAACACUACAAUUGGUAUCAGAGCCUGGAUUACAAAUCAGACACAAGUAUGGCUGGUUCAAAGAUCGAUCUAGAGAAGUUUACAGGGAAGAAUGACUUCAAUAUGUGGAAGGUUAAGAUGGAGGCACUACUGAUCACUCAAGGGCUAGGUGAUGCCUUAGAACCUAUCAUCAAGAAAGAAGGAUUAGAAGCCUCCACAUCAUCAUCAUCACUAACACCACAACAAGCUGCUGAGAUUGACAAAAAGGCAAGGAGUACCAUAAUCUUGAGUCUUGGAGACUCGGUGAUCAGGGAAGUUGCUAGAGAAAGAACAGUGGCUGAUCUGUGGGCAAAACUUGAAAGGGUGUAUAUGACUAAAUCAUUAGCCAACAGACUUUACAUCAAGAAGAGGAUGUUCACGCUAAAAAUGGCUGAAGGAUCAUCUCUUGAAGACCACAUUGAUGAAUUCAACAAAGUCUGUGAUACACUGGAAAUAAUUGAUGAAGGUUUAGAUGAUGAAGGUAAAGCAUUGCUUCUGGUCAGUUCACUUCCACCCUCAUAUUCAAACUUUGUCGAUGCACUCAUGUAUGGGAGACAAACUUUAUCAUUGGAUGAAGUUAAGGCUGCCCUAAAUACUAGAGGGCUGCAAGAAAAGUCAAGGAAUAUGAACUCUGGAGAAGUGCUGGCAGUAAAAGCAAGAACUGAUAAGUAUGAUGGAAAAAAAAAGAAGCAAGGGAACAACAAACAAAAGACUAAAGGCAAGAAAUGUUUUCAAUGCCAGAAAGAAGGGCAUUUCAAGAGAGAUUGCCCAGAACUCAAGAACAAGAAAAGGGAACAAAAUGGAGCUGCUGCUACUGCUGAGGAAGAAGGGUAUGAGUCAGCAGGAGUAUGUGUGGCUACAGAUCAUGUGCAAAAAGGUACCUGGAUUCUAGACUCAGGUUGUACAUUUCAUAUGUGCCCCUUUAAAGACUACCUAUUAAACUAUCAUGAAACUGAUGGUGGAAAAGUUAUGAUGGGUAACAAUGCUGUCUGUAAGAUUGUGGAGAUAGGAAAUGUAAACCUAAAACUGCAUGAUGGAACAAUUAGAGAAUUAAAGGAAGUUAGGUAUGUGCCUGAACUUAAAAGGAACUUAAUAUCUCUAGGUAUGCUUGACCAAAUGGGGCUUAGUAUUAAGCUUGAAUCUGGUGAGCUGAGAAUCUCAAAUGGAGAUGGGGUAGUUAUGAAAGGUUACAAGAGAAAUGGAGUUUAUAUUUUGAAUGGGGAAACUAUAACUGGUGUGUCAGGAGUAUCAAUAAGUUCAAGUUGUGAUAACACUUUGCUGUGGCACCUUAGAUUAAGACAUAUGAGCUUGAGAGGUCUGAAAGAAUUACAGAAGCAAGGGGUUCUAGGCAGCAGUCAAAUCUCAGAACUGGAUUUUUGUGAAGACUGUGUACUAGGCAAAGCUACAAGAAAUAGCUUUGGGAAAUCAGUUCAUUCCACCAAGGGCAUCCUUGAAUACAUACACUCAGAUUUAUGGGGACCAGCACAGACAGUUUCACUAGGCGGCAACACCUAUUUCUUGUCUUUAAUAGAUGAUUAUUCAAGGAGAGUAUGAGUUUAUGUCUUAAAACACAAAGAUCAGGUAUUUGGCAAAUUCAGAGAGUGGAAAUCCCUGGUUGAAAAUCAAACUGGAUUGAAGGUGAAGAAACUCAGAACUGACAAUGGUCUUGAGUUUUGCAAUCAGGAGUUUGAUAGCUACUGUGCAGAUAAUGGCAUUGCAAGGCAUAGAACUGUAAGGUUGGCUCCUCAACAAAAUGGAUUAGCCGAAAGAAUGAACAGAACCCUGAUGGACAGAGUAAGAAGCAUGAUGAUCCAGUCACAACUUCCCAAAGGAUUGUGGGCUGAGACUCUGUUAACAGCAAGCUAUCUGGUAAAUCUAAGUCCCUCUGCAGCACUUGACUUCAAAACCCCAUUUGAGAAAUGGCAUGGAAAACCAGCAGACUAUGGCAGCCUCAAAGUAUUUGGAUGUCCAGCCUAUGCACAUGUGAGUUAAGGGAAGUUAGCUCCAAGAGCCCUUAAAGGAAAGUUCAUUGGGUAUCCUGAAGGUGUUAAGGGAUUCAAACUAUGGUGUACAGACCUUAAUCCUCCCAGGUGUAUUAUCAGUAGAGAUGUAAUAUUCAAUGAGAAAGCUGCACUGGAAAUGAAGAAAUCUACUGACACAGAUGCACAAAAGGAUAAGGAGAGAACCAAGGUUCAGUUUGAGGUGGAGCCCUACACUAGAGAAGCUUCAAAAGAUAAUGAGGAAUCUUAUCAAGGAGCUGCUGAUGAAGAAACUGAUCAUGGAAAGCAGACUGAAGCUCAACAUCAGGAGUACCAACUAACAAGAGACAGAGAAAGAAGGAAAGCAAAAGCACCUGUCAGAUAUGGAUAUGCAGAUCUGAUAGCCUAUGCAUUGACAGCAUCUCACCAAAUUGAUGAUGAACCCAAGAACUACAAAGAGGCUAUCCAAGGACCAUACAAAGAUGAGUGGAAAAAGGCCAUGGAUGAAGAAAUAUAUUCACUGAAGAAGAACAAUACAUGGGAGCUGGUUAAAAGACCUGCCAACAGCAGAACAGUAGGAUGUAAAUGGAUUUACAAAGUCAAAGAUGGACUAACAGCUAUUGAACCUAGAAGAUUCAAAGCUAGGUUAGUAGCUAAGGGUUACACACAGAGGGCUGGAGUGGAUUUCAAAGAGGUGUUUUCACCAGUAGUCAGACACACAUCAAUCAGAGUGCUACUGGCUUUAACAGCUGUAAAAGACAUGGAGCUUGAUCAACUCGAUGUCAAGACAGCCUUUCUACAUGGAAGACUAAAUGAGGACAUCUUAAUGACACAGACUGAAGGGUACACAAGUCCUGAAUCUGUUGACUGUGUGUGUCUGCUAAAGAGGUCACUGUAUGGGCUAAAACAAUCACCCAGACAGUGGUACCUUAGGUUUGAUGAGUUUAUGGUCACUCAUGGGUAUCUAAGGUGCAGCUAUGAUGUAUGUGUUUACUACAAGAUCAUACAAUCAGGUAACUACAUAUAUCUGCUGUUAUAUGUAGAUGAUAUGUUGAUUGCUUGUAAUGAAAGGGAAGAGAUUGAGGCUUUGAAGCAACUGCUCAAUUCAGAAUUUGAUAUGAAAGAAUUGGGUCCAGCUAGGAAGAUUUUGGGUAUGGAAAUAAUAAGGAACAUGAAGAAGGGUACUAUGAUUCUGUCUCAAGAGAAGUAUCUAGAGAAGGUACUGGGAACUUUUGGGAUGUCAAACAGCAAGUCAGUAGUAACCCCUCUUGCAUCUCACUUCAAGCUGUCAUGUUCACAAUGCCCCAGUACAGAUGAAGAGAGAAAUGAAAUGACAAAGGUUCCUUAUGCAAAUGUUGUUGGUUGCAUGAUGUAUGCAAUAGUACUUACAAGACCAGACUUAGCUCAUGCUUUAAGUGUUGUAAGUAGGUUUAUGGCUACACCUGGAAAGGAGCACUGGAAGGCUGUUAAAUGGGUGCUGAGGUAUCUGAAGGGUACACAACAGUAUGGGCUGGUAUACGGAAAAUCAGCUGGGAAGGUUGCAGGUCUCUGUGGUUAUGUUGACUCAGACUAUGCUGGGGACUUAGACAGAAGGAGAUCUUUAACUGGCUAUAUGUUUUUCCUGAAUGGUUGCCUUGUUAACUGGAAGGCAAGUUUGCAGCAUGUUGUUGCCUUGUCAACAACAGAGGCUGAAUAUACUGCUGCAACAGAAGCUGUCAAGGAAGCUCUGUGGCUGAGAGGGUUGAUAACAGAACUGGGGAUGACGCAGGAGACUGUGGAAGUUCAUUGUGACAGCUCAAGUGCAAUUUACUUGAGUAAGAACCCAGCUCACCAUGAAAAAACUAAACACAUAGAUAUCAAGUUACAUUUUAUCAGAAAUGUGAUCUCUAAAGGUGUGCUUAGCAUGGUGAAAGUGCAUACAGAUGAUAAUCCUGCUGACAUGCUUACUAAGGUUGUAACUACAGCUAAGUUCAAGAGUUGCUUGGACAAAGCUGGGCUGAGUGAAUUCUAAAUACUCAGGUUGGAGAAAUCAGGAUCAGGAAGUGAUUUGUUCAAGGUGGAGAAUUGUUGUGAUGUGAAGCAAAUCUGUUGGUGAAAACGUCAGCUGAUGCUGCGUUUUGGGAAGUCAAACUCGUGCUUCCUGGAACGACGUGAAUGAAGGUCGUUUUGGUUAAGUGAUGCACGAGAGUUUCACGUGCACGAAUAAGUUGCGUUCUUGGUUCGUUAGAAUCAGUUAACUCACAUGAUUGUCACGUGAUUUUCUGGGUUGGUUGCUGAUUCGUUAACAAGCUGUUAUAUACAGCUGAUUCUGGCAACAGAGAGCGAGGACGUGAGAGCUAUUGUGAGUUGAGAAGAUUGAAAACCAAAGGCUUCUUGAGAGACUCUGUAACAAGCUUGAUAAACUCUCUGUAACUUCUUUGAACAAUCAAUAUAAUUGGGUUCUGUUUCUCCCGUGGAUGUAAGCUAGACUGAAACUAGCUGAACCACGUUAAUUCUUGUUCUUUUCUUUAAUUCUUUCAGUUCUAAUAAUCUGUGUGUAUUCUGCUGGAUUGAUUCUUGGUGCAUCUUGUUUGUUUGAUUGUGAUCUUGGGAAGUGUUUUGAGUUGAUUGGGAUAGUUAGUCACUCUUAAACACUACAGCCUCUGAAUUCUUCAAUAAUUGAAAAAGAUGGGUGCUCGUGGGACACUCUCAUUUAUGAUACAAUUUAGGAAUAAGAACUUAAUGACGCAACCAUCACCAACAGCCUCUUUUUUGGAGGUACUCGGAUGGCUAUUAUUACCAUUUAAAAGAUAGCAUAAAUUUUGUAGAUUGCCAGCUAUGGCCGAGCUUUUAAAUUUUUUUUAUUUUUUUUAGAGAAGAAGAAAAAUAGCCAUUUAAAAGAUAACAUAAAUUUUCUAGAUUGGCAGUUAUGUUUGAGUUUUCAAAUUUGUUUCAGAAAAAAAGAUACUUAUGCCUUUGAGAUUUAGAAAAACAAUCACACAAAUUCUCAAAUUUUUAAUAAGAUUAAUCAAGACCUCUUUUUAUUAUAAUAUCUUUUAAUUUUAUAACUAAAAAAUUUGGCUAUAAUAUUUUAUAAUAAAAAAUAACUAAAAUGACCCGCCUCGAAUCUCCAGGACAAGUCUAUCUAAUCUCGCCAACCGAAUUAAUAAUAAUCUAAUAUCUAGAAUUCUACCAAAAAUUCGGCAAAAUCUCUUAUAUAAUUAUGACAUUCCCAAACUUGCAAUUUAUAAAAUUUAACACUCCUAAAAAAUGAUACAAUAUUCAAUCAACCUCCACAACCAACUUGUUCAAUCAAAUACCAAUAUCCUUCAAACAUAUAAUGUCAAGAAUAUAAUAAUUUAUCUUUAAUCACAAAUAAGUAAUAAAUUAUACAAUUCAAAAUAUCCUAACAAAAUAUCUAUGAUUCCUAACAUCAUCACAUGACCAUAAUUUUAAAUUUAACUAUCGUUGUUGGGUCGACUGAUGUACCUGCAUAUCUUUUGGGAGGGGGGGGGAGGGAAUAUAAUAAAAAAAUGUGAGUAUAAAAUUCAGUGAGCUCAGUUGAGUAUAUUAUGAAAAAAAAUAAAUUUACUUAAAAUAAUCUAAUCUUUCCCAAAUCAAUUUCAUCAAAAUAUCAUAAGAACUUAAAUAAACUUAUUUAAUUUAAAUCAUGUUUUAAUAUAACAAUAAUACAUAAUACGGCAUGAAAAUCAAGGAAAACAUGAUACUUAUAAUAGCAAACACCAAAUACCGAAUCUAUCACCAAACAAGUACUCAGGGGAAUAAUCUCAUCAUAUCCAGACCUCGACGGAUCGGCAAUCAGAGAACCAUCAUGGCCCGAAGCUAUACGGAUAGACGGGGAAGUACUAUCUCAUAUCUCAUCAUAUAUGUGCAUGCAUAAUCUAGUCUCCAAAGGACAAGGCGCCCAAGAAUACGGUCCAAAGCUUGUGUGUGUACUCAGAGGAGCCCCAAAGACCUAUAUUUCAUCUGUAUCAUCAUAUCUCAUCUGUAUCUCAAUAUCUAUAUCUCUGUAAUCAUCAUACUACAUGCAUAUGCCCCUAAAAGGCAAAAAUGCCCAAACACAAGACCCAAAGCCUCUAUGUGUGUUCAAACGGGCCCUAAAAGCUUCUCAUCUCAUCCGUAUCACUGUAUUUAGAUGGAAAGAGUAUUGUUUAAUGAGUUUAAAAACAUCUUAUACACAUAUACAUAAACAUAAAAUGACACUUAAAUCUCAUUUCCUUUUCAUGUAACAUACUUUAAAUCUACUUUAUUCUCUUUAAAACCAUUACCGUGCAUUUACUGAAAAAUGAUAAUAAAAUCAUUAAUCAAACUCAUUUUUUGUAAUAAUAAAUAUCAACAUAUAGACAAAAAUCCAUUUUUUAGAAAGUUAUUAAAUUCGAGUGUUAAAUACUUAUUUAUCAAACAUGUUGUACUGUAUCAUAAAAUCAUAAUAUAUUAUGAAAAUCGGUUUUGUAUAUUCCACUCAUAGUGACGAUAUUCGAGUUCGAUAUCGUCAAUGUCUGUGGGUUGAUUCUUGUUCAUGGAUCCUCCUAAUAUAAUGAAAUAACAUAAUCAUUCUCUUAAAUAUGAAAUACAACUAAUUUUACGUAAUAAAUUUCGAAACGAAUAUCUAUCAAUAAUAAACUAUUCCCGUAUGCAUAAAAUUACCAAAAUACCCCAUGCAUGCCAAAAUUACCAAAAUGCCCCUGAUAUCAAUAUUUACCAAAUUAUCCUCAUAAUCCUAAAUUACCAAGCUGACGUCAAUUCAGAUCACAAAAAUAACCACAAUGUUAGAAAUUAUGAAAUUACCCUUAGAGAAUGUCCUUAACAACGUAAAUUACUGAAUUACCCCCGUAAUCUCAAAUUACCUAACUGCCUUAGUCCAAAAUUACUAAACUAUCCACCAAUUUUGGAAAUCACAAAAUUAUCCCCCACCGUUUUGUGAAAUUACCGAACUACUCUUGGCAGUUAACGGUGACCGGACUUCGGUCGACGGCGACGAGAAGAUCAGAUCUGAUAGUUCUUAUCUCAGUGAGUCCAAUGGUGCCGGCGGUGACCACCCACGCGCGCCGACGGUGGUAGAUCGAGCUUCCCUAGUCGCGAGCUUUUCGGUGGUCGAUCGGUGGAAUUCCAACUGUUUCAGGCAGCGAGUUUGGUUGGAAAAUGAUGAGGGUGAGCUGAGGAACAAGAUCCAAGCAGUGGCGCGGCCUAAUUCCGGCGAAAUCAAUGGCGACGAAAACGAGUUGAGAUGUGGGUUUUUCAAGCUUGAUCGCCGGCAUUCUACCCAUUUUCCGAUGAGGUGACCGGAAUCGGUGGCUGGAGUUGGGUCGGGUUGCGCGAUUUCGGGUCGGGUCAGGUCAAACUCUGUCAGCUUCUCUCUUUCUCAAUUUAUACAACCAAUUCUCUUUUUUUUUUUUCAAAGCUUAAUACAAAUUAAGCUAAUACUGAACCCAUAUUGAGAAAAAAAUCUGACUACCCAACCUUUUAAUCACGCUCAAUUUGUCUUGAUUUAUUGUCGCGACAAAUUUAAAAUAAUCCAAACACAAUAUAUAUUAAUAAAUAUGUAACAUUUAACAACCAUCCCCCAUAAUAUCGGGAAAAAUUUGAGUUGCAUCAACUUCACUGUAAAAAUUCGUAACGAGUCUACUAAAUUUAAAAUUAAUGCCAAAGGAGAAAAAUAAAAUGAUACACUUAAUUAGCAAAUUUAAAGCGCAUAUAUUACAAUAACAUUAAAAUAAAUGAAAUAAUAUAUACAUUUAAAUAUUUUAAUAUUUAAAAAUUAUUUUAAUAUUUACAAUCUAUUAGAUAUAUUUUAUUAUAUUAAAGCAAAUUUUUAAUAAUAAAUAGAAACAUAAUAUUGAAUAUUUUGUACAAUUUUAACAUUAUUAAUGAAGAGAUUUUGUUAACUUUAAAAUCUAUUUAACUCAAAUAUUUAUUUAAAAUUAUUUUAAUAUUUACAAUCUAUUAGAUAUAUUUUAUUAUAUUAAAGCAAAUUUUUAAUAAUAAAUAGAAACAUAAUAUUGAAUAUUUUGUACAAUUUUAACAUUAUUAAUGAAGAGAUUUUGUUAACUUUAAAAUCUAUUUAACUCAAAUAUUUAUUUAAAAUCUUUGUAAUAAAUCCAAAUAUAUUAUUAAAUUUAAUAAUUUUAAAUGUAAAAAUAUUUUAAUAUUACUACUCUAUAGAUAUAUUUUAUUCUUUUAUAUUAUUUUUGUAUUAAAUAAAAAUUUUAAAGUUAAAUUUUUAGUUACUAUAUUCAAAGUGUAUUAUGAUUAAAAAAGGAUCCUAAAGUCUAUAUAAUCAUUUUUAAAAAUUUUAAAAGUGUAAGUGUCGAUUUUUCUUUUUUGUUUUAUAAUUCUUUUCAUGCAAAAAUUAUAUUCACGUUUUUUUAACUUCUCAUUAAUGCAUUUUCAUUGCCAGGGUUUCUGCGUUUUCAACAAAAAAUCUAGUGAAGAAACUGGAAAAUGUUGGAGGAAACGCUAAUGCAUAAUACGUACAACCUAAUAAACAAGUUGUUGGAGCGUACGGCUAUAGCAAUUUGUUUAUGGUCAUCUGUGCUUCUGUAUACUAUUAGUAAAUCUAUUUUGCAAUGAACCCAAAUAAUCAAAUUGUCCCGUGGCACUUACGGUCCAUGGAUCUAAUAAUUUUUGCUUCUUUUUAUUUAUUUAUUUAUUGCAUAUCAUAACCUGUCAGUCUCAUAAUAUUGUCCAACAAGAUUGCCUUUUUGAAAAAUUUCACAUAAAUCGGACACGGAUGAUUAUGUUAUCCUUUAAUUUUUCUAACGAAUAUAAUUUUCACUGUCAUUUUGUGUUUUGGAUAGGUGGAAUGACAGUGACCUGACUGAAAAAUAUGUUAUCUGGACGACGAACGACCAAGUCAAAGUCUUUUAAGUGUACAGUCCAACUCCUUUUAAAUAGCAAUUGAAUUCUGCACUUUAAGCAAUAAGUUACUCGGCCAAAUUUGCAGAAAUAUUUCAAAGUUUAAUUCUUCACUUGGAUUUUUCAUUGCUGAUCAUGUAAGUUAGUUGUUAUUAUUAUUAUUAUUUUUUUCACCACGGUAACUCCUGUGCUUACACUUUUCGCGGAGCUAGUUCUAUUUUCUUAAUGUUCUAAUUUUCAAUGAAUGUAUUUGGACAAAGCCACGAACUUGUCUUUUAGAGGACUUAACUUGUAUUAAUAUUGCUGAUAUAUUCCUUAUAAAUCAAAAAGAGCAAACAAAGUUCUUAUAAAAACGCAAGGAUAGCAGAGAGUGGUUUUUAUUUUUUAUUUUUAAUGUUAUCUCAAUUUUAAUAAUAGAUGAUUGAUUGAUUCGAUCUUCUUCUUGUCCAUAAUUAAAAUAACUACUUUCUACUUCCUAAAGGAAUUUCCUGCUCAUGUUUUUUAAUCCUACUCCAAAAUUCUCAUCUUAUUUGGUGAAAAUUUUCUUGAUGUUAACAAACUUAUGUUAACUGUCAACUAUUGUUAAAUUAAGUCAGUUUGUUUUUCAACUAUCAGACCGGAAAAGAGUACCUAAUAACAUGUAACUUUAGGAGAGUUUUGGUGAGGUUUAAAGCAUGAAAGGAAAUGGCUAAUUGCCUAAUUCCAAUAAGAAGGAAGAUUUGGUAAUUUUCUCCUUUUCCAGUGUAUGCAAAUCCACGACAGCCACCCUACGCCUCCUCCCCUUAUUUUUUAAGGAAGUAUGUGAUUUUUUAAAUUGGGCUUUGACUGCAAGCAACUGUAAUAUGUUGGACUUCCGUAAUAGGCUUGUUUCUACUGUACGGAUAUUUAUGUACUAUAAAAAUAAAAUAAAAAACAUUAUGACAAAACCUUGACUUGCGUUUCGAUCAUAUCAGGUCUCAGGAUCCAGAGAAAGGUUCAAAACAUGAACAACCUGAAGUGCAUUGUAAUGGAACGAACUCGGCCGAUAAAAAACGAACAACAUGCUUCCGUUGGGCUAAAAAAUUUCUCGGUAUCAUACUUCUGUGUGCGCCGCUAUUAUGCCUGCCUGCGGUAUUGCUAGUGCCAUGCCUGUUGAUUAUAAUAAUUAUAAUAAUUACAAUAAUUUGGUUAUAUCGUAAAGCGAUAGCGGCUGCAAUCAAGAAUACAAGAUAUCUUCUACUGAAUGUGAUUGCAAUGAUCCUUGAUCCUUUUUUCUUCUACAUUCCGGACCUGAAAGAUGAAAUUAAAUGCAUUCGCUGCAACGUUACCUUGGGGAUUACCGCUACUGUCAUCCGUUCCAUCCUCGAUUUCCUUAAGCUACUACAUAUUAGCUCUGAGCUUCAGGAGGCGGAUAAAAAAGAGAACCAAAGAAAAAAAUUUAAACAUUUAUGGCAGCAAUUAAAAAAUUUCAAGGUAUAAUUUACUUUCGCUAACUAGUUGUUUCUUCAACUUCCAUAAUUUAUAUAAAAAUAGUCUCCGUUAUCUUCUUUGCUCCGUACGAAGUAUUGAUUCUUUUUUUUUUUUUUUUUUUGCCUUAAAAGGGAGGAAGAGAAUUUCUUGAAGAUCCAAUGGUACGUAUGUGGACGCUAGUCUUCAUUGAUCUUUUGGCCAUCCUUCCCAUCCCCCAGGUAAAGGCACUGUCUAAUUUACUAUUACGUAUAUAUUGUUUAUUGAUUUCUUAUGUAGUUCAAUCCUUCCCAUCCCCCAUGUGCAUAUCGUAGUAGUAGUUUUGAUUGUGAUAAAGAUAGAUCUUUAUAUGAUUCAUGUCAAGAAUAAUGAUUUCAAUGUCAUUUUUCCCUUUUCUUUGAUUAAAGUUGUAUUUACACGUAAAACCCUAAAUGUUUUGCAUUGAUAGUAAUUUUGGUUAGUGUGUAGUGUUAAAUUUCAGCCAUAUGAAUUCGAUACUUUUAUUAAACUUGUUUAAUAAUUUCAAACACUAACUCAACCUGUCUAUUAAUAAUUAUGUCACAUGCUUAAUAUGCUUUAAAAAUAUAUUUUUAAAAUUUGACUUGUUUACAUGGGUUUAAUGUAUUUGUUUAAAAUAUUUAGAGUACUACCUCUCAAAUUCAAAUCAAUUCUAGUCUUAUCAUAACUGGAUAAUCUUGAAAUAUAUACAAAUAUAAACUCGGUUCAAUCGCAUCCAAAAUCUAGUCAAUGCAACAUCUUUAUUAAUCAAAUUGUUAAUUAUGUCAUAAUUAAAUAGGUUCACGUGACAGGAACUUUAAACUCACAAGAUACUAAUUUGUGUCUCUUUUCGCCAACGUGAACAAACUAUUAUUUUCAUGCCAUUAGGAUCAAUUUCGCGGGUUGUUUCAAAAAUUGCCAUCCCGCCUAUACCAUCGGUUUGCGCAAAAAUAAAUAAUCAAUUUUGUUCGUAUUCAAUAUCAUUCAAAAUGUUUAUUUACAUUAAUUAUUCCAUAUCAUCUAAUAGGACUUCAAUUAAUAUCGUUCAGGUUUUUGUGAUUUUCCCAAUAAGAGACACAGCAGGAAUCUCGACGGCAAUGACCUUCUUUGUUUUUCAAUAUUUGCUAAGGGUUAUUCGAACGUAUUUCCUGUUCACAGAUGCUAUAGAGGUUUCAGGGGUGAUUGCCAAUUCUACAUGGGCCAUUGUUGGCUUCUAUGUUUUUCUUUACUUGCAAAGCGGUCAUGUAAGUUCAAAGUAUCAUCAUUUUACCGACAUAUAUAUUUUUAGGGAGAUUACAAUUUUUCCACCCUACAGAUGGCAAAAAUUUCAAAUUUACCAUUUUUAUGCCAAAAGUUUUCAAAAUACCAUUUUUAUAUUCAAUUUUUGGAAUCAGAAAAGCAUGAAUUAUGAUAUUCACUAUUUUGUAAUUUAGAAAAGCACACUCAAUUAGUUUUUUUGGAUGUAAAUUUUAGAUAUUGGAAUCGUCGAUGUACGAUUUUCCCUCUGCUUUGCAAAUUAAUUUUUCUGAUAAGUGAUCUUUCAGACGUUUGGAGCCCUAUGGUACUAUUACGCCAUAAAAAAAGCGACUGAUUGCUGGAGGGAAGCCUACGAAAAUCAUACCAGACGCAGUCAUAGUUACUUUUUUUGUAAGAUUUGUUUCGCAGACUACAAUCUUCUAAAUGAUUCUUGCCCUAUAAGUACAGGAAGUACUACCAACUAUAGUUUUGGAAUAUAUGAAGAUGCUCUUCAGAAUGGGAUUGUGGUGGAGACAGAUUUUCCUAAGAAAUUGUUGCGUUGUUUACAUUGGGGCCUGCAAAAACUCAGGUUUGCCGUUUUUCAUUUGGCUUGGAUAAUCAUUACCGUGCAUGUUCAUUUUGUAGUUCUUUUUGCAUGCAUGUGUUUUUCUCUUUCUCUUCAUCAAUUUAUUCUUUUCUUUGUAGCUAUAUGCAUACUCUAAUGGGAACAUUUCACUGAGAGAGGGCUAUAUCUGAUAACACCAAUUAAAUCAAAACAUAUAAGAUUAAUCAAGUUUAUAUAAAAUUGAAGCAAAUUUGUUAUUUUUAUUAAAUUAAGAUGAUAUGUGAAAGUUAACAUGGGGCGUAAAAAAUAUUGGUUAAAAGUAAAAUGGAAACUAAAUUAAAGAGUAUUGAUUACUCAACCUUAUUUAAAUAAUUUUUAAUUGAAAAAAAGUAUGUCAAUGUAAUAUAACAUUGUCACUAGUAUUAAAAAUACUUAAAAAACAUAUAAUAACAAUUAUUAACAAUUUCAUAAAAAUUUUAUGUGAAUGUUGAGAUUUAUUUAUUAGUUACAUUAACUAAGAGGAUAAGUUAGAAAGUAAAAUUUGAUAGAAGAAUCAUUAGCAUCUGAGUUUUCAAAGAGAGUCAAAGUGCUUGGCAAAGAAAAAUAACGGCACACAAAUACAUUUUUGUUGGGUUAGAGUUUAGUUUAUUAUUGAAACUCUUGACUAAUAAUAUUUUUAUAAUUUAAAAAGAUGAAUAGAUUUUAAUUGUUUAAUUUAUUUAAGCUUGGUAUUUAAGUACUUUUAAGAAUAAAAGUUCUACUUGCAAUUUUUAAUUGAUUAUAAUUACAUGUAUUGAUUUAUUUAUUCUAACUUGAAAUUAUUAAUUAUUUAUUAAUUAUUUAUUAAUUCUUAUAUAAUUCGAUGUUAUUAUAGGUUGUAGUGUUAGAUUCCAUAAUUGAAAAAUAAUAUUUCUAUAUUUGAAUUAUUUUUUGUUUUCUACUCUUUUUGUAUCAUUAUUUUUGUUUAGAGUUCAUAUUCAUAGGGUUUUUCGUAUCCACCUUAUUUGAUGUACUUUUUUUUUACUCAUGAAUGUUUAUGUUCAUUUCAAAAUAUAAAAUUUUUAAUUUAGCCUGGGAUAAUAUAAAGUUAUGGGUCCACUCAUGUAUAGGGGUUUAUUUCAACCAAAACUCUUUUAUUCAACCAGAAGGGGAAAAAAAAAAGUAAUAUUUUUGCUAAGGUCUCAAAUAAAAAUUUCACGGGUUAUACUGAAAAUUUUCUUUCCACCGGACUGGUCAUUAGGUAGGUCCUCAACGUAACAAGGUGUUCAAUCCUGUUGAUCGUGUUAAAAAAAAAAAAAAUGAUGUCUGCAUUGGAAAGAAACUCUAUUAUUUGUUUUCUAUCAUUUCAAUUGUUGUUAAAUACGCAGGAAAAUAUAUAUAAUAAUUUUCAACUGAAUGAACCUUUUGCAGUGCGUUUGGUCAGGACCUUGAAACAAGUGAUGAUGUCGGGGAAAACAUCUUUGCAAUUUGCAUGACCAUCUACGGCGUACUGCUGUUUGUCUUUUUAAUUGGAAGGAUGCAGGUAAUUCGCAUUCAUUUUUCUGUUUCUUAUCGAUCCAUCAAUUUAUAUAGUUGCUCACCUCUAAAAAUCCCUGAUUUUUAUAAAAUCUGGAAUGAGUUGACAAUGAUGUUAACAGACUUUUUUACCGUUUCACAAUAUUGUCAAACAGUUUACAACAUUAUAACAUUAUGUUCACAUUGGUGUCAACUCGUCUUGGAUUUUAUGUUCUAAUUGAAAAAAUUUCAUAUGUAUAGUUUUUAAUUAGAUUUUAAACCUAGAAGUUACUUGUGUCAAUGUAUUAAUGACUAUAUGUACGUACAGUCUGAGACUACAAGAGCACAAAAGAUAAACCAGAAGUUGCGGCAGAUCAAGCAGUGGAAACACUUUAAGGAUAUCUCCACUUUUGUCCGUGCCAAGAUAAGGGAAGCCAAGCGUGAAAAUUUGCUAUUCAAACAUGAUAUUCACAUAGAUAGUUUGGUAAGCGAUCUCCCCGAUGACACUGCAAAGCAAGUAAAACUCCAUUUCGGCAGAAAUCUGCUUGGCCAGGUGAGUUUCUAUUGCUUUCUGUACAAUUAAUAAUCCUUAUAGUUAUUUAUCAAAAAAGAUGUCAAUUUUGUUACAAAUAUUUUGAAUGGGCGUCUUAUAGCAACAUCCAGAGUCUUCGUUGUAUGUGCUUGAUUGUUAGGAAAAAAAAUUAGAAAAUUUAUAAUAAAUUAAUUAAUUAGUACCUAUUAACCAUAUGUAUUAAAUGAUUAUUAAAGAAAAAAUGGGGCUAUUUGCAUUUUAAACAUUACUUUAAAUACUCUUAUUAAAAUAUUUUAUUACAAAAAUCUAUUAUAACUGAUAAAAUAGUUUAUAAUUCUUAAACCUUAAAUCCUAAAACUUCUUGUUCUAAUAAUAACUAAAUUUGUAUUACAUUUUUUUUUUUUACUUUUUUACAAAUUGUAAACAAUUAUCUCCUGAUUCAAGGGAAUGAAUAAACCCAACGGCUGGAAAAAAUUUCUUGGGAGAAGUCGUUUGAUCUCAUCAUGUAAACGGGAAAGAAUUUUGAAAGUCAAAAUUAUCAGGAGGUAUGCUUGGCAUAUUUUAAAGAGUGUAUAAAUUAAGUAAAACUUAAUUUUCAGAAUUUAUUGAAUGAUUGUAAGUGUUUAGAGUAAUAUAUAUAUAGAGUGCAAAUAGCCUCACCCAUUACAAAAAUACUUAUAAUGUAUUUUAUAUUUAAGGACAAUUUAUUAGUAUAUUAAAUAUAAUAUUAUUAUUUUAGACACCCAUCAAAUACACCCAUUUAUUUAUAAUUAUUCUUUAUUUAAACCCUAAAACUUGCUUCUUCAUGUCUAAUAAAACAAUUUGAAAAUUGUUCACAGUGCAUGUAUGAAAAAAAAAGAAAAAAAAAGGUAGUACAAUUGUCGUAGUACAAAAUGGAAUAGUGAAAACGAAAAAAAGAAAAAAAAAAGAAAGCAAUUAUAUGAACGAAAUGAAAGAAAAUGCUAAAUAGCAAUGGAUUGAAAUUAGUUAAGAAAAAUGUGAUUGAAAUUGGAGUCCUCUCAAUAUAGAUGUAAAGAUGUACCGAAUAUUCUCAUAGGUAUAUAGCGUAAAUAAAGAUGAUUAAAUUAAAGAUUUAAGUAAGGACUUUUUUGGUGUUUUAAAAUAGUGGAUAGAGCUAAGCUCAAAUAUAUAAAUUUUAGAGAUAAGUGUACAAAGUAAUAAUCGAGUACUCAAAAGUAAUAUUUAGAGUACAAAUAGCCUCACCAUUAAAGAAAAGAUUAACAAUAAACAUCUCUAAUGAUGAGAGUUCUAAGUAAAUUAAUUAAUUAUAUAUUAUCUCACAAUCGACAAUCCACUUCAUACUAUGCGACUAGCCAUGCAUUAUCAAAUUGGUGAUUAUGACGAGUUGUGAUUUUUAAGUAGUAACUUAGUUAUUUAUAACCUUAUGAUAUAAUCGUUGCAUGAGUAUUGACGGCUCUGAUUCUCAUUAUCAAUUCUCAUUCAUUCUUGGAUGUACAUCAAGAUGCAAAAAUUUGAAAAUUGGGAAGACUACUCGUUGGAUCAUCUAUGUGGUUGUCUAAAGCCAGUCUUCUUUAGUGAACGUUCUACAAUUAUUUCGGAGGGAGAGUCAAUUCAUGAGAUGCUCUUUGUGUUGGAAGGCCAGAUUUGGAUCUACUCAAAAUUUAAGUUGAUUGGAUUGAAACGUCAGGAAGAUGGUAACUAUUGCGGAGAAGAAAUUAUAGAUUGGGCUGAGAAUCAGAGCUCGUCUCACGGCCACCUCCCUAUCUCAACCAGAACCAUUAUAGCACAUACUAAUAUUGAAGGUUUUACUCUCAAGGCUGAUGACUUGAAACAGGGUGUAGCACUUCACCGGCGUUUCGAUCAGUUAGUAAGAUUCGUACAAUCAUCCUGGCGUUCUAAGAAGUCCAAGCAAAUGCAGAUGAAGAGAAGGCAAAGCCGAAGUCAUGAGUAACUAUUUGGGAUUGGACUUGUAGUUCUUAUUAUACUACUAUGUCUACUGUUUACGUUGGGUUUCUGUUUACUUGCUUAGGUACCAGAAAAUAAUCUACUUUUGUUGUGACAUAUUAGACUAUAAUUAUCUGGUACAUGAUUUUAGAUGAAAAUAAUAAGUAGCACCAGGACAACCUAUAGAUCACAGUGAAGAGCUGAAGCAGAUCAUCUCAGGGCAAUCCUAAGUGGGUCACGUGGGUAAAGUGAUGUUUUGCCAACGGUGUUGAGGCCACAGAAAAGCAUCACCAUGAAGAGGUGCACCGUAUCCGAAAAUCAGUAUCAAUCAUAACACAAGGUUAAACAGAUUUUAAAGAUUAACAGAAUGCUUAUGCAAACAUAAAGCGACACAUCAAGCAACAAACUAUAUUUCUUCUCGCUUAAGUACAAACUGAUAACUGUUUCAGAAUAAUCCAGCAUGAUCAAGAUUAAAAUCACUCAGAAAAAUCUAAGCCAAAUGCAUGUGAAAGCUUUUAGAGGAACACGGGUUGAGCUGAUAUGCCCUUCGCGUAAUAGGCUCGCGGUUGUUAGCAACAAGAUCGAAGAGGUAAAAUCAAGGUGACAAGGUAACAAUACCUGAAAGGAUCAAUAAAUGUUGUUGAUAUUGUCUUGACAUAUGAAUGCCACAUGCCUGCACGUUCGCUCUGCCAAGAACUCUGGUAGAUGAGUACAUUGAGCACCUGAAAUUAUCUUUUCACCUGAAAGGAAGGAACAUAUGCACAAAUUCCAAUCAACUGAAUAAUCACUGGAUAUUUUCAUCCAACAAGUGAUAGUGAUUAUAAAAAAUAUAAAAAUGAAAACCAAGCAGAAAAUUCUUAAACACAAGUAAGAUGACUGUGAUUAUCAUUAUUAAGCAAUCAACCUAGUACAACCUUCAACCAGUGUUUGAGACAAUGCAAGUAGUAUCAUGAUAAUAAAUCUUUACUUCCAAACAGAACAUCAUUUCUUCAUGUAAUAAAAUGAAUGAAGAUAGAUUUCAGGAAGACAGCAGCACGAAAUCAAAUAUAUGUGCACAAAAAAAGUAGAAGAAAUAUUUCAGCGUCAUCUAUUAGCUCGAAUAAAAACAUCAAUGCGGUGUAAAACAAACUGAUGAAGAGAUUACUGGGCAUGAAAGUGUACCCAAAGUGUAAACAUGAGUUUCAACUUUUGAUUUUGGUCGCUUCACAUUCCGGAAUGCUCUUGUGAGAAUUAGUUGUACAAUCAAAUCCCAUUCCAUAAAAUAUCAGAUACUCCCUGAAAAUGCCAUGCCACUUGAUACAGCCAAUGGCCGUGGUAUCUCUAAAACUUUUCCCCUUUGAGGAUUGCAUAUAAAGAGUUCCACUAGAUGCCAUUUAUUUCAAAAGAUCAAUAAACAUUAACACUGUUUUCGCCAGCAUUACAUCCCUCAGAGAUCUCAAGAUCCUUGAUGACAUUACCAUUGCAUAUAAAUGAAUGCAUGGCGUCCUCAAGAACAAGAAGCAGAAUUUGAGGUUCUUCAGCAGCAGCCGCAGCCUGUGUUGAUAAACGCUUGUUAGCAAAAGAAUGGCUGUCAAUUAUGUCAUUCUAGAAUUUAGAAACAGAUCACAAACGCAACUGAUUAUGCGGGGAAUCUCAGAAAGAUACCAUAGAAAAGAUAAUCAGAAACUUCUUCCUUCAUGUGUCUUAUACAAUUUUUAGCAUCCUUUCGAUUAUCUUCGAUUGAAAAUUUAUUACUUCCUGCAUGUGAAAGUUAUUUGAGUGUCAGAAAGCCUGCAUUGAAUAUAGAUUUGAGGGAAUAAUUUUGACAUAAAAAUUAACAUGAAAGCUAAUACAAAGAAACAGUUCUUAUAUGAACAAAAUUAACAUGAAUCGAGAAACAGAGCGUAACAGGGUAGCUGCAACUAAUAACUCACAAACUAACUUCUAAAGUGACCUACUGGGCAUCAAAUCUAAGGAUUAAAGCACUAAUUAUAGGAUUUAACAAAAGAUCAGCCAAACAUUAUUUAUUUAUUUUCUCUUUUAAAAAAAAAGGUCAGCUUUUUCGAGAUUUCAGGAAGACAACAACAUAAGAUCAAGUAAGUAUAUGUGCACAAAAAAUGAAGAAGAAAUAUUUCAGCUUCGUCGAUUACCACAAAGAGAACAUCAAUGCUGUGUAGAACAAACUGAUAAAGAGAUUACUCACCAUGGAGGUGUGCCCAGAGUGGAAACUUCAGUUUCCACUCUUGACCUCGUAAGCGACGCGAUAAACCAGUCCUUUGCAAUUCACGUACCUGAAAAAUCUUGAAAGAAUUGGUUGAACUAUCAAAUCCCAUUCCAAACAUGUUGGUGUUAAUAAGUUGGUUAAUGAUCUUCCUGACGAACUUGGCAACAAAAUAAAGCGCAAUGUCUGCAUUAAACUGUUCAAGAAUGUGAGUCCCUUCAUCAUAUAUUAAUUGUUAAAUAAAGUUCCGGAUGUACCCUUUAUUGGUCAAAUAUUCUACCCUUUUAGUUGUUUGAUGUCUGUGACACAACUUAAAAGUAAUUUUUAACUUCCAAGUAUAAGAGUGUCUUGUUGUAUUAUAACUCGGUGAGUCCGAGGUCGAUCCACAGAGAAAAGAUUUAAUUUGUUUAUUUUAUUUUAACUAAAAAUUGAAAUUAAAACUUAAAUAUAAACAACUUAAUUUAAAUGAAACUAUGAAAUUAAACUAGUUAGGGUUAUGGAUCCACUCAUAGAAGUAAAUAAAAUUUAAUAAAUUCUUUUUGCCUUUUUUUUAGAUUUAUUACCCAAAAGAUUAAUUAUAUAAAUUAUUAUUAUUUUCCCUUUAAUUUUAUGAUGGAUUAAGAAUUUAUUGUGCCAAAAUUUAAUUUGUCUACAAUAAGUCAAAAUACCAUUUUACCAUACCUUAUAUUAAGAUAUUAAGAAUUUAUUGUGCCAAAUUUAUUUGUUUGUUCACAAUAAAUCAAAAUUUCAAAAUAUAAAAUUUGUAUAAAAUUAAAUAGAAAAUAAUUUAAUUUAUAAAAUUAAAAAUAGAAUUUGCUUAAAUCAUAUUUAUUUCCUAAGAGUUUCACCUUCCUCUAACUAAUAUUAUUUAGUUAAGCAUAAUUAAAAUACAAAGAAGUAAUAAAAUUGAAUUACUUAUAAUUAAAAGUAAUAAAAACAACUAAAAUUGGAAAUAAAACUAAUUUUAUUUAUAAAAAUAAUUAUACAAAAUAUUAAAAACACACCUGGAAAUGAAGAUUACAAGGAGAUGGAGAGAAUUUGAGAAGAAGAGAGUUGUAGAGGGAUGAUUAAAAACAUAAAAAUGAGGCUCUAUUUAUAGAAAAAUAAAUUCAUAAUCCAGUGCUUUGUGGUCCAUCAUAAGCUUCAUGCAUGUGCUCCUCAUACCUUUAGAUCAAGAUCCAAUGGCUGGUCAAACUUCAAAAGUCAACAUCACACGUGGCAUCGUUUGACUCGUCCGAUUUGCCCAAAGAACGGUUGAGAUUUGGCGAGUUAAUGGGUGGAUCGGGUCGACCCGAAUACAAGGAUUUGGAUCCUACAACUUGCUUUACCAACCAUUGCCACGUGGCACAAUCAUAGCCAUUGAAUCAUGAACGGUUGAGAUUUAGUCAAAAUUGCCAGCUAUCCCAUACACUCAUAUAUAUUGUAAGCUCAUUUCAUCAUCCAAUCAGUGGUCGGUCAACAGGAAAAGUCAACUUUUUUUACACAAGCCCAAUUUUAAGCCGAUCUUGAUUGAUCUUAAGGUUUUUCGGACCUUUGGAAUCCAAAUUUGACCUCUGUUUAUCUGUUUGGAGCCUCGAAUUACGUGAAAUUAAUAUUUUUCCUAAUAAACACAUAAAAAUACACAAAAUUAAAUAUAUUUAAAACAUAAUUAAUAAUUCCUAAUAUAUUACAUAAACACAAAUAUAAAUUAUAGCAUACGCAUAAACUAACAUAUUAUCGCUUGAUAAUUAAACAAUUUUUAAUACUAAUCGGUCUGAUUUAAUUUUGUAAUUCUCAUUCUCAAAAUUAAAUGUAUAUGAAGGUAAAAGAGUUUAGAAAUUUGAGCGAAAAUCAUUAGGGUAUCUGUUUGAAUUUCUGAGGCCAUUCUUAUUUGUGGAGCAUACUCGCAUUUUUAAGGAGGGUGACCCAAUUGAUGAGAUGCUAUUUGUGUUUAAAGGCAAGGAGCUACUCCUACACCUCCAGGAAUUUUAAUGUAACAACAACAGCCGCUUCUAGAAGAAAUAAUCGUAUGAAAGAUCGAUGGUGACUAUUUCAGAGAAGAACUUAUCACGUGGGCUCAGAGUGAACGCUACUCCAAUCUGUCCAUCUCAGCCAGAACUAUUCAAGCGCUUAGUGACGUUGAAGCCUUUACUCUUAUGGCUGAUGACUUUAUCACUCAGUCAGACAUUUCGAUUGGGCGGCUCUUUUGUUACAGUCAUACUGGCUUUUUAGAAAGCUUUUACGGGACUAAAGGAAGGCUAAGCAAAAAUCAUGCCUGAAAUAUUGGACUUGGACAACCAAAGAAAAUAAAUAACGCGGGACAUGUAUCAGCGAUACAACGCAAAAAAUUUUAACACUUGUGAUAGAAUCAUUGAUGACAAAUUUUUUUUUUUUGAUAUAAAAGGGAGCCAAACAAGGCUAAGCCGAAACAAAACGCAGGAAAGCAUUCCCGUACAUGUUGUGAAUUAAGCAAUUGACAACACCACAAGGAGGAUUGUGAAGGAAAUGGAAGCCAAGAGGUUGAUUCAUUGCGAAAUUCGCAAGAAAAUCCGCUGCAAAAUUUGCUUCACAAUAAAUAUAGUUAAUGCACACAUUCCAGUCCCUAUCAAGGGGCCUCCUGAUGCUUUGAAUCACUGAAGAAAAACUGUUAGGACUGUUGCUUGUGUUUGCAAGUAGAUCAAUGGUGCACUUACUAUCAACUUCAACCAACAAAUUCCGAACCCCAAGCUUCCAAGCCAGAUCAAGACCAUAGAAUAAACCCCAGAGUUCAGCAUUAGCAACCGAACUAAUGCCAAUGUUCGUACAUAAUCCAGGAACCCAACUCCCAUUAGCAUUUCUUAUCAACCCACCCGUAGCUGCCAUGUUCAUCUUCUUGCAGGCCCCAUCGGUAUUCAAUUUGAAGGCAUUUUCAGGAGGCGGUUUCCAUCCAAAGUGUUUCACAAUCUUUGAAGAUCCAGGUUUGAUCAAAGUCAUCAUAGUUUUAUGGGAAUUUUCAGCUCUAGUAAUAAUAUCUAAAAUAAUGUUGUGAUUACUCCUCUGCACAUUCCUAAACAGAGCUUGGUUCCUCCAAAACCAAAAGCUCCAGAUUGCUAUGCCAAAAAUUACAGACCAAUCCACUCCAUUACUAUCAUAACGAUUAGGCUUUCAAUUAGUAAGAAUCCAAUCCUUUAAGUCUAAAGAGAAAAAACUAUCUCGUAGGCUAAAAGGGACAAUAUCUAGCCAAAUAUACUUGGCUGCCACACAAUCUCUAAGGGCAUGAAGAGAGUCUUCCACGCAAACUCUGCACCUUACACAUUGAUUCUCUGCCAAAAUAUGUCUUCUAGUAAGCUCAGCUUUGGUCUUUAACUUAUUUUGAAUAGCAAACCAAAGAAAAGUUUUAACACUUUGUGGUCCUUUCCAGCUCCAAAUAAGGUCCCAUUUUGAGCCGAUACGACUGGAGGAUUUGCUUGAAAUACUUUAGUAUGCUGAUUUUACUGUAAAGUUGCCCUUAGUCGAGAAGCCCCAAAAGAUUCGGUCUAUACCCCCCUCGACACAUGGAGGCAUAAUGGCAGUAAUAGCAAGCGCUAAACUGUGAGGGAGAUAAUUGCUGAAAGCAACCCAAUUCCAUUGACCAUUACUGUCAACAUAUUCCUUAAAAGAGUUGUCAAGCAUAUUACUCGGAACCGGCAUCACAACAUAAUCCUUCAAAAUGACAUUUUGCAUUACCCAACAAUCUUUCCAGAAACGAAUCUUUAAGCCAUCUCCAACUUGCCAACGAAUACCAUUCAAAACUUUUUGCCAAACCGUACCCACUGCACGCCACACAUAAGAACCAUACUUUGUAGGUAGUUCUGUUUGGGGAGAUUAUCAUUCUUGACACCGUAUUUAGAGCAAAAAACUUUGAUCCACAGGCUUGUAGGAGAAACAAUAAUAUUCCACCCAAUCUUCAUCAAUAGUGCCUAAUUGAUUUGGAGAAGAUUUUUUAAGCCAAGACCACCUGCCAUUUUAAGUUGACAGAUUUUAUCCCAGCUAGCCAUGGACAUGUUAUUCCCCUCGUUAUUCCCACUCCAUAUAAAACGAUGAGAAAUGCGAUUGAUUUUUUCUUGAGUGCCUCGCGGAAUCAUUGUGGUUUGCAUAGAAUAAAUUGGCAAGGCUUGGAUUACCGCUUGAGCAAGUGUAAGCCUUCCAGCAAAAGAAAGAUGCUUCGCAUUCCAUCCUGAGAGACGUUUAUCUACUCGAUCUAUAAUCUCUUGAUAGGUUUUAUUGGUAAUUUGACCAUGAAGAAGCGGCAUACCCAGAUACUUCCCUAAAUUUUUUGAAGUUGAAAAGCCACUUAGAUAACUGAUUUUUUUUUAUAAAGCAGGGUCCACAUUUUUUUAGAAGUAUAAUCGAGUUUUUUCUGUGCUAACUUUUUCUCCCGACAUAUUGCAAAAGUUAUUUAGAGAUUUGAUCACCAUCUUCGCCUGCUCAGAGGAAGCUUCUGCAAGAAGAAGAAGAUCAUCAACGAAAAAAAGGUGAGUCAGAUGUAUACUUUUCGGAGACAGCCUUAUGGGUUUCCAUCGCUUCUGUUGCACUUCUCGAUUAAUGAUGUGGCUAAGUCUUUCAAUACAAAGAACAAAUAUGUAAGGAGAGAUUGGAUCCCCCUGGUGAAUCCCUCCAGAGGUCUUGAAAAGAAUCAGUAAGUUCGCCAUUCCAAAUAAUCUGCAUGGAAUAAGAGGUGAUGCACUCCAUGAUGAUUCGUAUAAAAUUCGUAGGAAGACCCACAAAAACCAAAGUCUCAUUGAUAAAAUCCCAACUUAAUCUUUCAUACGCUUUUUCCAAAUCUACUUUGAUGGCCAUGAAUCCUCGUUUGCUCGUCUUCCGUCUUAUACUAUGAAUAAUCUCCUGGGUGAUUAUAAUGUUUUCGAUGAUGUGCUACCUUGGAACAAAGCUAGUUUGAUGCGGACCUACAAGAUCAGGGAGAAAAGUCUUUAAUCUACUAGCGAUGAUUUUAGUGAUAGUUUUGUACAUAAUCGUGCAAAGACUAAUAGGUCAGAAAAACUUUAAACUAGUUGGAUUGUCAAUUUUUGGGAUAAGAACGAUUAAUAUCUUCAAGAAAUCUGCAGGAACGGUCUCGCCAUUGAAAACAUCUUUGAUUUGCUUGCAAACCGACUUGCCCACCACCUCCCAUUGAGAUUGGUAAAAAAUAGCAUGUAGGUUGUCAAUUCCCGGCGCCUUUAAAGGUUUCAUGCUAAAAAUAAUGUCUCGAAUUUCCUCAUCAUCCACUGAUUUUUUCAUGAUAUGGUACUUAUCUGUAUCAAGGCAAGGAAAAUCAUUAGGAAUAAAAUAAUUUUCAAAAGAAUUAUUGUCAGCCGUGUAUAAAUUAGUGAAAAAAUUAAUAGCAUGAGCCUUAAGCUCAUCCUCAUCCAAAAUCCACUAGCCCCCGUCAUCUUUCAUCCAGACAAUUUCGUUUUGUCUUCUCCUAGUCAUUGUUUUCUAGUGGAAAAAGGAAGUAUUUCUGUCCCCAAAUUGAAUCCAGUUGCUGCGAGAUUUCUGAAGCCACAAAAGUUCUUCUUGAUUGAGAAUAUCGUUGAGCUCCUUGCUGAGAUGAGUCUCCAACUUUAGUCUCCAACUUUAACAAAUUAUCCAAAUGGUGACUCUCCAAAGCUUUUUGAAUUCCACCUAGUCUAGCUAAGAUUUCCCUUUUUUGUUUAAAAAUAUUUCCAAACUCAUUCUUGUUCCAAUUAUCAAUUUUGUCAGUAAACUCCUUCAUCGAAACAUUAUAAUCAACAUCCUUCUUCCAAACUUGAGACACAAAACCAGAGAAACGAUUAUCAGUAAGCCAAGAUGCAAAGAAUCUAAAUGGUUUCAAACCUUUGUUCCCAGUACCCUCAUUAUUCAAACUAAGAAGGAUAGGCCGAUGGUCAAACCCCAAUCUUAGUAAGUGAAAAACUCGUGCCUUGUUAAAAGUGUUGAACCAAAUAUCAUUGCAAAUGGCUCUAUCCAAGCGUUUAUAAAGCGAUCCCCUUUUCCAAGUAAAUUUUGGUCCAGUAAAAUGGAGAUCGCAAAAUCCGUGUUUGUGGAACCAAUUUUGAAAGUUUUUACAAGGUCGGCUACGACUAUUAGUACUUCCUUUACUCUUUGAGGUUGAAAGAGUGGCAUUGAAGUCGCCUGCUAGCAUCCAUGGACCUUGAAUAGUCUCAGCCAAAUAAUUUAAAUCCUUCCAAAGAAAUUUCGGAGAGAAGUAACUGGACUGGCAUAAAUCACGGUGACCCAGGUAAUUAACCCCCUUGUAUCAGACACUUGGAAGUGAAUAUAUUGCUUAUGAUUAAUAAGGAUUGUGACAUCUAAACCCGCUCUCCAUAAUAACCAAAUUUCACUUGAGAAACCAGCCACCUCAACUCGAUGGGAAUGCUCAUAACCACUGAAACGAAUAAAAUCAUCCGUUUUAAUUCCACUAAUCCGAGGUUCACAAAAAGCCACAAGUUUGGGUUUAUAGUUUUGAACAGACAUCUUGAAAGUUCAUCUAAAGGACUGCGAGGCCGCCCCCUGGUAAUUCCAAAACAAGCACGACAAAUUCAUUAGCAAAAAAAAUUGAAAGAAAAGCACAUACUUACUCCAAAUGCUCAGAGCCUUGCUGAUUAACAUCCAUAUGAUCCUCCUCAACAAAAAAAUGAGACUCAUCUGAUGUCUCAGAUUCGUCAUCCUCUGAUUCCUCCAUAUAUUCACUAUCUGAUGAGUCCUCCUCCACCUUAUCCAUUUCCCUAUCGCCUAUAUCAGGAGGCUCCUCAUUCGGGUUUGGUUCGGGAGGCAUCGAAGGGGGGGCCUGGACGGUCCCAUUUUUUGAAUUGUUUUUUAAUAUUAUUGCUUAAUGAUAUUUAGGAUCCAAAGAAGUUGGGAUGAAAGUUGGUUCAAGAUAAUGGGUUAUAGAUGACUUGGAUUUGUUACGUGAGAUAUUUUUUUUCCAUGGGCUCAAAAGGGUGUUGAUUUGAUGAGCUAUGACCACUUGUGGGGGGGGUGUACUGUGUAUUUCCCGUGAAGGUUUGAGGGUAGUGUGUUCAGAUGUGGCAACCUUCUUGUUUCUUGUCACGGGUUUUCCCUUGCUUCCAAAUAUCAUCGUUUGGGUGGAGCUUUUAGAGUCACGUGAGAUCAUCUUUUCCAUGUUUUUAGGAGGAGCAACAGUCUUCUUGUGAUUAUCCAUGGUGAUAGCUGCGUUUGAAAUCUCCCUAGAAUCAUUGUCUAACUCACUUUCCUGUCGUAAGACAUCGAAUCUGGAACCUAGACUCUGUUUCCCAAAAUUAUUUUGAUUAGUCUCCUUUGCAUCUGCUCUUCCCUUAUUUCCUCUAUAAUUUCCUUUCCUAGCCAUGAUCAUCCAAGGACCAAAUCUUGGAUUGUCCAGAGUAACCACCGCCGGCGAGACAUCUGAAAUUCCGUUGAUAGUUUCACCUGAAGCCAUAUCAUUCAUCUUCUCCCCUCUUGCCUCCAAAAUCAAUUUAUCCGGGCAUGAGGAAGAGGUGUGUCCAUACUUUCCACAUCCAAAGCAUAUUGUUGGAAGCACUUCAUAUUCAAACCUUUGGAUUCGUCCAUCCAGUAAAAAUUGAGAGAUUAAAGGACUCUUAAGGGAUACUUCCACUGCAUUACGGGUAAACUUACCCUUCGUCGCCAAUUCCGUAUUAUAAUCAAUUUUGAUUACUUUUCCAAUGACAUGCCCCAACAUUCUAAUGAUCUUUUUAUGGUAAUAAUGUAGAGGCAUACCUGGAAGCCUUAUCCAUGCAGUGAUUUCAUCAAUCUUUUCAUUCGAGCUAUCGAAAUGAGGCGACCAUAGUUGAACGGUCAGGUAAUGCCCCGAAACAAUCCAUGGCCCUUAUGUAAGAACAAACUUAGCAUCACCUUCCUUCCUGAACUUAACGAGAAAAUAGGCAUUAUCUAAAUCUAUAACAGAGUAUCCGCCAAUAUUAGGCUACAAGAUUUCCAGCUGUGAGCAAAACGCUUUGUAUCCAAUCAUGCGGCUAAGAAGUUUCACCACCACAGUAGAUUGCCAUGGUUUUAUGAGUUGCUCGUGGACUUUUUGUGAAAAAGAAAUCGAAGGUAAAAAGCCUUCCCGUUCAAUGACCACAUCCUCAUUUUCAAUUUCAUUAUCAUUUUCCUUCCCCAUGAAUUCUUCUCUACCGACUUCAGCAUCAAUCACCCCCCUUUGUUGUUCCAUUAGUUUAUCUCGAAAGAACAACAUAGAUGGAUUAUCUCCAUCCUCCCCUUGUGCUUUGAAUUUGGUUUUCUUGGUCGAUCGAUCAUCCUCAAGGGGAGGGGGGUUGUUCUUGUUAAGAGAGUUUUUGGUUGAGAGCAUUUUCCAACGACUAGUUUUUUCUUUUCUUUCGCAGAUAAUUAGACGUUUAAAUCACCGAAGCUGUGGAUUUGUCAUUUGGUAGUUGAUAGUUACAAAUUGUUUAUUCUUUAUAUUUAGAUGUGCGCAGAAAAUGGCCAAAAUUUAAUUUGAAAUUUGGAUCCCUCUAAGUUACAUGUAAUAUAACUUACACCCACUCACAUGAAUAGUGAACAGUGGGUGAUGUGAGGCCCACUCAUUGUUCAUGUGAGUGGUGUAAGUUACGUUACAUGUAACUUAACACUUGCCUUGAAAUUUUAAAUUUGAAUCCCUCUAAGUUACAUUACAUGUAACUUAACACUUGCCUUAAAAUUUUACAUAUGAAUCCCUCUAAGUUACAUUACAUGUAAUUUAGCACUUGCCUUAAAAUUUUACAUAUGAUUCUAUCCGGCUUUGUCAAUUAAUUCACCAGUGAUGAUGAAUAAUGAUAGAUAUUAAUGUUUGAAUUCAAAUUGAUUUGACAUUCAUUUAUUAGAUGAUAUAAUAAUAAUUUUAUUUUUGUCAUAUAAUAGAUGUGUGAUACUUAACAUUUACACUCAAAUUAAAAUUUAAAUAUUGAAAUUCUAAUAUUAGUGGAGUUAUAUUGAGUUGGGAUACAAAUUUUGACUAUUAAUGGUGUAACACUUGAUGUGAUGGUAUUAAAUUAUCUCAUUAUGAAAGAAAUAUUAAAAUUGAGUAAAGUUUAUAGGGAAAAUCAUUUUGUGUGAGUAUUCUCAAUUUUCAAUAUAAAAAUUACGAGACAAAAUUAAGGAGGAGAAUGACACAUUGCACUGUUUACAAGCUAUUGGAUAAUUUGGUCAUAUUUCAAAAAGCGAUUUAACCACGGAGGUCCAUCACAGAAGUUUAAAGACCUUUCGUUGAAAGAACAAAUGUGAUAAUUGAUAUUAUUAAUAAAGAAAUAAAUAAAUGGGAUAAAUCUAAUUUUUCAAAUUUCUCCGGAGGAAAAGGCUGCGAAUUAUGACUCUCCAUAAGAAAGACGUCACAUGAAUUUAUUUAUUUAUUUAUUUUCUUGUAAAUUUUACAUGAUUGGAAGUGUGGAGGUGUGUGAUUAUCAUUUCUGUCCUAAAAUACCUGUCAACCUUCCACAAUUUUUGAGAUUGCCAAUUAGUUUGUUGGUCCUUCAGGUAUUUGGAGGCUUAUGAUACUUAUUUGCGAUAGAAAAAGUUGGCGGAUGUCGAAGGAAGCCUGCAUAAUUAAUUAAGCCUUAUGGUACUCAUCUGUCAUAAAUUAGGAUUCGUCUAUGAUGCAACUGUGGUGUGCUACCACAAUUUUUGUCCUUAACCCAACUAACCGUUGGUUCAAAAGUUAAAUAAUCUAACAUGUUUUUAAUUGCCACACAUAUUUUCAAGUAUACUGGUGAAAUUAGGACAGUUAUGACUUAAUUUUAAAGAUCUCUUGCCUAAUAAAACUUACUUUCAAUUAAAGGGUAUUGCUACCUUUUUUUUUGUAUUUGGUAAUUCAUCAAACACGAACAAAUUGACGAACACAUAAUUUCUUUUCUUUUUUACAUUUUGCUUUUCAUCAAUUCCUUCAACGUCCUCUGUACAUCAUCUUUCUUUUUUUCUUUUUUUGUUGUUGCUGGAAUCAGUUGGUCGUUGAUGGUAUUGCCCCAAAAUUUCAUCUUUACAUCUUCAAGUCCUUCAUCUUUUUUUUUUUUUUCCUGUCUAAUCCUUCAAUGUAAUGAUCCAUUUCACUUAUGCAACUUUUGCUAGGACUUCAAGAUUGAUUUUUGUGUGUUAACUUACAUUUGAGUUGAAAACAACUUGGAUGUAUUUCAUGCCUGCUACCUGUUUGACGAAAUUCCUCACAGAAGAAACAUACAGUUUCAGAUGCUAUUCUUGCUAAAGAGUUCAAUAAGAGAGAUAUUUCUGGUAUUGAACAUAAAAAAUAGAGCAAUAAAUAGAAAAUUAAUUAAUGACAACUUCUUCUGAAAAAAAAAAAUUAAUUGAAUUUUGCUAUUUUUGAUUGAUAUGAUGAUGAUGGAAGUCAAGUGUGUUAUGUAAGACGAAAGACGAGAAAUCAAUGGUUAAUUUCAGCGCUCAAAAGAUUGUAUUUCAGUAUAAUGCACGCACCGAGGACGAAAAUGAAAAGAUGAAGUCAAUUAAUUGCAACUCACUCAAAAGGUUACCUGUGUCAGUCCAAUUUAUCCAAUAAUUAAGUCCAGCCCUUAGAUUAAAGAAAGAAGUAUCCAACGGUUUUGUUUGAUAUAUACAAAAGAAUGCGGUAUGGUGCAACUGUUGCAACAAGACACCAUAAAUUAUCUCAUUAUGACAGAAAUAUUGAAUUGCACGAGUUAAUUAGGAAAAUAAUUUUUGUGUGAGUAUUCUCAAUUUCCAAUAUAUAAAUUAAAAGAAAAAAAUUAAAAAGCAGAAUGACGCUUUACACUUGUUUAGAAGCUACUCGAUACUUUGGUCAUAUUUCAAAAAAUAUAUUAACUACGUAGGUCCACAUAUAAUAAAAGUUGUAAGAGAUUUUUUGUUGAAAGGAUAAAUGUGAUAUUUUAAAUAAACAUAUUUAAUAAAUGGGAUAAACCUAAUUCUUCAAAUUUCUUCCUAGGAAAGGCUGUCAAUUAUGGCUCUCCAUAAGAAUGACGUCACCCAGAUGAUGUAAUCAGAAACUUUUUCCUUCAUCAGUUACUACGCAAUUUUUAACGUCCAUUUGUUCCACUUCAACUGAAAACUCAUCACUUCCUGCCUGCAAAAGUUAUUUGAGUGUCCAAAAAACUAUAGUGAAUCUACAUUUUUAUUGUUAAGGGAGUCAUUUAAAUAUGAAAUUGACAUGACAGCUAAUACAAAGCUACAGUUGCUACUUGAACAAAAUUAACAUGAAUAAAAAAAGUGUAGCUGCAACUAAUAACAUUAAAGCAAAGGAAUAAAGUAUUAACUAGAGAUUUUAAACAUAACUGUUUGGUUUAAAAUUAUGGGAAUUUUAGAUUACACUUACAGUUUUUAUUGUUUUUUAAUUUUUGAAGAGAAAGAAAAGAAAAAAAAAGAUCAGCUAUAUGAUUAAAGAAAGAUAACAUGGUUAUGCAUGGAGGGAACAAAAGAGUAAUUGAAGUGAGUUAUUUAACGGACCACCGCAGCAUUGAUCGGCGUGUACGGUGCCGCCGGCGCGGUGACGUCGUCAGAGAGGUGGCAUCGUCGGCGUCAUUGUAAGUGUGAGUGUGACUGUGCGAGUGAAUAUGAGAGUGACUCAUCGUGGUUUUAAACUAGAGGCAGACUCAAAAUGUACAGUUGUCAAUAUAUAAUUGCAGUGCCCUUGCUCUCAUUUAUGAUACAAAUUAAUAAAAACUAUGAUUCAUUCAACAUUCACCAACCUUCCUCCAAUCCAAUUUUUUGGUCAUAUUAGGAUGGCUAUAAAUGCCAUUUAAUCGAUCGAUAACCUUAAUUUUCGAGAUUGCUAUGGCCGAAACUUUUUAAUUUUUUUUUUAAGUCUUUUAUUUCGUGCAAAAAUUAUAUAUCACGUUUUUUUAUUUCUCAUUAAUGACUGUAUUUUUGUGUCAUAAUUCAGGAACAACUUGUUGUUUCAAAGGGGCAGCAACAAGGAAUAGCUAUUUAUUUAAAAUAUGAAGUGGGGAAAAACUGCAAUACUUCAGAUCAUGAUCCAUAAAUUAUUCUCCUUUUUUAUCUCUAGAAAAAAUUGAAUUAAUUUCUUGAAAAAAGAUCCAACAAAUGAGUGCUUUAAUUUCGUAAUUUAUUAUUAUUAUUGCUAUUUCUGUUUAAAUAUGAAAAAAGAAGAAGAAGAAUUGGGUUAUUUUUAUUUUGUCGUAUAUCAGGGUUCAUAAUAGAUGUACUCGUGUCAAUAUAUAAUUGCCUUUGCCUUCCCUCUGGUGAAUUCAUUGAUAAUUGAAAAAGAUGGUAGCUGCUUGUGGUUGUGGGACGCUCUCGUUUAUGGUACAAAUUAAGAAUAAAAAUUUAUAUUUAAUUAACUCAACUGCUUGUGGUUUUGGAGGUACUUGGAUGUCAUUUAAACGAUAACCUAGAUUUUCUAGAUUGCUAGCUAUGGCCGAGUUUCUUAAUCUUUCUGAAGUCUUUUCGCGCAAAUAUUAUAUCCACGUUUUUUUCAUUUCUCAUUAAUGCAUUGUCAGUUCAAUAAAAAAUCUAGUGUGGAAACUGGAAAAUUUGGGAGGAAUCAUUAAUGCGUUGCACGUGCAACCUAAUCAAGAAUGUGCUUGUGUAUUAUUUUAAUAAAUCUAUUUCCAAUAAACCGAAAUAGUCAAAUUCUUAGUUCUCCCGUGCUAUAUAUUUGGUCUAUGGAUAUAUUAAUGUUUGUUUCUUUUAAUUAAAUUUUUUUUUUUUUUGCAUAUCAUAACCUCUCAGAUCACUGUCUAACAAGAUUGCCUUUAAAUUUGAAGAAUUUCACAUAAAUUGGAUACGGGUGAUUAUGGUGUCCUUCCAUUUUCUAACGAAUUAAUUUUCACUGUCAAUUUGUAAUUUGGCUAGCUGGAAUGACAGUGACCUGACUGAAAAAUAUGUUAUCUUGACGUCGACUGACCAAGUCAAAGUCUUUUAAGUGCACAAUCCAACCCUUUUGAAGUGGCGAUUCAGUUCGGCACUUCAAGGAAUAAGUUACUCGGCCGAAUUUGCAGAAAUAUUCCGAAGUUUAAUUCUUCACUUGGAUUUUCAUUGCUGAUCAUGUAAGUUAGUUGUUAUUUUUAAUUUUUUUCGGCGUUGUCACCCAUGUGCUUACACUUUUUGCGGAGCUAGUUUUAUGUUCUUAAUGUUCUAAUUUUCAAUGAAUGUAUUUGGACAAAGCCAUGAGCUAGUCUUUUAAAGGACUUAACUUGUAUUAAUAUUGCUGAUAUAUUCCUUAUAAAUCCAAAAGAGCAAACAAAGUUCUUAUAAAAAACGCAAGGAUAGCAGACAGUGAUUUAAUUUUUUUUAUUUUAUUUUGAUGUUAUCUCAAUUUUAAUAAUAGAUGAUUGAUUGAUUCAAUCUUCUUCUUGUCCAUAAUUAAGAUAACUACUUUCUACUUCCUAAAAAAAUCUCUAAUAUGUCGAAAUAAGUUUAUAAACAUUUGUAGAAAUCAAUAUCUUGGGAUUGUUGCUUGUUAAUUAUAUGUAAGUUAUACCAUUUUUAUGUUUUUUUUAAUCUGCUCGGCAUGUUUGAUAUAUUUCAACCCAAAUCCCCCUUGAUUGGGAAAAUAAACCAUUUCCUGCUCAUAUUUUGAAAUCCUACUCCAAAAUUCUCAUUUUAUUUGGUGAAAAUUUUCUAGAUGUUGAUAAACUUAUGUUAACUGUCAACUAAUGUUAAAUUAAGUCAAUUUGUUUUUCAACUAUCAGAUUUGGUAAUUUUCCCCUUUUUCCAGUGUAUGCAAAUCCACGACAACCACCCUACGCCUCCUUCCCUUAUUUUUUUAAGGAAGUAUGUGAUUUUUUAAACUGGGUUUUGAUUGCUGGCAACUGUAAUAUGUUGGACUUCCGUGAUUGGCUUGUUUGUACUCUACAGAUAUAUAUGUAUAAAAAAAAAAGGAAAAAAAUAUGACAAAACCUUAACUUGCGUUUCGAUCAUAUCAGGUCUCAGGAUCCAGAAGCAGGUUCAAAAGAUGAACAGUAUUCUAAAGUGUAUGGUACUGGAACGAUGUCGGCCGAUAAAAAACAAACUACAUGCUUAGGUUGCUUUAAAAAUCUUCUAGUUAUUAUACUUCUUUGCGUUAAAAAUCUUCUAGGUAUUAUACUUCUUUGUGUGGCGCUAUUAUGCUUUAUAAUAUUUGGUGGGACAAUAAUGCUAGUGCUUUAUUACCUGUUGAUUACAAUGAUUGUGUUAUAUCAUAAAACUGGUAAAGCGAUAGCGAGAGCAAUACGCAGGAUUAAAACAAUCAAGGAUAAAGAAUAUAUUGAUCGUCUAAUGAAUGUGACUGCAAUGAUCCUUGAUGUGACUGCAAUCAUCCUUGAUCCUUUAUUCUUCUACAUUCUGGUGCUGGAUGAUGAAAAGAAAUGCAUUCACUGGGACAAAACCUUGGGGAUUACAGCUACCGUCAUCCGUUCCGUCCUCGAUUUCCUUAAGCUAGGCCAUUUUAUCUCUCACUCUAAGCUGCAUAUGGCAAAGGGGAACCGAAGAGAAAAAUUUAAGGCCAUUUUCAAGGUGUAAUUUACUUUCGCUAACUAGUUGUUUCUUCAACUUCCAUAAUUUAUAUAAAUAUAGUCUCCGUUAUCUUCUUUGCUCCCUACGAAGUAUUUGCUUUUUUUUUUUUUUUUUUUGGCCUUAAAAGGGAGAAGGAGAAGUACCUGAAGAUCCAAUGGGACGAAUGCGGAAGCUCUUCCUCAUUGAUUGUUUGGCCAUCCUUCCCAUCCCCCAGGUAAAGGCACUAUCUAAUUUACAAUUACGUAAAUUCUGUUUAUUGACAUAUUAUGUAGUUCAAUCCUUCCCAUCCCCCAUGUGCAUAUCGUAAUAGUCUGCUUGAUUCCUGUCAUAUGUACAUCACAAAGUGGUUUUGAUUGUGAUAAAGAUAGAUCUUCAUACGAUUCAUGUCAAGGAUAAUGAUUUCAAUGUCAUUUUUCCCUUUACUUUGAUUAAAGUUGUAUUUAGACAUACAACCCUAAAUGUUUUGCAUGGAUAUUAGGGGUGGCAAUUUUCGCUAGUGAGUAGUGUUAAAUUUCAGCUAUGGGAAUUCGAUACUUUAUUAAUCUUGUUAAUAAUUUCAAACACCAACUCCACCUGUCUAUUAAUAAUUAUGUCACAUGCUUAAUAUGCUUUGAAAGUAUAUUUUUAAAUUUGACUUGUUUACAAGUUUUUAAGAUAUUUGUUUAAUUAAGAUAUUUAUAGUACUGCCUCUCAAAUUCAAAUCAAUUCUAGUCUUAAUAUAACUAGAUAAUUUUGAAAUAUAUACAAAUAGAAAGUAGUUCAAUUGUAUCCAAAAUCUAGUCGUACAACCAUUAUUGAUCAAAUAGUUAAUUAUGUCAUAAUUAAAUAGGCUCACGUGACAGGAACUUAAAACCUGAAGAAGUGAACACAACACAAAAUAUUUGUGUUCCUUUUCACCAACGCGAACAAACUAUUAUUUUCAUGCCAUUGGAAUCAGUUUCGCAGGUCAUUUCAAAAUUUGUCACCCCAGCUAUACCAUCGUUUUGCACAAAAAUAAAUAAUCAAUUUUGUUCAUAUUCAAUAUCCUUCAAAAUAUUUAUUUCCAUUAUUCCAUAUCAACUAAUAGGACAAACCGUCCAGGUUUUGGUGAUUUUUGGAAUAAGAGGCCCAGGAUUUUCAACGGCAAUGACCUUCUUUGUUUUACAAUAUUCGCUAAGGGUUAUUCGAACGUACUUUCUCUUCACACAUGCUACACGGGUUUCAGGGAUACUUGCCGAUGCUACAUGGGCCAUUUUUGCCUUCUAUCUUCUUCUUUAUCUGCAAAGCGGUCAUGUAAGUUCAAAGUAUUAUCAUUUUACCGAAAUAGUUUUUGGGAAAUUACAAUUUUUCCACCAUAUAGAUCGCCAAAUUAAAGGCCAAAAACAUUACAAAAUUUUGAAAUUUACAUUUUUAUACAAGAAGUUUCCAAAAACACCAUUUUUAUAUUAUAUUUUUUGGAAUCAGAAAAGCAUGAACUACGAUAUUCACUAUUUUGUAAUUUAGAAAAGCAUAUUCUAAUAAAACUAGAAUUUUAGCAACGCCCAGUUAUUACACAUAUAUACGCACAGUCAGUUAGCUUUUUUUUAUGUAAAUUUUAGAUAUUGGAAUUGUCGAUGUAUGAUAUUCCCUCUACUCUGCAAAUUAAUUUUUCUGAUAAGCUAUCUUUCAGAUGUUUGGAGCCUUAUGGUACUAUUAUGCCAUAGAAAAAGCGACUGAAUGCUGGAGGGAAGCCUGCAAAAAUCAUACCGGAUGCAGCGGUCAUAGUUAUUUUUCCUGUAAUAAAAGUUCCAGAGACUACAAUUUUCUAAAUGAUUUUUGCCGUAUAAGUACAGGAAGUACUACCAGCUAUAGUUUUGGAAUAUAUAAUGAUGCUCUUCAGUCUGGUAUUGUGGGGGAGACAGAUUUUCCUAAGAAAUUGAUACGUUGUCUGCGAUGGGGCCUGCAAAAUCUCAGGUUUGCUGUUUUUUAUAUGGCUUGGAUAAUGAUUAUUGUGCAUGUGAUCAGGUCCGUUACAGGUUCUCUUAGUCCGGUGCAGGUUUAUUUUGUAGUUCUUUUCGCAUCCAUGUAUUCUUUUUUUUUUCCCCAAUUCUCUUUUAUUCUUUUCUUUGUAGCUUCAUGCAUAUUGUAAGGGCUAAAUUUUAUUAAAACCCACUAAUUAGCCAAUGCAGACCAAGACAUUUUAUUGAAAGGGGCUACAUCAAAUAAUACCAAUAAUAUACAUAACAUAAGGGAUUAAUUAAGUUUAUAUGAUAAAAUUAAGUAAUUUCAUAUUUUUUUAUUAAAUUAAGAUGACAUGUGAAAGUAAAAGAGGGAUAUUGUUAUUAUUUUUAAAAGGUUUAACAAGGAGAGUAAAAAAUACUGUUUAAUUUUUUUAUAAAUUCAGAAUAAUUGAGGGGUACGUUUUUAGGGGUUUAUUUCAAACGAACUCUUUUAUUCAACUCAAAUAUUUAAAAAAUCAUUGGGGGUUUAACUAAUAUUUUCUGCUAAGGUCUCGAAUGAAAUUUCAGAGGGGUUAUAUGAAACAUUUCUUUUCUAUCGGCUAGUCAUUAGGUAAGUUCGAUCUUGUUUGUUCUCAUAAAAAGAGUACGAAUGUCGGGGCCACGCACAUUAUUUAAAUACGCAAUUAUGGGCUUUAGUUACCUUACAUUAUUAUGUAAAUUUCAUAAUUUUUUGAUAACUAUUUGAUGAAAAUCUAAUGGUUGUGAGAAUAAUAUGAUUUUAUUAUUUUAUAUUUCCAUAACCGUUGGAUUUUCAUCAAACGGCUGUGAAAAAAUUAUGCAACUUAUAUAAUAAUGUAAGGUAACAAGCUCCCGCAAGUAUGUAAUACUUAUGAACUGAAUUGAACUUUUUGCAGUGCAUUUGGUCAGAACCUCGAAACAAGUAACGAUGUCGGGGAAAACAUCUUUGCAAUUUGCAUGACCAACUACGGCGUAGUUCUGUUUGUCUUUUUAAUUGGAAGGAUGCAGGUCACAUACAUUUUUCUGUUUCUUCUCGAUUUCUCAAUUAACUUUCUUCUCGGGCUGUUAAUUAACUUUGAUCCUUUUAACUCAUGAAACACGAUAUAUAUAGGUUUUAAUUAGAUUUGAAAACACACAAGUUAAUUAUUUAGGUCAAAUUAAUUAAUGGCUAGAUGUACAGACUGAAAUUGCAAGGUCACAGAAGAUAAACCAGAAGUGGCAGGUGAUAAGGCAGUCGAAACACUAUGCGGAUAUCUCCCGUGAUCAAAAUGUCCGAGGGCAGUUCAAGAAAGCCAAGCGUGAAAAUUUGACAAACAAACACGUUGAUGUUCGCAUAGAUAGUUUUAUAAGCGAUCUCUCCCUCGACGCUCAAAAAGAAGUAAAACGCCAUAUGGGCCGAAAACUGCUCAGAAAAGUGAGUUUCUAUUUCUCUGGAUAAUAAUAAUCCUUAGCUACGUACCUGCCUCUUAUUAAUUAGUUAUUCAUCAGAAGAUGUCGAAGGGGGAAGUUUGUUAGAAUUUUUUUUGUGUUGACGUCUUAUAGCAACAUCUAGAAUGAUUCUUCAUUGUAUGUCCUUGAUUGUUAGAAAAUUAAUGGCAAAUGAAUUAGUAAAUAUGAACCAUAUAGGAGCAACAAUACAUAUAUAAGGGAAAAGGACAUUCAACCCCCCAACGUUUAGGAAAAGAGACAAAAAAACCCCUCAACGUUUCAAAAAGGACUUAUAAUCCCCUUUCCGUUAACAAACACCGUUUGUUUUAACAGUAAAUUUAUUUUUAAUUUUUAAUUACUAUUAUACCCUUAUAAUAAAAAAAUUAAUAUAUUAAUUUGAGAUAUAUCACAAUUAAUAAUUUUUUAAAAGCUUAAAAUUGAGAUACAAUUAUUUUUUUGCCAAAAUUAUUUACUAUAAAUUAUACCUUUCUAACAAUAAUAAUAUGGUUUUGAUUCCUCAAAGAAAAAGGGUUUAAUCAAAUUUCGUUUUAUUAGUAAUAAUCACAUAUGAAAGGUUUGAUCAUUAGAAAGGUAUAAUUUAUAGCAAAUAAUUUGGGCAAAAAUGUAAUUGUAUCUCAAUUUUUAGUUUUAAAAAAAUUAUUAAUUGUGACAUGUCUCAAAUCAAUAUAUUAAUUUAUAUUUAUUAUAAGGGUAUAAUAGUAAUUAAAAAUUAAAAAUAAAUUUACUGUUAAAACAAACGGUGUUUAUUAACGGAAAGGGGGUUAUAAGUCAUUUUUGAAACGUUGAGAGGUUUUUUGUCCCUUUUCCUAAACGUUGGGGGGUUGAAUGUCCUUUUUCCUACAUAUAAUGACAAUUUUUGAAUGCUGUCAAGAGGGCACCGAAUACGAAAGCAUUUUUAUCUUAUUAUCAUUUUCUUCUUAGUAAAUGAUAAUUAAGGAAAAUAGUAAUGACAGAGAGUACUGAUCUGGUCCAAGAUUUUGAAUCUUAUUAAAGUUUGAGAUAAUUAUUAAGUUAUAAGAUCAAAUAAUAAAACAGCAUUACACUCUUAAACAUAAGUUUUCACAAGUACGCAGUAGAUGGUGAGAUAAUGUGUAAUUAAUAGUGUAAUUAAGUAAUGAUGCUUCUUGAUGAGCCAUCAUCAAAUGGGUGAUUUUGACAAAAGUUAUAGAAUUUAUGUAUUUCAGUAUUCUAUAACUUUAUAAUCGUUGUAUAAAUUUGUAUUGACUCUGAUUCUCAUAUAUCAAGGUAGAAGAAUUACUUAAUGUAUUUCAAUAUUCUAUAACUUUAUAAUCGUUGUAUGUAUUUGUACUGACUCUGAUUCUCAUAUAUCAAGGUGGAAGAAUUACUUAAUGUAUUUCAAUAAUCUAUAACUUUAUACUCGUUGUAUGUAUUUGUACUGACUCUGAUUCUCAUAUAUCAAGGUAGAAGAAUUUCAAAAUUGGGAUGAGUUCUCUUUGGACUCUCUGUUUGGUUGUCUGAAGCCAGUCGUCUUUAGUGAAAGGACUGUAAUUAUUCAGGAGGGAGAUCCAAUUAAUGUGAUGACUUUUGUGUUGCAAGGCAAGACUUGGGCCUACUCCAAGAAAUUGUCAAUCACUAGACAGAGACAUCAGGACGAUUGUGAUGUUCGCCGAAAAGAACUCAUAGACUGGGCCAAGAAUGAAAACUCGUACCAGCAGCUCCCUAUAUCAGACAGAACCGUUCGAGCACUUACCGACGUUGAAGCCUUUACUCUUAAGGCUGAUGACGUGAAAUGUGCAUUACUUUUCGGUCCUGUUUCCAAAGAGGCAGCAACUCUCAUACAAUCAGUCUGGCGUUUCAAGAAGCGCAAACAUGCUAAUGACAAGAAUGCAAAGCCAAGAUCAUGCAUGGACCGCUGUUUCAGGACACAGGACAAAGUUGUACUGAAUUAAAUUAACUAUUUGGGAUUGGACUUGGAAGUAUUUAUUACACUACUAUAUCUGUUAUUUAUGUUUUGUGUUUCUGUUUAGGUACCAGAAAUAAAGUACUUCUGUUGAGUGACAAAGUAGACUAUAAUUAUCUGGUACAUGGUUUUCGAUGAAAAUAGUGUAAAUAGCAAUAGAUCACAACCCAUAGAGCACAGUCUAGGGAAGGAACAGAUGCACAAUUCCAGUCAAGUGAAUAAUCACAGGAUAUUUUCAUCCGCUUUUAAUAAAUAUAAAAAUGAAAACUAAACGGAGAAUAUUCUUAAACACAAGUACUGUGAUUGUGAUUAUCAAUAUUAAGCAAUCAACCUCGUACAAUCAUCAACCAGUGAUAAUGUAACAUAUGUGAAUUAAAAAUGAAUAAGUAUGAGGCGGUUAAGAAGUUAGUAAAAGCAAAAGAAUAAGCUGGUGACAGAGGAAACAUAUGCACGUGUAACAGAGAGUGAGAGAGAAGCUGCCAAACCGACCCAACUACAGACCCGAAAACCCGACCCGGGACCCGACACCUUGACCCGGCCAUAUCUCCCAUUUCUGGCCACCGUUUCGGCCGAGCUUGAUACCAAUCUGAAGCUUAGAAGCUGACCGCGUUCCUUGCCAUCCUCGCCGCCGAAAACCAACCGGAACGCCGGCGAUCGAAGCUUGAAAACCCGCGACUGUUUCGCUUUGCUCCGCCGGGAUUUUCGCCGGUUUUGGGUGACACCACCGGCUGUAUUUUGUUCCUCACGACUCCCUCUUCCAUUUCCGACCAUCCAUAGCCACCGGGUGUCACUGUUUUUCCGCCGGUCAAUUGUUGGAAUUCACGGCUGUCGAGCUAGAUUCCGGCGCCGUUGCCGCGCGUUGGAACUCACCGCCGGUACCAUUGAACUCAGCGUGAUUGGAACUUUCAUAUUUGAGCUUCCCGGCCAGCGUUGACCAAAUUCCGGUGACCGUUGACCGGCGAGGGCAUUUCGGUAAUUUCACACUAUAAGGGCAAUUUUGUAAUUUCUGAGCCUGUGGAUAUUUUAGUAAUUCCUGGAAUUGAGGAGUGGGUGUAAUUAUGAUUCCGAGGGUAAUUCGAUGAUUUACGAUUUCGAAGUAUUUUAAUGAUUUACGGACUCGAGGGUAUUUUAGUAAUUUUACCGACACGGGAGUUGUAAAUUAUGGAUAGAUGUUCGUUUCGAGUUUAUUGCAUAAAUUUAGUCGUAAUUCCGAUUUAUAAAAAAAUAAUUAUGUCAUUUCCUUGAUUUAGGAGGAUUCACGAGCGAGAACCGAUCGCGGACGUGGACGAUAACCGAGCGUGAACACCAUCACUGUGAGUGGAAUAUAGAAAACCUAUUUUCCUACUUAAUUAUGAUAUUAAAGCAUGUUUGUGAAAUAAGUAUUUUAAAUGUUCUGAUUUAAUGAUUUCCUCGAAAUGGAUUUUAUACACGCAUUGAUAUUAUAUUAAAAUGUUUUAUUAAUGAUUUUGCGUAUCGACUUUGAAUAAGCAUGAUAGUAUUUUAAAGAUGAAAAAAGUGGAUUCAAAUGUGGUAUGAUUUAAAGUAUGGUUAAAAUGUAUGUGAAUAUUAGUAUAAUGAUUAUUUUUGAAAUCAUUAGACAGUACCCUUACCCUCCAGAUACAAUGAUACAGAUGAGAUGAGAUAUAGGCUUUUGGGGCCGUCUGAACACACAUAGAGGUUUUGGGCCAUGUGUUUGGGCGCUUUUGCCUUUUGGGGGUAUAUACAUGCGGUAUGAUGAUUACAGAGAUACAUAUAUGAGAUAUAGACAUAUAUUGAGAUACAGAUGAUACGAAUGAGAUACAGGUCUUUGGGGCCCGACUGAGUACACACAGAGGCUUUGGGCCGUGUGCGUGGGCGCUUUUGUCCUUUGGGGACUAGAUUAUGCAUGCAUAGAUAUGAUGAGAUAUGAGAUGGUAUUUCCCUGUCUAUCCGUGUAGCUCCGGGGCGUGCGGUACCCAGAUAAUACGUCAUUGCCCAUCCGUUGAGGUCCAGAUAUGACGAGAUUAUUUUCCUGGAUACUUGUUUGGUGAUGAUUUUCAAAUUUGUGUAUUCUAUUUGAUAUUGUGAUAUGAUUUCUAUGGUUAUUGGGUACGAUAUUAUAUAUGUUUUUCAUGGUUAGUAAUAUGAUUUAAAUGUUAAAUGAUUUAUUACUGGUUUCUCGCAUAUGGUUUGAUAAAAUCGUGUUUGGAAAUGAUAUGAUUAUUUCUUUUAAAGUAAGAAUUAAUUUUCAAAAAUUACUAUCCAAUCACUGAUCUCACUGAGUUUUAAACUCACCCUGUUUUUAUUAUAUUUUUCUCCCCACGAGGAGGUUGCAGGUACACUAGACUGACUCAGCGACUGUAAAUAUAUUUUGAGUCUCGGCCACGUGAUGGUGUUAGAAGAUAAAAAUGUUUUUGUUAGGACAUCUUGGUUAUCUCGUUCUUUUGGGAUUGUAUAAUUUUGUUAUAUUAUUCUUUUGGGAUUAAGAAUAAAUUGAGAUAUUAUUAUUAGUUAUAAUAUUAUUUUUUAAGACUCUGGAGAUAUCUUGAGUAAAAUUCAGCAUUUUGGUUGAGGAUAUUGAUAAUUGGAAUUGUUGUAUAUUGAAUUAUAUUGAGAGUGUUAUAUUCAUAUUUGUAGAUUGGGAGUGUUAUAUUUAUAAAGGAGAUUCUGUCGAAUUUUCAGCAGAAUUCUUACUAAUAGAAUUAUUAUCAAGUCCGUUUUGAUGAGACUACAUUGACUCGCCCAGGGGGUUUCGGAGUGGGUCGUUUCAGAUAAACUAUUCAUGCCAGUAACAUGACCAUCUUAUUAAUUUCAGUCCACUGCAAAGUGCAAAAAAAUUACUCACAUCCUCUUCGACUAAAAUUGAAGUUUAUUCCUGGCUCCCUUCAACAAAUUUUCUUUUCUAGUACUCUACCAUUCACAUUCAUCCCAUAAAAGAUCAAUUUAUUAGAAGACGAUAUUCCUCCAUCAAAUUGAAAGAGAAAUUGAAAAUAUCAAAAAGGGAACAGCAAGAUGAUUCUAGUAUCAUGAUAAUAAAUAUAUCUAUAUCUAUCUAUCUAUAUACAUAUCUAUUGGUUUUUGUUUUGUAAAUGGAACAUCAUUUCUUCACUUCGUAAACUAAUGUUGAUAAAACUUUCAGGAAGACAACAACAUGAAACCGAGCCGAGGUGCACAAAAAUGAUGAAGAAAUAUUUCAGCUUCAUCGAUUGUCUCGAAUAAAAACAUCAAUGAUGUGUUAAACAUUUAACUCAGAAAUAGAUUGCUUGCCUUAAAGGUGUGCCCAAAUUAUAAACUUCAGUUUCGACUAUUGACCUUGGUUCGUGACGCGAUAAACUAAUCCGUGGCAUUUCACAUACCCAACAAUCUUGUAAGAAUUGGUUGAACUCUCAAAUCCCAUUCCAUAACAUGCAAAACUCCCUGAUAUUGCCAAUGGCGGUGAUAGGAUUCGUUUAAAGAGUUCCCCUUGUUGCCACGUACCUUUAAAGAACAAUAAACUAUUACCAGUGUUCUCGACACGGUCCCAUCACUCUAAAAAUCGAACGCAUGUGAGCAAAACAAAGGCAGUCAAUUAUGUCACUCCAGUAUUCAGAGACAGAUCGCCGACCCAUAAGUGAUUUAGUGGGCAAUCUAAGAAAGAUGUCGUAGAUGAUACAAUCAGAAAUUUCUUCCUCCAUCAGUUUUUUACAAGUUUUAACAUCCAUCUCAGAUUUUGUUCAAUUAAGAACUUAAUCAGUUCCUGCAUGUAAAAGUUGUUUUGAGUGUCAUAAAACCUGUAGCGAAUUGUGAAGAGAGCUCACUGUGCUGAGUUAAAACAAGAAAGGAAGCCAACAGUCAAGAUUCUUCAGCAAUGCCACGUCAGUGCUGAGUCAGCUGAUUCUGUUAAGGAUUGUUGAAAGCUCACGUGACUAUUAGUUAGUUAAUUAGCUUUUAGUUAGUGAUGCAGGAUUCUGAUUGGUUGAUUAAUUGCAAUGCUUAUUUGAUCAAUUGUAGCUUGGAAAUAAACUGUAUAUAAACAGAGUCUGUAACGAUUGCUUCUAUGAAAAAAUAAAAAAAAUAUUCCAGAGAGUUUAUCUAUUUUCUCAGUAACCAAACAAGCAUUUAGCUUAAUUUGCUAUUAUUUUACAUGGUAUCAGAGCCACAAUAUGGCAAGCUCAAGCAAUCCAAACGGAAAUUCAAACACAAUCACUGCAAAUCAAUCAAUACAAACCACAUUCUCCUUCAUAUCACCAAUCAAGUUAGAUCGAUCUAACAACAUGCUCUGGCGAAAUCAAGUUCUAGCCUCUAUAAGAGGAAACAGACUUGAAGGUUACAUUAAUGGAGAGAAGGUUGCUCCCAAUCAGUUUAUCACAACUGGAGGAUAUGCUGGAGCAGCAGGUAGUUCUACUCAACAGAAUGAAAAUCCAGAAUAUACAGUCUGGAGAUCACAAGAUCAGACAUUACUAAGCUGGCUGUUGAGCUCAGUCACUGAAGGUAUUCUCAGCCUUGUUCAUUCUUGCAAUACUUCAUAUGAUAUAUGGAAAACAUUGGAGAAAAAGUUUGGUGCAAAAUCUGAAGCAAGAGUACUUCAACUUAGAUAUGAAUGAGUGUUUUAAGAAAAGAUUCACUGAAUAUAGAAGAUUAUUGUUUGAAGAUGAAACAAAUAGCAGAUAAACUAGCAUGUGCUGGUAAUCCAGUUUCAGAUAAAGAUUUGCUGCAACAAAUUCUAAAUGGUCUUGGACAAGGAUAUCUUGAUUUAGCUACAUUCAUAACAGCAAGUAAACUUGAUUAUGAUGAUGCAUAUGCACUACUACUUACUCAUGAAACAAGACUUGAACAGAGUAUGAAUGAAAAACAGAUGUUCAAUGCAAAUUUUGCCAAUUUUACUUCUAAUAACAGUGGAUAUGGUAUGAUGAAUGCCUUUUAUGCACAAGCAAGAGGCAAUGCUCGAAGAGGUGGAUAUAAUGGAGGUUUUCACAGUGGAAAUCAAGGUGGAAGAAAUAAUUUUCAUACUGGAAGGGGAAUGUUUGUUAACUCUCAUCCAAGAGGUUUUCCCUCUGGAACUGGAAAUUUUGGUAACAGUCAUGGUAGAGGUCAGAUGAUUGGUAAUAAUAAACAGAUGCAAUUUAUGAGAGGUCAAUACAGUGGUAACUCUGGUAUGCCAAACUCUGAUGGUAAUGAUGAGCAAAGUGUUGUAUGUCAAAUUUGUUUUAAAUCUGGGCAUACAGCAACAGAAUGUUGGCAUAGAUUUGAAGAGAAUUAUGUACCACAAUACAUGAAGAAAGGAAGAAAUUAGAGAUCAGCUUAUAUGGCAUAUUAUGAUGCACCAACUGAAAAUUCAUGGUCAACUGCUUGUUCAGGAAUGCCUCAAAUGCACAAUCCAUCAUUCACCCCAUACAUGUCUGAUUCAGUGAACUUGUCAGGAGCUGGAGCUGGAGCUGCCUAUGUUGCUAAUUUUGAAGGUCCAGCAGAUGAAGGAUGGUAUCUUGACAGUGGGGCUACACAUCAUUUGACAAACAACAUGGCAAACAUGCAUGUCAGAGAUGAAUUCAAUGGUAAUGACAAGCUGAUUAUUGGCAAUGGUAAAGGUCUGUCAAUCACACACAUUGGUAGCACUACUUUUUCAGUUCAAGGUUUUAAGUCACAAGCUGCACGUAAAUGCAUUACACUUAAAGAUAUACUGCUUGUUCCUUCUAUCACAAAGAAUUUAAUAAGUAUUUCUAAACUUACUGCUGAUAAUAACCUAUCUAUUGAAUUCUUUGGAUCUAUCUGUUAUGUGAAGGAUUCACUGAAGGGGAAGGUUCUGCUACAGGGUAUUGCUGAGAAAGGUCUAUACAAAUUGCUGAUCAAAUCAUCUUCAAAAUCAUCACUACAACCUACAUACACCUCUUUUCUUUCUCAAAGCUUAAUAAAUCAACAUUUGUCUAUGUUGUCUCUCUGUCAUUUCAGUUCUGCAACUGAUAAUACUUGUUUUGCAAAUUGUUUUCAUUCAAAUAAAAACUCUUGUACUGAUUCAUCAUCAAAUAAAAUGUCUCUAUUUCACAGAAGAUUUGGUCAUCCCAAUGCUCAAAGUUUCAUUCACUUACUUAAACUUAUGCAUCCUAACUUGUUAUCUACAAAUAUGCUUAAUUAAGUAACAAAGCAUUUUUGUAAAGCAUGUCAGCUGGGCAAAUUUCAUAGACUUCAUUUUCCCAUAACUGAUAUUAAGUCUAAAUCAGCACUAGAACUAAUUCAUACUGAUCUAUGGGGCCCUUCACCAAUAUGUUCUAGAGAAGGUUAUAGAUAUUAUAUUAGUUUUGUGGAUGAUCACACUAGAUACACCUGGAUAUACCUUCUGAAAUUAAAAUCAGAAGCUCUAGAAGUGUUCAAAUUGUUUAAACUUCAAGUUGAAAAUCAGUUUCAAACCACCAUCAAAGUUCUACAAUCUGACUGGGGGGGGGGGGGGAGAGUAUAGACCAUUCACUAUUUUUCUAAAUGAAUGUGGUAUUCUUUUCAGACACUCUUGUCCCUACACACAUCAUCAAAAUGACCUUGUUGAAAGGAAACACAGACGGAUUGUAGAAUUAGGCUUGACACUUCUAGCACAAGCUAAACUUACAUUCCAGUUUUGGUGGGAUGCUUUUCAUACCUCAGUUUAUCAUAUUAACAGACUUCCUACCUCUGCCCUUAAGAUGUCUAUUCCAUAUGAAAAAUUAUACAGACAUAAAGCUGAUUACAACAUGCUGAAAUGCUUUGGUUGUGCUUAUUAUCCAUACUUGAGAGAUUACAAUAAGCAUAAAUUUGAUUAUCAUACAACCAAGUGCAUCUUUCUUGGUUAUAGUCCUUUUCAUAAAGGUUUCAAGUGCUUUCAUCCCUCUGGUCGAGUGUAUAUUGCUAGACAUGUCAAUUUUGAUGAAACUUCAUAUCCAUUCUUUUCAGAUCCUGAUUUUCAUUCUUUGAAUAAAUCUCAGUCCAACUCUUAUGAUUCCAUUACACCUAUACAAGUAUUUCAAUUGUCUACCUUACCUGUCAUAUCAGAUUUUUUGAAUAACAGCAGUGAGUCUCUUUCUCAAGCAUAUACCAGUGGUGAUAACUUUCCUUCAGCAGUAGAUUCAACACAAGUACAUGUCUCAGAUCAAUAACUCUCAAACACAAACAAUGUCUCAGAUCAACAACCAAUUUUACCUGCACCUACAACAUUACCUUCUCCAGAUGAAAUUCCACAAACUCAACAUAUUCUAAACUCACCAUCUCUAAACCACCAUCCCAUGAUUACUAGAGGAAAGGCAGGUAUCUUUAAGCCAAAGCUAUAUACUGUAGCUUUGUUGCACAAAGAACCAGAAACUAUUCAGGAGGCUCUCAAUAAUGAAAGGUGGUUUCAGGCAAUGAAAGCUGAAUAUAAUGCAUUGAUAUCAAAUGGCACUUGGACAUUGGUACCAAGAACAGAAAAUCAUAAGCUUGUUGGCAACAAAUGGGUUUUCAGAAUUAAAACCAAUACUGAUGGAAGUGUUGAGAAAUAUAAGGCAAGAUUGGUUGCUAAAGGAUUUCAGCAGAUUGUGGGUGUUAACUACUUCGAGACUUUCAGUCCAGUGGUAAAAUCAGCAACAGUUAGAGUGAUCUUAAGUUUGGCAGUGAUGAACCAGUGGCAAAUACGACAAGUUGAUGUGAAUAAUGCAUUCUUAAAUGGAGAUCUAACUGAAGAAGUUUAUAUGAGACAGCCAGAAGGAUUUAUUGAUCCACAAAGAUCAGACUUUGUAUGUAAACUGCACAAAGCUCUUUAUGGCCUGAAACAGGCUCCUCGUGCUUGGUUUGACAAACUGAAAAGUAGUCAUAUACAAUGGGGAUUCAAGAAUUCUAAGUCUGACACAUCUCUAUUCUUGAGAAGAACCAAGAGCUCAAUCAUUAUAAUUCUGAUAUAUAAAGAUGAUAUAUUGAUUACAGGAUCAGAUUGUGUUGAGUUGGAAGAGUUUAUUAAGUUGUUCAGCUCCACAUUUGCAUUAAAGGAUCUGGGGAGACUAUCUUACUUUCUGGGUAUAGAAGUAUUAUAUGUUCAUGAUAGUAUAUACCUGUCACAAAAGAAGUAUAUCCGAGACUUGCUUGCAAAAGUUGACAUGCUUGAAUGCAAGGGAACAGACACACCAAUGAGUAGCAGUAAAGAUUACAGAUUGCAGAAGAGUGUUGAGGGAGAAAUGGGCUACUAUAUUGAAGAUCCCACUCAUUACAGAAGCAUAGGUGGAGGACUGCAGUAGUUGGUUUUAACUAGACCUGAGAUAGCUUAUUCUGUUCACAAACUAAGUCAGUAUGUGUCUUCACCAACUCUUCAACAUCUUAUGGCAUGUAAACGAGUGCUGAGAUAUUUGAAGGAAACACAAGAAUAUGGUCUGAGGUUUGUUAGAGAAGGUGACAUGAAGCUUAUAGCAUUUACAGAUGCUGAUUGGGGAAGUGAUCUUAAUGACAGAAGAUCAGUUGGUGCUUAUUGUGUAUACUUGGGAAACAAUUUAAUCUCAUGGUCCUCAAAGAAACAAUCAGUGGUUACCAAGUCAUCAGCUGAAAGUGAAUACAGGGCUCUUGCUGCAGCUAUUUCUGAAAUAACAUGGCUAAAGUCAUUGUUCCUUGAAAUUGGUUUAUGUUGUGAUGAAAAACCAAUCAUAUGGUGUGACAAUGUGAGUGCUGCUGAACUUGCUCGCAAUCCAGUAUUUCACUCAAGAACAAAACACAUAGAAAUUGAUCUACACUUUAUCAGAGACAAGGUUUUGGCUGGGGACUUGAAGAUACUAUAUGUUCCUAGUGCAGAGCAAAUAGCUGACAUAUUAACUAAGCCACUGAACUCUUCUCAAUUCAAUUACCUAAGGCUCAAACUCAAUGUGGAGCUAUGUCCCUUGAGUUUGAGGGGGGCUGUGAAGAGAGCUCACUGUGCUGAGUUAAAACAAGAAAGGAAGCCAACAGUCAAGAUUCUUCAGCAAUGCCACGUCAGUGCUGAAAAAUAUUUGAGAUGCUUGAAUAUGGUGAAAAUAGUAAUUUUUUUUAUUACCUUUACAAUUCUUGAAUUUUACAAAUAUAUAAAGAUGUUCAAGAUGCUGUACAAGGAAAGACAAUAUUUACAAUAAUUAUAAUAAUCAACUAGCCGUUGUGAUGAAUCCACCAUGACAUGUGCUGCUAUAUUUUCCAUCAAUUAUGGCUUAGACGAGAUGUUGGAAAUCCUCUUGCCAUGGCGGUACAAGCUACCAUAUUUGGAAUUGCUAGUGACUUGUCCUUAUCAGCCCCCCUCAAGCUAGGCAGUGACAUGCGAUGAACGCCUAGCUUGGUUCGUAGCGUGAGAAAUUGAUGCUUCCCCAAAGGUUUUGUAAGAGUGUCUGCAAUCUGAAGAUGAGAAGGCACAUAUCGUGUAAAUAAUGACCCUUUAGCAACCUUCUCACGAACAAAAUGCACGUCAAGCUCAAUAUGUUUCAUUCUAGCAUGAAACACUAGGUUCUUAGUCAUAUGAAUUGCACUCAAAUUGUCACAGAGAAGUGUGGGUGCUUUCGGAAUACAGAACCCAAUGUCAUUAAGUAGAUAUGUGAGCCAUGUUAACUCGGCAGCGGCAGAGGCCAUGGACCUAUAUUCGGCUUCGGCACUUGAGCGAGAGACUGUGUGUUGUUUCUUGGAGCUCCAAGAGAUACAAUUGCUUCCAAGAUAAAUGCAAAAUCCUGUUGUACUUCGUCUUGUUAUCGGACAUCCAGCCCAAUCGGAAUCGGAAAAGGCAUAGAGCUUGAGAGAGCUUUGAGACAAAAAUCUAAGGCCAAAGUCAAGGGUACCUUUAAGGUAACGAAGGAUCCUUUUCACGUCCUUGAGGUUGGCUUUUGUUGGCGCUUGGAAGUGUUGAGAGACUCGAUUGACAGCAAAUGUGAUAUCGGGCCUUGUGUAGGUGAGAUAUUGAAGGCUUCCAACAAGGCCUCUAUAUUCGGUCGCAUCCACAGGUUCAUUAUCAUCCGAACACGGUAUUGAUCGUAUAGCCAUCGGCGUGUUGAUAGGAGAACAAUCCUGCAUUCUUGCCUUGGAAAGAAGGUCUUUAGUGUACUUCGCUUGAGAUAGGAAGAUGCCAUGCGUGAAUUGUUGAACUUCAAUGCCUAGGAAGUAAUGUAGGUUGCCAAGAUCUUUUAAAGCAAACUUUGAGCUCAGAUUGUUGAUGAUUGAUUGAAUUUCCUUCUCAUUAUUUCCUGUAAUGAUCACAUCAUCAACAUAAAUUAAUAUAAGUAUAAGAAUGGAUUUGUUAUUAAAUAUAAAUAAAGAGCUAUCAGCUUUGCUACUGGAAAAUCCAAGAGAAAUUAAGGCUUGAGAAAGACACUCGAACCACGCUCUAGGUGCCUGUUUCAGGCCAUAGAGCGAUUUUUGAAGCUUGCAAACAUAUGUUGGAUGACAUGAAUUGCGAAACCCAGGAGGCUGCUCCAUGUAGACAAUCUCCUUUAAUAGUCCAUGAAGAAAAGCAUUGCGAACAUCCAGCUGCUUGAUAAGCCAUUUUGAGCUCACAGCAAUUGCAAGGAUAAGGCGAAUAGUUGUGGCCUUUAUAACGGGACUGAAGGUUUCAUCGAAGUCGACUCCUGGAACCUGUGUGAAUCCCUUGGCAACUAAUCGAGCUUUAUAGCGAUCAAUGGUUCCAUCUUCUCUGUAUUUGAUACGAUAUACCCACUUCGAUCCGAUGACAUUAACAUUGUUAGGCCGCGGCACAAGGACCCAUGUCUGAUUUUGAUGCAAUGCUUGAAGCUCUUCUUCCAUAGCUUGAGUCCAAAGCGGAUUCUUUAAGGCAGUUUUGAGUGUUUUGGGUUCAAUUUCUCUACUGUGGCUGGCUUGAAGGGCUAAUUUAGGAUUUUGUUUGAGUUUAUUGCGUGUCAUCAUGGGAUGAGUAUUUAGGCUUUGCGGUUCUGCAGCUGUGUUUGGUAUCUUAAGUUCCAUAAAUAAGCGAUUGGAUAUGUCAGGAUAAUCUGGUUGUGAAUUUGUGGCAGGGCUGUUGUCCGUAUUUAUGGACAAAUUAGGUGGUUCAGUUGCAUGUGAACUACUAGAAUUUGAAUCAUUUGUUGUCAAAGGUUGCAUUGCAUGUGGAGACUCCAAAAUAUUUGGAAUUGCUUCUGACUUGUCGUGUGGAGUUGCUGAAUUCAAAUUGUCCUCUAAAUUGUCUUGUGGGAAAUCUGAAAUAAUUGGAGAAGUGGCAUUUGAGUUGUUGUCCAAGUUUACGUCCUUGUGGGGCAUGAAUUGCACAUGUGGUGUUGAUAUUGUAGCGCCUUUACAAUUGUUUACUUUGACAGCACGUGAAUCAUUAAGAUUCUCACAAUUGGGAGAAUUCUUUGGGAGCCACUCAUCUUGUUGAGGGAAGGUGGUCAAUGUACUAUGUUCCUGCACAUUAAAAAAUGAUGUUAAUUUUUUGAAUGGUAAAUAAUUUUCAUCAAAUACAACAUGCCUUGAUAUAUAUACACGAUUAGUCUCAGGUUGUAGACAACGAUAUCCUUUAUGGAGGGGACUAUAGCCUAUGAAAACACAUGGAUAUGAUUUUUUAUCAAAUUUUGUUUUACUGUAAUCCCGAAGAUAAGGAAAACAUCUACAACCUAGGACUUUUAACCCUCUAUAGUCCGGUAAUUUUUUGAAAAGAAUUUCAUAAGGGCUUUUAUUUUUUAAAGGUGAAAGAGGCAGCCUGUUAAUGAUAUAAGUGGCUGCAAGAAAAGAAUCCACCCAUAAUUUGAGUGGCAAAGAAGCAUGAAACAUCAUCGUCAAGGCUGUCUCAUUGAUGUGCCUAUGCUUUCUGUCAGCAACACCAUUUUGCUCCGGAGUGUAUGGACAAGAAAUUUAUCUUGUGAUGCCGCAAUUUUCAAGAUGUUUGAUGAAGGCCGUAGAAUUAAAUUCCCCUCCUCCAUCGCUUUGAAAUAUUGUGAUCUUUUUGUCCAAUUGCUUUUCAACUUGUUUCUGAAAUUUCAAGAAGCACUCCAAGAAAUCAGAUUUUUGUUUUAAGGGAUAUAACCAACUAAAACGUGAGUAAUCAUCUACAAAUAAUACAUAGUAACGAAAAUGUUGAGUAGAAGUAAUGGGAGCUGGACCCCAUAUAUCACAAUGCACUUUUUGUAAAGGAAAAUCUGCUUUAUUAUUAGAUAAAUUAAAAGAUUUCCUACAACUCUUGCCUAAUUGGCAAGAAACACAAAUACGGGGUUCUUUAGACCAACUAGAAAAGUCAAUAAAAUUAUUGCGUUUUAAGGCCUCCGAGAUUUUAGGAUUGGCAUGGCCAAGCCUCUUGUGCCAUAAACUAAAACCGCUAGAUUCUCCUUGAAUUGCGUUGAAGGCAGCAUGAAAGUCUCCUUCCAAUGUGUAUAGCUUCCCUUGCUUACUCCCCUUUGCCAGAACCUUGUUUUCCUUGCUCUUCACAAUAAAACCAUCAGUGUUAAAUUCAAAAACACAUUUAAUAUCAUCAAUGAGUUGUCCAACUGAUAAGAGAUUCUUUUUGAGUUUUGGAACAACUAAAAUAUUAUUUAAGUGUAAAGAACCAUGAUUUGUAUUUAAAGAAGCAGAACCAAUAUGUGAAAUAUUUAAAUCUUGACCAUUGCCGACAAUUAUUUUGUCAUUACCUCUAUACGGCCUUACAUGAUCAAGAUUACCUGUGUUAUUUGUCAUGUGUGAUGUUGCUCCAGAGUCCACAUAGAACUGUUGAUCAUUAUUUUCUUGAAGAUUCAUCGCAGCUAGGGCCUGUGGAUCCUCUUCAUUGUCAUAGUCGUAUCUGUACCAACAUUCAGCAGCACUAUGUUUGCGUUUGUGACAGAUUUGGCAAAUAACUUCUUCAUCUGAGGUAUUAUUUUCUUUAUUUGGUUUUUGAGGCUGCUGUUGUGGUUUACGGUUGUUGCCAUUGUUGUAGUUGUUGGGGGUAAUUUCUACCACCUGAGUUGCGUUGAGAUCCUUUGCCUCGGUAUGGAGGUCUUCCACCUCUUUGAUUUCUGCCUCUUCCACGUUGACCAAAGAAGGCUUGGUUUUGAUUUGUGCCAAGUCUAGCUUCUUCAUCUUUUUCUACGAUCACAGUAUGUUCAUGGUUUUGGAGAGCAUUGAUGAAUUGUUUAAGGCUGGGAUAUGGAGGUUUAGUGAGCAUUGCAGUUUUGAAGUCAGCAUAUUUGGGACCUAAGGCUCUUGCAAUUUGAAAAAUCUUGUCAUCAUCGUUCAUUGGUUUUCCAAUGGCUGCCAACUUGUCGCAAAGGCCCUUGAAUUUCUUAAGAAAUUCAUCAAGCUUGGAAGAUCCUUUCUUUAGAGAAUAAAGGCAAUCUUUUAGCCAUGUUUCUUGCUCCUUAGUUGCAGGCAGCAUGUUUUCUUCAACGGUGAGCCAGAUUUCUCGAGCCGUUUGCACGCCGAUAACCAUGCUCAACACGUCUUCGUUCAUCAUACUUCUGAGCCAAGUUGUGAGAAGUCCAUUAUUUUUCCACAUGAGAAAAUCUGGAUUGUUUAUCUCCUUCCCAUCUUGCUCUAUCAUCUUCGGUGGAGUCUUAACAUCAACUAUAUGGUGAUUUAGCCCAAGGGUAAAUAUAAGUGGUUGAACUUGAGAACUCCAAAUAAGAUAAUUUUCAGUGUUGAGUUUUAUUGGAACCAAACUCGAACACUGAUGGAAAGAUUGAAGGGAUAGGGAUGGUUCUGAAUUUGAACUUGAAGCCAUUAGGCUCUGAUACCAUGAAAAAUAUUUGAGAUGCUUGAAUAUGGUGAAAAUAGUAAUUGUUUUUAUUACCUUUACAAUUCUUGAAUUUUACAAAUAUAUAAAGACGUUCAAGAUGCUGUACAAGGAAAGACAAUAUUUACAAUAAUUAUAAUAAUCAACUAGCCGUUGUGAUGAAUCCACCAUGACAUGUGCUGCUAUAUUUUCCAUCAAUUAUGGCUUAGACGAGAUGUUGGAAAUCCUCUUGCCAUGGCGGUACAAGCUACCAUAUUUGGAAUUGCUAGUGACUUGUCCUUAUCAAGUGCUGAGUCAGCUGAUUCUGUUAAGGAUUGUUGAAAGCUCACGUGACUAUUAGUUAGUUAAUUAGCUUUUAGUUAGUGAUGCAGGAUUCUGAUUGGUUGAUUAAUUGCAAUGCUUAUUUGAUCAAUUGUAGCUUGGAAAUAAACUGUAUAAAACAGAGUCUGUAACAAUUGCUUCUAUGAAAAAAAUAAAAAAAUAAAAAAAAUAUUCCAGAGAGUUCAUCUAUUUUCUCAGUAACCAAACAAGCAUUUAGCUUAAUUUGCUAUUAUUUUACACGAAUCUACAUUUUCUGGGAGGAAUUUGAAUAUAAAAAUUAAUAGGAAGCUAAUAAAAAUAUGCAGUUUUUAUUCGAACAAAAUUAAUAUGAAUCAAGAAACAGAGCAUAACAGGGUAGUUGCAACUAAUAACACACAAAUUAACUCGUAAAAGUGACCUAACAAGCAUCAAAAUCUAAGGAUUAAAGCACCAAUCAGAUAUUGUGAACAAAACUUUUGUUUUAUAAUCAUGGAAAUUUGAGAUUACAUCAGCUAUAUGAUCAAUGAAAGAUAAGAAGCUUAUGGAGUAAAAACAACAGAAAUUAAAAUGAGUUUAUGUCAUGCACCGCUGCCAUGCACCGCUUGGAGAAAAAAAAAAAAAAGAAGGGAAGCCAAACGUGGCAAUCUUCAAAAGCAACAGCCAGCUGCAUGUUUUAUCAUUUCAGCUGCCUGCUUCACCUAUUUUCUUCAUUAAUUUAGUCACCAAUCGGCUUAAUCAAUUACCUUGUCAUCUUGCUCAACUCGGUGGCUAUAUAAAGCACAAAUGUUGAGAGUGCUUUCAUUUUAUACAUCUAAAGAAUUGAGAGCAAAACCGAGAGAAGAAAAGAAGUAAAACCGAGAGAAAAGAGAAGAGAAAAGAGAAGGAAAAAAAAGAAAAAGAAACGAAGAAAAGAAAUAGAAAGAAGCUGAGUGUGGGAGAUGAAGUGGAAUUAAGAGGAAAUAUUACGGAAAUUAAAACUGGACAUUUAGAUUUAUAUUAAGUGAGUUAAUGGGUAAUAGAUUUAUGAAAUCUAAGUAGUUACGAUUUAAUUUACGUUAUACGUACAAGUUUUUAUAUUUGUUCUAACUAUUAAUCUUUGAAUCCCGUAUUCUAGGAGAAAUCCACGAGUCCAGAGACUCACAACAGCCCCAACGAACCUCAUAGUGAAACAAGAUCUGUGAGUGGAUAUUAUUAUUACUAUUAUGUGUUCCGUGAAGCAUUUAUGUUUGAUAUUAUGAUUUUAUAUCAUGCUAUGAUUACAUGUACACAUAUUAUAUGUUUGAUUGAGUUAUGAGAUGUGAUUGCUAGUCACCAUAUAUGUACCCUUCCCCAUAGGCUAUGCGCAUGCGUAUUGAGAGUUAUGUUACUCUACCCAUGCGAGAUAGUUUAAUUACGCUGGGUAUUGAGAGGAUUUUCCCCCGCUCUACUCAUGCAAUGAGGAUCCUGGCGAGUAUUGAGAGUUAUUUUUCCUGGGUACUCUUUGGUGCAGUUUUGUGAUGUAUGUAUGUAUGAAUUACAUGUCUGCUAAUGUAUGAUGUUCAGUGUGGAGUUAAAUCACAUAAUUAUGCAUGAGCACCAGUACACUACUUUAUUAUUAUAUUUAUUAUUUUUAAUAUGUAAUUACAUCCACUCACUGAGCCGCAAGCUCACUAUUUUUCUAUUUACCCACUUCCUCCCAGGUUUCUGCAGGAUUUCGUGCAGACCAAUUUCUAGUCAGUUGAGGUUGGGCCACGAGACACAUUGCUGAAUAACUUGCAUUUUGAGCACGUUUAUGUUGCUUAUGUUUAUAUAUGUGUAAUUUUUGUGUGAGUGUGUAUAGUGAGACAUGAACUAUGCAAGUUUUGAAUGUAUAUUUUCGGAUGAGACACAAAGUUUGUUAUAUGUUUAUAUCAGACCACGAGUUUUAGUUAUUAGUCCACAUGAUUCGCCUCAGAUCCGACAUAUAAGUCGGGGCGGGUCGUGUCAGUUUAUGUAGCAUUGACAGGCCUGUAUGGUGUCGCCAGUGCGGUGACGCCAUUGGCGUCAGUGCGAGUGAAUUUUGGGAGACCUCCGGCUCCGGUUCCAUUGACUUUGCAUUAAAUUUGGUAAUUAUAUUUUUUAAUAUAAAGUGUUAAAAUAUUCCAUCUAGCGGAAAAUAGAAAACAAAUUGCGAAUGAAAUUAGAAUCCAAAUUUCAUUGCUAUCAUUUGAUAUAGAGGCAUUUCAAGUAAACUUUGGUCAUUUUUCAUUACCCAUGAGAGUGAGAACAGAGAACUCGAGUUAUCAUAUUGAAAAAUGCUAAAGAGAGUUGACAGAAUUUAAAUGCUUACAAAACAAUAAUUAAUUAAUCGGUGUUAGUUUAUCGUGUUUGCAGCUAUAUUUUAUUGGAAACCUUAAAAAAGAAAUGGAAUCUUUCAGUUCAUAAUGUAUUAUUAUAUUUAUUCCACUCUUGUUUAUGACAAUUUGCAUCUGAGCCAGCUGGAAUGCUAUAGACUGAAAAAAUUAACAAUGUUUUCUGAGGAUGACUGACCAAGUCAAAGUCUUUGAGGCGCACAAUUAAUCUAACCGGGGCGAGCAGAAAUUACUGUAUUUAUAAAAUUUUGAUUCACUAGUUUCAAGUGAAAGAAAUAUUAAAAUAUAUAUCAUUCGCCUAAGAUGAGGGAGCCUCUAACGAUUAUUAAAUCAUUUUAAGCAUUUAUGUAUGACUAUUACAUUUAAUUAAUUGUAUUGCAUAAUUUGCAUAGGCUCCUCCACUUUGAGGCAGUUACUUGGGUUCAAAUUUGCAGUUGCAGAGCACCAAAGUUUGCUUUUUCGAUCUACUUGGAUUUUUCUUUGUUGAUCAUGUAAGUUAUACAUACAGCACUGCAAAAUGCCUCUACAAUAUUGCCAGUUUUCGUAUAACAUGUCCUUAGGAGGACUCUGUGUACAUAAAUAUGUUGUUCGGUUAAUGUCGGUCUCGUUUAAUUGUAAUUCACUGUAGAUCCAAAAUUGUAAACUAUUGUUUCUUUAGCCUGAACUUGUGAACCAACUGAUUUGAUCAUCAGGUCUCAAGACUUGGAAGCAGAGGAAGAUCUUAAAAGAAGGCUUCUGCACGGAGAAGGUAGGCCCAGUGAUGGAAAAAACUCAUCAGUUGUGUCCGUAACCGGAAGAUCCGGAACGCAAGCAGUAAAGACAAGUUUUCUUCAGCUGGAAAAGAUGAGAAAUUAUGCAGCAAAUUACAGAAUCGAUUUACCAUGGUAUGUGAUUUCAAUAUUAUGGGAUCCUUUGUACUUCUACACUCUGGUGAUCAAUGAUGAAAAGCAGUGCAUUGAAAUGGACUUUUCUUUGGCUUCCUUGGUGAUUGAACUCCGCUUCUACUUUGAUUUGGCCAAGUUGAUCCACAGUUCGUUUGUGAUUUGUGUUGAAUAUUUUGAAAAUAGAAAGAUAAGCGUGUGGCUGAUGUUCGCAUGGCUCAUUGACUUUGUGUCCAGUAUAAUAUUUACCCAGGUGCGUAAUAGAUCUGAAUUUAAUUUAUUUAGUUGUCUAAUAUUUCAAUAUCAUUUAUUUGAUUACCACUACUUCAAAUUCAUAAAACAACAUCCAGAUGGUGGUGGGAAUAACGGACAUUCUGUACUCGAGGAAUUUCUUUCUGUUUCAAUAUUUGCUGAAGGUUAUUCGAACCUACCACCUGCUUACAGAAGCAACAGGGUUUCAGGGAUAUUUGGUGAAUCUAGAUGGGCCAUUGUUGCGUUCAAUGUUCUUCUUUACAUGCACGGCAGUUACGUAAGUCAAAAGUACUAUCAUUUAUGUAAGUCAAUUUAUAAUAAAACCCUUCUCAGGCAAAAAGAAAAAUUAUAAUAGAACCAGUACAUAUCUGUGUUCACAUUCAUGCAUCCUGCUUUCUUCCUUCCUAAUUUUGAUAAAUGAAUUCUUUUAGUCCUUAAGAUUCGAGUUAAUUAUUCAGUUACUACUGUCGCAUAUAUUGUCAGACAGAAGUAAUGACAGAGACAUUUUUGUGUAAUUCUUAAAAAUAUGGAGAUUAACUGAAUAAUUAACCCAAGCACUCGUGAAUGAAGGGAAAUUGACACUCGAAGCUUUUCUACUUUCUCAACCGCGCAUGUUUCUAAUCGAGUGGUCCUUUAGGUAUUUGGUGCCUUGUGGUACUUUUUUGCCAUAAACAAAGCGACCGCAUGCUGGAUGGAUACCUGCAUGAAGAAUACUGGUUGCUGGGGCGUCUUAAACAUUGAUGCCUAUUGUGAGGGCCGUUCAGGAGACUAUAAGUUUCUAAACGAUGUUUGAUCUGUAAAGACGGGAAACUCAACAAACAAUUUUUAUGGCUUAUAUGGUGAUGCUUUUCAGUUAGGAAUUGUGGGGUUGACCGAUGUUCCAAUGAAAAUCUUGCAUUGUUUACUAUGGGGACUGCAAAAUCUCAGGUUUGUGCCUUCCAUUGUCGUUACUGUGUGAUGUGAGGUCAGCCGUUAAUAACUUCGAAAAUUGUGAGUUCAUUGAAUUGCUUUUUGCAGUGCUUUUGGUCAGAGCCUCCAACCAAGUAACGAUUUCUGGGAAAUUAUCUUCGCAAUUUGCAUGACCAACUAUGGCAUCGUUCUGUUUGUCUUCUUAAUUGGAAAGAUGCAGGUUCACAUAUAUAAAUUCUAUAUCGUAAUUGUUAUGACAUAUGAUGAUAUAAUAAAUUAUCAUGUGUUAAUUAAUGACCGGCAUCUUACCAUCUCGCUGUUACAUAAAGAAAUAUUUUAGGGCUGUGAGAAUGCCAUGUCAAUUAGAAUUAAUACAAAUUUUGUAUCCCAAUUCCUUAUAAAAUUAGCGUUACUCAUAAUUUUCUGUUUACGUCUAUAGAUUUGAAGAUUGAUGCACAAUUCAAUUAUUGACUCUGUUUCAUUUGAAAUAUCGGAUACAUAAAUAUAUAUGCAGUCUGACACAGAAAGAUCACAAAAGAUCAAACAGAUGUGGGAGGAGAUAAAGCAAUGGCAGCACUUUAAGGAUAUAUCUAAUAAAGUUCAAGAUCAAAUAAGGAAAGACAAGCGCAACAACUGGGAAGAAACCAAAGGAGUUGACAUAGAUAAUUUGGUGAAUAAUCUCCCUAAGGACACUGGAAAAAAAAUAAAACGCGAUCUCGGCCGAAAGCUGCUCAAGAAUGUGAGUUCUCAUCAUCCCUCUUUAUAAUUAUAAUAAUUGAUCACUUUUCUAUCCUGCCCGCUCUGAAGUUCAAAUGUUUCAAUGUUUCAAUCAUUUUCAUUCUUAACCUGAUCGGGCGAGCCAAAUUAAUCCUUCGUUACAUUAAAAUUACAGAUUCGUCUUAUUUUUUUCCCUCUUUGAUUGGUACUCCUUCUGAAUCCAAGCAUCGAACCUAAGUCAUACCUCAUUGAAUUUCAUGGGCUUAACUAACACAUGGUCAAAAGCUAGCUAGUUCGUAGUCAGGUUGAGAUUUGCCUCAAGGUUAAAUACUUUAUUCAUGAUUUACUCUUAGCUGACAUGCAAUGUUUUACAUACACAGAGAGAUAGAGAUAGUCAUUCUCAAAUGCACGCCCUCAUUUUUUUUAAUAUGAAUACUCUGUUAACAGAGUUAAUUUUCAAUAAAUUGUAAACCCAUAAUAUUAAAAAUUGACUUUAUUAAAUUGCAUAGUUUAAAUAUGUGUCCGUAAGAAAAAAAAAAAAAAGAAAGCACCCGCACUUAAGAAUUAUUAAUAUAUAAUAUGGACGCCCUCAUUUUUUUAACAAAGACUCUGCCUGUAUAGUCGUGAUUACUCUGUUUUCUGGAUGGGGCACUGUUUUAUUUCAAGGAGUGGGUGUUUUAAGCAAUCCUUGGAGUACUGUCAGAAUUUUUGUAGUUUGUCUCAGAGCUAAGUAGCUUUGUUUUUUGGGCUUUCCAGCAUUUGCAGCAAAAUUAUCCUUGGCCCAGCAGUCCAGUACUCCUCCACUCACAGCUUGCAUAUUGGCUGGCUGUUUCUUCUCCUUUAUUAUCAUUUUUAUUUGCCUCGACCUUACUUAGGUUUGAUCUAUAUUGAUAAUCUUGCUAAGGAUAUGAUAUGACUAGGUGUGGUUUAAGUAUAAGUGAAUAAGACAGUCACCUAAGACCCUAUUGUGAGAAGGCCUCAUUUUUUGAGUAUUUAAUCAAUAAUUCUUUAACUAAUAAAUAUUUUUUUAAAUUACGUAUUAUAGAAAAGUCUAUUAGACAUCUUUUUAAUUAAUAAUUAUCACAUAAUUAAGAUUUAUUUAUUUUAAUAGAAAAUCUAUAUUUGGUAACCUUAUUGUUAAAGAGAUAUAAUUAAUAAUAUUGUCUAACCAUUAAUUCAUUUAUUAUUAGUUUUGCAAGAAAAAUAAAUAAAUUCUUUUCCUUUUUAGUUUCUAAAAAAAAAAACUUAAUUAUUUAAUGUUAGAAUCUUUGACUUUGAGUAUUCCUUUUAAUUUCUAUUAAAAACCUUAUAAUCUAAAAAAUUAUAGAUGAAAAAGUUUCUGGCUCUCUUCUCUACAAAGAAAAUUAUUGUAUGCGUUAGUUCAUUUAAAAAGAAAAAAUAAGUUUCCUGAAAUAGAAUGUUCAUAUCCAUUAUGUGAUCUUUAAUUCACCAUCUCAAUCGUCUAUAUACUAUUCUAAAUAUUCUAUUUGAAAAUAAUAUUGUUCUUAUUUACUUGUUUGUUAAAUUCUAAUGGAAGUAAACUUUUACGUUCUAUUUUUGAAAUAAUUUAGGAUGUUCUUGAUUAUUGUUGAAAUUUAAAAACUAAAGAUGAAAUGGUUUUGAGCUCUUUUAUUAUUAUUAUUUUUUCAGUAUUGAAGUUGCUAAAUAAAAAGAGACCUCUUAAAAAUGUUCACCUAAGGCCUUAGAUAUUCUAAAGCCAGCCUUGGUUCUGAUCCACUUGAGAAUGAUUAAUAUAUAAUAUGGACGCCCUCAUUUUUUUAAUAAGAAUAUGCUCUUAAACCGUGCAGUUUAAGAGAGUUAAAAACUAUAUGCUCUUAAACUGUGCAGUUUAAGAGAGUUAAAAUCUAACUCUCUUAAACCUCAUGAUUUAAAAGCGUUUUUGUAUGAAAAAAAUGAGUGCGCUCACACUAGAGAAGAACUCUUGGGUGUGUGUGUGUAUAACUUUUUAUAAAUGUAUUUUUAAGGUCACAUGACGAGGUGGGCUUUCAUUCUUAUAGCUAAUCUUUGUUAUCUCGAUUUACCCAUGUAAUGGUUGGAUAUAUUUAUACUCUAAUUCUCAUUCUUGGAUAUGUGUAAAUAUAUAUGAAGGUAAAAGAGUUUCAAAAUUGGAGCGAAACAUCAUUAGAGGAACUAUGUGAUUGUCUGAAGCCAGUGUUCUUUAUUGAACGUACUCGAAUAAUUCGAGUAGGUGAUCCAAUUGAUGAGAUGCUCUUCGUGUUGAAUGGCAAGCUUUGGACUUACUCAUAUGACUUCAUGAAUGUAACAACAACUGCCUCUAUGUUGAUCCAUCGUCGUAGCCGGGAGAAUCUUCUAGAAGAUGGUGAUUUUUGCGGACAAGAACUUAUAGCUUGGUCUCAAAAUGAAAGCUCAUCACCCCACCUCCCUAUCUCAACCAGAACCAUUCAGGCGCUUACUAACGUUGAAGCUUUUACUCUUAUGGCCGACGACUUGAAACGUGUAUCAUUACUUCGACAUUUUGAUCGGGCAGCUCUUUUGUUACAAUCACGCUGGCGUUUCAAAAGGUUGUUGCGUGCUAGAAGGAAUCCAGAGAAACGAUCACGCCUGGAAUCACUAAUGUAUAAAUUUAUAUAGAGAUACAUAUAUACGUUUGUUGCAGCAUUAUAAUUAGUCCCGAUUAUGUAAAAGCAAGUACAGAAAGCCAUUUAAAUAUGGGAAACCAAGUAAAACGUAAAAAGGAUUAAAUAAAUGACACCAAUCCCCGGCAACGGCGCCAAAAUUUGAUGGUUGUCGAAGCCAACAAAAAUAAAUUCCUACUCUAAAUAAAUUGUGUAUAGUAAUUGAGCAGGGUCGUGUCCACAGAGAUCGGUAAUUAUUUAAAUCCUUUUGAAACGUAAAACGUAAAAUGGGGGAAUUGUUGACAAUAAUAAAAAUCAAAUUAAAAAUAACAAGAAUGCAAAUUAAAGUUGUAAUUCAAAUUGGAGAAAGCUCUGGUUGAAGGAAUUAACUCAGCUUGAUUCGACUACUGAUCAUUGAUUCAAAUAUAGAUUAUUAUUACUUAUGAAUAGACCGGUUAUAGCUAUUGAGACCCUCUAAUAGCCAAUCUCUCCUUAACUAGUCGAUAACCAAGGUACGACCGUUGGAUAUUUCCCUAAUCAAUAGACAACCCUAGAUACGAUCAUAGGAUUUAAUCAAUUGACAGCCUGAAAAACUAAAGAGACCCAAAUCCUAAUCAACACAUAUGAUAAUUCAUUUAAAUUAGAUUGUUUAUUCUCACAACACAACUCUCUGCUAUGUUAUUUGUCACAAACAUUAAAUUCUUCAUACGAUGAAUCCUUUAAUUGACAAUAGAUUAAGUUGAUAAUUAAAUAGUGGCCAAUUACCUAAUUAACAAACAUUAUCAUGAAACUAAUUCAGAGAAUAAACAAAUACCCAAAAAGUAAUAAAACAAUUAAAGCAUAAGAAAGAUCUCACAGUAGUGAUGAAUCAAAGCUUCAUUAACCUUCAACCAGAAAAAUAAGUUUAGUUCUUCAUAGAGAGAAGAGAAAAAUUAGAUCUAGGGUUUCUUUCUUUUUCUCCAAUCAAAAUCCCCCUUUUUCACAAUAGAUUCCUCCCUUAAAUACUUUCUCUCUCUUCUCUUUUAGAGUUCUAUUUAAAAUAAAAUACUAAUAUUUGAAAUAUUAAAUUCGUAAUUAAAAAAAUAGCCAAAAAUACAAAACACGUUAAACUAAAAACUACAGGUCCGCAGUUGACAGCACGCGCCCACGCCUUAUCAAAAAAGUUCUUCUGCCGCUCAUAAUUUCUCCAAGAGAACAAUCAUCCUUAAACAUCAUCUUAUAGCUCAAUUUUAUCACCAAUCAAUAGAAUUGCACAGGUCCGCAGUUGACAGCACGCGCCCACGCCUUAUCAAAAAAGUUCUUCUGCCGCUCAUAAUUUCUCCAAGAGAACAAUCAUCCUUAAACAUCAUCUUAUAGCUCAAUUUUAUCACCAAUCAAUAGAAUUGCACCUACAAUAGUAAAACACAAGUAAAUCAUCAUUAUUAAGUGCAAAACAUCGAUAUUAAGGGAAGUAAAUAAUGCAAAACUAGUGCAUAAAUUGCACUCUAACAAAUUCCCCCACACCAAGAUGAUGCUUGUCCUCAAGCAUAUAACUCAAGACUAAUCCAAAAUCUCCACUCAAUUCUCAUCUCAGCUCAUCCAAAAAUAAUUUUAAGCAAGCAUACCUCAAGAAAUUAAGUCGAUUAACAUUCGAGAGACAAAGAUUUUAAAGCAUAGAAUCUCAUAAGAUAGAAUAAGAACAUUCAACCACCAAGAAGAUCCAUUCAAAAUUCAAGUGCAACAAGAUUUAAUAGCCCUCUCAAUGACUUCACUCCAUGCACUCAAAGUGUUUAGGGUAUCAUUUAUGCACUCAAAUCAAAUCAAAGAAUGCUAUUACCAUAAGCUUGCUCAUAUAUCACAUCUCAAUCCACAAAACAUGAAUAAAAUGCAAAAAUCUAAGGGUCUUAAAAGGGUUGUAAUGGGGUUAAAUAGGUUAAAUGAAAAAGAAAGGUCUAUGAAAGAAAAAGAGAUCAAAAUGAGAAGAAUGAACUCAUUGAACGAACUUUAUGAUAUCGAAACGCUUAUUUCUACUCAAGUCACCAAGAAUGUAAACAUUUUUUUUUCUUCUUUUUCUCUUUUUUUUUUUGAUUUUUCUUUUUCUUUUUUUUUUCUUUUUCCUUUUUUUUUAUUUUUUUUUUUUGUUUUUUGUUUUUUGUUUUUGAAUCAAACAAAAGAAACGAACCUUGCACAAUUUAAUUCAAGCAUAAUGCUUGUUGAUCUAAUUGAGAAACUUUAAUACAAGGUAGAAAAAGCAACAAAAUAUAUCCACACAAUGAGUCCAAAAAUCUCCUUAAAUUGAGGCUCAAAAAGAAGAAAAAUGGUUAAGUAGACGGAGAGAAUUAGAUGGGUAAUGGUUAAGUAGACGGAGAGAAUUAGAUGGGUAAUGGUUAAGGCUCAAACAAAGGUAGCAAAUAAAGGUCUUCGGGUAGAGAAAAAGGAAAAUGCGAGAAUAGAAAAAUGGUAAAUGGUUUGCCUUUAUCAUUUUAAUGCAUAAAAUCCCGUAAUGUGGCUUCAACAUGCAUAACAAAGCAAGUUCUAGAAUAAACAAACUAGGAUUGAUAUUCACAUAACAAAAAUAAUUAGAGCAAAGUGGUUGCUCAUAGGCUCAAAUCCUCACAAAGUUGGUAAAUUUGCCAUCAAAUCAUGUACACUCUUCAAAUGAAUCAACCAUCAAUAGUGGUGUAGAAUGAGAAGAAGGUAUGAGUGAGAUAUAAAAGGAAAGGUAAAAAGGAUAAUAAGGGAGAAAGAUGUAUGUAUUAAAAAAAUGAAAGAUAAAAUGUGAGUGAUGAAAGAGUAUGAUAGAGAAAAAAAAAUAGAUGUAAAUAAUUUGAGAUAGAUGGGAAAAGAGUAGUGAGAGAGAAAGGAAAAGAAAAUUAAUAAUAUAUGAAGCAUACUAACUCCAAAAUCAUUUAAGGAUGAGUAGAGUGAAAAUAGAUGAGCAGAGUGAAAAUAAUAAUUCCAGACAUCAAUAAUGCAAAAAUCCCUCCCCCACACCAAGAACUUACAUUGUCCCCAAUGUAAGAUAAUCAAAACUCACAUAAAAAUUAAAUCGUAAGGAUAAAAGAUUAAAGGCAAAAACUUCCCUGAAUUGUGAGCUUUGAUCCUCAUAACGUCUAUGGGCUUGGCGGAAAUGGUGAGAUAGUUGCGCACAGGCUGCUCGGUGAAGGCUAGAGCGGCUGUUGCUGCCAAAAAAAUGUUUUUUUUUUUUUUUUUUUUUUUUUUUUUUUAGUGAUGAAUCACUUGAGACACUAAAACUUUCAGAAGUACUUUUCUAAUAAGCACGUAGGCACGCCUUAAAACCAUUUUACUUUAAAAAUCACAGAAGUACUUAUUAGUUAAGACGUGGGCACGCCUUAUCAAAAAUUUUCUUCUGACCAAAAUAAGCAAACACAUUAUUUAAAAAAAUAUGAAUCAAAAUUAAAAGAAGAUAUAACAAAAACCAAAAUAAAUAAAUCAUUUGGGUUGCCUCCCAAAAAGCGCCUUUGUUUUAUGUCUUUGGCUAGACACAUUUAUGCAUCAAUCUCCAUAAUUGGGACUCUCGAGAGCCACAUCCUCCACAAUAUUCACCAAAAAACCUUCAUAAAAAGGUUUUAAGCGAUGACCAUUAACCUUAAAAACUUUGUCAGAGGUCGGACUCCGAAUCUCAACUGCACCAUGAGGAAAAACAUUAGUAACAAUAAAAGGUCCAACCCAGCAAGAACGUAAUUUACCCGGAAAAAGUUUAAGCUUAGAAUGAAAAAGAAGAACUUUUUGACCAACAGAGAACUCAUUUCUCAAAAUCAUUCUAUCAUGACAUGUCUUCGUUUUUUCCUUGUAAAUAACUUCCUGCACUAUAGGGUUAAUAACAUCCACAGAAAAUACCGAAUGUUCCUCACUAGGAUAUUUCAUGGCAUCAUUCAUAUUGAAUUCUAUAACCUCUCCAUCAAACUCCAUAGUAAGAGUCUCUUUAUGUACAUCCAUUUUAGUCCUAGCAGUCUUAAGAAAAGGUCUUCCUAGCAAAAUUGGGACAGAAUUAGAGAAGUUAUCCUCUUCCAUAUCAAGUACAUAAAAAUCAGCAGGAAAAACCAACUCAUUAACUUGUACUAGGACAUCUUCUAAUACCCCAUCAGGAUAUGCAUUAGACCUAUCAGCUAGUUGAAUUAUCACGCCAGUUUCUUUUAAUGGACCAACAUUCAAAGAUGAAUAAAUGGAACGAGGCAUGACAUUAAUAGAAGCUCCUAGAUCUAACAUAGCCUUUUCAACUUUGACAUUACCAAUUUUGCAAGGGAUAGUAAACAUACCUGGAUCCUUGCACUUAGGAGGUAGUUUCUUUUGGAGAACUGCUGAAACAUUCUCCCCCAUAUGAACCUUUUCAUCUCCUCUUAAUUUUCUCUUAGAGGUGCAAGGUGGUGACUUUUUUGGAGAAGAACUUAUUGGUUGGGCUGAGAGUGAGCACUCUUCCAAUUUGCCUAGCUCAACCAGAACUAUUCAAGCGCUUAGUGAGGUUGAAGCCUUUGUUCUUAUGGCAGAUGACUUGAAACAUGUAUUCUUACUUAGACAUUGUGACCGGGCAGCUCUUUUGUUACAAUCACGCUGGCGUUUCAGAAAGCUUUUGCGUGAUAGGAGGGCUAAGCAAAAAUCAAUCUUGAGAAGAAUGCGGAAUUGCGCAGCAGUACUACAGACUAUAGAAUAACAAUUUGAGACUGGAUUUGAAAUUAUUAUUUGUAUGAAUACUACCAAAAUGAAAAUAGGUGGUAAAAGCUGAAAAAUUAAGGGGAAAAUUGUCGAUCUCCCUUGUUCGAUUAUGCAGUCAACAAGAUCAGAAACAGUAAUCGCCAAGUUCGAUUUGGAAAUCUUAUCCAACCAAUGGUACCUUUUUCUUUUUUCUUUUUUUCCCUGAAUCAAGGACUUCACGCUUCGUUGAUGGGGAUACCAUUCCUAAAAUUAAAAGAUAUUGACCAUUACUAUCUCAAACAACAAUUAAUUAUACAUUGCCAGCACGCAAAAAUGAGCGACAAACUUCUUCAUUAACUAAUCUAUUUGAACAACUGCAUUUCUAAGCAUAUAUAUGAUCAUUUCAGAUGAAAAUAGUUUAAAGUGGUUAUAGAAGAACCGGUAGAUCACAGUUGAGAGAGUGAAGCAGAUCAUCAGGGGGCAAUCUUAAGUGUGUCACGCGGGUAGAGUGAUGUUUUGCGAAUGUUGUUGAGAUCGCAGAAAAGCAUCACCACACUCUUCAAUCCCACUUCACAUCCACUAUGUCUCGAAAGGAAUCCAAUGAUAACAUAAAGCUAACAGUUUUUAGAGGACCACACUGUUUUUCUAUUUGCGUACAAAUGGACAGUGGUUUCAGAAUAACCUUAGCAUUGUCAAGUUUAACCAGAGAGCAUGGAAACCAAAGCUAGAUCAAAAUUCAAAACCACUAUGGAGGAUGUGCAUGGAUUAAUGUAAAAUACUAUAUUCAAUUUGAACGAUAAACACAGUACAAAUAAAAAUUAUUAGAUUCCAUCUUCUAUUCUAUAAUUUUUAAUUCUUGCACUUCUUUUUCUGGGAAUCAGAUUUUUCUGAUACAGAACGUGAACCAACAAAAGCCAAAUUUUAUGAUAUUUGAUAAAAGCAACUUCCAAAAUAUACCAUAACCAUACCCAAUUAUUUUUUGUAUAAUAAUAUUUAAGCUUUUAUAGACACAGAUCGAGCUGUUAUGCUCUCAGCAUAAUAGGCUUGCGGCACUUGAUCAAACGAGAAAAAUCAGGGUAACAAUACCUGAAAUAUUCAAAGAUAUUUUCUUUACAUCAAUGCCACCUGCCUGUGCACGCUCCACCAAGAACCCGGUGUUGUGCGCGGAAUGCGGAAUCAAGCGCACCAAAAAUUACUGAAAAAUAAAGGACACAAGAAUUUACGUGGUUCGGUAAUUAAACCUACAUCCACGGAGGCAAGAAAGAAUAAUUGUUUAUUUAACAAUUAAUAGAAUACAAUAUUUGAGUAACGAAUCUCACUUCCCAGAAACCCAAAUAUACCCAGUACUCUCACACUCUGCAGGAAAGAUAAAUUCCCCAGACACACUUCUCUCACUUCUCUCAAAAGUUUAGAAACUUAUAAGCUUAACAAUUUUGGGAUGAUUUCAAAUGAAUGAAAUCCUAAGCUAUUUAUAGGAAAAAUGUUGGCACUAUGCAAAGAAUAAAAUAAUUGAAAAUAUAAUAAAUAAUUAUUAUUAUUUUCAAUACAUCCCCUUUUUCCAUUCUUUCUUUUCGGCUAACAAAAACCAAAUUGGAUUUUGCUUCUCCAAAGCCUUCAUGCUAACAAUUGCAAAGUUGGCAUUUGCUUCUGACUUUUCAACAAUUCUCCACCUCGGCGAAAAUUUAUCCAAAUAUGAGCCGAUUGACAAUGAUCCGCCAAACUUCAUCCCUCACAUGAUCCUCAAAAGGAUCCACAUUGGCUGCAUCUAUCCGACUGCCUACGUACCCAAAAUUUGGGAUCAAGCCAACCGUAGUUCAAAACAUCCCCCACAUGAUCCUCAAAAGGAUCCACAUUGGCUGCAUCUAUCCGACUGCCUACGUACCCAAAAUUUGGGAUCAAGCCAACCGUAGUUCAUAAUUCCCGAAGGACAUAUCUUAACACAAUCGAAGGAUUUGAAUUAAUUUCAAGCAAUGUUGAAACUUAACUCCAAAAACUACCUUCGUCAACAUAUCUGAUGGAUUAUCUUUGGUAUCGAUCUUUCUCAACAACACAACACCGCUCUCGAUAAUCUCUCUCACAUAAUGAUAUUUCACAUCUAUGUGCUUCGUCCGAGCGUGAUAUAUUUGAUUCUUCGCAAGGAAUAUCGCACUUUGAUUAUCACAGAAGACCGCAAUGUUCUCCUGGAUUACUCCCAAAUCACCUAACAAGCCUUUCAACCAGAUAGCUUCCUUUACAGCUUCAGUUGCUGCCAUGUACUCUGCUUCCGUAGUGGACAGAGCAAUUGUCGAUUGCAAAAUUGACCUCCAGCUAACCGGACCUCCACCCAAUGUGAAUACGUAGCCCGUUGUUGAUCUUCGCUUGUCAAGGUCUCCAGCGAAAUCAGAAUCACAAUACCCAACACAUUGUUGACCACAAUCCUUCUUGAACAAUAACCCAACAUCAACUGUCCCAUACAGAUAUCGGAAAAUCCACUUUACCGCAAGCCAUUGAUUUUUACCCGGAUUGUGCAUGUAUCUACUAACCAUGCUCACUGCUUGAGAUAUAUCGGGCCUUGUGCAUACCAUAGCAUACAUAAGACUACCCACAGCACUAGCAUAUGGAACACGAGCCAUGUAAUCGCGCUCCUCUUGAGAUCUAGGACAUGAAGAAGAGCUUAAUUUGAAAUGAGGAGCUAGAGGUGUACAUACCGGCUUAGUUUUGUUAUCCAUACCGAAUCUUUCUAGCACUUUCUUCAAAUAAGACUUUUGAGUCAACCAUACGCUCCCAUUCUUCUUGUCUCUAUGAAUCUCCAUCCCAAGUAUUCUUUGUGCAUCACCCAAGUCUUUCAUCUCGAACUCAGAAGUCAGCUGCUUCUUUAAUCUUUCGAUCUCAUCUCUAUUCUUCGAAGCUAUAAGCAUAUCGUCGACAUAGAGUAACAAAUAGAUGAAAGCUCCAUCUGGUAGUCUUCUAAAGUAAACACAAUGAUCGUGUUCACUUCUGGUGAAUUUCUGCCCUUGUAUAAAUUGAUCAAAUCUUUUGUACCACUGCCUUGGCGAUUGCUUCAGUCCGUACAAAGAUUUAAUCAACCUACACACAUGAUUCUCCUUUUCAGUAACUCUGAAACCACAAGGCUGAAUCAUAUAGAUUUCCUCCUCCAAAUCUCCAUGUAAGAACGCCGUCUUAACAUCCAACUGAGCCAACUCUAACUCAUAUUCUGCAACUAAGGCAAGUAGGAUACGAAUGGAAGUAUGUUUUACAACUGGAGAGAAAACUUCAUUGUAGUCAAUACUUUCCUUUUGAGCAAAACCUUUUGCCACGAGCCUUGCCUUGUAUCGAGGAGUUGUUUGAUUUGGAGAUCCUUGCUUUUUUGUGUAGACCCAUUUAUUGCCAAUAGCCCUUUUCCCCUUUGGUAAAUUUACAAGUUCCCAAGUCUGGUUUUGAUGGAGAGAUUUCAUCUCUUCCUCCAUGGCUAGCUUCCACUGAUCACUUUCAUUGCUGCGUAAUGCUUCACCGAAAGUAUUGGGGAUGUCAUCAUCAAUAACUGGAAGUGCAUAGGCUACCACCAUAUAUUUAGUAAGCCAUCCGGGUUUCUUUAUCUCUCUUAUUGGCCUCCUUGUUGCUAUAAAAUCAUCAUCAUCUACAUCAUCAAUUGUUUCUUCAUUUUGUGGGACGUCAGAAGAAACAACCUUUUCUUCAACUUUAGGUGUCACCUCCAUAGUUGAACCAUUCUUUGAUGUAGAACUAACUGGUACAUAUGGAGUUGCAUCAAACUCCACCCGCUGCAAUACCUCUGUGGUCUUGUUCUCCACCUGCUGAGAACUUGAAGCUUUUAUCAUUGAAGCUUCAUCAAAUGUGACAUCUCUGCUACACACAAACUUUUUGUCUUCGAGAUCCCAAAGCUUGAAGCCCUUUACUCCACCUUUGAAUCCCACAAAGAUAGAUUUUCUAGCACGAGGAUCCAGUUUACCAUCUUUGACAUGAUAAUAAGCUGGACACCCGAAUACACGAAGGGAAUCAUAGUCUUGUGCAUGCUUUCCAGACCACAUUUCCAUAGGAGUUUUACCUCCAAUUGCAGCAGAAAGCAACCGAUUUACCAAGUGACUUGCGUAGCUCACAGUUUCAGCCCAAAACUUUUUAUCUAAACCAGCAUUAGAUAACAUACAUCGUACCUUCUCCAGUAAAGUACGAUUCAUACGCUCAGCCACACCGUUCUGUUGCGGAGUAUGUCUCACCGUGAAAUGUCUUUUAAUACCCUCGUUCUGGCAUACUUGCAAGAAUGGAUCAGAAGUAUAUUCACCCCCAUUAUUAGAUCGUAAUACUUUGAUCUUUCUGCCAGUUUGAGUCUCCACCAAUUUCUUCCACUUCACGAAAAUCUCUAGAACCUCAUCCUUUGCUCGCAUGGUGUACACCCAUACACGUCUAGAGAAAUCAUCAACAAAUAUAACAAAAUAAUGGCUUCCACCAAUUGAUGCAGUCUUGGUUGGUCCCCAUACAUCACUAUGAACAUAUUCAAGGAUCUCACGAGUAUCGUGAUUAGCUGUACCAAACUUGACCCUUGUUUUCUUGCCUACUACACAAUGCUCACAGAAAUUUAAUUUACAGGUUUUGGUACCUUUUAAGAGUCCAUGCCUCAUCAGAGUUUGCAAAGACUUCUCUCCUGCAUGUCCCAGUCGUACAUGCCAUAGCUUGGUGGUGUCACUGUGCGCCUCAACAACAUUUGCUUCAUCAGUUGUACCUCCCUUCAAAUAGUACAGAUUGUGACGCCGAACCUCUUGCAGAAUCACCAUAGCCCCAUGUGUAAACUUCAUUAUACCAUCUUCAAUGGUAACCUUGUAACCUUUAGCUUCCAAAACACCCACAGAAAUUAGAUUUUUCUUUAAAGCUGGAACAAAUCUAACCUCUUUGAGUUCUCUGACCAUUCCAUCAAACAUUUUGAGCCGAAUUAUUCAUAUCCCCAUUGUGCGACAAGGUUGAUCAUUCCCCAUCACAACUGCACCGGAUUCCAGAUUACGAAAAUCCGUAAACCAUUCCUUAAUAGGACACAAAUGAUAGGUUGCUCCAGUAUCAAGUAUCCACUCGCUCGAACUAGCCACGUAUGCUGCAGGAGUAAUACUUAGUGAAUAAUCAGAGCCCUCAUCUUUCCAUGCCAUGUUUGCUGCUGCUGGUUUCUUCCCAUCUCUCUUUUGAGCCUUUGGACAAUCUUUCCUCCAAUGGCCCUUUUCAUGACAAAAGGCACACUCGUCUCGAGCUAUAUUUCUGCUUCUCGAUUUGGAUCGAGAAUUCUUUCCACCACGCUUUUUCUUUUUCUCCAUCGCCCAAUCUCUGCUCACCAAAGCUUCAGACGAUGCUCGUUCAGAAUUUUUAUUAUUAUUCUGAAUCUCCAAAUUAGUCAAUGCUGUGCAAACAUCUUUGAAGAUGAUCACACUUUUUCCAUAUAUCAAGGUAGUCACAAAAUGGCUAUAUUCCUCUGGUAGUGAGUGUAACAAAAUCAUAGCCUUGACUUCAUCCUUAAUAUCUUCAUCAAGAUUCUUCAAAUCAGCAAGUAACUUUUCAAAUCUUGAAACAUGAUCGUGCAUUGACACCCCAGACUUCAUUCGAAAGCCAUAUACUUGGCUCAUUGCAUGAAGACGAUUUUCAGGACUUUUCACCAGGUACUUCUCUUCCAAUGUACGCCACAAAGUCACUGCACACUCCUCAUCUUUCACCAAGUAUUUCACCUCCUUGGUCAAACAAGAUCUGAUCUGACCACAGGCUUUCUCGUUCAUACGAUCCCAAAUUUCUUCAUCAUACAAGUGUCUUUUAUUUUUCAGGACAACAUCGAGAUCGAUUUGAAUAAGGGCAUCCAUAACUUCGCGCCUCCACAUGCCGAAGUUGAUUUUCCCAUCAAACUUUUCAACAUCGAUCUUCUGGCCUCCUAUAACAGGUGCUGAAUAGCGAUUUGACAAAUCUCGCCUCCCACCUGAAGUGUCUCCUGAAAUAGUCUCGGUAGAUCUCUCCCCAAUUCUGGAAGUUUCACCUUCUACCAUUUUUUCAACGAACUAUUUCCACUUGAAAAACAGCCUCUAUGAUGUUAAUUUCGCGUGAAUAAAUGCACCAGGAAAGUUCCCAGGAAACUGGACGGGAACUCGGUCCCAAUUAAAAACCAGAAUCCUUAGACUCUUAUCGCCUUUGUUGACAGAACUUUCCUAGACAUGCAAAAAUACACACUACUUACAAUAGACUGUCUCCCAAGUACAAAUGGCCGUCUCCACCGUAUUCGUGAACAGUACCGUAUGUGAACACUACCGUAUACGGGAAUAGUACCGUAUACGUGAACAGUACCGUAUCCCCCCAAGUACGAACCGUCGGCUCUGAUACCACUUGUUGUGCGCGGAAUGCGGAAUCAAGCGCACCAAAAAUUACUGAAAAAUAAAGGACACAAGAAUUUACGUGGUUCGGUAAUUAAACCUACAUCCACGGAGGCAAGAAAGAAUAAUUGUUUAUUUAACAAUUAAUAGAAUACAAUAUUUGAGUAACGAAUCUCACUUCCCAGAAACCCAAAUAUACCCAGUACUCUCACACUCUGCAGGAAAGAUAAAUUCCCCAGACACACUUCUCUCACUUCUCUCAAAAGCUUAGAAACUUAUAAGCUUAACAAUUUUGGGAUGAUUUCAAAUGAAUGAAAUCCUAAGCUAUUUAUAGGAAAAAUGUUGGCACUAUGCAAAGAAUAAAAUAAUUGAAAAUAUAAUAAAUAAUAAUUAUUAUUUUCAAUACAUCCCCUUUUUCCAUUCUUUCUUUUCGGCUAACAAAAACCAAAUUGGAUUUUGCUUCUCCAAAGCCUUCAUGCUAACAGUUGCAAAGUUGGCAUUUGCUUCUGACUUUUCAACACCCUGGCAUAUCAAUACGUUGAGCACCCGAAAUUAUCUCUUCACCUAAAGAGGAGGAAGAGAUGCUCAAAAAUCCGGUCAAAUGAACAAUCACAUGAUAUUUUCAUCCAACAAGUAUGAAUGUUUGCAAUGAAAAGAAAAAUGAAAACCCGACAGAAAAUUCUUCAACACAAGGAUUUUGAAUGUGGUUAUCAUUAUAAUUAAGCAGUCAACCUAAUACAACCUUCAACCAGAGGUGAAUUCAUUUACGCCAGUCACAUGACCACUCCUAUCAACACCACUGCAAAAAAAGCACAUCCUCUUCAUUAAUAAAUGAAGUUUUGUUCCUGCUUUACUUCACCAUUCAUUUUCAUCUCAUAAAAGAGCAAUUUAUUGGAAUGCAACAUACCUCGAUUAAACUGAAAGAGGAUUAAGAUAAUUUAAAAAAUGAAAACUGCGAGACAAUGCGAGUAGUAUCAUGAUAAACUUAACUCCAGACGGACAUCCAUUUUUUAAUCGUAAUUAAUGAAACAAAUGUAGAUCGAGAUUUCCCCAAAACAACACCACAAAUACAAGUAUAUGUGCAUCCAAAAUGAAGAAGAAAUGUUUCAGCUUCAUACAUUACCUCGAAUAAAGACAUCAAAUUAGUUUCUGUAAAGAGCAUUGUCAGGAGGGGGCGCCAAACAGCCCAAGGAUAACGAUGGAGUAUAUAAAAUUCGGCGCCAUACCUGCAAUAGGAAGCAACAAUCAGGCACGUAUUGAUGAUAUACAUAGAAAUUUAGGCUUAAAAAUGAGAAAACACUUGUCAUGAGCUAAGAGCAAUGAGGCUCUUAAUUGUUUCAAAAUUUGAAACUAAUAAUAGAUGUAUGUUAUACAAACAAAUUCAUACUUCAAUACUUGUAACAAAAAUCAAGUCAGUAAAUAUGGAACCUACUUAUCUUCGUUCCAUAGGUUUGGUUGUCUUUUUUUUUUUUAAUUAAUGUUCAGAAUCGAUUAAAAAGUUUUUUAAUUCGAGUUCUUGCUAAUUUCAUUUUUUGAUUCCAUUGUGAAAUUCAAUUUUCUUAUUUAAUUUUAUUCCGAUCCUAUCUACCCAUUCGAAUUUUGGUUGCUUAAUUGUUCAGGAUGUUGGAGUUGAGAAUGAUCCUCUUGAAGACUUGAAUACUGAGGCAGAGAGGAAUUUGAUCCAACUAUUUUCCUACGAUUCUUGGGAACAGUAGAUACUACUUUUAAAGUAUUCAACCUACUAAAUGAUUCCUCCACACUUCUGUUACCCUUAAAAAUCAUCUAAUUAUUUAUUCAUACACUAAUCUAAAUAAUGGCGUGAUAAAUCAGAAACCUUUCUUCAUGAAACAUGAACUGAGGGGAUGAAAGAAAUUAAGUUACCUUGAGCAUUUGAAUCCCUUUUCCGAAUGUAAGACAAAGAGUCUUUGCCUUGUACUGCAACAUUUAGAAAAUGCCACAAUCAGGUUCAAGAAUAGAGAAAAGCUGAGGUGAUAUAUAAUUUUCCAUAUUCCAAAUAUAUCUAAACUAUACAAGAACUUCAAAAAUUAUUAUGAUAAUAGAAUUUUACGAACAAUUCAAAAUAAAUAAUGACCUUCAGAGGUUCAAACGGACACUGAUUCGCCACAUAUUCAACUUCCUUUUUGCACCUCUCAUUCUGUUAGGAAAUUGAGUUUCCUCCCAAGAUCUCUCCAAGCAAUUUAUCAAGCAACAAAUUAAUAAGAAAAAUUAAAUAAAGAAUAUACCAACCACAUAACACAAGAUUUACGUGGAAAACUCCAAAUCCGGAGAAAAACCACGGCCGUUGUCAAAAAGACAACCAGAGAAAAAAUAUUCACUAUGUGGAAAAUUAUUACAACCACACUCUCAAAAAUAAUUUUCUCUCACCUAAGCCCCAAAUACACCCCAAAGAAAUACUCUCUGAAUGAAGAAAAGAAACCGAGGAUUAGAUGCAAAAACCAAAAAAUGGGGAGCUUCCUUUAUAUAGCCAAAAUUGGCUAUUAUUUUAUUAUUUUUACCACCGUCUUCAUUCUUCUAUUUUCUUCUUUCUUCUUUUUCUUCAUUCCAAAUUUGCUGCUGCCAAAUUCUUCUUCUUCUUCUUUGAACAACAUGGAUGCUGACCAUCUAGAUGGCUGCUUCAAACCAUCUAGAUGGCUGGCUGCUUUUGACAUUUCUCCCACUUGGAGAUUUGAUUGAGAAUCAAUCAAUCUCCACACUAACCUUAAUAUUUUCCUCACCAUAGAGAAUUAUCAUACCCCACCAUAAAAGAGUAUACCACUUAGAAUUAAUUACCAAUUCUAAGAAUUUUACAUCGGCUCAUGUCGAAAUAUCCUGCUGAAAUUUAUGGUGCAACUUCCAUGUUGGCCUUCCUGGAAGUUUGUCAGCCAUCGACAUAAAUUCCACCACACACCCUGCAUCAAUGCCAACCAUGCCUUGUGUGUAAAUCUUGUGGACCCGCUAGUAGUAACAUAUCUCCUUUCAUGGUACUAGCGAUAUACCAUGAGGAUGUCAUCAUCAUCCAUUUUACAAGGGAUCAUCGUCUCCCACGAUGAUGAGAGACUUACCACUAGCAAUACUAUCAGUAUCUGAUCUGGAGCCACUUGCCGAUCCUGCUCCAUUUCUACUAUGACAAUCUCUUUUUAAGUGCCCCAAUUGUCCACACCCCCAGCAAACUCCUUUCUUCUUAGAUUUAUCUUUCUGCCAAUUCCCUACAACUGCCAAAGCCGAGACAUCUGUAGUUUUAGUACUUUCACCACCCAGUCUCCUUUCUUCUGAGAGUAAAGUACUAGUAACUUCUUCAAGAUCUAUUGUCUCAUUCCCGUACAUCAAAGUAGGUAACAAGUGUUUGUAGGAAGUUGGAAGUGACCAUAGUAACCUAAGCGCCUUGUCCUCAUCUUCAAUUUUAACUCCAAUGGCUUCUAGUUCUGACACAAUACCAUUGAGAACACUGAGGUGAUCGGAAAUUUUUGUACCUUCAGCCAUUCGCAGUGUGUGAAAUCGCUCCUUCAGGUACAAUCGAUUUGAGAUGCUCUUUGUCUGAUACAACUUUUCUAGCUUCUCCCAAAGUUCUUUCGCUGUAGGAAUUUUUCCUACAUUUGCAAGAACAUUCUUUGCUAGACACAGUCGUAUGGCACUUGCAGCUCUAUCAUCUAAUUCUUCCCAAUCUUCAUCACUUAUACUAGUUUUUCCAGAGCCACUACUGGAAGCAGGGGAUGGCUUCCCCUUCAAUGCCUUGUGUAACCCAGAUUGAAUCAACACAUCUUUGACUUGAACUUGCCACAAGCCAAAGUUAAUUCUCCCAUCGAAUUUUUCUAUUUCAAAUUUCACCGGACUUGAAAAUUUCAAUCCUGACAUAUUUGCUUUGCAGAUAAGCUUUUACUCUUCACCACGGACUGUUUGGAUUGGCUCCCACUGCUUCACGUGAAUAGUACUGUAUACGUGAACAGUACCGUAUACGUGAACAGUACUGUAUACGUGAACAAUGCCCCAACACCAAAACUUCAAUCAAUGGCUCUGAUACCACUGUUAGGAAAUUGAGUUUCCUCCCAAGAUCUCUCCAAGCAAUUUAUCAAGCAACAAAUUAAUAAGAAAAAUUAAAUAAAGAAUAUACCAACCACAUAACACAAGAUUUACGUGGAAAACUCCAAAUCCGGAGAAAAACCACGGCCGUUGUCAAAAAGACAACCAGAGAAAAAAUAUUCACUAUGUGGAAAAUUAUUACAACCACACUCUCAAAAAUAAUUUUCUCUCACCUAAGCCCCAAAUACACCCCAAAGAAAUACUCUCUGAAUGAAGAAAAGAAACCGAGGAUUAGAUGCAAAAACCAAAAAAUGGGGAGCUUCCUUUAUAUAGCCAAAAUUGGCUAUUAUUUUAUUAUUUUUACCACCGUCUUCAUUCUUCUAUUUUCUUCUUUCUUCUUUUUCUUCAUUCCAAAUUUGCUGCUGCCAAAUUCUUCUUCUUCUUCUUUGAACAACAUGGAUGCUGACCAUCUAGAUGGCUGCUUCAAACCAUCUAGAUGGCUGGCUGCUUUUGACAUUUCUCCCACUUGGAGAUUUGAUUGAGAAUCAAUCAAUCUCCACACUAACCUUAAUAUUUUCCUCACCAUAGAGAAUUAUCAUACCCCACCAUAAAAGAGUAUACCACUUAGAAUUAAUUACCAAUUCUAAGAAUUUUACAUCGGCUCAUGUCGAAAUAUCCUGCUGAAAUUUAUGGUGCAACUUCCAUGUUGGCCUUCCUGGAAGUUUGUCAGCCAUCGACAUAAAUUCCACCACACACCCUGCAUCAAUGCCAACCAUGCCUUGUGUGUAAAUCUUGUGGACCCGCUAGUAGUAACAUAUCUCCUUUCAUGGUACUAGCGAUAUACCAUGAGGAUGUCAUCAUCAUCCAUUUUACAAGGGAUCAUCGUCUCCCACGAUGAUGAGAGACUUACCACUAGCAAUACUAUCAGUAUCUGAUCUGGAGCCACUUGCCGAUCCUGCUCCAUUUCUACUAUGACAAUCUCUUUUUAAGUGCCCCAAUUGUCCACACCCCCAGCAAACUCCUUUCUUCUUAGAUUUAUCUUUCUGCCAAUUCCCUACAACUGCCAAAGCCGAGACAUCUGUAGUUUUAGUACUUUCACCACCCAGUCUCCUUUCUUCUGAGAGUAAAGUACUAGUAACUUCUUCAAGAUCUAUUGUCUCAUUCCCGUACAUCAAAGUAGGUAACAAGUGUUUGUAGGAAGUUGGAAGUGACCAUAGUAACCUAAGCGCCUUGUCCUCAUCUUCAAUUUUAACUCCAAUGGCUUCUAGUUCUGACACAAUACCAUUGAGAACACUGAGGUGAUCGGAAAUUUUUGUACCUUCAGCCAUUCGCAGUGUGUGAAAUCGCUCCUUCAGGUACAAUCGAUUUGAGAUGCUCUUUGUCUGAUACAACUUUUCUAGCUUCUCCCAAAGUUCUUUCGCUGUAGGAAUUUUUCCUACAUUUGCAAGAACAUUCUUUGCUAGACACAGUCGUAUGGCACUUGCAGCUCUAUCAUCUAAUUCUUCCCAAUCUUCAUCACUUAUACUAGUUUUUCCAGAGCCACUACUGGAAGCAGGGGAUGGCUUCCCCUUCAAUGCCUUGUGUAACCCAGAUUGAAUCAACACAUCUUUGACUUGAACUUGCCACAAGCCAAAGUUAAUUCUCCCAUCGAAUUUUUCUAUUUCAAAUUUCACCGGACUUGAAAAUUUCAAUCCUGACAUAUUUGCUUUGCAGAUAAGCUUUUACUCUUCACCACGGACUGUUUGGAUUGGCUCCCACUGCUUCACGUGAAUAGUACUGUAUACGUGAACAGUACCGUAUACGUGAACAGUACUGUAUACGUGAACAAUGCCCCAACACCAAAACUUCAAUCAAUGGCUCUGAUACCACUGUUAGGAAAUUGAGUUUCCUCCCAAGAUCUCUCCAAGCAAUUUAUCAAGCAACAAAUUAAUAAGAAAAAUUAAAUAAAGAAUAUACCAACCACAUAACACAAGAUUUACGUGGAAAACUCCAAAUCCGGAGAAAAACCACGGCCGUUGUCAAAAAGACAACCAGAGAAAAAAUAUUCACUAUGUGGAAAAUUAUUACAACCACACUCUCAAAAAUAAUUUUCUCUCACCUAAGCCCCAAAUACACCCCAAAGAAAUACUCUCUGAAUGAAGAAAAGAAACCGAGGAUUAGAUGCAAAAACCAAAAAAUGGGGAGCUUCCUUUAUAUAGCCAAAAUUGGCUAUUAUUUUAUUAUUUUUACCACCGUCUUCAUUCUUCUAUUUUCUUCUUUCUUCUUUUUCUUCAUUCCAAAUUUGCUGCUGCCAAAUUCUUCUUCUUCUUCUUUGAACAACAUGGAUGCUGACCAUCUAGAUGGCUGCUUCAAACCAUCUAGAUGGCUGGCUGCUUUUGACAUUUCUCCCACUUGGAGAUUUGAUUGAGAAUCAAUCAAUCUCCACACUAACCUUAAUAUUUUCCUCACCAUAGAGAAUUAUCAUACCCCACCAUAAAAGAGUAUACCACUUAGAAUUAAUUACCAAUUCUAAGAAUUUUACAUCGGCUCAUGUCGAAAUAUCCUGCUGAAAUUUAUGGUGCAACUUCCAUGUUGGCCUUCCUGGAAGUUUGUCAGCCAUCGACAUAAAUUCCACCACACACCCUGCAUCAAUGCCAACCAUGCCUUGUGUGUAAAUCUUGUGGACCCGCUAGUAGUAACAUAUCUCCUUUCAUGGUACUAGCGAUAUACCAUGAGGAUGUCAUCAUCAUCCAUUUUACAAGGGAUCAUCGUCUCCCACGAUGAUGAGAGACUUACCACUAGCAAUACUAUCAGUAUCUGAUCUGGAGCCACUUGCCGAUCCUGCUCCAUUUCUACUAUGACAAUCUCUUUUUAAGUGCCCCAAUUGUCCACACCCCCAGCAAACUCCUUUCUUCUUAGAUUUAUCUUUCUGCCAAUUCCCUACAACUGCCAAAGCCGAGACAUCUGUAGUUUUAGUACUUUCACCACCCAGUCUCCUUUCUUCUGAGAGUAAAGUACUAGUAACUUCUUCAAGAUCUAUUGUCUCAUUCCCGUACAUCAAAGUAGGUAACAAGUGUUUGUAGGAAGUUGGAAGUGACCAUAGUAACCUAAGCGCCUUGUCCUCAUCUUCAAUUUUAACUCCAAUGGCUUCUAGUUCUGACACAAUACCAUUGAGAACACUGAGGUGAUCGGAAAUUUUUGUACCUUCAGCCAUUCGCAGUGUGUGAAAUCGCUCCUUCAGGUACAAUCGAUUUGAGAUGCUCUUUGUCUGAUACAACUUUUCUAGCUUCUCCCAAAGUUCUUUCGCUGUAGGAAUUUUUCCUACAUUUGCAAGAACAUUCUUUGCUAGACACAGUCGUAUGGCACUUGCAGCUCUAUCAUCUAAUUCUUCCCAAUCUUCAUCACUUAUACUAGUUUUUCCAGAGCCACUACUGGAAGCAGGGGAUGGCUUCCCCUUCAAUGCCUUGUGUAACCCAGAUUGAAUCAACACAUCUUUGACUUGAACUUGCCACAAGCCAAAGUUAAUUCUCCCAUCGAAUUUUUCUAUUUCAAAUUUCACCGGACUUGAAAAUUUCAAUCCUGACAUAUUUGCUUUGCAGAUAAGCUUUUACUCUUCACCACGGACUGUUUGGAUUGGCUCCCACUGCUUCACGUGAAUAGUACUGUAUACGUGAACAGUACCGUAUACGUGAACAGUACUGUAUACGUGAACAAUGCCCCAACACCAAAACUUCAAUCAAUGGCUCUGAUACCACUGUUAGGAAAUUGAGUUUCCUCCCAAGAUCUCUCCAAGCAAUUUAUCAAGCAACAAAUUAAUAAGAAAAAUUAAAUAAAGAAUAUACCAACCACAUAACACAAGAUUUACGUGGAAAACUCCAAAUCCGGAGAAAAACCACGGCCGUUGUCAAAAAGACAACCAGAGAAAAAAUAUUCACUAUGUGGAAAAUUAUUACAACCACACUCUCAAAAAUAAUUUUCUCUCACCUAAGCCCCAAAUACACCCCAAAGAAAUACUCUCUGAAUGAAGAAAAGAAACCGAGGAUUAGAUGCAAAAACCAAAAAAUGGGGAGCUUCCUUUAUAUAGCCAAAAUUGGCUAUUGUUUUAUUAUUUUUACCACCGUCUUCAUUCUUCUAUUUUCUUCUUUCUUCUUUUUCUUCAUUCCAAAUUUACUGCUGCCAAAUUCUUCUUCUUCUUCUUUGAACAACAUGGAUGCUGACCAUCUAGAUGGCUGCUUCAAACCAUCUAGAUGGCUGGCUGCUUUUGACACAUUCAAAUCAUCAAAAAUUGUGACAAAUAAGCGGUCCACAAUAUCCAUCACCUGUAUUCAGGUGUCAUUGAAAAAUUAACCAAUAAACCCCUCCAGCUAUACCUCCGAAUAAUGCUUCUUAAUCUCCAUUUCAACAUCAAGACCGGUAAAUUAACUCACACAAAUGCCUAUGAGUGUACGAGUCCUCUGGUCUAAAAACAGAACCGGUCUCAAAAACCCGCCCAAAAUCACCGCAUAUCGAUAUUUGCUUGUGACCUUCACUUGAACCAGCUAUCAGUUUUGGCAUGUGGAUCUCAACAAAAUCCUCAGAAAACAAGAAUUGUCUGAAUAUCUGUACAUUGAUGCAAUCAUUAAGGACCAACUCAAGGCCUUACUCAUAUUCCAAUCCAAGCUGGUUAAUGGGUUAAGGUUACUUAAACAUUUUAUAUUUUUGUCUAUUCUAAGAUAAUGUUGAAUAUUAUAUAUAUAAGAAAUUUUUUGUCUAUUCUUAGACAAAUUCUUGGCGGGAAUUUAACAAACUUCAAGCCUAAUAACACUUUGCAUAACAACAUGACAGCUUGGCAGUUGACUAAGCACUCUGCUUACAUGGCAAUCUGACUCAGCAGUUUACAUAGCAAUUUGGCUCAACAUAUAUACUCUUAACAGAACCAAAUAAAUAUUAACACGCGUCUCGACGCAUACCUUGCAUAUCAUCACAUUUAUAUAUGUACGAUGAUAUCACCGCCACCUAAAUUUCUCAUUUAUUAUAUUUGAUUAUUUUCUUUUUUAUUUCAUUGAUUUUCUCGUAUAAAAGUAGAUUUACUACGAUUUACCAUUUUGUUGUUGUGCAAUGGUCACCCUUUUUGUUUGAGCUGCCUAUUGAUGUAUUGCUUUUAGAAAAACUCUCAGAAUAGCUUUACAUUAUACUUUUCUAAUUUGCAAUGAAUGCAUCCAGGAGUAUAGGAAAGAAAGAAAUAAAGGGGGAAAAAAAAAAAGAAAGAAAGAAAUACUCCCCGUGUAUCACCUAAACUAGUUUUAAAACUUCUUGAAUUGGACAAGAAUAAGUUGGCUGACAAGCUUUCCUAACUUCUCACAACUUUUAUUAUUGUUACCUUAUAUUUUCAUAAUCGUUAGAUUUUUAUACUUGAAUUGGUACCAAUCUCUCUUUUAUCAAAUUUAAACAGAGAUAAUUGAUUGAAUGAUUCAGUCUCCGUCGUCCAAAAGAAUUUUUCUUAUCUACAACGUUCUUAUUUGCUCAAACAGAUGGAAUCCAGAAAACUCAUCCAUUUGAUUCUCUUCAAUUGAAAACUCAUCACUUCCUGCAUGUAAGAGCAAUUUGAGUGCCAUAAAGCCUGUAGUGAAUCUACCUAUUUAGGGAAUAAUUUAAAUAGAAAAGUUAACAUGAAGCUCAUACCCUAAUAAAAAGCUACUCUUAAAAUAACAUGAAUCAAGAAACAGAGCAAAACAGAGUAGCUACUAAGAAGAACACCCAAAUUAACUCCUAAAAUUGACCAAACAUAACAAGCAUCAAAUCAAAGCAUUAAAGCACUAAUCAGAGACUUCACACUAAAUUGUUUUUUUUUAAAUAAUGGGAUUUCAAGAUUAUACUUAAAAAGACCUCUUUUUUUUUUUUGGGGAAGAGAAAAAUCAUCUGCAUGGUUGAAGGAUCAAAAGCUCAUGGAUGGAAUAAAAGAGAAAUUAAAGUAAACAAUGUAACUAACCGGUUCCUUGAAGAAGUUGGUUAUCGACGGAGGCCCAGUGACUUUGUCGGAGUGGUGGCAUCGCUGGGUUAGGCCUGAGUGAAGAGUGAAUAUUGGGAGAUCUCUGGCUUCGGUUCUUUGACCUUACGUUAUUUUAUUUAUUCAUUAUUUUUUUUUCUAGUAUAUGCAGAUGCUCCGCUCACUUUAAACUCUGGUGGAUGCAGUGUGGCAACUGAAGUGAUCAGUUGCUGCCCAAGAUCACAAACCAAAUCUGCCAAGAUGCUUCCAAGAUCAAACUGAUUUGAAGCUUAAUUGAUAUGUGUAAAGAAUAUAUUUCAGAAUUGAAUUUCUUGCCCCCCUUCAUUCACAAACUCAUGCACGUAUAUAUACAGAUUACAUUCCUAUAAUUAAGGGGAUAAUAUUCCUACGUAUCCCUAUAGUCUAGCAGUUGUCAUUGUUUGUUUACAACUAAUAUUCCAAUACCCCCCCUCAAGUUGGAGCAUGCAAGUCUUGAAUGCCCAACUUGCGAAUGAAGAACUCAAACCGUUGUCUACCCAAUGCCUUCGUAAAUAUAUCAGCCAGUUGUGCAUGGGUCGAGACAUAAGCUGGUUGAAUGUUACCAAAGCGAACCUCAUCACGAACAAAAUGACAGUCUAUCUCAAUAUGUUUGGUCCGCUCAUGAAACACUGGAUUUGCUGCAAAGUGUAAGGCUGCCUGAUUGUCACAGUAUACCUUCAUUGGAUUUGGAUGCUCCACGCCAAGAGUCAAUAGUAGCUCUUUUAACCAUUUUAAUUCGCAAGUGGUUGCUGCCAUAGAUCGAUAUUCUGCCUCAGCCGACGACCGAGAGACAGUAUGUUGCUUCUUCGUCUUCCAAGAGACUGGUGAAUCGCCAAGUAGAAUGAACCAUCCAGUCAAAGAACAACGAGUUAAUGGACAACUUGCCCAAUCUGAGUCACACCAAGCUGAUAGUUGCAGGUCACAGUCUGAUCGUAGCAUUAUUCCUUGACCAGGAUUCCCUUUCAAGUAACGCACAAUGCGUAAAGCAGCCGCCCAAUGUUCUUCUCGUGGUUGUUGCAUGAAUUGUGCCAACACAUGCACACUGUAAGAUAACUCGGGACGUGUAACAGAGAGAUAAAUAAGUCGGCCCACCAAACGUCUGUAACUCUCAGGUUUAGAUAAGAAAACGCCAUCGGCCAAAGCCAAAUUAUGGUUGUGCUCUAGCGGGAAAGAUGCAGGUUUAGCUCCGAGUAGACCAACCUCAGAGAUAAUAUCCAGCGCAUAUUUACGUUGGCACAAGAAAAUUCCUGUAGGACUUCGGGCUACUUCGAUUCCGAGGAAAUAUUUCAACAUUCCUAAAUCCCUCAUAUGAAAACAUUUGCUCAAAUAUUCCUUGAAAACUUUAAUGGCUGCAUGAUCAUUACCUGUCACAACAAUGUCAUCAACAUAUACAAGGACAUUGAUUUGUACCUUGCCUUGGCUCAAAGUAAAAAGAGAGGAGUCCGAGUAUGAUUGUUCGAAACCAUAACUCUUCAGAGCAGUAACCAAUUUCGCAAACCAACAUCGGGGAGCUUGUCGUAAUCCAUACAAAGACUUCUUCAAAUGACAUACCUUCCCUGGGUUCUCUGAAUGAAAACCAGGAGGCAUACGCAUGUACACUUCUUCUUCCAAAUCGCCGUGUAAGAACGCGUUAUGCACGUCCAUUUGAUGAAGUUCCCAGUGCUUAGCAGCUGCCACUGCCAAAAGAGCUCGAACUGUAACCAUUUUUGCCACUGGAGCAAACGUCUCAUUGUAGUCAAUCCCUGCAACUUACUUGUUCCCGAGAAUUACCAAUCGAGCCUUAUAGCGCUCAAUGGUUCCAUCAGCAUUAUAUUUGAUCUUGUAUACCCAUUUACAAUUUAUAGCUCGUUUUCCUGGUGGUAAGGAUUCUACAGUCCAUGUCUCAUUAUCUUCCCGUGCUUGUAUCUCUUUCUUCAUUGCAUCUCUCCAUUUUUCAUCUUUGACCGCUUCAGUAAAAGAACUGGGCUCAACACCUGCAGUGACAGCUGCCAAGAAAGCACGAUGUCGCAAUGAAAACUUAUCAUAGUUCACAUAAUGUGUUAUCGGAUAAAGACUACCUGAGGAAUGCGUGUGGCCAGGUGAGCGUGCAGAGGGGCUCGAGGAGGAGCUCAACCGUUGUACUGUGUGUAAGACACAAUCUCGCAAUCUGGUGGAUUGUUGUCGUUGCCUGCAACCACGCCCUAGCACAAUUUCAGAUUGCUCAUCGUCCAUAGUCUCAUUGGCACCCCCCCUUGCUACAGAUAUUCCUUGAUCUUGUUCAACAUAUAUAGGUGUUUCAAUAGAUUGCCCAUAAUCUAUAUCCCUUAUACCUUCUUGAUCCUCUUGGUGUGGCAUCCUAGAGUGGUGCUCCAUGUCCAAGUUAUCACUCACAGCAGCUCCCUGCAUAAUUUCCUCUUCGGCAACCAAGCUAUCUAACUCAUUAUUUUUCGUUUUGCCUUGCUCACUAGUGCCUUUGUUCUCAUAAGGAAACACAUGUUCUUUGAAUACAACAUCCCUUGAGACAAAGAGCUCACCCGAGUUCAUAUCAUACAAGCUCCAACCUUUCUUUCCAUAAGGAUACCCAAUAAAAAUGCAUUUCCUACUUCGACUGGCAAAUUUAUCUCCUCCAUGCCUUUGAUUAUGAGCAUAAGCCAAACAUCCAAACACUCGGAUAUUUUUAUACGAAGGGGUUUCACCAAACAAUAUUUCAUAAGGUGUUUUCCCUUGUAACAAGUCGGAUGGAGUUCGAUUGAUUAAGUAUGCAGCUGUCAAUAUACACUCUCCCCAAAAUUCAAUGGGCAAAUUUGCUUGGAAACGCAAUGCCCGUGCUACAUUGAGUAUAUGACGAUGUUUCCGUUCUACUCUCCCAUUUUGUUGAGGGGUCCCAACGCACGAGGUUUGAUGUAUUACACCUUUCUCCACAAAAUAACCAUCCAAGCAGAUGAACUCAGUUCCAUUAUCACUACGCACUAUUUUCACAUGUCUAUUAAAUUGCCUAUGAACCAUAGCAAAGAAAUUCUGAAUCGUUCGUGCCACCUCGGUUUUAUUAUUUAAUAAAUAAAUCCACACUGCUCUAGAGUAAUCAUCAACAAUAGUAAAAAAAAUAGUAUGAACCGCAAAAAGUUGGAGUUCUAUAAGGACCCCAUAAAUCACAAUGAAUCUUCUAAAAAACAUUAGAUGCCUUAUUAUCACUUGAUACAAACUCUUCUCGACAAUGUUUUGCUCGGACACAGACUUCACAUUCAUCAGUGCACUUAUUAUUAUUUCUAUUAACGAUGGGCAACAACCUAAUGACCUUGUUGGAAGGAUGGCCCAACCUUCGAUGCCAAAGAUCUACUGAGUCGUUUUCUGCUACUUUCAUAACUUUGACUGAUGUUAAGCUCCGAAAGUAGUAGAGCCCCUCGCGCUGCUCACCCGCACCAAUCAGCAUCCUCGAAUUGUGGUCUUGUAUAACACAAAAUUUAUUAGUGAACUGGACUAUACAAUUCGACUCCUUAAUCAACUGUGCUACUGAAAUUAAGUUACACUUUAAAUUAGGCACAUAUAACACAUUAUUUAGUUUUAGAUGUUUAUCCAAAACUAUGGUUCCUUCUUUCUCCGCUAUUGUUUCCUUCCCAUCUGGUAGCCUAACAGGACAUGAGAGGAUUUUCUUCACAUCACUUAUUGACUUAAGGCUUCCUGUCAUAUGAUGAGAGGCCCCGCUAUCAAUUAUCCACUCCAUUAUUUUAUGCUUACCGUUCAAUCUUCCUUGAUUCCCUUCUUUUUGCCCAUUUAAUAUAUUAAGCAAUAAAUUCCAUUGUUCGUUGCUUAGUCCAUUCAAUCCACUUUGUCUCCUUCGACUCUUUGUUCUUGAGCCGUGCUUCCCUGUGUUGUUACCUGCGCUGCGUUGGCCCGAAUCUGUCCACCUCGUCAUCUUCCUCCAUAUGCAGCAGGCUGCUUCUGUCCUCUUUGUCCACGACCUGUUCCACGUCCACCUCCUCCUCGAUGUCUAUCUCCCCACCAAUCGGGGUACCCAAUUAGCUGGAAACAUGAUUCUGCGACGUGUCCUGUUCUCUUGCAAUUUAAGCAUAGCACGGUUUUGUCCUUGCUCUCAGUCCGUCCUUUCAAGCUUGUUGCUGUUUGAACUGCAAAAGCCAUGGCCUCGACUUGCUGUUCCUUCCCGCGGGUUAUACUACAAACUCGCUCUUCCUGGAUAAUCAUAGCAUAUGCUCGAUUCAAGGUUGGCAAUGGUUCAGUGCUCAAGAUAUUGGACCGCACCGUCCCAUAAGUUGAGUCAUCCAAGCCCAUCAAAAACUGAUGUAGCCUUUCCUCUUCACGUCUCUUAUCUAAUUCCGCACCGAUGUUGCAUGCGCAUCCUCCACAUCGGCAUGUCGGGUAUUGCUCAUAGUUUCCCAAUUCUUCCCAGAUCAUCUUUAAUUUGCCAUAGUAACUCAUAACAGUUAUGCCUGGCUGUUUACAUUCAGCCAACUCAGAUUUAAGUUGAUGAACAGGUGGUCCGUUUUCUGCCGAGAACCGUUCCUUGAUAUCAUCCCAAAGUUCCUUUGCAACUUCCCUGUAAGUUAUAGUUGAGCGCAACGUUGGUUCAAUUGUGUUCAAGAUCCAUGAUAUCAGCAUGGAGUUAACUGUCCACCAAUCUUCUUGUGUCAUAGAAUCAUCCGAAGGCUGUAUCACGGAACCAUCGAUGAAGCCAAAUUUUUUCUUGGCCCGCAACGCCGUUCUCAUUGCUCGUGCCCAUUCAUCAUAAUUGUCACCCUUCAAUUGAACUUGCGUGAUGAUGUUCCCUGGAUUGUCGUUGGCCGAGAGAAAAUACGGUGAUGUUGCGCUCUUCGACGGCCCAUCAUCGCUGCCGUUCCUAGCCAUAUUUGUGUGGCUCUGAUACCAAUACUUUCGGUGAAGCAUUACGCAGCAGUGAAAGUGAUCAAUGGAAGUUAGCCAUGGAGGAAGAGAUGAAAUCUCUCUAUCAAAACCAAACUUGGGAACUUGUAAAGUUACCAAAGGAGAAAAGUGCUAUUGGCAAUAAAUGGGUCUACACCAAAAAGUAAGGAUCUCCGAAUCAAACAACUCCUCGAUACAAGGCAAGGCUCGUGGCAAAAGGUUUUGCUCAAAAGGAAGGUAUUGACUACAAUGAAGUUUUCUCUCCAGUUGUAAAACAUACUUCCAUUCGUAUCCUACUUGCCUUAGUUGCAGAAUAUGAGUUAGAGUUGGCUCAGUUGGAUGUUAAGACGGCGUUCUUACAUGGAGAUUUGGAGGAGGAAAUCUAUAUGAUUCAGCCUUGUGGUUUCAGAGUUGCUGGAAAGGAGAAUCAUGUGUGUAGGUUGAUUAAAUCUUUGUACGGACUGAAGCAAUCGCCAAGGCAGUGGUACAAAAGAUUUGAUCAAUUUAUACAAGGGUAGAAUUCACCAGAAGUGAACACGAUCAUUGUGUUUACUUUAGAAGACUACCAGAUAGAGCUUUCAUCUAUUUGCUACUCUAUGUCGACGAUAUGCUUAUAGCUUCGAAAAAUAGAGAUGAGAUCGAAAGAUUAAAGAAGCAGCUGGCUUUUGAGUUUGAGAUGAAAGACUUGGGUGAUGCACAGAAAAUACUUGGGAUGGAGAUUUGUAGAGACAAGAAGAAUGGGAGCGUAUGGUUGACUCAAAAGUCUUAUUUGAAGAAAGUGCUAGAAAGAUUCGGUAUGGAUGACAAAACUAAAUCGGUAUGUACACCUCUAGCUCCUCAUUUCAAAUUAGGCUCUUCUUCAUGUCCUAAAUCUCAAGAGGAGCGCGAUUACAUGGCUCGUGUUCCAUAUGCUAGUGCUGUGGGUAGUCUUAUGUAUGCUAUGGUAUGUACAAGGCCUGAUAUAUCUCAAGCAGUAAGCAUGGUUAGUAGAUACAUGCACGAUCCGGGUAAAAGUCACUGGCUUGCAGUAAAGUGGAUUCUUCGAUAUCUGUAUGGGACAGUUGAUGUUGGGUUAUUGUUCAAGAAGGAUUGUGGUUAACAAUGUGUUGGGUAUUGUGAUUCUGAUUUCGCUGGAGACCUUGACAAGCGAAGAUCAACAACGGGCUACGUAUUCACAUUGGGUGGAGGCCCGGUUAGUUGGAGGUCAAUUUUACAAUCGACAAUUGCUCUGUCCACUACGGAAGCAGAGUACAUGGCAGCAACUGAAGCUGUAAAGGAAGCUAUCUGGUUGAAAGGCUUGUUAGGUGAUUUGGGAGUAAUCCAGGAGAACAUUACGGUCUUCUGUGAUAAUCAAAGUGCGAUAUUCCUUGCGAAGAAUCAAACAUAUCACGCUCGGACGAAACACAUAGAUGUGAAAUAUCAUUAUGUGAGAGAGAUUAUCGAGAGCGGUGUUGUGUUGUUGAGAAAGAUCGAUACCAAAGAUAAUCCAUCAGAUAUGUUGACGAAGGUAGUUUCUGGAGUUAAGUUUCAACAUUGCUUGAAAUUAAUUCAAAUCCUUCGAUUGUGUUAAAGAUAUGUCCUUCGGGAAUUUUGAACUACGGUUGGCUUGAUCCCAAAUUUUGGGUACGUAGGCAAUCGAAACGACACAGCCAUUCUGGAUCCUUAUUGAAGGAUCACUUUGGGGAUGAGGGUUCGUUGGUAGUCGGCUCAGAUUUGGACAAAUUUUCGCCGAGGUGGAGAAUUGUUGAAAAGUCAUGCACGUGACAUUGAAAUUCAAAAAUGAAUGCAAAAUUUCAAAUGGCUACCAAACAUUUGAAGAAAAAAUGGAAAGUUGGCAAAUUUGUCAAAUUUGCCAAAUGGACACCAUUGACUAUUGGCUUAGGUUAGGUGGAAUAGUAAAGGGGUUGGUGCAAUAGUGCCAUUAUUUUCCCUAUAAAUAGAUGGCACUUCUUCCAUUCUAUAUCAUCCCAAAAUUGUUAAGCUUAUAAGUUUCUAAGCUUUUGAGAGAAGUGAGAGAAGUCAGAAGUGUGUCUGAGGAAUUUAUCUUUCCUGCAGAGUGUGAGAGUACUGGGUAUAUUUGGGUUUCUGGGAAGUGAGAUUCGUUACUCAAAUAUUGUACUCUAUUAAUUGUUAAAUAAACAAUUAUUCUUUCUUGCCUCCGUGGAUGUAGGUUUAAUUACCGAACCACGUAAUUCUUGUGUCCUUUAUUUUUCUAUAAUUAUUUGGUGCGCUUGAUUCCUCAUUCCGCGUACAACAGCUAGCAGGUCAUGUAAGUUGAUAAAGCACCAUUCAUGUAAGUCUAUUUAUAUUGACUUAUAUGCACAAGCCUAUAAUACAAACAGCAUUAUUGUAAUACAAAUUUGUUUCGGAAUUCAUGGCCUAUAAUACGCCAUUUAUGUCCUAGACUUACUUGUCAACCUUGCAAAAUUUUUGUGCUUGGCAAUUGGUUUUGUUGAUGCCGAAAUCCGGAUGAAUUGGUUAGUGACUCGAUCUCAUAUUCCUGCAUCAACAUUAAAUUUAUUUGGUGGGAAGCUGUUGGUUGAUCUCUAAGAAAAUCCUCCGACUAUGAGCAGAACAUUCAUGAGCUGUUGAUCAGUGAGCACCGAGAGCAGAUAAUUGAUGAGCAGAUGACCAAUGAGCAGAUGAUCCAUGAGUAGAUAAUCCGCGAGCCUGCGAGCACAAAAAAUAGUCAGGGGGUGCCGGAAGUUUUUCCGACGUAAACCCUCUGACACUCAAGUCAGCGAUUUGGGUCUACUUGGAAAAACUCAUACCACAAUUCACAUGGUUUAACUAUGAUUGUUUUAAACAAAAAGAUUUUAAAAAAAUUUAAAGGAAAAUAAUUGAAAAUAAUCAAUCUUAAAGAAAUCAUAAGCGAAAGAGAAAUUUUCCAGUGGUAGAGAGAGAAAAAGAUUCAAUGGAUUCAGUCACCCAAAGGGACAGAAGAAAAAGAAUCCCCCAUUUUCCCAUGGGUUUUAUAAGAAAUUAUAGCGGUUUUUAUCCUCUUCCCUAGAAUUCUCAAGAAAAUUACUAAUUUUGAGCCCACUAAAAACAUGGUUUCUAAUAUUUCAAAGAACAUAAGUGAGAUUUGUUUUGACUGAGUCGUGUUUUCUAAUAACAUCUUGGUCGAGGUGAUGUGGUCAAGAUAACCAAAUAACAUCCUGAUCGAGGUGUUGCUCAUUUUUUACUUAGAGGAGAGCACAAUAAUGUAUAAACAAACAUUUUAUCUUGGUCACCUUAUUAUAUUCCCCAAACAGGUUUGUCGGUCCUCCAGGUAUUUGGAGCCUUAUGAUACCUUUUUGCCAUGGAAAAAGUUAGAGGAUGUCAGGAAGGAAGCCCGCAUAAUUAAUUGAGCUGGAUGCAAACACAGUUCGUUUUACUGUGAAGACAGAGUUUAGGAGACGACAGAAAAUUUCUAAAUGACUUGUGCGGCAUAAAUAAUUUUGGAUAAUGUAAUGAUGCUCUUGAGUCUGGCAUUGUGGAGGUGACUGAUUUUUCAAAGAAAUUGUUACAUUGUUUACAAUGGGGCCUGCAAAAUUUCAGGUUAAUUUGCUCAUACAACAAUAUAUUUUCCUUGCGUGUGUUGCAUAAUACGAUUAAUUCUUGCGUUACAGGUUCUUCAUUUUGGAAAAUUGAGUUAAAGAAGUAAUGCUAACAGUACAUUAUAUCUCUUUUAGAUAUUUAAUAACACUUAGGGGCAAAAAUUUUAACUGAUAGUUGUGUUAACGGCACAAUCAAUUUUUUUGAAUGUCAAAGGUAGUCAAGGGCUUGAGUGAUAAGUUUUUUCUACAGAGGAUGUAAGUGAGGAAUUUAUGAAACAUUUUGAUAAAAAGAAUUAUCUAGGAUAAGCAAUUGAGCAGAAUUCUUUUACAGUGCAUUUUUGCAAUUCACAUAACCAACGUAGGGGUGGUGCUGUUUGUGUUUUUAAUCGGCAAGAUGCAGUUUGACUCAGCAAGAUCACAGAAGAUAAGACAGAAGUGGAAGGAGAUGAAGCAGUGGCCAAAUUUUGAGUAUAUUUCUUCUGAUGUGCGGGGGGCAGUUAAGGAAAUACAAGCUAUACAAAUGGCAAGAAACCAAACGUGUUCGUGUUGAUAAUUUGGUGAAUGAUCUUCCUGACGAACUUGGCAACGAAAUGAAAUGUCUGCAUUAAAGUGCUCAAGAAUGUGACGUUGAACUAUUCAAUCACUCAGUGAGGUUGAAGCCAUUACUCUUAUGGCUGAUAACUUUAAACAUGUAUUAUCUACCAUUCACACAUUCCAAUCGGCCCGCUCUUUUGUUACAAUCAUACCGGCGUUUUGGGAAGCUUUUACUUUGAUAGAAGGAAGGCUAAACAAAGAAAAUAAACAAAGUGGGACAUGUAACAACGACACAAUACAAGAAAAUUUAACGGUACUUGUGACUAAAUCAUUGAUGACAAACUGUUUAUUCUUUAUAUUUACAUGUGAAACCGCAGAAAAGGGCCAAAAUUGUAGUUUGAAAUUUUACAAUUGAUUUUGUCGUCAAUUGAUGAGCUCAUAGCGACAUUAAUUUAUUGAAUGAUAAAAUAAUAAUUUUAUAUUCAGUAAACAUAUGAAAUAUUACUUAAAUUGAAAAUUUGAGAUCUUAAUACAUUGGAGUUACAUUGAGUUGGGAGACGAACUUUGACUCUGAAUGAGACAGCACUUAAUGUGUCAUUUAUUUAUUAAAUUUGUUAAUGGUAUGAUAUUAUCUCAUUACGCAGAAAUAUUAAAUUGCAAUGAGUCUAGUCAAUUGGGAAAACAUUUUUUGCGCGAGUAUCUCAAUUUCCAAUAUAAAAAUUACAAGACAAAAUUAAAAAGGAGAAUGAUACUUUAUACCUGUUUAGAAGCCAUUGGUUAUUUGGUCAUAUUCAAAACCUAUUUUAACCACGUAAGUCCAUGAUAAAAGUUACAAGAGAAAAAGAAGAAUGAUACUUUAUAGUUUAUACCUGUUUAGAAGCCAUUGGAUAUUUUGAUCAUAUUUGAUAAAAGUUACGGGACAAAAUUAAAAAGAAGAAUGAUACUUUAUACCUGUUUAGAAGCCAUUGGAUAUUUUGAUCAUAUUUGAUAAAAGUUACGGGACAAAAUUAAAAAGAAGAAUGAUACUUUAUACCUGUUUAGAAGCCAUUGGAUAUUUUUAUCAUAUUUGAUCAAAGUUACAAGACAAAAUUAAAAAGAAGAAUGAUACUUUAUACCUGUUUAGAAGCCAUCGGAUAUAUUGGUCAUAUUCAAAACCUGUUUUAACCACGUAUGUCCAUGAUAAAAGUUUAAAAUACCUUUUGUGGAAAGGAUAAGUAUGAUAUUUUUUAAUAAAUAAAUAAAUUUAUUUAGUCAAUAGAUUAGGUGAAUAAUUUAGUGAGUUUAAAUAAUUUCGAUUAAUUUAUACGCGAAGAGUGAAGCUAAUGGCACCCUUCAUUAUUUUUAUAAAUCUCCACUUUAAAUAAAAUUAUAUUUAAGGACAAAUAAGAAUUAAACACAUUUAAGAAUUUUCACAAUAAAUUACUUUCAUAAUCAAUUCUUUUUUUUUUUUGCAUUCAUAAUCAAUUCUUUUUUUUUAUUUUCUACUUGCCACUUCUCUCUAAUCAAAAUAAAUUACAAAAAUUUAUAAUAAUUUAUUUUUCUUUUCUUAUUUCUUAAUAAUUGAGUAUUUUUAUACCUAUUACUUUCAAAUUAUAAUUUAAAAUGUGUCAUAUCUAUAACAUAAUAAUGUUUUGAGUUUUAAUAAUAUACAAAUUCAAUUAAAAAACAAAAUAAUGUAUUUAAAAGGGAAAAAAGGACGUUUUUGAAAUUAAAUACAAAUAUUCCAAUUGUUACUGUGAAAAUGUGAUAUUUUCAGCACUAGAGCUACCACUUUAUUGCAUAUCCGACCCGAGAGGAACUGAUGUGGUCCAACAGUGCUCGGAUCGGAUCGGUUGCCGUCAUAAUCUGAUCACAUUUAGGUAACUUUUCAGUUUUGUCCAGGAGAAAGGCUAUCGAUUAUGUCUCCCUAAGAAACACGUCACAUAGAUGAUGUAAUCAGAUUUUAUCAUGCGUUUGUUCCCCUUCAAACGUCACAUAGAUGAUGUAAUCAAAUUUUAUCAUGCGUUUGUUCCUCUUAAAUCGAGUACUUGUCACAUCCUGAGUGUUUGUGAAUCUACAUUAUUUUUUAAGGGUAUGUUUAUAUUGGAACCGUUCUAAGAUAAAAUAUCUUUUAUAACUACAUAAUUAAAAUAUAUAUAUAUUAAUUUCAGAUUUAAAACAAAUGAAGUCUUUGUUUUUAUUUGCAAGACUUUUAUAACACAUUAAUAUGUAACACUUCAAAUUUCACGGUAGAUUAGAUACAAAUUUUUUAUCCUUAUACUAGACACGUGAAGAGUAGUAAGAAACAAGUUAAAAAACAAAAAAAACACACUCUGAUGUAGUUAUUUUUAUCUUAAAGUAUUAAAAUCUAUAUUUCUUUUAAUCUUUUAACUUGUUUUUUACGAUAUUAAAAUAAGAAAAUCCUUUGAAAAUAAGAAAAUCCUUACUAAAAGUAAAAGGGGACUUGCAUGUCAUGUGCACAGUGUACAAUAUGUUUCAAAUGUUACUUGAUAGAAAUUACUGAAAGCAUUGUAUCAUUGGAAAACUCUUGCUGCAUGCUACUAAUUUGACAGUUUAUCAAAUAUUUUUUGCUGCUUGCUACUUAUGAAUCACGUUUAGUCCCCUUUGAAUUGUGUGCAUCCACCAUCUGUUAAAUUUAUCUUUGAACCCAAGCACGUUCAAAUCCCCGAGUUGUAAAAUUUACAAGAUGCAAAAAUCUCGUAGAAACCUCAGCUGAUGAACUCUGUAAAGAAUAUCGUCAUUCAUUCAGCUAACCCGUUGAACCAAAAUGCAAAAUCAUCCUCAAUAAGUACAAGAAACAAAAACUUUACAGGAAUAACUUGUGAAACUUGAUAAAUUUCUGCGGAGACUACAACGUCAUUUCAAUUUGUGAGGUAAUUAUUUGAUGCCAUGAUGCUGACUGAAUCUCAUUAAAUUAAUGAACAUAAUACAACAAGUGGUACGAUAACUCCAAAUCAGCUAUCACAUUAUGUAACCACUCGGGCAGUAGCCCGAGUGGCCAGGGCUGCUGCCCUCCAACUUGGAGGGCAGCAGUUCGAACCCCCACAAAAGCAUUGUGGGGGUAUUUCCUUCUUCAAUUAAUUUGAGUGAAGGUAGUCUUCUCCCUUACCCAUGAGUGAGGAGUAGACAUCCCUCGAAUAUUUGUGAGGGUUAAAAUCUGGGCAGAGCUCCAUUAGCAUUGAUGUCAGUUGGUCCCAGUAAUAGUCUAAUUUGUAAAUAUCAGUAAUAGUCUCAUGUAUAUGAGUUGUAAUCUGAGCAAUAGUCUCAUGUAAUCAAAAAAAAAAAAAAAAAAAAAAAGCUAUCACAUUAUGUAUUUGAUUCAAAUAAGAGAACAAAAUUUGCAUUAUUGAUAGAUAUUAUAUUGUUUCUUGUAACUGUCUCUUGACAAAUCGCCCAUUAAUGCAGUCAUUUCACCAAGAUAGCAAGCUGAUAGAGAAAUCUGACAAUGCAAUGCAUGUCAUCCUCACACUUCAUUUUAAUCGAAAAUGGGUGAGCCAUUUUGUUCAACUUUCACCUCCGGAAGUCGAAAAGGACAUGAAUGCAAUUAUGCAAGUCCUUAUCAAAGAUGCAAUGAAUGACGCCUAAACUCCUAUAGAGCAGAGUUAAGCUAUUAAUCACUGCACCGAUACAUCAAAAAUUAAGUAUAUGGAUCAAAGACAUCUUCAUUCAAGAAUCUCGAAAUUUCAAAGCAAUGCUUGUCAUUUACAUAUCAAGCAAAGGGACCAAAGAUGGUGGUGCUCUAAUAUUUGGUAAUUAUUUGAUGCCAUGAUGCUGACUGAAUCUCAUUAAAUUAAUGAACAUAAUACAACAAGUGGUACGAUAACUCCAAAUCAGCUAUCACAUUAUGUAUUUGAUUCAAAUAAGAGAACAAAAUUUGCAUUAUUGAUAGGUAUUAUAUUGUUUCUUGAAACUGUCUCUUGACAAAUCGCCCAUUAAUGCAGUCAUUGCCGACAAAACAACUUUGUGAAAAAGUUCACCAAGAUAGCAAGCUGAUAGAGAAAUCUGACAAUGCAAUGCAUGCCAUCCUCACACUUCAAUUUCAUCGAAAAUGGAUGAGCCAUUUUGUUCAACUUUCACCUCCGGAAGUUGAAAAGGACAUGAAUGCAAUUAUCCAAGUCCUUAUCAAAGAUGCAAUGAAUGACGCCUAAACUCCAAUAGAGUAGAGUUAAGCUAUUAAUCACUGCACCGAUACAUCAAAAAUUAAGUAUAUGGAUCAAAGACAUCUUCAUUCAAGAAUCUCGAAAUUUCAAAGCAAUGCUUGUCAUUUACAUAUCAAGCAAAGGGACCAAAGAUGGUGGUGCUCUAAUAUUUUGUCUAGUCAGAUUUCAGAUUUACCUUGUUCAUGUCUUUUUCUUUGGUGCAGAAGUUCCCCGCGGCCUAUUUCAACAUCAUUCGUCAUCCUCUCAAUCUCCUCCUUUUUCACUGGCAGAACCAAAAAUAUCUUGCACCUCAGUGAAAUAUCAUUGGAGACAAAAAAGUUUCUCCAGCUUAUUCAACAACCAAAACCAGCCAAAUAUCAUCUCCAGCCACAAAGCAAUGAGCCAAGUGAUUAAAUUUCCUUGAUGCAGGCUGAGGAAAGCCAAUAAGCAAUCAAAGGAGAUGGAAGAAUAGCACUAUUAAUUCAAGACCAACAAAGUUUGCAGCAAAACUGAUAGUAUUUAAGAUUUUGCAAAAGUCAAUCUUGUCUGGUUAUCAACACUGCAAUUAUAGCUUUUGUGCACCUCAGUUAGCCUUAAAUUGUGAAAGUUUCAGCCAAACCAACAAUUUCUAACCUACAUCUCAUGGUUAUACAAGCUAACUGCUAGCAUCUGCUUCACUGCAUUAUGCUUCAAAAACAAUCAUACUAAAUGUCACAAUUCUGGUAUAUAAAAGUUCAGCCGUCUACGCCAUUCAAGUUGAGCAUUUGACUGCAUCUCUAUGGGUACUAUUAAGGGAUGGCAAUAAUCAGUUAUGAUACGAAUAAUUGACAUCCGUAAUCCGAUAUAUCCGUCCGCACCCAUGUCUAAUUUUAGAGGUUUGAUAUGGAUAUUGAUUUUUGUUUAUAUGGAUAUUGAUAGGCAUAGAUAUUCGGGAAAAAAAAUUCUACUUAACACUAUAACGAAUAGGAUACUUCUUUUAUUAGAGCGUUGUCAUGCUGAUGAUGUGCAAGAUAUCAUAAAUAAAGGGGAUCGUAGGGAACGAAAUGAAAGAAGUUUAAAGAAUUUGAAAGAAACUGAUUAUUCUCUUAUUCAACAACUCGGUGUGCAAUUACAUUUUACACGAGGUCCAUGUAAUUAUAUUUGUCAUUAAGAAUGAGCAUUUGCCAAAAGAAGAGACACAUGUCAUGACAAUGAGUGAUUGACAAGUGACAAAAUUGAUAGACACCCGCCGAAUAUGUCAUAACACAAACUUCUUACUGCCUGAAACAACAUGGCUGGAGCAGAGAUUUUUCUAUCAAAGCGUGUCCAGGAAAUGGUCCUCAAUGGUGAAGAACCGCCAGCACCACAUAUUUGUAGAGAUGGUGAUUCAAUUCAAGAGGUUUCUGCUCCAUUAUCUCCGGUUCCGAUCAUUGACCUCAAUCUGCUCUCAUCUUCAACACCAUACGCCAAGCAAGAAGAAGAACUGCAGAAAUUAAGAUCAUUGACCUCAGUCUCAUCUUUAACACCAUACGCCG